RNAcentral lists this long non-coding RNA (186293 nucleotides) under Eucalyptus grandis. RNAcentral's name for it is "long non-coding RNA (EGRA_LNC001632)". The record is from RNAcentral. Lineage: Eukaryota; Viridiplantae; Streptophyta; Magnoliopsida; Myrtales; Myrtaceae.
GUGGAUGCUUUAACACUUAGAGAUAUGAUAACACGUUACAUAAUGGUAAAAAUAUAUACAUAGCAUAAUGUACAACGUUUUCACGCUUUUAUCCGACAAAACUUCGUAUAAUUAUACAGGAUUAUAUUGCACCGUACGCGUAUAAUCAUAAAGGUAAAAAAAGUAAUUCAUAAUCACGUCAAGAUGGCCAUCCCCGACAACUUUUAAGCAAACGAGUUCCCCAGGACAUGAAAUGAAAGCCCCCACGAAGGAUCCAGACACGCUCUCAAUUAUUCCAGCUAUGGUGAAACAUCAGAAAUGCAUCAUACGCAGCAGUCCGCGCGUGCGUGUUACCAGCAAUUUGCGCACAAAAGUUCUACUCCAGAGAGGAGUCGAUCUUGUUAACGGACCGAGAGAAGGCGAGCACAUCAUUGGGGCGGCGAUCUUCUCCGGCGCCAUCCGAUGCCUCGACGAUGGACUCUCGAAUCACGGCCUUCGUGAUCGGAUCGAUCGGCGGCCCAGCCCUCACGCCAUCGGAACCAACCGCGCCCUUGAUCUCUCCGCGGCGAUGGUCGUCUUCUCUAGAUUCAUCAAUUUCCUCCUUGUCCGUUCGUAGCUGCUCUCUCCUUUCCUUGUGAGCUUCCAUGGCGCGUCUUGCUUUUUCCUGGCACUGAUUGUUGCCGGUGGGAGGCGAAUUGUUGGGCUGUAGUAGCAGCUGCGUUUGGAGGGCAGCGGACAGGUGUGGGAUGAUGGAGGGGCUUGAGGGACUGUCUCCCUCACACGCAGGCCUUUUUGGCGUGCCACGCGUGGAAAGCUCCUGUCUUUUUGCCUUACAAUAUACAUCGUCGAUCUUAUAUUUGCAAUUACGGUCAAUCCCACCGAAAACAUUUUAAAAAAAAAAAUACCCACGGUAGUGUCAAUAACAUUAAAAAAAAAAAUAGCACAAAAAAUUCGAAAAUAUGCCCAUUAUAAUACCGAUAUUCCAAAUUAUUUGUUGGCCCUUUUGCCUUGUAAGAUACAUUGUCGUUCUUAUAACUAUAAUUACUGUUCACGCCACGAAAAAUUUUAAACAAUGAAACCAAUACACAAAACUCUUUUUAUAUCACUAAAAACUUGUAAAUAUUCCUACCAUAACACCAAAUAUUCCAAACUUUUUUUUUGUAUUACCAAGGCCUUUAAAUUAUGCCCACUGCAAUAUCGAUACCGAAACUAUUUUAUCAUAUCGAAACAAGUUUGGGUAUUGGUGAUUGGAAAAUAAAGUUUGGGGAUCUUAGUGACACAAAAAAAAAUAACUAGGAUAUUAGUAUUCAAUGUACAUACUUAAGGUUUUUAGGUGGUAGGUGACACAAUGAGCAUAGUUUAAGAUUUUCAAAGGCGUUUUUCUUUAUAAUUAUAGAGUGCAGUUGGGUAUAUUAUUAAAACCUUUACCGAGUUUUCAACGGCUUAGGUCCAAGACGCUUUUUCUUCAACUCGAAAACUCACAUUCUUGAUAUGGAAAGUAACUCCUAUUUGUUUGAUAGAAGGAUGGAAUAACUUAUUUCUCUUCAAAGUUGUUAAACAUUGCAAAUGCUUUAAUAAUAAAUAAAAAUCUUACAUUGGAAUUUCUUCACAGAAAGUAGACUUGCUUUUUCUUCUAAAAAAUGUGGUCUCAAGGGGUAUAUAACAAAGUCAUCUAUUCAUAUUAAAAAUUCAAAUGUUGAGUCCCUCCCGUGUCUAAUCGUUGUUUUUCUUAUCUCAUUUAUGUACAUAUAUAUACAUAUAUCUCAUUUAUGUACAAAAGCCCUCUUUCAUAUAUCAGACAUCCAAAAUAAAAUGUUACUUGUUUGUUUCGCAAAACAUCACAAUUCGAAAUAUUUUUAUUCAAUGUUAAUCGUUUUUUUAUUUAGAAAAUUGAGACAAUAAAAUAUUAUAUUAUUAACAAAAAUCUACAACUAUUAAUAAUGAAGACAUUUUUUGUUCAAUCGCCUUCCUAAAAGAUAUAGACGGUCUCAUUCAACAAUCUAACAUGAGUUUCGAUAUUAUAAAAAAUUAAAACAAAAAUUUUGAGCACUUGAAUGACUUUUGAUAGGAUAUUAUCUUGGAAAUUAAGAGAGUAAUAACCCUGAUGGACGUUCAAAAGUUAAACUAGCAAUUAGAUUAUUUGUCUGACUUUCACAGCGUAUUCUUUUUUUAUGAGGAUAAGAAUCUGCUCAUGGUUUAUUUUUCCACCAUAACGUUCUUGCCGAUUGCUUCUCCGUAUCAGUCUUUGGGAAAAGUGCACCGAAAAUCGUAAACUUUGUAUAAAAUCUUUCAACUAAUUUAAUUAAGUUUAGCAACCAUAUUUAAAAAGUGUAAUAAAGUUCUCUCAAUGAAAAGUACCUAAAAAGAUAAAAUGCCUAUGUGCCAUUAAACAGUUUCAUUCAUGGCAUUCUUAAAUUGCAUUUAAUACAUAUUAUAGGACUUAAUUGCCUUUUUCAUUAAAGAUUUAGGACCUUUUUUUUUUUUUUUGGUCAGUCCUUUAGGACUUUGUUUGACCAGUUGAUAUAUUAGGACUUAAUUGUGUAAUUACAAGAAUUAAGACUCCAUUGCAUUCCAUACAUAACUUCUAGAACCUAUGCCAUCGGUUUUUCCUCGCAUAGUUUUUUCUAAAAUUAAAUUUCACAAUUAUUGCGACUCUCUCAGACGUGAGGUCGGGGAAAAGGACAAGUUUAGUGGUGAUGUCGAGUUGAAGACCAACGAUCCUCAAUCGACGUGAGUUCUGCAAUGUUGAAUUUUCACCUAAAUUCGAUGAACUCUAAGAAUUCUAUAUGAAGAGCCAACACUAACUUAUUGAACUCGACUAGAAAGUAUGGGAAUAUACCUCAUUUCCUACACAGCUAGAGAUUUAAGGUCGUGAACUUAAUUAUACUAGCAAUCUAACUAGUGCCUUUUCGUUAUCUAAAUAUGAUUAUUUGUCAACUAAGGUGUCCACAGUCUUCUUAUUCAAUGAGUCCUAAGGUUCUUGUCCACUAUGUGUCCUUUCAAUGCUUUUUGUCUUUGUCAUGGUCCUAAAGUGUAAACUAACCAUUUAACUAACAUAAGCAAAAAGAACACUGAAAAAGCAAUAUAAUCAAUUCAUAAAAAAUAGUAAUGAUAGAAAAAGUAAAGGGUAAAGUAUAGUAAAGUAACCCGAUACAAAGUUGGGCAAAAAAAUACAAUACAACCUUGGCUCCAAGACAACAACCCUAUGAGCUUAGUUCACUCCAAACUCAAUUAUCUAAAGAAACUAAUCUAACUAGAGAAAAGCAUGAAUUUUCUUAAAUCAUAUGUAUACUAUCAAAAUGAAACUAAAUUAAUUCUUGUGCUAAAAUCUAGCAACCUAAAGACUUAGGCUAGGCCCCUGGGCCGAGUCCCGAAUCUGGACCUAGCUUGGAUCUCGUGGGUCUAGGUCAAAAAAACGUGAAAGGCUUUAUAAAUGAAAUGGGCUUAGUUGUUCAAGUCCAAUUCGAUUCUAACCAGAGUCAAGCCCGAAUGUUCUAAAGCCGAAGCCAAUCCAAAUAUAUCAAGCCUAUUCAAGCCCAAAGCUCAUUAAGCGUACAUAGUGCCCAGAUUGUUACGCCUUUCAUGCGGUUAAUCCAAAACUUACUGUUCCGACCAGAACUAAACAAGCCCAUCUUAAACGCAUUUGUCAUUCUUAUACCCAUUUUCUUCUCCUUUAUUAACUUUUAAUUCUAUACCCACACCAGAUUAUGCUCCCUAACCCAAGAACUUCCAGACUUCCAAUCUAACAUCAACACAGCAAAAAUCUCAAGCCACCAAUAUGACAUAUGUAUUAUUCACUGUUAACCAUCUAUAUUCAUCACUCGAUAAUCACAGUCAACCAUCAACAAUCCACAACCUUAAAGCACCAGGUGACUAUCUCCAUUCAAUUUAGCGAGAGUAAGAACUUCAAGUGAGUAACUUCACUCGAUAUUUUGAUUACUAGGAGGGGAUGGAACUUCGAUUGGUGGUGAAAUUGAUCAUAAGAGCUACAUUAAUUGUCUUUAAACGAAAUUGACAUUGAAGGAGCUUUAAGCAAGAUUUAGCCACUUCAUGCUUCAUGAUCAUGUGACAAAAUUAAAUAGGGGACGGCCUAGCACAAUGAUGGAAAAACUUGGCAAGAAAGAAUUCUUAACAAUGAUUUCUAAUAGAAAUGACAAAAGAAAAUGUUAGACUAAUAAGAAUAAGAUUUUUCAAUCACAUGAACAUGAGAUCAAUUUGACAAAUAUAGCAUACUUGAAUCAAAAGAAGCCGUUAUUAAUCCAAUGAAAGAAAAUAUAUAUCCUUGUGGGUAUAAAUUUUCGCCACCAUCCUCUAUAAUAAUUGUGAUGGGCGUGUAUAUUUCUCUCGAUAAUUUUGUAGAAAAUAGGGGAAGCGUGGUUAUUGAAAACCAACCUUCUCCACCAAAGAAAGUCCUAAUAUAACAGAAGUGAUGGGAUCAACUUUAAAAUUGUAAAAUCUCAACUAUCUAUCAGGUUUUAAAUUAUAUAUGCUUAAGUAAAUGCCGCAAAUAUAUGUCAUAUGAUGUAAUUAAUUAAAUUGGGGCCAUGUCAAAUGUUACCUAAUAUAUCUGAUAAGCUACAUAACUGGCUUGGAUCUCGUAAGUCCAACAGAAAAUUCGAGAUUGCAUCACGCGUGUUCUCUUUGCUUCGUCUACGUCCAAGCCCUUUGAAGUUUCCCAAAAUAGUAAAUUUGGACGUAAGCAUUGGGCGUUUUAAAGAUCCGCAUUUUGUCAUCAUUAUUAUUUCUUUCAUUUUCCUUUCGUUUCAUUUUUAUUAUUGUUUCUUAUCACGAGUCCAAAACAGGGAUACUAAUCACUUCUAAAUACUAAGCAAAGCACGUGUCUGACCAAUUAGAAGCAAGCUUCCAAUAAUGGCUUUCAAUUAUAGUCUAAUACUCCAGCGCCCAACCUGGAUGCGUUCUUUAUUUUAAUGUGUCGGUACAUGUACGUUCUAUCUUCCCAAUUUGAAAGAAAGUUUUUUCUUCCCUCGCCCCUGUGAAUACUCUCAAAUUUUACGUUCCAAAAUUCAAACGAAACAAUUUUAGGACAUACUCAAAUCUAUAAGAUCCUCGUUUAAUCAUCAUUAUUAUUUCUUUCAUUUUCAUUUAGUUUCACUUUUAUUAUUAUUUUCUUAUCAUCAAUUUUGAUGUAUUGACUGAAAUUCAAGUGUUAACAGCAAUCAUUUGCGAGGUUUCUCCAUACUUUGCAUCACAAGGUUGUGUUUGCUCACUAUAUCCAUGAAUGCUUAAUUGGGUCCUAUUUUACAUUUACACGUCUCUUCAUGUGCUUUUCUGACAAGGAUUUUCUAUUAGUGUGUCGACGCACUAUACAUAUUGAUCCUGCUCAUGCCAUUUUGAAUUGGAAGAUGAAGCAAAUAAACUUAGAUCUUGAGGAAAUAGUGUUGCGUAAUAUCAUGAAUCCCACCAAUUUAUAUGGGGGUUAAUACCCAUAAAAAAUUCCAAAAUUGUACAUUACAAAAAACUUCAUGCCAGUACAACUCUUGCCAUAUUUAUCCUAAAAUACUUUUUUUGUCACAAAAAAUAUUAAGUUGGUGCAUUAGUACCACAUUUACCUAAAUUGAUUUUCUCAUUACAAAAAUCAAAGAUUUGGAUAAUAUGGUAUAAAUGUACCAAUUUAAAGAAAUUUAUGGCACAUGUAUAUCAAUUUCAGAGAUUUUUAUAACAUGAAAAAUAAUUUGGCAGCAAACAUGGCACAGAUACAUUAGUUUGGCCUAUUUUGUAAUACAAAUAUUAAUUUGGGUUAAAUGUGGUACAAAUGCAUCGAUUUGUUUUUAGAUGGUAUUAACCUUUUUAUAUUAUUAAUGUCUUGGCAUCUUUUCUAGGUCCAAUCUCUAAAAAGCAAUGGACUUCGGUUGUUUUAUAUAAUUUGCAGCAAUAUGACUCGCAUGUGCAUUUUUUAAGAGACUUCCCAGUUUUUAUGCUAUGGUCGUGUCGAAGUUGACUUACAUGAGUAAAUAUGAUUUCACAUUUUUCUUGACAAUAAAUGAGAUUUCAAUCAUAGUCUUCCUCAGAAGAACAAGGCGUUACACCAGAGUUUGAUCUAAAGAAAACCGGGCACAAUUUGCAAAUCAUGAUAUAAACUUUUCCUUUUUUCUUUUUCUUUUUUCGUUUUAUCAACAACGUGAUGGGGAUAAUGGAUUUUCACUAGUACAUAUGAGAUCAUAUGUUCAGCGAUGCAAAGAUUAAGAAACUCUUCAACAUAUUCUCCGGCUUACUUCCUUAAAUAAUUUCUAACUUUAGAUUUAAUUUCAGUUAUGUCCCAAACAUUUUUAUCCAAAAAAGAUAAUCAACUUUCAUUACAAUCUAAAAUUUGCCCAAAUGUCCAAAAAUUACAACUAAUUUCUUGAAAAUUAUCAACUUCAAAGCCGAUUAGGGAUAUAUUAUUAGAACCUGCAUCUUUAUCGAUAUCCCCACGUAUGGUGCACAACAACCUCUUGACAUCUAGAAUUUUGAAGAAAUCGAUGGUGAUUUUUGGACACGAGCAUAUUUGGGAUUAAAUCUAAUGUUUGGGUUUUUUUAGAAGACUAACCCAAUGUGUAAUCCUGAACUUUAAACUUGUUCAAUGUAGUCCAUGAACUUUAGUUUGAUGAGCAAGUUAUUCGUAAAAUUUUGAUUUAUUUAAUAUGGUUCAUGAACUUUUAAUACAUAUUCAAUUAGUCUUUGAACUAUGUAAAUAUGUUCAAUAUGGUCUUCACACUAAUUCAAAUUCAAAAAUUGUCCAAUGGGUGUCAUUAUACAUGAGAUUAAAGUUCAAGAACUAUAUCGAACAAAUUUUAAGUUUAGAGGCUACAUAUGAAUCACGUGUCAUUAGACUCAUUUUAUGCACAGGCGGUUACGGAUUACAAUUUGUGACAAAUGCCGCGUGUAACUACAAUUUGGGAUAACUGCAAGGGUGAGAUUGAAAAAUCUGUUUUCCUUAGUCCAAAACCCAACAACGCUCAAGAGCUCCCCAGGCGGCGACGGAGGCUAGCGUCGUCUACCCCCACCAUCCCAUGCCCGAGACCAAAACCCUCGCUACCGCAGUCGCCAUAAACCCUAAGCUACUAGCUUUCACGCCUCGCCAAGUUUCUCUAGCGAAGAAAGAGACGAAGCAGCGAGCACCCACGGCGGCAUCCCCCAUGGAGACCAAGACGCUCCUCCUCCUCUCCAUAGCUCGGUAUCUGCAGAGCAAUGGAUUCUCCAAGACUCUCAAGAAGUUCCGCGCCGAAGCCCAGCUCGAGGUACGCGCCCCUCGUUCUCGCGCGCUCCUUUCGCAUUCUGGGUCUUGCUGCGGUGCCAUUCGGCGAGCUGUUCCGAGCCUCUUUUGGGGUGGUUGUGAGGGGUUGGCACAGUUUUGACUGAUUUAGGGAGAGGGAUCAUCGCCAUAGGAACGGAGUCCUGUGAGGGAAGGAAGCUCGAUUAUGUAGUUGAAAGGAUCAAUAUAAUGGUGGGAGCAAGAAAUUGUGGGCAUUCCUCCUGUACAAGUUUUAAACCAAAAAAAGAAGAGAAAAAAGGCGACAUGGGGUUUGAAUCUUUUUAGUGUCCACUUUGUAUAUCACUAGCUUUACUUUGCUAAGGUGGCAUGCAUUCUAAAGAGUGUUCGUCGGAGGUUAUUUGGUUGCUAUUUCUUUAUGCCAAGUUGGAGAUUUUAUGCAUUUUGAGGUUCCAAUUCAUUUUUGUGAGAGCUAUUUAAAUGAUGAGCUGUAGAGGAGAUUUGUAUCAAAGGUCGGACUCUUGGUUCCCAGAAGGGAUCAACAAUAAAAAAAAUUUGCCAAGAGGAUCUCGAUAUUUCCACUUAGAGGAACAAAGGUAUCUGACGACUUUGUCAGCAACCAACUUUCUAAAAUGCGACUGUUUAUGGUCUGAAUUCAAUUUAUGUCUUACUUAUUUAAAAGCGCAAGAAGAAACAGUAACACUCGGCAUAUCUUUACAAAGAAGGCCCUGUGAGUAAUAUGCAUUCCUUCUCCAUAAGUUGUCAAUGUUCAGAAGCUUCUGGAGCAAGCAACUCUCGAAGAAAAUCUUGCUUUCUGCUCUCUGACUAUCUGGAGGGCACUUCAUUGUGUGCAAUACUCUGUUUCAUCCGCUUUAUUUUUACAAUGCUUGCCACAAUUGAUCCUUGUUAUGCUUUUGAAUUACCUGAUUGAAAUACUUAUUUAAGAACGGAAAAGUUCGCGUGUUGAAUGAACCUUGCUAUCUCUAAGGUUGCCUUUCAGGUUUAAAUAUUUUGAUGGUGCAUCUUGGUCUAUUGCUACUGUGAUAACGAUGCUUUUAGGCAAUAAAGCGCUCUAAGGUUCCUUGCUGAAUUUCUUUCUUUUUUAUCUUUUGGUGCAGGAAGUUAGUUUUAAGGGUUCGACAUUGGAUUUGGAAGAAAUAUGUCUCAACUACUUGAAAACAGCGUAGGGGAUUCUUCUUUUAUUCCAUGAUAAUCCUGUUGUAUGCAGAAGUUUUUUCUCAUUGAUGAUUGUCGAAGAUAUAGUUUUCUCUAGCUGGGAAAUAAUAUGGGUGGCACAUGUUUCUGUGCCAGCUUAAAUGUGCUAAAUGCAUUCCUUUUGGUAAAGAUAUAAAUUCUUCUGUGAGAACAUUGGGUUGAUACUUUGUUAGAGCUGCUUAUUGCUACUUGAUAUUCGCAAGUUUUGGCAACAAAUUGCUUUGUAGCUUGUCUGAAUUUCAUAGGUUUGCAUCCUGUAUGUGAUGGACAGUGUGAGAGAAUGCUUAAAGCUAUGAAGAGGUCUCUUUGUUAGUAAUUUUGUUUGCUUCGUCAUCGGGUGAUAGAGCUCAUAACUCCAUAGUAAGAGUCAGCCUAGGAGUGUUCCGGCCUUACCAAAACUUCAUGGGUUCCAGCCUAUUGCCUACUUGUGCAGAUCAAAUGGAGUUCAAUUUCUUCAAUUUUUAAAUGGAAAAAUGCCAUCUCUCAUAUUUGCCCGUCAAAUUGUGGUGUUCUUUUCAAUUCCCUGCAGGGGUUCUCUUUCAUUCUUAAUGUUUUUUUGAUGUUCUGUGCAGUGGUCAUGCUGCAACAAAGAAUGGCCUAGAGAAAGGUACGCUAACUUUGAGCCACAAGUUGUCUGUGUAAUUUGUGCCAGUUUGACUCUCUCUCUCUCUCUCUCUGUGCAUAUGUGCAUGGGUGUGUUUUGUGCAGUAGCUUCUGUAUGGAUACUUAUUUGUUAAGAGCUGUGUUCUUACAUGUUAAAUAUAUUUAUUCAGGUGGUGCACACAUGAUUGGUGAAGGAGAGUCAGGUUCCUUGCCAGAAGCUCUUGAUAAGAAAAAGAAGAAGAGAAGUGGCGAGAGCAAUGUUGAUGCUGCAAAUCAUCAUUCUCAGGAGAUGAAGAAUGGUGCAGUAGAUGAAAAUUUAAAAGGCAAAGAAAAGAAGAAAGGCAAAAAGGAUUCUGAUUUUUCCAGUAAAGACAGUAAAAUUGCGAGCUUGAAAGAGCUAGAAGAGUCUGCUACUGAUGUGACUUGUGGACUGCAGUCAGAUGAGAUUACUGUGAAGGGAAAGGAUAAAAGAAGUAAGAAAAAAGAACUGGUUUCUGAAUCUGUUGUUCCUCAAGAUUUAUCCUCUUUUGAGGGAAAUGACAUUGUUUCCUCCAAAGAUGUGAAGAAGUCUAAAAAAAAGAAAGAGAAAUCUAAGCAUAAAUCAGAUGAUGAGGAGCAAACAAAAGCAGAGAAUGCCAAUGGGGUAUCCUCUAAGGACGGUGAUACUAAGACUUCAGAUGAGGGCAUCAAAGUGAAAAAAGGUUCCAAGAAACGAAAAAGGCUUGAGUCCGAAGAGAAUGAAUGUAAACCUGUUGAUCAGGAUGCACUUGAUGAAUCCAAACGGAGAAAGAGUGGUGAUGUUAAGGAUGACAAGGUUGACAGGCAACUUGCAAAAUCAAAUGCAUCAGGAAACAGUAAAGGAGCUAACGACAUGGGAAGUAAUGGACAAAAUGGUCAGUGCAAUCUUACUGAGAAGACUCCUACUAAGCACUUCGAUGAUCCAGACAAUGUCAAAGGGAAUGAUGGAGAAGAAUCUGCUAAGAGCGAAAACAUGAAAAAGCAACGUAAUGGCUCUGCAGAGGUAUGAUCUGAGAUCUAAUGUUAUUAUUGCAUCCUGAUUUCUGUCUUAAGGUCAUUUCCAACUUCAUAGUGAUAUCCAUGUUAUUUACUCAUGCUAGAAUUGCUCUUCUGGAAAGUAUAUUUGUGGCAUGGCUGCCCUCAUUAGAAGUAUAUCCAGGAUAAAGUCCCUCUUCUUCCUUUUUUGUCUAUUCGUAUUUGAAAAUGUGUUUUAGUAUACCUUAACCAGUCAUAGAUUAAGGAGUUUUCAUAACCAAUGUAGCUGCAUGAUCUACCUAUGUGUGCAUUUUUCUUAGAGUUGAACCAUGCAUAAAAGUAUGUAUAGGCAUAAAAAACAUCUCCCAUGAUCUCUCUAUGUGUCCGUGCACAUGGUUUUAUGUAGCUUAAUAGAUAAUUCCUGUUGAAGCAUAUAUUGGGAGGGUGGUUUGCAGCACAGGCAGAUGAUUGAAUAAGAAUUUAAAUUUUCUUUUGCUAAAAUGCUUCCAGAUUGAAGCUUUGUAAGGUGGAGUCCAGUUUAACUAAAUUCUCCUACAUAUCAAGAUGAAUCUGUGAUCAAAUGAUAUCUCUAUUAACAUUUUUUCCAAUGCUGGGAAAAAGGUUGACUGAUGACCGAUCAAAUUCUCUAUCCAAAUAUAAGGAGAGUACUUACACAAUCAUGUUAAUAAUUUUGUAGUGUUUGGCCGACAAGUUGUUCCUUAAAAUUAUUGUCACUCUUUGUAAUACCUUGGGCAGAAGCACAUUAUAUGUUUGAUAUUGUCUCCAUGUUGGUCUGUGAAGCCUUCCAACUCAAUUAGUCUAGCUCAAAUGAAAUUCAGAUAAUGGAUUUUCAAUGAACACCAAGGGCUACUGUUGACCAAUAUGAAAACUACCUUUCCAAUUUAUAAAAGUGUAAAUCUUGAACAUUCUCUUUUUUUAUUGCACUAUAGCAUGAUAGAUUCAUAGAGCUGAUCCCACUCAGUGGACAAUGCUUGUUGUUUGGGUCUUUGAGGUAUUUGGGUCCUAGAAACAUUUUGAUUCUCCAAAUGUAUUUGAAUGUGGUUGGCCAGGGAAGCACGACUACAACCCUUGGUGAGUAUUCAUAUCUUUAAAUAUCUGUUUGUUAAUUGUGCUUUCUUAAUUAUAGGGGCUUAUGUUUUUUCCUUCUAGGACAAUAUUUUUGGAGGCUCAAGAGACUAUUUUUCCUUUGGUUCUUAAGCAUCCCCAUUUUGAAUUUGUAUAGAUGUAAUUUCUUGACUGAAAGACUUACUUAACCCUUCUCUAUGAAUAAAAUUCACUUAAUUGGUGUAUAUUUCAGCCUACAACAGCAAAGGCGUUCCAAAGGAUAAAAGUUGAUGAAGUGUUGUAUGCUGAUGAUAGACUUAAGGAUAAUUCCUAUUGGGCUAAGGUGAUUUUCUGUUUCAUUCUAUCAACCUAUUGUUGUUGUUGUUGUUGUUUUCUUUUAUUUUUUUGGGUUGAUAUCCUCUACUGCUUGUUGGACAUGGAAACUCGAUCUCUUAAUGUGUGCUAGUAUCUCAACCAUAUAUUAUAAUUCCCCAGGAUGGUGCAGAAACUGGCUAUGGUGCAAAAGCACAAGAAGUUCUUGGACAAGUUAGAGGAAGGUACGUCGCAAGUUGACUAAAGUGGUGCUAGUUUGCUACCUUCUCAACUUAGAUUAAAUCUCUGGAAGAAUAUCUCUUUAGUUAUUUUAGAUGAAGGCUGACUGAUCUUUCUCUUUUUCUUGAAUGAGGCAAACUUUUACAAGUGGAAAUUUUUCCCCUGCAGUGAUACAACUUAGUUGGAGAAGUAAAAGACGGUAAUUAAAUCAAGGGCUAGCUGAGUAUAAUCGAAACUGGAACCAGAAUUUGAUAUUCUAUAGUUUUGAGGAAAAUGUUUACUGGAAAGAUCAAUGACUUUGACUUAAGGACCUAUAUAUACUAAGAUUAAAACAUAGUACGAUUCAAUGCUCAACCUUUGAUCAGACAUAAAUGAUUGCUAAUGUUAGCCAUCCAAUUUCAUUAAAAGGUUCGAUGCCUAUCAAAUGACCAGCCUAGCAACAGAGAGAAGACUAAUUACAGAUAAAAUGCAUUUAGUAUUGUACAUAUAUCAUUAUGCAUGCAUCAGCUAAUUUUCAAGGACUAAUUGCCCUUACCUAAAGUACAGCUAGAAAUGCGUGGGUAUCAAGUCCUCUCCUGGCAUUGCCCUUAGUCUUUGUAGGGUUGGAUUUUGCUUCUCUUGUCGAAUCAUGGGGCCUGCUUGGUUUGUGGAAAAUUUUCAGAAUCUUUUUUUAGUUUCAUUUGAGAAGAAAAAGGCCCUGUGCAACAAAUUUGGUCAGAACAUGAAAAAUGAUCCAAAUGAGGAUGCUGAAAAACUGAAAAUUAUUUUUAUUGUUUACAAAGAUUUAAUCUCGUAUGAAAAACAUACUUCAAAUUGAGAGGGUGGGAAAGGGGGGAUUGGUACAGAGAGGCAGUUAUGCCCUAUUUCACGAUUUGUCUGUCAAGCUUCACCCAAGUGGACCCUGUUCGGAUGAAAAUCCGAGAUGAGUUAUAGUUUAUGACAAAGACCUGUCUAGUAAAUACAAAUUCUUUUGUCAAGUUGGAAUUUUUCUUAUUUUUUGGGGGGGAGCUUCCCCCAAGUUGACCCUGUUUGAAUGAAAACCGAGACGAGUUAUAGUUGCUGAGAAAUUCCUGUCUAGUAAUUAUAAGUUCUUUUGUCAAGUUAGAUGGAUGGUGCUUCCUCAUUUUGGAGCACAAUCAUAGAUGAGCCAAACAUAUAACCUAAACCAACUGUAUAAGAACAGUUAAAGCUGAAUGAUUGGAUUUCCUUGUAUUAUAUCUUAGUAAGUGAGCUUAGCAAUUAUAGCAACUUACUAUAGACUUUUUCUAGCCAAAAAAAAAAAAAAAAACUUACUAUAGACUUUAGCAAUUCCUUCGUCUGAGAUUCUCUCUCUCUGGCAGGGAUUUUCGGCAUGAAAAGACAAAGAAGAAGCGCGGAAGUUACAGAGGAGGACAGAUUGAUCUGCAAUCUCACUCGGUGAAGUUUAAUUAUUCUGAUGACGAGUAAACAAAGAGUUUUCGGUUGAAUUUAUAGAGGCCUAAUUGAUUUUGAGAUCCUGCUGGGGAAAUGAAAGUUUACGAGGAUCAGCAAACCGAGGAGUUUCUCUGUGGACGGCAGGAUUCUUCUGCGUUUUGGGUUAAUAUCCGAUCAGCAGAAUAAUCAUUUUUGUUGUGUUCUAUUCUUGGCCUUAGUGGACUACUGUACUGAUUUUUCUUUUUCUUUUUUGACACAAAUGCUUCAUCAGAUGGUUGUAAUGUACCCGGACGUGUAUGCAUUCAAUAGUAUUCACCGCAGCCUGCUUCUUCGUCUUUUUUGUUCUUUUCUCUUGGGAAACGCUCUUUUUUGUUCCGUUUAAUCCUUGUAUGGUCAAAUACAUCCCUGAAGGAUCAGGAUAGGCACGAGGUCGGUCUCGGUACGAUCGUGCCCCAGGCUAGAUCGAGGCCCGGACACUGUCAAAGGCCCCCACCGUCUCGACAUUGGAUCAGAAGAACACGUCAUCCUUUGUUGUAAAGCUGACCAGGCUGUCCUUGGGAGGUUGGGGAAGGCUAGUGAAAGUCUUGGUCUUUCCUUCCUUGUGAAGCAAAGCUGCUGAAGUUUUCCCCAAGGCAAGGAGGGGACCCGCCUGGUUCUAUCGCGGACCCUGCAAAGCCUUUAAUUCUGGGCAUCGAUUUUUGCUGCCCCCACAGACCCAAUUUCCACCAAGGGAGUUUAAUCUAAAGCCCGUUUGUCAAAGAGGCUUCGUUUUGCAAACCUUAUUGUCUCGAUGACUCCCUGUUGUGGUUGGUGGGUAACUGUAAUCUGGCUUAGAGGCAGCUGGAUCUUUCCUGAAGUAGCUGCACCUCUAUGGACGGUGUUCUGCAACGACACUUGCCUCCGGCUCCGAUGUCUCUGAGUAUCUCGGCAAGGUAAGCCCUUGUUGAGAGUUCGCCAAGAGUAUGAUUCGGCCUUAAAAUCAUUUGACACCAACAUUAGGAGAAGGCAUAAAAAUCUAGUCAUAGCAAUUAAUCUUGAAAGGGUACAGUGGACUCGUAGCAGCAUAAAGCCAUUCCAAUUGCUGGUUUAAUGUUGUAAUAUUAACGCUGAAAUGACAGGAUCUUACAAAUUAAGUCUAUAUAAAAAUAUCAGAGGAAUAAACGAGGAAUAAUAGGACACUAGAGAUUUACAUAGUUCGGUUUAACUAUCAGUACUUACACUCACGAGAAGAGUUAGCAGUAAAUAAUCCAUUAUAAUUCAGAGACUCAGAGUUACAAUUGCUUACACGCUCGAAUGUUUUUCAUACUUAAAUUUAAACCCAAAUACAAAAUAUUUACAAAUAAAGAUGUAAAUUCACAGCACAAAAUUACUGAUGUUCAGCCCAAGUAAAAACUUAUCAAGAAUAUCCCGUGCUCUUGAAUUUUUUCCCCUUUUUCAUACAUAGCUCUCGUUUUGCCAAAGGCUUCACUUUGCAGUGUGUGUCAGCUAUAUGUGAAUAGACAGGGACCGACAAGGAAUCCUUUCAUUUCUUUUAUACAGCUUUUGUCGGAGAUUUUCUUGACAAAAGAUCUCCCUACUCCUUAGUGCUAGUAUCACCAUCUCAUGGUGUGACAGUCUAAAAGAUGUCCACAAAAAUUUCCUGUUCUCAAACACAUGCACUAGGAAGUUUCCAGGCAAGACACUACUCUCCUUCUCUCUCAUCCAAAAUGUGUUGCUGAGGAUUGACCGUCAUUUUUCCAAGCUAACAAUACAGUUUAAUAAGCAUUCUUCUUUUUUCUUUUAUCGAAAAACCUUUUCCAAGACAAACUUGGAUUCAUACAUGUAACAUUGCCUUCCUGGAUAAUUAUGAAAUCAAAUCUGAUUUGGAUAGGUGCAAUACUAGAUUUUGAACAAAUUAAAAUCUUCUAGCGAAUUGGAUUCCGUAAAGAGCUAAAACUCGAGACAUUAAUUUAACAAUUUUCCAUAUUGGCUUGAUGUUUGAGGCCAAGUCAUAGUGCUCAUCAUCCAUGUUGCUUUGCCAACGUCCCCACAUGUGCUCAUACUCCACAUACAUCAAUUGUGUUCAAGCAAAGCUUGAGUUUCGCCAAAGGAAUAGGCUUUUACUUGGUUCUUUGUAGGAUUAAUCUUUUUCACAAUAAUGUUAUCAUGUUAAAACAUCUUGGAUGAAUCGAUACCCAAUAUUGAUAUCUUUCGUUCGCUUAUGAUAAACUGGAUUAUACGAGUGUAUAUCAACACUUUUCUAAUCUAAUUCAAAGUCUGAGAACAAAUUUUGUAACCAUAUUGUCUCAUUUGCUACAAAGGUUACUAUAUACUAUGUCUUAGUUGAAGACAAGCAAACAUGAUUCUGUAAGGAUGCUUUCCAAUUAGUUGCAUCAUCUACUAGUGUAAACCUGUACCCUAUUAAAGACUUGCAAUUAUCCCAAGUCAUCGGCAUGAUUUGAAUUCACAGAACUAGUGGUUUCGCUGUCAUUGUUGUCCCUCCGAUACAUUAUACCUACAUUUGUUAUCCCCUUAAAAAUUUGAGGAUCUACUUCCAUCCCAAUGAACUUUAUUAAGACGCUUGAGCUUUACCAGGAUACUUUAUAUAAUGACUAACUACACUCACAACUUGUGAAAUAUCAAGUUUAGCACAUACUGUAGCAUACAUAAUAUUAUCCAUGACACUACAAUAAGGAACACAAGACAUGUUGCUCAUCCUCCACAAUCUGCGGUGAUUUAUUUGAAAAUUUAAAAUGUUUUCCUAAAGGUAUAUUUACAGAUUUCGCUAAUUGUAUAUUAAAAUGUGCCAUAAUUUUCUUAAUAUAUUUCUUUUGAGAUAGACAUGAAAGUCAUGUAAUUUUGUUAUGCAAAACCUCCAUACCCAAUAUUUUUUUUUGUAACACAUAAGUUUUUCAUCUCAAACUUAACAUUCAAUUGCCUAUUCAAUACAUCAAAUCAAACAUAUUCUUAAUUGCUCUCAACGUCAUCAACAUAUAUAAGAAUAGAUAAAUCAAAGAACCAUCCUCUAAUAUUCUAAAGUAAAUAUUGUUAUCCAUCUGACUUUUCGAAUAGUCUUGACGAGUCAUUAAAACAUCAAAACGUUUAUAUUAUUACCUAGGAGACUGUUUUAGCCCAUAUAAAGAUUUCUUUAGCAAGCAAACAUGAUCUUUCUUAUUUGGAAUAGCAAAUUUCUCUAGCUACCUCAUAUAAAUUUACUCCUCCAACUCACUAUGCAAAAACGCCGUUUUCACAUGUAGCUACUCUAGCUUGAGAUCCUAUAUAGCAAUUUAGGCAAGUAAAACAAGAAUCAAAGUAUAUCUUAUCACAAAAGUGAACAAUUCAUUGUUAUCAAUGCCCUCUUGCUAAAUAUACCCCUUCACCAUAAGUCUCGCCUUAUAUCUUGCUGUCUCAACAUUGGGAAUGCCUCCUUUUGUUUGAAGACCUAUUUAAUUCCUACAAUCUUUUGACCAUUGGGUACUCUGACCAACUCCUAUGUUUGAUCCCAAUUGAAUAACUCAAUCUCUUCACUCAUAACUUUUAACCACUGUGAUAACUCACUAUUACCCAUUGCAUUAGUGUAAAACGAAGGUUCAUCUGUCUCCACCUUGUCACAUAUAAUCAAUGCAUAAGCAAUAUCUAUAUAACCAUAAUGCACAUGUAAUUUAAUUUGUCUUCUUUAUCUUUCUGCGACUAUAGUGUGCUACAACUACGCUAGUUGUUCAUAAUCACUGACUUCAGGAAUUAUGGCCUUAUCUAUAGUCUCUACUUGUGUUACCUCCAAGGUCUUUGGAGUCUCCACUUGAAGCUCCAUUUUACUAAUGAUACUGUGAUUUAUUUUUAUGCUAGUUGUGUCUCAGAACUCAGCUACUAAAGCAUUACAAUCUCAUCGAAGAUCACAUGUUUACUAAUUACAAAACCAGGUGAUCUAGAUCAACCCACCACAACUGGUAGGCUUUCACCCCAUGUGCAUAACCGAGAAAUAAUCACUUCUUUGCCCUCGACUCAAGCUUACCAUUAUUUAUAUAAGCAUAUGUUAGACAUUCAAAUAUUCGUAAUACGGAGUAAUCAAUAAAUUUCUCCAACCAAACUUCCUCAGGAGUCUUCCACUCGAUAGUAGAUAAUGGAGAUCGAUUAAUUAGGUAACAUGCCAUUAUCAUUGUUUCGGCCCAAAAUUUCUUACUUAAUCCUGCAUAUAAAGGCAUGCAUUGAGCUCGCUCAAAUAAAGUUCCGUUCUUCCAUUCUAUUAUGUCAUUCGGCUGUGGUGUCUCAAGUAGUAUGCGGUGUCUCACAAUCCCCCUUUUUUCUCUCAUUGAACUUAGUAAAAUCUUUACCACAAAAAUUCAUGCCAUAUUGAUUCUCAAGAACUUGGUAUGUUUAUCUAACUACUUCACUAUCAAUGCCUUAAGUUUCUUGAACUGAUUGAACACAUUAUAUUUGUGUUUCAGAAAGUAUACAUAUGCUUUCCUCGAAUAGUCGUCAAUAAAUGUCAGCAUAUAUUGGAUACCUCAUUUCAAAGGAAUCGGAGACAAGCCCUAAACAUCUAAAUGAAUGUAUUCAACUGGUCGCUUGGUUGAGUAAGUGUAGUAAACUUAAUUAGGCAUUGCUUCCCAUAGAUGUAGUGCUCACAUAAGUUUAGUUUCCUCGUCUUCAGACCUUUCAACAACCCCCUCUCACUUAGUAUUGUCCUACUUGCCUCACUUAUGUUCCCUAAGAGCAUAUGUCAUAAUUGAAUCAAGUUUAAGUUUGACUUACUUGAUGAAACUGUAGCAAUUCUAGUCACGGUCUCUCCCGAUAAAUGAUAGAGAGCAUUCACUUUCUUCCAUUCAUCACUAUUAUAGCAUCUUGAGAGAUUUUAUAUACUACACCUUCAACUGUGUACCUACAACCAAUUUCAUCGAGUAUCCCCAAAGAAAAAAGGUUCUUCUUGAGCUUCAGUAUAUGCCUCAUGUCUAUCAAUGUACGCACCAACCUAGUGUGCAUCCAAAUCUGAUUUGUCCCUAUCCCAUUGUCCCUAUCCCCACAACCUUGCAAGUUAUGUUAUUUCCCAAAAGAAUUAUAUAUCUCUAUAUAUAGUCUAGUAAGUAGUAAAUCAAUUCUUACAAGGCGUCAUAUAAUAAGAACAUCUCGAAUCUAGCAUCCAUUCAUCUUUUAACAAACUAGUAGUUACACAUAAAAAAAGCUUCUGCAUUAUUAGUGCUUUACUCAAUAACAUUCGUCACUAUGCUUGUGGCAUUUUACCUAUCAUCUUUAUUCUCUACUUUGGAUAAUCCCUCCUAAUAUGCAUUUCCUCAUGCACUCGAAACACUUCACACAUCCCUUGGACUUUCUAUAGCGUGAUUUCAACCUGUUUUUACCUCUGCUGCUACUAAGUCCUCGAUAUUGAUCUCUAUCCUAAGUAGUUUGCACAACCCCUUGUACUAGACUGUCAUCUUACAAUUUUCUCUGCCACUCCUUAGAGAAUAAAGAGGACUUUAUCUCUUCUAAGAUUAUCGUAGUAUGCCCCUUUAACAAUAAAUCAGUAAAAUGCUCUCAUAACUCUAAUAAAGAAGCUAACAACAUCAUGCGUCAUUCUUCAUCAUCAAGUAUCUUAAUGACGUUUUUCAAAUCCAUCACGAGUUUAUUGAAUUCAUGUAGAUGGGAUUUGAUAGACAUACCUUCAAUACAUCUAAAUGGAAACAUCCUCUUCAACAUGGACAGGUGAUUCCUCAAAUCUUUUGUUGCAUAAAGCGCCCGAAGUUUUGCUCAUAAUGUUGUGACAUCCUUCUCCUCAGACACUUCUAUUAACACCUAAUCUAACAAAUUUAAUAGGAUUGUGCGCUUUGCUCUUUCCAUUAACUCUACCCUAUGAGAGGCUUUUAUCACAAUUGACAACUCAUCUUCACUAUCUAGUGCCUUGGCCAAAUCUUAAGUUGUCAAUAGUGCAUUAGCGCAUGCAUUUGAUGCUUCAUAACCUAAAGUUAUUCCUUCCGUUAAACUUAUCAAUUUUAGCUUUUACCUCAACUAUAAUUGCAAUAUCAGACAAGUAAAAGCCCCAAAUUACAAUCAAGAAAUUUGAUCCAAAGCUCAAAUACCAAUUGUCGUAAUAUUAACGUGGAAGCGACUUGCAAAUUAGGUUAAUGCGAAAAUUCCAAAGAAAUAAAUGAGGAAUAAUAGGACAUCAGAUAUGUACGUGGUUCAAUCAGAAUAUUGGUACAUAUAUCCAUGAGGAGAGUCAACAUUAAAUAAUUUACUAUAAUUUGAGAAUUAGAGUUAUAAUCGCUUACGUGCUCAAAUGUUUCAUCCACCUAGAUUUAAGCCCAAACCCAAAAUAUUUAUAAAUAAAUAUGUAAACUCAUAGCAUAAAAUCAUCGGUGUUUAACCCAAGUAAAAGCUUUUCUUGUAUGGUCGAAAAUCAAGAAUGUUGCGCAUUCUUGAAUAUUUUCCUUCUUUGUACGCAGCUCAUGUUUUCCGAUGGCUUCAUUAUAAGUGCUUCUCGGCUCGUGUGGGUCUUCACUAGGUUUCUCGGCUAUAUGUGAAAAGAGAAUCAUUUCCUUUCUUUUAUGCGGCUUCUACAGGAGAGAGAGUAGUAACCUCCUUUCUUGACAGAAGACCUCCUCGCCCUUUAUUUUGUCUUUUAGUACAAAACCAUUUUCCAAGUCAAACUUGGAUUUGUACAUGUAACAUUGCACUCCUUGAUAAUUACGAAAUCAAAUAUGAUUUAAAUAGGUGCAAUACUAGAUUUUGAACAAAUUAAAAUCUAAGCGAAUUGGAUUCCAUAAAUGGUUGAAACUUGAGCCAUUAAUUUAAUAGUUAGCUUGUAGCAUGCUCAUUUUGAAUUGAGGCUAUAAAACGUCCUAAAGAACCUUUGAAAUGGCAACUCUCCUCUUUUUUCCAAGUAAAUGAAGUGGAAAUUUCCUCUAAGCCAUGCACCUUCAACUCUUUAGGCUUUGUCGGUUCAAGUUUCCCUUUAAUAGUCGAUCAACUUAGUCAAACGUCAGAAGCUAAUUGAAAAUCCAAUCUAAAAUGGCUGCCUUUAUCUUUGUGUUUACCAUGCAGUGCACUAGCACAAGACUCCAUUCAUCUUAGGAAUUUGCAUGACAUAUAGGACUUUUUUUGUUUCACAAAAAGUAACUACUAGGAAAAUGUUUUCUGGAUUUUUAGGCGUUUAUUUUAUGGAAAAUGAAUUGCUGGAGGAAAACAUUUUUCAUGAAGGGAAAAAAGUCUACUAAACUAGAGGAAAAUGUUUCUAACUUUUGAAAAGUUGAAAAUUUUUCCUUAAUUGAUCUUUCUUAUCUCACAUCUCUAUAAGCCAUCAUUUCCUCCUCCCACUCCUCAUCCUCCUUCUUGUUUUUAAAUAUAUUUUUUAAAUUUGAAUUACUUUUUUUUUCUUUUCUUUUUUCCUUUUAUUUUCUUUGUUUUUCCUCUUCUUCUUUUUUGUCUGGUUGCUGGUUAUGACAGCUGUCGGUGACCGGCCACAAGCAAGCCUCAAGCUCGCUGACGAGCACAAGGUCGCUCGCUAGAUUGGCAAGCGUGAGCGUCGAGCUCGAGACUUACCAAUUUGGCAAGGCUUGAGGCUCUCCAAAUGGGUGAGCUCCGAGCUCGCUGGCCUCAAGGUCGACGCUCGCACUUGCCAAUCUAGCGAGUAGAGCUUGAGGUCGUAAGAGGUGGGCAAGCCUCAUGCUCGCCAAAGAACUCAAGGCUUGCUUGUGAUUGGCAAUCGGCCAAGAAAAAGAAGAGGGAAACAAAGAAAAGAAAAAUAUAAUUUUAUAAUUGAUUUUAUAAAUUGCACUUUAGACCAAACUUGGAAGCAAAUAAUAGGGUUUAACUUCAUUUUUGCUCCUUCAACUUUGUCAUAAACUUUACAUUUGUCCCCAAACUUCAUUUUUUGACAUUCUUACAUUUUAAUUUAAAUUAUCAUUGCUAUGUUAUUUCAAGAGUAUGAAUUCAUGAAGUACAUUACUAUCAAGGCAUUUGAUAAAAUUUAUCCAUAUGAAUUCACUUGAUUUUGUAAAUGGAAAUAAUAGGAUAGCAAGAAAGAGUACAGUUAUUAUUAUUUUCUGAAGUCAUCUUGUCACAUAAUAUUGGAUCCCAUAAAAUGUAUAGAUAGUGAUAUAUAUUAUGUAUUGUGAUGGAUUUAAUUCACCAUAACAAUAGGAAAAAUUCAAGGUAAAGGCCCAAAGCGAGGUCGCUUUUUCAAAAAAGAUUUUAUAUAAAUAUUGCUUCAAAUAAGAAAUUGAAGUGACAAAUUAGUCUCUGGGAAGACUUCAAAGCUCACUGGCAUGUACAAAUCUUUUUCUUUAUUCUUUAUUUUCUUUUUCUUUUUUCUUUUCUCUCCUUUUUUAUUUAUUUUGUUUUCUUUCUCUCUCUCUCUCUCUUUUUAUCUUCCUUCUCGUGCCUGGUCCUUCGCUCUGCAUCAGCUCCCUCUUGGGCACCAUCGUUCCAUCGUUCACCGUCGAUCGCCUUCUUCGACGAUGAAAUCCUCUUCGCACAUGACUUCAGUAUCGGCUUCUUAAUAUCGACAGGAAAGUCCCGCGAUGACGAACUUGAGAAUCAUUGUCGAUGGGUUGGAAGGAACUUCACUUUCCGACAUCACCUCAAUUCAAGGAAAUUAAGGGUCGAAAUUGCUCCGACUCCUCGCAUAAAUUGAUACUUUUAGCUCUCUUAACUUCUGAAAACCCGAGAAAUCACUGAGGCUGUCCUUUAGUCCCUAAGUCACAGCUCAGGACGCUGCUCUACCAGCAGUCCCAGGCAGCGUCCUGAGGAUUUCGUCGUCGUCGGGGGUGACCGGCGGCGCAUCUUCAACCCGGCCCCUCGUCGCUGAGAUCGGCGAGAGCCUGCGCGAGAACUCGAAUCUCAGGAGCUCGCUGGUGGGGAGGUCGAUGAUGGAAUCCAGCGGAGCACCAUACGUGAAGAAGACGAAGGAAAAAGAAGAUGAGAGAAAUAGGAAAAAAAAAAUGAAAAUCAAAGAAAAAAAAAAAAAAAAAAGGCUCUUGACCAAAAUGUGCCUGACUGCAAAUAAGAUUUCAUCGUUGACUACUUUAAUCCUUAUUUAAGACAAUAACCAUCUCAUACCAUUUAAGAAAAUGUCUUUAUCUCAUGUUCUCAUUUGAAAAUUACCUCAUAAUUCAAUAUGGUCUUUGAAUAUUAUGUAUUUAAUUUAAUAUAUUCACUUUUAGGCAUUUAUGCGUAUUUCAAAUAUGAGGUCAUGCAUCUUAAGCACUAGUGACAACUUAUAAUGGGAGAGUGAGGCCAGCACUGAGGUCCUUGACACUAGUAGUAGUGGGACUACAUCAACAACGAUUGCGAUUGUGAUGACCAACAUCGAGUGAAUUUUGAAGAGCUAGCGAUUCCAUUAACCUCCACGAAAAACCAAUAUGCAUGCGUAGUUUCCCUCGACGUCUCAGCUCUUCUUGGCUCUAUCGAGGAUUCCCUUUGAUUCUCUUGUCAUUAGACUCGCCUACCCAAAAAAAAGAAGAAAAAAAACAGAGGGCAAAAAAGCAAAAAAAGAAGGGAAAAAAAAAAAAAAGGCAAAGACUAGGAUCGUUAUUUCCAAAGUUGAAUCUUAAUUAGUCUUGCGUGUUUCGUGGGGUCAAGAUGAAGAUUUCCGGGAAGUUUCGGUAUCAUAAUGGGCCUUUCUUAAUAUAAAAACUGAUGCGUAAAGGUCGGGUGACGCAGCUGCCAGGAAAUUGCCCAGAACCUUCAGUAUUUAUGUCACCUCCGUAGCUGCCCUCUCGACUCCAUCUCAUGCUCUGCCUCAUCCCAUUCAAUCUUGAAGCCCUCCUCCGCCUUUCCUUUGCUCCGGAAGAGUCUCCUGGGAGUCAUUCACCCUGCCUUUUCUUCUGUCCCUCUCUCUACUUUUUGCGACACGUGGCGUUUGCAUGUUCCUGCUCCGGCAAAGGGACUCCAGUGCACUUAUCCUGCGGUAAGGUAAGCAGCAAUUUUUCUCUCAUUUGAUGUCGGUGGGGGAUUCAUGUUAUCGGAUCUUGAUUUGAAGUAAUGUAUUCUUAAAAGCAAUUAUGUCUCAUCAAUUUCUAUGGAUUUUGUUCUAGUUGAACUUACAAAAAAUUUCGACCAGAAUAGAAAGAACUUAUCAACAGAUGAAAAUGGCGAUGAGAUGUAAACAACCCGUAAAAUAUAACCGAAAAAUAUUUUGAUCCUGCGUUGAUUUACAACAAGUCGAAAUCAAUCAUUUCAUUUUCCAUCGUCCAAGUCAUAAUAUUCAAACAUUUUGAAACUUUUAAUGGCUAUCAAUUGUCUUUUGGGUCAACUUCAGUGUCACAUUUGCUUUUACAUCUUCUUCCUUUCACACUUUUUCUUUUCUUUUAGACUGAAAAGCCAAAGGUAUAUCUCAAACUCUAACAAUUUCACCAUGGAUCAUAAAUGACCUUAGCAAGUGAUUUUACUACGGUUCUACCAACAUCUGAUUUUAAUACGAGGUCCAAUUGUAUAGUGAUUAAGUUUAAAAUCAUAAAAUGACAUGAUUUUAUUAUGAAUUAAAAAUCAAUUUUAACAGCGUGAAGGUAAGAAUCUCACUAUUAUUAACUUAUUGAGUCUCGAUCAUGCUUAAAUCAUUAUAAUAUAUGAAUUGAUUCCUACACUAAAUUUUUUAUAAGAUACCUCUAUUCUUUCAAUGGCAUAAGGACACCGAAAGUCAUAAAACUUAUUAAAGUGUAAUAGAGUUCUAAAACUUUGAGAUAGUAUAAUCAAGUUAUAAAACUUAUCAAAUUGAUAUAAUGAUGUUUCUUUGUUAAUUUCACAUGAUAUGCCUAACGAAAAUAAUUAACGAGCCUUUUUUAUCGUCUUCUAUUUCCUAAGUGGUUGUUAAUGUUAAUUCAAGUGUGAACCAAUGCCAAAAAAAUAAAAAUAAAAUGAAAAGGACAAAACAAGGGGCCCCAUCCCUACCUUUAUUAGUAAGGGCCAACCCUCCUUACUAGGGUCCCUAGUACUAGCAAGGGUCGGUGACCCUUCCCCAGUGACUGAUAAGGACCUAUGGACCCUCUCCUAGAUCGAGGUGAGAGCUUAAAGGCCCUCCCUUGUCGCACUAUGGUGGGGAUGGUGGCGCCAACAUUGUGUGAUGUAGAUGAGGACUUCCAAUCCCUAGCCUGCAACUAGCCCUUGCCUACUUGUCGACCCUUGUAGAAACCUCAACAACCAUUGCCAGCCCUCAUCGACACCCCAUUGAAGAUUGUUUAGCCUUGCCAAUAGGUUAAAAUAGCCUAAUGAUUUUGCCUCUCUCUCUCUCUCUCUCUCUCUCUCUCUAAAUUAGCCUUGUUAUUUUUUUAAUCCUUAUCAUUUAUUUCCUUUUGCUUUUUUUCCCCUUUUUCUUUUUCAUUUUUAAAUCUUCAAUUUGUUCUGAAAUAUCUCGAUAGAGGCCAUAUCAGUACCACAUAUCUUUAAAAGGUCACAUCAAUUUUUUUUAUUAAACAUAUUGAAAAGAGAUAAUGGAGAGACUUAAUUGUAUCAAUUUGAAAGUUUAAAAUUUGAUUGCAAUAUCUGAAAAUUUUAGAACUUGAUUUGAUUUUCUCGACAAAUUGUAAGACCUGAAGUGCACUAAUCUCCUUUUGCAAUUGAUAACAAAAGGUCAUUAUGCUCAGUUUCCAUCCUUUUAUCUUCGAAUAAAUCAUAAUCAUCACUUUUAGCUUAAAGUAUGCAUCUUGUCGAUUGUUAAGCGAGAUUAAAAUACAUUAACGGAGUAUUAUACAAUUUGGUGGGUUUAAAACAUAAAUUCUGGUCAAAUUAGGUUGUGAUUAUCCCGUAAGAUAUUGAUAAAAUAAGACAAGAAAAUAAUGGGCACCGGAGUCUCUCUUUUCAAUUCUUGAGUGUAUGGAGUUAUAUAAGGUCGUACAUGACGUUAUUUUAAAAGUGGUCCAAAAUAAUUGAGGUUAAGACAUAAUUUACUCUAAUUCGUUUUUGGAUAGACACCUUUUCUUUUAUCCUCAAGAAAAGGCAAAAUAACUACUCAAGUGUUUUAACCAUAUCUUUUACCAUUCUAUGGAUUAUUUCAUGGAUACUAAAAUUUUAAAUGGACUUGAAGGUUCCUUGACUGCGCAUGAAACAUAAAUGGUUCAAUUACGACUUUAAUCAUCUAGCUUCGUUUCGUGAUCGUGAUAUUGCCCUCUCAUUUUUGUUUUUCCAACGAGCACUCCAUUUUUUCAAUGCAUAGAAUCAAAGUCCUUUCAUCAACUAGAAUUAUUAAUAUUAUCAAAGCACAGACGGGAUGUGUUGAAUCGGCUAUAUCAGAGCCAAUUAGGUGUUCCGUUAUAAUGUAGCAAAACUGAAAUACGCAUAGGGUAGUGCCCUUGCUCACCACCAAUGUUAAUGGUGGAAAGGAGAGAGCGAAAAUUCUCUUGAUCUCUUUCCCUCAAAAAAAAUAAAAAAUCAGCUACAUGAACUCUACAUAUGAAUACUCUGGCCACAUCAACAAGUGAGUGUGGUGGUUAAUAGAGUGAUUUCAUUGAACGAAUUGAGAAAUUUAGAUGACUUCAAAAGAGUUAACAGAACUAUAUCUAAAACUUUUCAAAAUAGUUGAAACAUAAAAUUCUCACUCUCAAAUUAGUAAUGGACAUAAAACUAAUCUCAUAUGAUUGGCAUAAUUGCUGGGGGCAUUAGAAAAUUCUCAGCUCGGUAAUAGGAGAUCAUCCAUUCAAACAAAUCUCUUAAUCAGGGUCACUAGCAUUGACCAAGAGUUUGGUGUUAAGCCAGUUCAGGCGCUUAUAGAGUGUUCGAAGGACUUUCAAGUGGUCACGUCUCUAUACCUUGCUGUGAACUAUAAAAUAAAUGGGCAUUAAAUCUGAAUAAAGUAGUCUCCAUGCACCUAAUUUAUGUUUUCAUGCGAAAGUUUAUGCAUAUAUUUUUCAGAUUGUUUUUCAAUACAUUACCUUGUGAGGUAAAUGAAAACAUUAUUCAAAUUAGGACCAUAAGUUUGAACUUUUCGAGACAUUGAUUCAUACGAUUGAUUUUUAUAUGAUUUACCAUUAGUUUGACUCUAUUGGAGUAGGCAUAGCAAUUUGAUUUGUCCACAUUUAGAACUGCACCACCUAAUCCUCAAAUAAAAUGAAAACUAAAUUUUAGUCACUCUAUAAAAAAAAAAAAUGUAUGGAAAUAGUAGGAAAAUCAAAUUCCAAUCAAUUUGAAGGAGAAAAGGCAAUGAGUGGGGAAGAGGUGCCGUGUUGUGAAUCUCAAUCGGUGAAGUCUUUGGGAGGAUGGACUUGUGAUGAAAACUGAGUAGUUAUGAUACAAUAUUAAAGGGAAAUUGUGUGAUUUAAGGAAUUUUUAAAUUCUAACUGGGAUUAGCUUUAUAGUCAAAGUAUAAUUUACACAUUGAAUGGUUUAAAAUGAUGGAAAAAUAAGGAAAAAUGGAUUAUAAUAUGCUGAACAUUCGAUGAGAUCCUAAAUGUAGCUCCAGAGGUUGUUUCUAAUUAAUUGUGAAUGAUUGUCUUCUAUAUAUUAUUUAUUUUCUUUGUGAGAUAUACAAUUCACCAUGUGCACUAAUGGGGUAGAGAAUUUUCUUUUCUUUAAAAGUAGGAAUCCCUCUUUACUUUGUUGUUUGAAUUUGGUAUAGAUAAGCAUUUUUCAUAAAGAUACUUGGGGAAUAUACGAGGAACAAAUACUCUGUAACUAAAGAGAAUAGUAGCCGAAAGCUUUUAUGAGAGAAAGGAUAGAGUUUGGUAGCCGAAAAUUUUUAUGAGAAAAAGGAUAAAUGUGGUGAUUUUUACUCAUACUUAUCAAACUAAUAUAUAUAUAUAUAUAUAUAUAUAUAUAUAUAUUAACUGGACAUACGAAAAAUUCACUUUAAGUUUUAUGCAUCUCUCUCACUAGAUCAAGAAUGAGGUCUUAAAAAUUCACUUAAGUUUCUCUCUUCUCUAAUCUCAGAGUUUGUGGGUAGGUAUGAUCCAUCAUUUGCCAAAUGACUGAGACCGUCCUCUUAGCGAGACCCUUUACCAGACUUCUCAUAACUAUAGCACCAAGCGGUUAUAGUACCUUUAAAUUGUUGCAAAUCUUAAGAUUUUGUUUGUUUCGCGGAAAAUAGAUGAUUUAAUUUUUUUAUAAAUAUAAUCGCUUUAAUUAAUUGAAAUUAUUAGUCAAUAGAAAAUAUUUUUAUCAUUGACAUCAAUUUAUGCUUAAUUAUUAUUGUGGAUAAUAAAAAUAUUUUACAUUCAUUCAAUUUUAUAAGCAGCACAAGCAAUCAUUUUUAGGAAAAUAUUCUCCAAAUGAUUCAUUUUACAUCAAACAUACAGAACCCAAAACAUAUAUUACCAAAUUUAUGAUACUUACAACAAAGCUGCAUUGUUAUCUCUUGCUAGGUAUGAUAAUUAAUACGAGUUCAAUCAAUAACGAAUUUGGAUAUCUUCAAGUCUUCAUUCGACUAAUGUAUAAAAGAUCAUGACUCUGUUUUUUUCGUGAUCCUAAAGUGUUAAUUUAAGUAAAAUAACUUAUUGAAUUGAGAGGAUCAAAAUCCUUUAACAUCGAAAAGAGGUUGAAAGUCAACAUUGACGAAAUGUUUAUGCCUAUGCUCGACACUUGAAUCGUGUUGGAUUGCCACAUGCCAAACAUAGUCCACAUUUGAAUGUUUUGUAAAAUUACAGAUCACCUUUAAUAAAUUAAAAGUCUCUAAUUUUCUAUAAAGGUUGCAAAUGAAAUUUGUUCUUAAAGUUCAUAAAGGAAUACAUGUAGUACUAGACAAAGAGCACACAAGCUAAGUGUGAUUAACAAAAAUGAAAAAAAAAAAGCAAAUAAAGAAUAAAAUAGUGUGGAAAAGUUUUCACCUGUUGUUUGAAUAUAAUUGUUAUUAUCAUUAAAAAAAGAAGAAGAGAUCUAUGGAUUUGGUUUUUUUUUUUUUAAUUCAAAAUUUGAAGGGUAAUGCUAAAAUACAUGUUUCUAUGCUUGUUAUGAAUCGAUGUCUAUAAAUCUAAGUUUUUCAUUGGACAAUCUAAUAUGAUAUCAUAGUUAAAUUCUACCCAGUUUACUUCAUGCGUGGAGACCACCGUUCGUCAAACAUCACGUUCAUCUCUAAUUUGGCUUUCACAUGAGAGAAGGCGUUUAAUUCCACGAGUCCUUCCCAAUUCGCCAAAUUCCAUCUCCUUACUUAUACUUUUGAAUUGGACUUUCUAACCGAUAAGAGAUUCAUUGAUUAUUUGCCAACUUGGCUUUUGUUCAUCUAUGGUCACAUAUGAUUGUAGUGGCCAUUGGAUUUGCUUAAUAUAUAGUUUACAUAAUGCAAACCGUGUUUAAUUCUCACCAAGAAAAAAAGUGCAGCUAAGUUUAAGAUCAUACACGUCACUGAAGCUGUGGGUUGUCAAUAAAUGAACCACUUAUUGGGCAAAUAUUUUAAUUGACAUUUAUGCUAAUAUGAUGACCAAGGAUAGUGUUGAAAGUUCCAAGCCAACCAGAUGCCAUGGCAAGUAUGCAUCCCAACCUCUUUUUGUUGAAUUUACAUAUUUUAUCUUAGGGCGUGUCAUAGCUUAUUUUUGCUGGAUUAUGAAUAACAAAUGCUUAAUGAAAAGAAAGACAAAAAGCACAAUUAACCUAUUAAAAGCCUUAUUCUAAUGUGAGAUUCAAGUUCAAUCACAUCAUUGAUAAGAAAAAAUUUGACAUUAUCUUUAUUUUUAUUAUCUCCUUCUUUUCUAACCAGCAUCAUUGGGACUUUUCACUUACCCUAAUUUUUAUUUAUACGUGAAAACUGUACGAUCCACAUACAUGGCGCAAAAUUUUAUUUACGGGAUGAUGGGCAUUUUCGAAAUUCACAAUUUUGGGAUGACAUCCUGCGGGAAUCAAGGAGCUUUACCUUUUCAUGUCAAGCAAUUUUCUCUGAUGUUGCUUCAAUUUGACUUCCGAGGCCCUGAAAGUGAAAACCACUUUAGGAAAAGACGCGUUUUUUGGAUAAAAAGUCUGUGAAGCACUUUCGACGUUAAAGCGACGACUUAAAUUAAAUUAAUCAGUCAAUAUAAAAGGUAAGAAAAAGCAAAAAGAUCUUGUCGCCUUGGUUCCAGUCCUUUUCAAUCUAAAAUCUGCCGCGAAUCUCUUUCAGGUAAGAUUUUUCUGUCUUUAUUGAAUUUAAAAUUAAUUUUUUUUGGUAAAAGUAAGAUGAAUUUAAAAUUAAUUUUGCUCCCUCAAAAAGUCAGUUUUUAAUUUUUGAUUUUAACUUUUCUACGCCCACCAUUUAUUUCCUCUCUCUCUCUCUUCCUCCCUUCGCUCCCGAACAAAAUACACAAGUGAAGUUCGAUGUCUUCACGCGUGUUUUUCUUUUCCUUCCCUUUUUUUUGAAUUUAUCUUAUUCACCGCUUGCUUUUUUGCCUUUUUCUUUUCGCACGAUGUCUUGAAAUUCGGGGUUAAGUUCCAUAUCUCGACACGUCCUUUCUUUUCCUUCAUUUUUUUUUUCCUUCCCUUAUUUUCGAAUUUAUCUCAUUCGCCACUUGCUUUUUUUCCUUAUCCUUUCCACUUCACUAUUUUUUUUCCUUUUCAAGAAUAAAGAGGAUCGAGACAGGCUAAAACCCGUUUAAUCAUGUUUACAGUAUAUACAUCCUCAAAUCUUAUAAGGAAGCAGAAGAUUCGACUUCGGAUUCUGAAAAGAAUGACUAGCGACCCUUCUUCCUAUCAACUACUCGUGAUAAGUUCCAUAAAUUAAAAACAUAAAAUUUUCCCAUCGAUAGUAAAUGAUUACCGGGCAAUUUAUCAUGCAAAUUCAUGAAAAAAUGAGCACGAGUAACGCAGUGUUUCGGUAUUCAUGUGGACUCUAUUGUCGAAUUAUAUAAUCGCGUAAUCCGGAAUUUAACAAAGUAAAAUCGAAAACAAAUAAAUAAAAAAAGUGGAAUUUGGUUUUUUUUUUUCCCUUUUCCAUUUUUUUCCUUCCUGAGGAGUGAGGAGUGGACCGCCACCACGCACGAACCCUAAGGGUCGUCUUCGCGAUGAAGCUGUCUGUCUCCCCCAACUUGCAUUUUCUUUUACUCAGUCGAGAUCGAGUCGAGUGAUCCCCUCGCAGUUAGUCCUUUCCUCUUCGAGUUCGAGCCUGCGACAUGCGCCUGCGUUGCUAUUGCUACGGUCGUGUGCUCGGCAACGCUGCCGGCUUCUGACGGUGCCAUCUCUCCUGCGACAAAUUUAAUGUUACAGACAAUAAAUUUAAUGGACUAUCCCACCCGGAGCUCCCCGUACCGGAGGCGGCGGGACGCGGAGGCCGGAGGCGGGGUCUUUGGCGAUUCCGGCGACGGCGUCUCCCUAGAUCCGUUCGACAUCGCCACCACCAAGAAUGCUCCGGCCGAUCGCCUCAAACGCUGGCGGGUACGCGUGUUCUCUCUCUCUCUCUCUCUAUCUCUCUGUGUGUGCAUUCUGCCCCUUGGUUGUUUGGUUGAUGAUGGGGGAAAUUCGCGUGUUAUGAAGUUUUGAUUUCGCCGAUUGUGUGGCGACGGAGCAUUUGCGUGGCAGAACCUAUGUGUGCUUCUUUGUUAGUGAGUAGUGCCUUGGGGCAGGUGGGUCCUGAUUUCAAAAGUUGGGUUGCUGCUGUAGGGUCUUUGGUGGAUUUCUUCUUUUGGGAUGUUUUCAAAUUUUUGCUUCUGAAGCUUCUUUAUAACUUUAUUGGUUUUGAGUUUAGGAUAUGCUUAGGGGACCUCAUAGCCUUGGGGAAGUUGAUUGGCUUAUAUGUCAUGAACGAAUAUUUUAUGCUAUUAAUUUACACCCUUCUGAAAAUGGCAUGGAACACAUCCUAUAGCCCCUAGCACGCUGAAGCACAGUUAGUGCCAUGGCGAAUAUGGUGCUAAGUCAUGAAGAAAAGGUCAUAUUAAACAUAACAAAAAUUGACUUUGAGCAUGAACGCCGUUGCCGUUAACCACAAGAGGUUUUAAUGUAGUCAGUGGCAACCGGGUCGACUCUAGCAUAGUACAGCAAAGGCCUUUUGAAAAGUGUUUUUCUUUUUUCUUUUUCAAAUCUCGUGACUAUUUUGAUUUUUAUUUAGUGUAAAACACUCGUGACCUUUGAAAAAUGUACUAAAUCGAUGCAUCGAAUCAUAUACACUUGUGUUUUUCAUAAUGUUUUGUAGUCUGAAUAAUAUUAUAAAGUUUUGGCUGGAAAAUCAGUAAGUUACUUUUUGCUUAAAAAUUACUUGUCUAAUUAAUCGAAUGUCUCUGAUAUGCUCAUGUCCCGUUAUCUUACGCUCAUUGGCUUGUGAUUAAUCACUUUGUUUGGGAAAGGUAAAGUUCCUUAAUACUGAUGUAUUAGCUAAAGCACACGUGCAUAUUGCAUAUGUCAUGUCGCGUAAUGAGCAUGAUAUGUGACGCCUGCUUUUUAUGUGAUCAUUUAUUUCUAUCUAACAAUGCUUUCUUAAAAUUUGUGAAUGCGAAUAUAUCUGUUUGUUUUGACUGAUUCUUCUUCAAGAGCUUAUUUCUAUUCCUGAGGCCGAUUCUUUGAUGCAUACCGUGUCAUUUUCUUGUUUCUGUUCCGCCUGUUUGGGCUAUUCUUUUGUACUACACUCCUAAUUUGCUGUCAAACAAUUACUAAAUGCAAAUUGGUUGAACGUCUAAUGCAGCAAGCAGCACUUGUUCUUAAUGCCUCUCGCCGCUUUCGAUACACCCUGGACCUGACAAAAGAGGAAGAGAAAAAGCAAAUGCUGAGAAAAAUUAGAGCCAAUGUUCAAGCCCUACGAGUACAAAUUUCUCUGUGGAUGACUUUGAUAGUUUUGUGCCAUUUCUGCGAUAUGAGUAAUAAUUUGAAGUUUGUUUUCUUGGAAUUAGGCUGCGCAUCUCUUUCAAGCUGCUGGUGAACAUGUUAAUGGUACUUUCCACCUUAACUUCUGCUUGAGUCACAGCGAUUGGGUUGGAGCUGAUGAUAGAUGUUAACCAUUUCAUAGAAGUUAAUUGAUAUCAUCUUUUCAUAAAGCAAAUCGACUUUGAUUAUUAAAUAAUCCAAGUCACUUCUCUCUCUCUCUCUCUCUCUCUCUCUCUCUGGGUGGAAACUAUAUUCUGAGACUUCUGUCAUCUUUGCUAAUAUUGAUGGUAAUGGUUGCCCAUAUUUGAUUAUUGACACAGAGAUUUUUUCUACUUAGGGUGAGUUGUAGAUUGAACUAUAAGCCAAAAAGAAAGAUUCAUGGAUAUGAGGUUCUAACGAUGGUAAAUUUUGUGUUUGUUAGAUUUUGUUUAGGGCUUAAAUUUUCUUUUGUCAAGGCAAGCCUUAUUUUUUUUUUGUGGAUAUUUUGAAGCAAAAUGCUGCAAAGAGAGUAAAUUCUUUAGAUCUUAAGCAUUGCCUUUGAGGAGCAUGCUUGAGAAUGGAAAUGCAUAAGAUGGUUUAAAUGAAGACUAUUGCUUGUAUUUCAUCAUGCUUAAUCCAUUGUGCCAAGUAUUGACUCUUCUGAGAUCCUUCUACGAAGCAAUAGCAAUCCUAGAUAACUAACGGACUUGUGUUUAGUAGCAGACUCAUAGGGAAUAAAAAAUUUCUGAAAGUCUCCUAUGUUAGUAAGGACAAGAAUCAUUGUCUUACUGUUUGUUUUUGAUAUAAACAUUAGGUCAAAAUUUAGCAGAGUCUGAAAGUACAGAGAGUUUGAGAGUAAUUUCUAUGUGCAGUGGUCCUCUGUUGGUUUUGUGAGAAAUCGACUUGAACCUAGUGAGUCUUGAGAAUCCUGUAUUGGAUGUGUUUGAAAGAUUUGUAUUUAAAAGCUUCUUACUUUAUUGAAGUCGCAUGUAUAUAGGCAUCACUUAGACAUGAAUCUGUGGAACUCUAUGGCCUUUAUCUUUGUUAGAUGUCACUAAUUGAUGUUUCAUUUGACCGAGUUAUUUUACGUAAUUAUAUACGCAACUGUGUACUAAAAUCUCCUAAAUUGUGCUGCGGUUGCAGUACAUCAUUUAAAUCUAUGUCAAUAUAUGUACAUAGUGGGAGUCAAUCAUGGUUUGUUAGGCGAUAUAUGAAAUGAUGGUAAUUAGCACUAGAUUUCUUCAGUAAGUCUACAUCUAGAUUUUGUGAGUUCCAUUGGAUCUUGGUCAAAUACAACACUGGCUCUGGGUGAAAAGUAGAUUCUGAUCAAGGAGAGCUCAAGUAGCCUAGCUGUUCAAUAAAUAAACUAAGAUUUUAGUCUUCUUGUGUGGGGUCAGAAGGAUCUUCAAAGGGUCAUAUAACACAUUAAUGAAAAGGCUAUCUCCAAACCUAGAGGAUGAACAGAAAGAUAUUGUUUGAUCUACGUAUAUUCUUAGAUGCUCUGGUAAAUUAUCCUUGACAUCUCUGUUCUCAUUAUGAUCUUGAGAAGCUCCUUACGAGAAAGCAUUCCUCUCCUCGUAUCUCAAGGUCUUAUCCCUCAUUCAAUGUGGCGUUUUGUUCUCAACUGAGCUAACUAGCUGAAUGUGUGUAGUGUAUAGCUUUGGAUUGCUUAAGUGUAAUAGCUGAGGCCUCAGUUAAUCAAACUAUAGUAGAUUUUUGCCUGUUGAUGUAAACUGCUGACCACAUAGUAACUUAAUGAGAUUAUUAUUGAACAGUGGGUCUUUGUCUGAGUAUCUAGUUGUUAUUAUUCUGCUCACUGGUUGUGUUCCGAAGCAUGGCGAUGGGAGGUGUUAUUUGCCUGAUAUGUUUCUCCUUCACAGUUUAUGCUUCUCAAUAACUCAACCAAUCUGGAAUUUGAAGCUUUUAUAAUGUUUUGUUUAGUCAAGAAAAAGAAGCUUGGAGCCUUACAAUGAAUUACUGUAGUCGACAGUCAGCCUUCCUUGCCUUGUUCUUUUACUUUGACUGUAUAAAUGUUAAGUGUCACCCCAUAAUUGAGCUCUUUGUUUUCGGUGUCUUGAGCUCCAGAUUUGCGCUCCCUCGCUACCCUGUGGUUAUUUUACUUUUACCUAAAGAAAAGGUGAAGUUGUCAUGUUAUGAGCAUCUGCAGUCGAGCUUUUCCUUUCUCAGUUUAUGCUACUAGAGAACAAGAGGUGUCAAAAUUAGCUGGGGCUAGUUAUAUAUGCAAGCUUUUUAGGUUCUCAUCCACCAGUUCCUGAAGUUGGUAUAAACCCGUGUUUGUGUGGUGGGUAUGUCAUUGGGCUUAGAGAGGGGAAUGACUGAAUGGAAUCCUCUCCACUCUCACCCCCUUCUCUUGCUAGUCACUCUGGAUUAUUGUUCUUUCUGUUAAACAGCUUCUUAAUCUACCCUUUUCUUUAUAAAUACAUUUUGUUGAUUUCUCAUUGUUGGUUUUCCUUCUACCUUACAUGGGGAGAAUCUUUGCAGUAAUUUUUUCCUCUUUGUCAGCUCAUUUUAAAAGAUAUCCUUGGUUACCUGCUUACCUUCCUUAUCAUUAUUGCACAAUUGGAGUCUUAAUGAUGUCAGCAUGUAUUUGAAUAUGAAUGAGAAGCUGAUAUGGAGUCAUAUAUCGCAUCUUUUUUCUUUUUGUUGCAUAAGAACUAAGAGAUCGAUUUUCUUUUCAUUCAGCGUUUUGACAGCUAGAAGUUUCUCAUUUCACUCUUACUCCUAUGUUGCAUGCUUUGUAAAUGAACUCAUGGUGCUAAUGGCAGGCAUUACAAAAUCCCCUACCCCAAGUGGUGAUUUUGGAAUUAGUCAAGACCAACUUCUUUUGAUGACCAAAGAUCAUAAUUAUUCUGCACUUGAGGAAUAUGGGGGGGUAAAUUUACUAAAAAAUGUCAUUUCCUUAGGUUCGUGAACAAUUAGAUAUCUUCAUCUUAAUGUUUGCCACUUUUCCUUCAGGUUAAGGAGCUGUCAAAUUUAUUAAAAACAAACUUAGAGAAGGGUAUUUGUGGUGAUGAUGCUGAUUUACACGCACGGAGAAAUGCAUUUGGGUCAAACACGUAUCCUCGUAAAAAAGGAAGAAGUUUUUGGGUGAGUAGUUUUGUAGAUGUAUGUAAAUAUCUGAAUGUACUAUGGAUCCACACGAAGUUGCUGAUGCUUCUCAUUGAAGAUGGAAAUUAUGUUUUAAUGGUUUGUUUCAUUGUUUUGUCCCCAAUUUUGGGUCUACUCAGAUGUUCCUCUGGGAAGCUUGGCAAGAUCUCACGCUGAUUAUAUUAAUCAUUGCUGCAGUGGCUUCUCUGGCACUGGGUAUAAAGACAGAGGUAAGGUGGAGAAAGCAUAUUAAAUUCAAACCAUAGAUGUCAAAUUGCCUCUUCUGCCUAAAAAAAUGAUGGUAUUACUGAAACAGUACUUGUAUUUAGGUAUUGUGGGGACAUCUCUUACGUUUUAUGAAAGAACCAUGUUAAUUAAUUAAGAAUACUUAACAGCUGGUGCAUUAAAAGUGCAAACUGUUCUGACUAAGGGUUUGUUUAUUUAAAUUUUAGAAAAUCAAAAUGUACUUUUCUGGUUUCCCACCAAAACUUAAAAUUUAUAUAUGAAUGUAAGUGUCAAUGUUUGUAUGUUGUGAAAGUUUCAAGUGUUUCGCAUUUAAGAAAAGUAAGUGUGUGGAAGAUUUGGAUUAAGCAAAGAGUAAAAAGUGAAAGAUCCAGAUAGAUUGUAAAUUUUGUUAUAGUUUCAAUGUUUGUGCUGCUGGCCUGCUAUAAUAGAGCAAGUCCUUGCCAUGUACCAUGACUUUUGAUUCUUUACCAGGCAUGACCACAAAUUAUAAGUUCACUGGGCUCAACUCUUAACAAUUGUGGGGCUAUCGGCGUUGUUGUGAUUUUUCAUUUCUCAGAGGCUGAGUCAGGAUGGGUUAUUUUAGUCUCAAAAUUUCUGUCACAUGUUGUUGGUAUUUGUCAUCAUUUGAAAAGUAAAUGACAUUGCGCAAGUUGAGUAAUCAGUCUCCCCUGAUGGCCCCACAGUGUUUUGUCAGUUUAUGCUUUUGAUCGUUGCUCUCUUUGUUCUUUUGUCCUAUUUUCCCCAUCUUUUAGAGAAGCCCCUAGAGUAUAAUAAAUUUAUAUGUGCUAUCUGUGAUGUUGAAUUAUUUGUUUUUGUGCUUACAAUUUUUAUCUAGGGUAUAAAAGAAGGAUGGUAUGAUGGUGCGAGCAUUGCUUUUGCAGUUCUCCUCGUGAUUUUUGUCACUGGUAUGAGUUUUUCUGGUGUUUUUUGUAAAACUUGUUAGUCAUGUUUCAUGACAGCUCUAUACUCUUUCAUCUUGGGAAAUAGAUAUCUCUAUCUUCAUGGGCAUUUGAAUGAUGAUCAAAUGGUAAAUUGGGUUUGUUACUAGGAUCAGUAGGGCCAAUAUUGUUUUGGAGUUUGUUUUCCCUAAUGAUGCUAAUUGCCUUGUGAAUUUUCUUUUAUGAACUACUCCAAAGAAAAGCAGGAAAAAAAAACAGUUAGCUUAAAGCUUUCUGGUUUGCUAUGAUCCUUGGUGCUUUUUCAAGCAGUGGGUCAAUUGGGCAGAAGAGAUGGAGGUGAAAAGGGGAGGGGAAGAAAAAGAGAAAGAAGGGGGGGGGGGGGGGGGGAGAGUACUGUGACAUAGUAGUCUAAUGGGAGGUUGACAACUUGCGGACUUCAGCAGAGAUUGAACAGCCUUAAUUGAUUGUGAGUACAUGCAUAGUUUGUGAAUGGACCAGUGCUGAGCCAUGGUUGGCAGUGAUAAGAUGUGGGAAUUGAGGUGUUUGAUCUUGUGAUCGGAUCUCUCUAGGUUUAUCUAGCUAGUAGUUUAGACCCAAAUCUACUUCAGGUUUAUUUGGCUUGAUUCUAGCUAUCGGAUGCUGGGGUAAGGUGCAUAUGUACUAGCCACUAAAGUGAACAUGGCUUCAAAUUGGAUAGAGCAAUCAAGUUGGACUUUGAGAAGGGCAAUUGGAAGCCAUUUCAAACUCAUCGAGAAAGUUUUGUAAUCUCUCAUUUGAUGUUUGUUGGAAAAUAUGGCUUCGAAUUGGAUAGAGCAAUCCAGUCGUACUUUGAGGCAUGAUAUAGGGAUUAUACCGAGAGAGAAAGAGGGGCAGCAGAAAAGCAUCUCACUUAUUCCUGCCAAAGACAAAAGUUGUCCACCACUUUUCUUUAUUUUAAAACAUUUAUUAGCCUCUUUAUGAUUCCCACAUUUCCUUUGCUUUUAUCAGAACAAGUAUUAAAAGGUCAAAAGCGAAAAGCUUUAGUAAAAAGAAUCUACUUUAUGGAGGCGUUGCCUCAGCAGUGAAGUGCCGCACCUUGAAGUGCGUAAUCUAGGCAGCUCCUAUGCGAUGGCACUUUUCCUAAGACCAAGCAAAGCACUGAGCCUGUGCUUUGCCGCCUGGCCUGAGUGCUUAGGCGAGUGCUUUUUGCAGUUGUUAGAUUAAAUAAUCAUUUAAUAUUUAGAUAUUCUGACAGAAGCAGUGAUGGUUAGACUAAGUUCUGGUCAACUCUACACUAGAGUUUUUUUAAUGGAAGUAUGUGGCAACUGAAUGAUAUUAAAAAAGGUAGCAGUUGAUCUAAAAGGAUAUUUAAUACCUUUGUGAAUACUUUGCAGCUAUAAGUGACUAUAGACAGUCCCUUCAAUUUCAGAACUUAAAUGAAGAAAAGAGAAACAUUCACAUGGAGGUAUGCUAUUUACACUUAGUUUGUGUUUGUGAAAGUAUACUUCUUUUCUCUUGGUUUCAAUAUGGUGGAACAUAAUUGUAGGUCAUUAGAGGUGGUCGAAGAGUUGAGGUGUCAAUAUAUGAUAUAGUUGUUGGUGACAUUGUACCCCUUAAUAUUGGCGAUCAGGUAAGCUGCUUCAUAUUCUUUGAGAUUUCUACUUGGUGUUUAGAAAUAUUUCAACCUGAUUUUCAUUUGAUCAUUCUCAGGUACCUGCUGAUGGAGUUUUGGUUUCUGGUCAUUCUCUCGCAAUCGAUGAAUCUAGCAUGACUGGAGAGAGCAAAAUUGUAUGGCUCACUUUUGGUUUUUCUGAGUGUUAUAUUAUGCAAUCUGAUUAGUAAUUCAUUAUUUUUUUUUUCUCUUUUUACAGGUUCAAAAAGAUUUGAGGCAUCCUUUUAUAAUGUCGGGAUGCAAAGUUGCUGAUGGUAGUGGUAUCAUGCUGGUAAAAUGAAUUCUUUUGCAGUUUCUUUUGUUUUAAGUUAUUCUUAGUCUUCAUAAAUCAUUUGUGACAUUUUUGGAGUCUAAUGUUAGUUGUUAAAGUGCAUAAUCAAUACUCCUCUACAAAGUGGGUUGGGUUAAGUCCAGUUGCAUGCUUCACUCGCCCCUGUGAUUGUAAAAGUCCCUCGUUAUGCUACCUCAUUGUUGCUGCCAAUUCUCGAGAUGCACAACAAUAAUAUCCAUUUUAAUGGGUGCUGUUGGCUGCAAAAAUAUUGUCAUGCCCUUCAUUCUAUUUGAUGUAGUAACUUACAAAAUCUCUAGAUACAUUGGCUUGAAAUUAAGUCCUGUUUAUAGACUGAUGAUUUGUGCCUUGUGUUUUAAGAUGUUCCCAUAAAUUUUUGCAUCUGAAUGUCCUUUCUUAUGUUGAUCAAAAGGUUUAUGACUUAUGAUAUCAAGAGUUCAAAACAAUAGAAUUUGGUAACGUGUUUAGUGCAACCCCAGUGGGAGUAAUAAAUAUGGAAAUAUAGUUGAGCUCCAUGUCUAGUAUUAGACUGUCCUUUUUGCUGUAUUCUCUUGCAUAUGCUUCCUGGGUGAUAUUUUAUUGUACAUGGGAGUGGCUUUGGUCAGGUAAUAUGCAUUAUUUUCCACAGGCAGCUUAUUUAUUUGAUGUAGCUUUAGCUGCACAUACUAGUGUUGAAGAUAUUUCUCAUAAUUGCAUAUUGUGAAGUGUUUACUGAGCUUGAGAUAGUGAUUGCUGUUUCUCACGUGCACGGACACAUGCACAUGUUGUUCCCUUGAUUUGUGUUUGGAUUGCCUACGAGAUCUUCUCUCUUCUAGGUAACGAGUGUUGGAAUUAAUACUGAAUGGGGAAUGCUUAUGGCCAGCAUUUCAGAAGACACUGGUGAAGAGACACCCUUGCAGGUCCUUCUCUAAUUUAUCUUGAGUUGUAUUUUUUUUUAUCCUGUGUACUUUAUGUGAACAUGUUGAUUGGUGAAGUACUUUCUCUAUUUCUUCUCCAAGUUUUGUGUUGGCAAGCAUUUAAAGACUUAAAAGAUAAAUUGAUACUAUUCAAUAAAUUACUUUGGUAUUCUGAAAAUUGGAAAGGUGUCUGUUUUAGUGAAUAAUGAGAUUCUGGGAUAAAUUGAUGUGCAUUGGCUAUAAAGAGGCAGAGGCCGGAUUAAGACGUGGAGGUGAAAAAUUGAAAUGAUGGAUUGCAGUCAAGAUGACAAAGAUUAGCCAAGAAAGCCAAGUUUCCUUGGAGAUAUGGAGACAAAUCUCCCAUAUUUGACGUUUGACAAUUGGAGUUAUGGAAGUGUGCUAGGCUGCUUAGAGAAGCUGUUUUUAAUUAAUUCUAACUUUUUCUUUUUAGAGAAAAGUCUGAAUGCUUCUGUUGUUGCGUUGUUUCUGAAUGUGGCAGGUACUGAGGAUUGGUAUGGUUCAUAAAUUGUUUAUCUCUAGUGUUUUGGCUCAUAAUCUAUAUUGUUACGGCAAAGGUCAUUCCCCCUAUUGCAUUAAAAAAAAAGAUCAUUUUUUCUAUCCAAAUGCUUUAUCCUUGGAAGAUAUUUUGAGGAUGCCAUUGCUUAUGAGUGCUUGGGUACUGUGUAGCUGGAUCAAGGCUAGUAUUCCUGGACUCAUUCACUUAUUUGAUUUAGAAAAGGAUUAUUUUCUAUGAGUGCUUGGGUGCUGUGUAGCAGGAUCAGGUUCUGGAAUACUUGCUGGGAUCUUUUGUAAUUUCCAGGGUUCACCUUCUCCUUUAUCAUUGUCGAGAAAGUUCUUAAUAAGAUUUGAAAGCAGUAGAAAUGAGAUUCUUUUGGCUGGUUUAAGGUUGAACUGAGUGAUAUCAGCCUUGUUCAAAUUCCUUACCUCUAAUUUGCUGGUGAUGGAAAGAGAUCAACUAAGAUAUUUAAGAUGCUGUUUGCAUUGUAAUAUUGAUUCAUUGCCGAUAAACUGAUGGGUCUUACUUUGGGUUAUCUGGCAAAACCUUUGGUUUGGAAUGGCAUUUUGGUGAUGGCGGAAAGGAAGAACAGGUCUCAAUAUCUGAAUUUUUAAUUUUUAUUUUUAUUUUUUGUGUGUGUGUGUAGGGGUGAGGAGAUGGUUGUUGGUCUGUUGAUUGAGAGUGUGUCAUCAAAUCUUCCUUUGGUUCUCUUUAUAUCCUUUUUCCAUCUUCAGUUGCAUAAAAGCUGGAGAGUUAUAGACCUUCUAUGGGAAGAUAGUGCAAUCAGUAAUUUUCAUUUGGUUAACUGGCAUGGUAUCGACGAUCUUGUGCAAAAAGAUGGAUUUAAGAAGUCUUAACAGAUAUUUCUGCAAAUUGUUAUGUGACUACCUGGUGAAUAUAAGCUUGUGGAAAGCAGCUUUUAUUUGAAAGUAGACAGUGGCUGGCUUACUGCAAAAAGUCAUUAUUCUCAUGGGAUCAGUCUCUGGAAAUAGAAAUGAAAGCUGUGGAAUGAAUUUUGUAAUGGCACUUUUCUCAAGUUGGACAUGGUAAUGGAGUUAGAUUUUAGCUUGAUAUUUGGUCCGGUGGGCUCUUUUUCAAAUUUGUUCCAUUCGAAACUGUGAUGCCAUGAGUGAAUGGUAAAUUACCUUGGUUUCUCACAUUUACUGGGGAAGCUCAUUAUCGGUAGUUGGAAUGAAUGUAAUUACUUAUCUGGACUUUUUCAGUGUCAAUGACCAAUAGACAGACCUUUUGAUUGACUCUGGAUUUCUUCUAUCAUCAAUGAGCUCUCUCUGGGCUUUCGGCUCUUCUUGUAGAAGGAUUGACACUCCCUUGGUGUCUCACAGAGAAUUUAUUUUUACUUAAGAAAAGACAACCUAAUGUUUGAUAGGGCAAUGGGUGGUACAGCUUUCACCAUGAAAUCUUAUUUACAUUGCCCUAGAAGGAGAUAUUACUUGUAAUUUCUGUGGAAAUUGGAGGAAGUGCUGGAAGCAAGGUUGAACAUCAUCUAGGGAAGGCAGUUUAUGGAAAGAGGUUAGUUCGUCAUCAUAGAUUGGUCUGUUAUAUAAGGAGGCAGGGAAAACAGGUGAAUUUAGGCAUUAUCUGACAGAUCAACGGAAAAGUUAGUAGCAGCACUCUUUGUCACGGCAUCGUGUGGAAUAUAGGGCUAGAUAGUAAUAGGAUAGGGUUUAAGUGUGAGAUCCAUCCAGUCAGAGUGAAGAGGAGAUUGAUUGUGACUAGGUCCAUAUUCGGUCUGAUAUAAUUUUUGUACUUGUCUAUGAUAAGCAUGUGCUUUUAUGUGUUUUGGCUCAAUCAUUUCCUUGUUGUAUUUACUUGACACUGAAUAAGGUUGCCUAUUCAUGAAUAGGUACGCUUAAAUGGGGUCGCUACGUUUAUUGGGAUUGUUGGGCUGACUGUAGCUGUAGUAGUUUUGAUUGUACUUUUGGCAAGGCAAGUACCAUUUCGAUGAUGACUGUCUUUUGAAAGAAUACAUAUUCUCUCUCUCUCUCUCUCUCUCUCUCUCUCUCUCAGAGCAUGCAUGCUCAAGUACAUAUAUGCGUGCAGAGAUCAAAUUUAUUUGGACUGACAACCUGUGUAUGUGCAGAUACUUUACUGGCCAUACAAAUAAUUCAGAUGGCAGUCCUCAGUUUAAGGCAGGGAAGACGAGUGUUAGUCGUGCUGUUGAUGGAGCCAUAAAAAUUUUCACGAUUGCUGUAGGUGCACUCUUCUUUUGUAUUUGUGCAACCAGAUUUUCCUUUCUCUUUCCUUGUCAUAACUGAAAAUGGAAUGCCAGGUGACAAUUGUGGUGGUUGCAGUGCCUGAAGGGCUCCCUUUAGCUGUUACGCUGACGUAAGCACUUUCAACCAAUCUUUGUUUCUUCUGGGUUCAUUUACAUAAAAAUUGUACUCAAUAUAGUUAAUGAGGACCAUACUACUACAUUAUGUAUCUUUUCAUUUUGCAUUUUAUAACUUGGAAUCGGUGCACGAGGAUCGGGUUGGUGUGUUUGCAUGCCUUGUUGUGGACUCCAUAGACUCAGUGUCAGCCGUGUCCCUUGAGCAAUAGAGUUGACUUCCUUUAUUUCCAUCUUGUGGAUUGGCCAAGUAUUUCAGAAGAAAGAAGAAGAGAAUAAGUUGUGGUAGCAAACUUGUCUCCAUUUUUUAUUUUUUAUUUUUAAAUAUUUUUUUAUUCUUUUCAGUUUUCAUUUUCAAUUUGAAGUGACUUUCCUUUGAACUUUGAACUUUGUUCUUUUCCACAUAUUGUGCUCUUAUAUUUUGACUUUUAUUUAAUAGGAAAUGUCAAACUAUUCAGAAUAUGCUAAUCUUGACAUGUCGAAUUAUAUAAUUCUUUUCGUAAUUUCCUGAAACUUAUUUUUUUAUUUUUUGUUUUCAAAGUUUUUGAGGGGGAAAUUGGAAGUAAUAUGUUGAAAGUCCAAAUAAAUGGAUCCUUAUCAUUCUUUGUAAGAAGAGCUCCUUAACCAUUCGGUUUCUUUCUAGCCCUUUGAGCUAGUUUGUUCAAGUCUAGAGAACAAGAUGCUGAACUCUCUCUUAUUUGGAACCAUAUAACAUGCGGGCUUGAAGGGAAGGACCAAAAUUGCUUAGUUAUUUUCCGAAUGUUCAACUUGGUCAUGGCAUUUGCCAGGUCAAUGAGGAAUUGAUCUAGAACAGACCAUAUUUGAUGGCUUACUUGGUACAUUUCUCUGUUCUUUUAAAUUUUGGAAAGAGGAAGAGAGAAAAGGAAGGGGGGUUACAAGAGCAGCUGACUCGGCCAUAUCUUAUUAAAUGUGCUUUACGAAUAUGCAUUCCUCUUCACUUUAUGAAGUCUUCUGUAAGUUCUAGGCGCUCCAUAAUUUCCUUAUUUUCUCGUUCAUCUUCUUUGAUCUUUUCAUGCUCCUUUUAACACAAGGUAUGUUUAAACUUGAAAUGUGCUAUGCAAUGAUAUAAACAAAUAUAUAGAUAUGUACUUCUGAACGAUUGUAGGGAAUGGAGAUUGUCCUUCUGAUAUGUUGGGAAGACAUUAACAUAAUGUCAAUAUCUGUCAUCCACAAUAUUACGUACUUUUGAAUUUAAAGACUGAUUGUGAUAUAGUUCUACCAUCGAGAGGUGCUUAAUUUCAUUAGAGAAGUGAAAAUAUUGCAAUUCUGACGAUGUGCAUUUUACUGUCUCUCCAUUUGUUUCAUAUAUUCUUUCCCCCACAUUGCAGACUUGCUUACUCAAUGAGAAAAAUGAUGGCGGACAAGGCAUUGGUACAAAUUCUUGAAAAAUUCAACCUCCCUUAUGGAAUAUCAUUUACAAAAAUGGAAUGAGGUCUAGAGGUAGUGAAUUUGCAGGUGCGAAGACUUUCAGCUUGUGAAACUAUGGGAUCGGCCACGACCAUAUGUAGUGACAAGACUGGUACCUUGACUUUGAGCCAGGUGCAUUCUUGUUCAUAUUCUUGGUGAUGCAUGAUGGGGAUGUGUUUUGAGUGAUAAUAGGAAUUUGAUUGAUAUUGAGUCUAAAGGAAUGCUACCAGCCAAAGGACUUCAGGAUAUGAGAAGUUUAUCACCAAGGCCUAAAGGAAACCCACCAAGUAAAGGACUUGGUGAUGAUCAAAGAAAUUUGGAUAAAGAACCAAAAUAAGAAAUUUGCUCACUUGAGGAAAGUCUAAAGUAUAUUUGAAUGCAAGUCAUCUCAUUACAAAUGAGAUUACACCUUUAUUUGUAGAGGGAUCUGGAAAUCCUAGAAACUGAAAUGAAUUUUGGAGUAUUCACAUAAUUUAGACUGACAUCAUAAUAAAGACUUAUAAAAACUAGAACUUAUGCAUUUAACUAAGAACAGAUGCAUGUAUCUUAUAUUAGACUCUCCAAAUUCGUCGAAGCCGAAUAGCCACCUUAGAAAUUUAACAAAUAGCCAUGGAAAUUGACCAAAACAGCCUCUAGUCAUUAGGUAGUUGAUUAGCGGCUCUGAAGUCGACACAAAACUUGUAAAUUGACAUCUUGUUAGUUGAUUGGCAACCGUGAAAUCGACAACUAGUAUUGCGAGUCGACAACUAGCAAGGAGAAUUGAUUUCUGCAAACUUGGAUCCAUUAAAUUACGCUGUGGCCGAAAUUUGUUUUUGCUUGCAUGAGUAAUGAUUGAGCAAGGCCAAUCAAUGAAUUCGGAGUUGGGCUUGAGAAUUGUUCCGUCGAAUCUGAUGCUCCUGCAUUAGUUGGUUUCAUUUGUAAUGUUAAAAUAUAAGAUUUUAAUUUGAGAUAUUUUUUCCCCUUUGUGGUGCAACUUCUUAAAACUUAGGGUUUGUUAGUUUAUACUUUUUAAAAAGAGAAAGGCGACUUUCUGCUUCCUGUCGAAACUUAAGAUAUUAUCUAGAUUGCAGAAAUUAUGAAAAAAUUAUAUGUGAAAAUUUAUGUGUCAACUUUCGCAUACUGCAGAAGUUUAUGGUGUUUUGGGCUAAUAAAUGGUCAAAAUAUGGUCGUCAAAUAUUUUGAUUAAGCAUACAAUAAAAAGUAAAAUGUCUAUCUAGACAUGACCUUUAGCUUUAUAAUUUCUGAUUGCAUGUGGUUCUUUUCCUUACCCAAAUUUCAUUGUUUUCAAGAUUGAGAUUUUAAAGCAAGUGUAAUCUUUCUCAACUAAUUUAUUAAAUUCUAGCUUUGUUGUCAAGAAGAAGGUUCUGUUUGAUGAUGGUUCUUCAUAAUCUGACAGAUGACAGUGGUUGAAGCUUAUGUUGGUGGGGUCAAAGUGGACUCUCCUUAUAGCAGUUCACAACUACCCAUGACAAUGGUUUCGUUACUCAUUGAAGGUAUUGCACAGAAUACCAAUGGCAGUGUUUUCACCCCUGAGGUAUGUCUAACAGUCUUGAGGUAUCAGAGGCAGAGUAGUUCACAUUGGACGCAUGGUUAUCAUCUGUUUUCUGACAUCUCUAGGGUGGGAAAGAUGUUGAGGUUUCUGGCUCACCGACAGAGAAGGCCAUCCUCCGUUGGGGACUUGAGGUUUUCAAUCUCAACUUAUAUAUGCUACAUCUGCAAUUCCUCCUGCCUUGACCUUCAGUUCAAUAACCAUUUGUAGGUUAGAUUCUGAAGUUUAAACUGAUUUUUAUUGUUUUCUUUUUGGUAGCUUGGGAUGAACUUUGAAGCUACCCGAUUGGAGGCCUCAAUAAUUCAUGUUUUUCCAUUUAAUUCUGAGAAGAAACGAGGGGGCGUUGCAUUAAAGUUGGUAAUGUUUUGAUUCAUAAAAAAUCUGCAUUAGCAAUGUGCAUGCUAAUUUGUUUUUCUUGACAUAUGUAAGGUAAUAAUAUUUAUGCUUCUUUAGUCACAUGAAAUAGUGUUAAAGGUUGUUUGGAAGGUAUUAGCAGAUACUAAUGAUUUCUUAAACAAAACCAUUCAUUCAAUUCGGAGUGAGAGUACUGUUCUCUUCUGGCAUGAUGGGGCUGCUGCACAACCCACCAUGACAGCUUCUUAACUCAAGUAUUAGUGAUCUCCAGCUGAACCGGAAAAGCUAUGUAAGCCACUAGAAUUCCAAAAAAUAGAUCCAAGUAUGGGCAGAACAACUAUUGGUUGACAAUUUCUCUUGAUAACUUGACUCACACCUACACCUCCAAUAUGUCUUUGUAUCGCUAGGAGGCUUUCUGGUCAAGUAUUCUCACUUAGGAUACUCUGCAGAAGAGAGGGAUGGUUCUGGUAAAUAGAUCUGCAGUCUCUAAAAGGAGGAAGCAAAGGCUAAAUAAAUUGUUUCUUCACUGUUCUCGUACAGUGAAUCUUGGAACAUGAUCAUUGUGAUGACGGGGACCUAUUAAGUCAAUGCAGCGAGUUCUAAGUAGAGUUAAAGUCUUAUGAAGCAUUAGGGAAAGGAUGAAACCCAUCCAUAUCCGCCCUUCACUGUGUUUUGGUUAAUUCAGAGGGAGAAAAACCAGAGUAUGUAGUGCAGAGGGUGAAAAACCACAUUUUACCGUUGGCUCUGUGAUAUCAAUUGCAUCAACUCGAGUAUGAACUUCUGGUCUGAUAAUUAUAGUUGAGUUGAUGCAAUUGAUAUCAUAGUGUUAGUGAUGCGUGUGUGGUUGAGUGAUUCCGGGAUGUAGGGAUUUUUUUAGUUUAAGUGUUUACGAAAUAGUGUUUAUGAGGAUGGUUUCAAUGGGUAAAUAUAAGAGCAUGAUAGAAUGGGGGGUAUGGUGGUGGACAUUGAAGGAUGAAUUGCAGAAUAAAAGAUAGAUUACGAUCCUACCAAGGUCUAAAGGUUGCGCCACCAAUCGAAGAUUAAGAUUGGGAUAAACGAAGUUCACCACCAAGGCUUAAAGGACAAACCACCUGCUAAGGAUAAAGGAUUUUGGGAUAGGAGAAGCUCACCACCAAGGCCUAAAGGAAAAUCCACCAGCCGAGGAUAAAGGGCUUCUUGGCUCAUCACCGAGGAGUAAUCCAUUCUCCAAGGAUAAAAGACUGAAAUAGGAGUUAUCCACUCUCCCAAGAUAUUUGCUUAUGCAGGGGAAAUCUCAAAUAUUUUCAUUAAUCAAAUCUAGUUUGGUUACAACUGAGAGGCUUCCUCUAUAUAAAUAGGAGGAAUACAACUUAGGAAAUAGAAAAGUAAUAAAUAGAAGUGGGAAUUAGCCUAUCAUUAAAGACCUAGGAACUUAGAACUUUGACUCUUUAAACUUACAUAACUAUAAAGACUCCUAGGAAAAAAGAGAUGCGUUUAAUGACUUGGGAACUUGCAUUCUUGAUUCUUCAGCCUCGCAAAAUUCGUGCUCCCACCUUGACUAGAAGAUAAAUAUCCCAAGACUUCAUCAAAUAACCAAGGAAGUUGUUCAAAAUGACCUCCCAUUGAUAUGUUGUUGAUAAACUUCAAGAUCCGCAACUACUAAAGCAUACCGAGAAAUUAGCGACUAAUAUAUCAUAUUGAGAAUUUGGUAACUCAUUAAUUGUCGGUAUCGAUAACUUCAGUAACUCAUUAAUUGUUGGUAUCGAUAGCUUCGGUAAGAAUGGUUCGGUACAGUCUUAGUUGGAACUUUCAGUCUCGACCUACUGAAGCACUUUAUGCCCAAAUUCUAUCUUGGCUUGAAUGAGCAAUGAUGGUGCUGAGUGGGCUGAUGAAGCUAAGUCGGAUGCUUCCGUAUCAGUUAGUGGAUGCACUUGCAUGUAAGUGAUUUUUGUGUGGGGAAGGCAUUCCCUUCCACUUAAAUGAAAUGUUAUUUUAUUGAUUGAAAAAUUGGAAUAUGAUUGUCAUGAAUCAUUUUAACAAGGUACCCAAGCAACUGUGUUGAGAUUAAAGAGAAUAUUUUGCAUUCAUUGAUCACUAGAAGACUUCCAAUAACAGUUAUCGCCGUAGCCCCAGAAAUAUCUUGUUUUACAUCCAAAGCAGCCCCUCUGAUCUUGUUGUACAUUCUGCCAGCUUAAUGAUAGUAAAUUAACGCUCUGUUUGUUUUGCGAAAGAUGAUUAAUAUGGAAAGCAUUUUUCUUAAAAACAAUAGGUUGUAUUGCUUACAAAAAUAAAUGAACGAAUAAUACUUUCAUUGUUCACGAAAAUAAUUAGACUAAAUUGUUGUCAAUAAUGAAUACAUUUUCGAUUGAUUAAUUAUUUUAAGUGCUACAAGGGAUCGUUUUUAGGAAAAUGUUUUCCAAAUCAUUCAUUUUCCGCAAAACAAACGGGAGCUAAGCUGAGUAUUUUCUGAAAAAAGUCACUUUUCUUGCCCAAUGAUGACAGCUGACUUUGUACUUCCAAUGUGCUGAAAGGCUUUCUUCCCAAUCAUGUCGCUGAUCAUAUUGUGUGCGCUGAAAGAUUUUUUUGACUAUGGUCAACACUAGUCAUUGAGAUCGGAGGUUUCCUUUUCUAAUUGUUACAUGUCCUUUUUUAAUGCUUUUGGAUGAUAAUUCUAUCUUGUCUUAUCCUUAUUUUACUUUGCUUUUGAUCCAACAGAGCUCAGGGUUCUCUUUGACCACCUGAUGCCUUAUAUCUAGAAGAAUGAUUGCAGUCUCUCUACAUAUUUCUCUUUAAGCCUUUUUCUCUUGUUCUGUUCCAAGGAUACUUUUUCUGCUGGUUCAGAAUGUUGCAUCAUGACAUAGUUGCGCAGUUUUUUUGGGAUUAAGUAAUUUUACAAUAUAUUGUAUGCACAGACAAACUCAGAGGUUCAUGUACAUUGGAAAGGAGCUGCUGAAAUAGUCUUGUCCUCAUGUACCCGAUACUUGGAUUUGAAUGGUCAGGUGGCUGCAUUGGAUGAAACAAAGGUAUGUGACAUUAAGCCUUUACGCCAUGGAUGUCUUUCAGCAUUUGUUGAAUGAUAACUGCUGUUUCCCUGUUUGCAUAUUCUAACUAGACAGUGAUGCUGACUUGUUUGUUGCAUAGGAUCCUUACUUUUGACUACUAAUAAUCCAACCUUGGUUUUUAAGGUAUAAAUAGUGAUGUUAAUAAUUAGCUGUUAAGUAGUAUUAUACAAGGCAAUUAGGGUUUUGGAUAUCUUUCAAUGCUUUAUAAAUAGAAGUUCUUAUAUAAUCUUUCCGCCAUUUUAGUAAGGAGUAGUCUUUACUCUUUUGUGUAUUCUCUCUCCUCUCCUGUGGUUGCUAAAAAGGUACACGGUAUCAGAGCAGGGAAAGUGAGAAGAAUCCAACUAGACCCUAAAUACUUUGCUAGCCACACAUAAAGGAAGAAAUAAGGGGGUGAAUGAUAACCAUUUUGGCCAGAAAUUGAUUUCUGGAAGAGAAAUAUAAAUUUAUUUAUAUUUCUAGAAGAGUUUCUAAGCAAAAAUAACCGUUUGAUAACGACACAAAAUUUAUACUCUGAAAAUAGAAAUUCGUUUAAUAACGAUACAAAAUUUUUUCCUUUCGGACGCCGGUGGACCGGCAAACAAUGACCGGCAGUGAUGAUCAGCAGUGGCCGGCGGCGGCGACUGGCGGCAGCGGCGGCGACCAGUGGCGGCCGGUGACCGACAGACGGUGGUCGACGGCAAUGGAUGAAGGACCGGUUGAUGAACGAUGAGAAGAAUUUUUAUUUCUCAUUUCUGUUUUAGAAAUAGAGAAGUAGAAAAUUUCUAUUUCUGAUUUCUAUUCCAAACCUAUUUCUGGAACAAGAAUCUAUUUCAGAAAUAGAAAAAUUGAAUAAGUUUAUCAAACGGAUUUCUUUUCCAGAAACAAGUCUGGAAUAGAAAAAUUGUUUCUAGCAUAGAAAUAGAUGGCUGUCAUGCACCCCCUAAUUACCCUAGUUUCUCUAUUGGUAAUCAAUACCACUUCAAUCCUUGUUGGUUUCUUUAUCAUAAGUCCUGCUAGAGCCUGAUCAGGUGUGUUGAGUUCAGCCUGAGUGGACAACCCCUGUGUUGUCAGUGAGCUCCUCUGUCAUCCUUUAAUCAUCGUUCAAUAGCAUCAUUUGCAGCUUCGGCCUCAAGUUUCCUAUUCCUUGGUUUCAUUCUCAAUUUCUUCCCAUCCUCCCUCGAGAUCCUUUUUGCUUGUUGUAGGUUCCUCACUCUUUGGGUGUUAUUCCUUGCCACUUUCAUAUUGAUAAUCUCCACUGACCUUUUGCUGUUGGGUUGUCUCAUCAGAUCUUGUAGCUGGCAUCUUAGCUGCUGGUGACAUCUGUCGCAGUCAUCACAAGUCAACCUCUGGUCUUGUCUUUCUGUUCGUCCCCUUGUCUGCCUUGCUGGUGUCUCUGUCAACUGCUCAAUGUUAAUGUUGUUCUGUUGCUGUCUCGGUUGGCCUCUCACCAUUUGUUGCUGUUGCCUUCUCCUUUGUUGGGAAUAAUUACAAGUUCUAGUGUGUCUUGGUGGCUGGCCACUUCAUCAAUCUCAAUUACUGUUUGUCCUGUCUUGACCAUUAGUCUCAGUUGAACUGUGUUGUGGUUAUCUUUAAUUGAGCUCAUCCAUCAUGGUCAUAUCUUUGAGCUAUCAGACGUUGCCAUUGAUCUUCUCCUCUAUUGGUGUCUUGUCUCUGUGUCCUUGGAGUCACUAGUCUGAGCAUAUUGUCUGAUGUUCAGGUUAGCUACUCUCUAACCUUGAUCUUGGCAAUCCUGCCCCAUUCCCCCCAUCCUCCAAAAGAUAAAUUGCAAUGUUUCCUCUACAAGAAUCGAUCUUCAGCAAAGUCCCCCAAUUUUGGUUAUGUGAACUCUCAACAAUGGCUAUUGUGGACCUUAUCCAAUGUGAGACUCCCCAUCUAUUGUCAGCAUUAUUGAAUGAGCAAAGUUGCUGUCAAGUUCCUACUUUGUAGGCAACUGUGAGCAUGCGAGUCAAAACACACCUCCAUGAGCAUGUGAGUCAGACAAACCAUUGUGCUGCUACAGUUGAUGCUUAUCGUUUUAUUUGCUAUAUUUCAUAGUAUCAGGUUCUCACAAUUCUAGCAGGGUUGUCAGAAAAUUAUAGGUGUCAGCUUUUGUUCAUUGGGUGCUCCCAUCGCUAAAAGUCAAUUCUGAUGUUGGUAAUAUCCAGUUGAUGGUGUAACGUCCGGUUUACACCCUUUCUUUGUUAAAUUCAGUAUGAUCAGAACACGUCUAGUGUUCUACAUAAGGUUUCCAUGACACUAUUUGUUGUCACAGUGAAACUCUACAAAAGAAGAAAGUCGCACGUACUAUUAUUAUUGUUCAUGCCAGGCACCUUUUGUCUUGUUAGUGGCAAGCUGGAUGUAUUCAGGUAGAAUGAGAGUGUUGAAUUGUAAUUAUAAUGUCAGGAAUUAGUUGCUAAUUAUUUUAAAUAAGGUGAUUAGGGUCUGUGGGUCUCUCAAUGCAUUAGAAAUAGAGCUCUCAUGUGAUUUUACAGUAAGCCAUUAGUUUAAAUAGUCCUUUGUGUAUUUCUCUUUCUUCUCUCUUGUGAUUCUUAAAAUAUUACACCUAGGAAUAAUAAGAAAUGAUGCUUUUUAGAAAAGCAAUUAAUAGAUUUAGUGCAUAAUCAUGUUGCAGUUGCAACUUGAGAUCAUUUAUUUCUCCACAGAGCAAUGACUCUAAUAAUAAAAACCAUUUAAAAUACCUAAUUUUCGAAGUACAGUACGUGUAGACAUGCUUUACUUUGUCAUGAAGAAUUGUAGUGCUUGUACAUGUUUUUAAAGAAGAAAAGUUGAUAUAAGCAAAUGACAGUGACCAACUUAGCAAAUCAUCCAAUUGUAUGUGCUUAGAAGACAUGAGACUACUUGCUAUUAAUGGAGACAGAUUUCCUUAGGCAUGUAAAACAAAUGCCUGUGCAAUGUCUUAUCAGAGAUAUCGUGAUUUUCCUUGUAUGAAUAGAGGAUUGAGAAUGUGUAGAUUCCAAUGUUAGUUAAACUGCUACUUCUAUAUGAAGUCUGCAUGGAAUCCACCAUAGAGUGGAUGAAUUGUAAGAAAAGGUAAAUGCCUCAGUGGAAGGCGUAUUUCUACUCUGCGUCCCUGUGGUAAUGUUCCAGACCACAGUGUUGCUGGGAUGCUGGUUGCUACAACACCUACUUGAAGUGCUUAGAUGCUUAAACAUUUGAUUUUUCAGCUCUAGCCUUAGGACUUGACUUAGCAUCGCAUAAUUCUUUAGCAGAUCUUGGGAUCAUUUAGAACUCCAACAUAGAAAGAACACAACAAAACAAACUGACUCAUCAAGUUAUCUGGAUUAAGAAAGCAAAUGGCAUUAGUUUACAGGUAUAUGCAUCAACCCAUGUAUUCACAUAGGUUAUUAUUCUUUAACUGUAACUGUCCUGUUCUCUAUUUACUGUAUGAGCAGUUCUGAUGUAGGGCGACGAGUCCUACAACAAAGAAUAAAUCUUUAGGCUUCACAUCCAAAGCUUCCUUAGCUCCAUACCUAGGGUUUCUUAAGCAUCACAUCUAAGAGAAGCAUUGUGGUCGCACAAUCCCAGGACAAUGUCGACUUUCUAAAAGUUGUACUCCUAAUUGAAAUAGGAAUCUCAGAUCGAGAAACAUAAUCAAACUAGGAAGCCUCUAAAUAUAGUGUGUAUAAAAUCCUAUUUAAAAUAAGAAAAGGAACUUGCCAAAUUCCUAAUUUAACUAGGGAACUCUAGUUAGUAUCUAGCUAUGAACUUCAAUAUACCUAUGAAGGUAUUCAAAUAGUCUAUCCGUCAUGCUGCAUCAUCUCUCCCUGCGUCAAGUUUGCUUGCAGCUGGGCAUGCAAGCCUGAUAUCUCUUCGAGUCAUCUGUUCACUUUUAUUUUCAGCAAGCUUUCCUCUGAAUUCAGCGCACCCCUUCACCAACAGCUGUCUGCUUGAAUGAUCCUUGCUCUUGGUAUUUGUUGACCUCAGUCAACUCAUUGGUCUUAAAAUGACAACUUUGUUUCUAAAAGAGAAACUGUGUGUUCCUUCCAUUAUGAUUCAUCUUUUGACCAUAAUGCCAAGGCUGACCAAGAAGAAUAGGUGCAACUUGCAUAAAGAUGACAUCACAAAGUUUAGAGUCACUAUAAGCUGCACGCUUACAGGAAAGAAGACACUGUUGCAUCACAGGAAUAGUAGUGUCGUCAAUCCAAGCCAUUUUGUAUGGCUGCAGAUGUGAGUAGUUGGAAGUUUGAGGCGUUCUAUCUAGAGGCUGAGACCACGUUCAUGCAACUUCCGCCUUAUACUUUUCUCUCCACCUUAUGAGCUAUAAGAAUAUAUUGAACAAUAGAGAGAAAAGAAUAAUCCACAACUUCAUGAUCUUUUAAAUCAUCAGCCUCAUAAGUACAGUAAUUGAAUGAGUUUUCCUCUUUGUUGCCUCCAUGUUCAUCUUCUUCGUCUUCAACUUUCCCAAGAUGCAAAUAAUUGUCUUUGGACAUUACUUGAAACAAGUCUUGCUGCUCUUCCCACUUGAUUAUUGAAAUUUCUGUGCAUGCCUGAAGAAGCAAGUUUUGGAAUGGUUUGCAGGAUAAAGAGUGGGGAAAAACUGACUCUGUCUCCUGAAAAUCACUGUUAACUGGCUUUGAGGCGGGCUUCUGAACUUGGGAUUUUUUUUUCUCUGGAGUAGAAUAAUUGCAGUGUUCCUCCACAUCAAGUGCAGCUUGGAAUGCAUGGUCCACACUAUAAGAGGCGGUCUAAGCCAUCACCAUUGAAUAUCAGGCCUUAGACCAGCCUCAAAUCAGCACAUUGAUUGACUUGCAUGCUACUUGGCUCUGAAUCCUCACUUCAUCCAACUUUUGCACAUACUCAGCCACCACCGAACAAUUUUGCUUCAAAGAUUUUGACUCUUUUGCACAUCCGCUAUAAAUAAUUGCAUGGCACGUACUUCUCUUUCAUCUUUGCUUUCGUCUCUUGCCAAGUGCUGGGAGGUGGUUACCACAAUUUACUUAUAUCAACCUCAAUGUCCUGCCACCAUAUUUUUAGCCAAGCCAACAAAAGUUCUAGCUCUGCGAAUUGGACCUUGUGAGCAUCUAUCCUGUCAUACCGUUGAAGUAGUCAUCCAUAGAUUUUAUCCAAUCAGAAAACACCAUAAGAUCUGCUUUUUCUUCAACAUCAGAAACUUUGAUCUCGAUUUUUCUUGGUAAUAUCUCCAGUGAUAUCAUACAGCUUUGAUCCUCCCUUCUCAAAUUGGAGUGGUGCUGCUGCCACUUGAAGAUAUGUGAAUAUUGUUAUACCACCGACAAGGAAGAAAAUAAAGAUCAGUCGCAUGCAUACAAUUUUAAUUGUGCUUCUCACUGAUGUUGUUGUUAAUGAUUGUCAUCAUAUGUCAUUCUCUCAUAAUUGUUCUCUAUAUGAUAUAACAUUUCCUGAUCAUAAACCAUGGUUGUAGGUGGUGGUUUUUGAGAAGGCUAUUGAAGAUAUGGCUGCCAGUAGUCUACGCUGUGUUGCCAUUGCAUAUAGGACCUAUGACUUUGAAGACAUUCCAACUGACGAAGAACAAUUAACUAAGUGGGCACUGCCUGAGGAUGAGCUUAUUUUACUGGCUAUUGUUGGCUUGAAGGCACGUAUACAUCGGUUGAGUUUACUUAUUUUUUCAUUCCGAUAUUUUCUAUGAGACAUUUGCAUGAAAUGCUAUAAUGAGAAUGUUCUCUUUUAGACAAAUAUGAUGGAAAAUGAUUUUGAUAGCUAUCACAGCGUGCAAAUGGUUAUCAACAAUGAGAGCGUUCUCUGCUCUAAACAUAUAUCAUGAGAAAUGAUUUUUGUAGCAAUUAUAUUGUGCAAUGAAUUAGUGGUUAUCGUUGUUGUUGUCACUAUUGUCAUCAUCAUUUUCAUAGUACUUUUCCCUUGCAUCUUUGAGUAUGUGCUUUCACCUGAACAAAUUUUGCAUUGCAACAUGUAACACUUUCACCAUGCUUUGAUGGCCAAUGUUAAAAGCCUCUGCUAUUUCAUCAUUUAAUUGAUGAUUAUAGCUUCAGUUCAUAAAAUAGGUGGAGAUUCUGGUUUCCAAGGGCACUCAUGAUGAAUGAUAGUGAUUUGGCAUUGUAACUGAUGCUAAAUGGGGAACUCUAAUAAGAAUAAUGUUCCCAAGGGCACUAUUUUUUAUUUAGUGAUUCUUCUUAUAAAACAGACUCGUGACAAGAAGUCUUGCAUCUAAAUGAUUUGUGUUUCUUCCAACUUUUUGGUAGUUUCAACAACAGAUUGAUAACUUAUGUUUUUUGUUUAUUUUUCACUGCAUUGCAGGAUCCAUGUCGGCCUGGUGUAAAGGAUGCUGUACGAUUAUGCCAAAAAGCUGGUGUUAAAGUAUGUUCUUUUCUCAUUGAGAAUCUUAGAUUUGUGUCAUGUUUAAGAUUUUCAUGGAUGAACAUUCAUAGUUUUGUUAGAUCUAGACCUCUAUGAAGACUGGGAUAUGGUGUUAUGGAUAAAUGUGAUAUAUAUAUGUUAUAUAACUCAAAGUAUAGCACAUGGAUUUCCUCUAAGAUUAUGCAACUUGCAUCUGUGAAAACAAAAAAUCCCCACACGCCCUCCUUCCAAAUGCGUUGUAAUAUUUUCUCGUUCACAUAUGUUUCCAAUGUAUUAUCUUGGUACUUCCACCUUGAUAGCCGCAGAUAACUGAGUCCUUACAUUGUCUGAUGGAUAAGAGGUACAGAAUAUUCCUUUUGGACUUCAAUCAGAGAGUUAAGUCUGUGUCCAGGUCCAAAUACUGGGAAUUGCCAAGUUAACCAUGUGAACCAUUUUGGUCUGCUUGACUGAUAUGUGGGAUGUGAUGGUUGCUCAUACUAAUCUAAUAAGGCAGUUUGCUUCGUCAUUUUCAUUGGUGAAAACCAGGAAGGUGAUUGUCAAGGCCCUGCUACUAAAACCAAGCUUGGCUCAUUGCCACUGCUAUGUUUGGGCAUUCUCCUGCAGUCUUAAAAAAGUUACUUACAUGCGACUCAUUGGGAUACUUUGUGUUGUCUCUUAUAUUAGAGGAAACGGGUGGAGUAUUGCUAUUCACUAGGAAUAAUUUUCUUUUUUUCCUUAUAAUGAGAUCACUCCAUCUACCCUGUUAAGCUUUUAAACACUUCUUAUUCAUCUUCAUGCAAAUUAUAUACACAAAUAUCCACAAAGCAUCCUUCCUAAGUUUAGAAGAUGACUGGAAAAAUUAGGUCAUCUAAUUUGUCUUUUGUGUGAAAUGUAUCCUUUUUCUCGAUACAUAGGUACGCAUGGUUACGGGCGACAAUCUUCAAACUGCUAAAGCAAUUGCUUUGGAAUGUGGGAUAUUAGGUUCUGAUGCAGAUGCUACUGAGCCUAACCUCAUUGAAGGAAAAGCCUUUCGUGCCUUAUCUGAUUUUGAAAGGGAAGAAACUGCAGAAGAGAUAUCUGUAUGUUCUGACUAAUUAGUUGUUUCAGCUCUUCUGGUGUAGAAUGAAAUUUGAUAAUGCCUUUGCAUAUGUAGGUGAUGGGACGAUCCUCGCCUAAUGACAAGCUUCUGCUUGUGCAAGCUCUGAAGAAACGAGGACAUGUAGUUGCUGUCACUGGAGAUGGCACAAAUGAUGCUCCUGCUCUACAUGAGGUUCGUUUUUACUCUUUUUUAUGGGAAGGUUUGGAUCUAUGCAUGAAAAUGAUUAUGCUGGCUGCCACAUUUGCAUUACUGGCCACCUCAGUGGGAUUCAAUGACAUGACCCUGCUCACACAUCCCUAGGCUCCUAAACCUAUAGUUGACAGGUGGACAGUCAGAGUAACUGUGGUGCAAUAAAUGUUAUCAAAUUGGUUUGUACACCUUGUUGUGAUCUUGAUAUCUUAUGGUAUCGUUAUCAUUAAAACAUUACAUAUAUAUUUUACGUUUACUGUCUGUGGUGUAAUAUCCGUAGACUGGAUACGUUUUCUCUCUGAUAUUGUUGUUGGGACGUAAACUUUUUAUGGUGUUUAGGCAGAUAUUGGCCUUGCAAUGGGUAUUCAAGGGACAGAAGUUGCUAAGGAGAGCUCUGAUAUCAUUAUCUUGGAUGAUGAUUUUGCCUCUGUUGUGAAGGUUAGUACUUGCCACCUUGAUUGGCUUAUGAUCUUGUAUCUCACCAUCAGAGAGUGAUGUUCCUGGAAAUUUUCAUUCUUAUAUCCUCUCAGUAGGGAAAAGUAGUUUCUAGAUAAUUUCUGGUCAAAUAUGGAGAUGAACGUUGUUGUCCUUGUUCCACCAACUAAGGUUCUACCACAAGUAUGAUAUGUGCUGAACUGCAUGAGCUAUGAUGUAAGAUUGCUUCUUUUUGGUCAUGAUUUUGUGUGUUUCUUCUGCUUUGCUUUAUUGUUUGAGUGCUUUGUAUUUGUUUUUUUUGGCUGGAUGCAUUUAAAUAGAUGACUGCAAAAUGCAGCAUGCAGUUGCAUAUGAUGGUUUAUGGGGUGGAAGGAGGAUGAAAAAAAUGAGAUAGUUGUUAUUAUGCUAUUAGUUUUUCUCUUGUUUGUAAUUUUGAUAUCUAUCUUGUCGACGACCCUGUUGAUGCAAAAGAAGUUUAAAGGAAGUCACUUAUAUGUUUUAAGUUCUAAGAACUUGAAGUUCUUGAAAUAAUCUUCAGUUAUUAUGUACACCAUGCAGGUUGUCAGGUGGGGACGAUCUGUAUAUGCAAAUAUCCAGAAAUUCAUCCAGUUCCAGCUUACAGUUAAUGUUGCAGCUCUAGUGAUAAACGUCGUUGCUGCUGUUUCCUCCGGCAAUGUUCCACUAAAUGCAGUCCAGGUUUGAUUCCCCCACUCAUCUGUCAGAGAUUGUUUAAUUUAUUCCUACGCCCCAUAUGUUUCCGUAUGACUCCCAUGCUUGGCUGGCUUUCUCUUUGGGCAGCUUCUCUGGGUCAAUCUCAUUAUGGACACUCUUGGAGCACUGGCUUUGGCUACAGAGCCCCCUACAGAUCAUCUGAUGCAGAGGCCACCUGUUGGCCGGAGGUAAGGAUUUAUUGGUGAUUUAUCAGCAGUUGAGCUUUGAGUUUGUGUGUGUGUGUGUGAGAGAGAGAGAGAGAGAGAGAGAGAGAAAAGGGAGGGGGGGGGGGGGGGGGGGGGGUCAUGCAAAUAGUCUUUGUUUUUCUACAGUAAAUUUUUUCCACUUUUGUGCCCCCAGUGGGGAGAGGGAGGAAAAAAGAGGGGGGGGGGGGGCAUGGGGUCAUGCAAAUAUUUUUGUUCUUCAACAGUAAAGCUUUUCCACUCUUGUGCCCAUAGUUCUUGAUAUCUUGAUUUUCCUUUUCUGAAUGUUGCAAGUGGCUCACCCAUUUGUACAUUUCUUGGGAAGAUGUAUGAAUGCAUUUAGUUGUAUCUUUUAUGACCAGAGAACCUCUCAUAACCAAUAUUAUGUGGCGGAACUUACUGACACAGGUAAAAGAUCAAUGUAAUUUCCUCUGUACUAGGCUCAUCUAUUGUUUGCCAAAAGUUACAAAUGUAAAUUUUGUAUUGCAGGCUGUUUAUCAAGUUUGUGUCCUGCUUGUCCUUAAUUUUCGAGGAAGGAGCCUGCUAAAUUUAAAGAAUGAUGGCAGUGAUCAUGCGAACAAAGUGAAAAAUACUUUGAUCUUCAAUGCAUUUGUCCUUUGCCAAGUAAGCAUCAUUCUUUGAGUCAAUAUAAUGGUGGGAUGAAAUGUAUGCAUGAGUCGUUAUAUAUGUUGUUGGACAGGGAGGCUUUUAGUGACCUGCUCUUUUUGCUUGAAAAAGAGGGUAAUAAAUUUUUUACCUUGAAACAACUGUCAAAUAGCACAUCAUUUGAACUGCAGAUUUUCAACGAAUUCAAUGCUCGGAAACCAGAUGAAUUAAAUGUGUUCAAAGGAAUCACCAGAAACCACCUCUUCAUGGGAAUAGUGGGUCUAACACUUAUUCUGCAGGUCAGUCAUGCUUUGUCUUAUUAGAUUUGUUUCGUUUUUCUCUGUAAACCAUUAUGAUCCAAUUUUUCUCUCUGGAUUCCUCCAGGUCAUUAUAGUCGAGUUUCUUGGAACAUUUACUUCAACAGUAAAGCUUAAUUGGAAGCAGUGGCUCAUAUCGAUCAUUAUUGCUCUCAUCAGGUUAACUGACAUAGAUUUCAACAAAUAUGGUGAAAAAGUUUGUUGAUUUCCUCCUCUUUUUAUUCUGUUCAAGGUUGGGUGUUUCUCAUGCUUUGUUCUGGUUAACUGACAUAGAUUUCAACUUAUAUGGUGAAAAGAUUUGUUGGUUUCCUCCUCUUUCUAUCCUGUCCAUGGUUGGGUGUAUCUCUCUCAUGCUUUGUCCAAAAUUCUUGUCGUUCAUUUUGAUCAACUGAUUCUGUGUUUGAUUCCUGAAGAGUGACAGCUUUUUCUUUUGCCUUUCUUUUCCUGGCUGGCUUAGUGCCAAGCUGGCAGUUUUGUGAAUUUCCCGAGUCAAUAUCCUCAGGGCUGGUCAUGACUGAUUUUGUUUGCCUAAUGAUGGAAUUUCUUCUUCCUUUUAAUUUUUUAUGUUGUGUUUUUGAAGCAUUGAACAUUGCUUAAUUGAUGAACAUAGGUGCGAGAGUAAACAAUCUUUGGUUAUGUCCCAUCUAUACUAGCGCUAAUGUGUUGUCUAUGUCUCUUGUUUUUGUUCUUGUUUGUGAUCAGUUGGCCUCUUGCCAUUGUUGGGAAACUGAUACCUGUUCCAACGACUCCCCUGAGCGACUAUUUUGCCAGGAUAAUAUGCUGCCGUAGAGGAACCUGAGGUAUGAUGGUAGAAUUUGUCGUGGAGUCUUGUGCUUACUUUUUAUUUUGAGCCUGUCUAAGAUUGUGACAUUUUGCUCUUCAGGUUACCUCAUCGAUGGCGAGAAACAUAUAUAGCUACUAGGCUCCAUGUCAAUUCUCUUUCAGCCCAUACUUCCUUAUGAAUAGGGGUGAGCGGGUCUAAGGUGGGUAUGGUCUGGACCUGGACUCUGUACCCGACCCUGUUAUAACCGGUUCUCUUUUUUUGGACCCUGUACCCGACCCUGUUUGCAUUGGACACUGUUCCCGAACCACCCUGUUUUUUCAGUCCGGGAAUAGGGUUAACCCUGUUUAUAUUGGAACCGGUUUUGCAUAAAAAUUGCUGUAUAACACUCAUAUGUAAGAUAAAGCGUUGGUGGUGAUGAUGAUGAUAAGAACCAAACGUCACUAUAUAAGCAUUCUCAAGGGAAAACAUAAGAGAGUUCAUCUUUCAACAUGAAAUUUUUUUGGGCACGUAGAGGACCAUUCUAGACCAAUGUUACAAAUCCAGGAGCAACUUGGCACUUAAAAAACCCAGCAAUGAAUCAUCAUAGGUCUCUCAUUAUACAAUCGAGAUACUAAGCCAAAGAUAAAUCAAUCUUACACUCGAAAAAGUAAAAGAAGCAAGAAAAUCGCCCUUCCUUGGAACUUGGUCGCCUCUGGAUUUAAUUACCUCAAAGUAGGAGACACCACAGAAGGCCACCAAGACAGUUGCAAGUUUGAGAGGACAAAAGCAAUAAUUAAGUUUAGAGCAUCCCUAUAACUUGAGUGACCUUUCUAUAUGAUCUCACUUUUAGCAUUAAUGUAUCACACAUGCUAGUAAGUCAAAAAUCCUAACAAACAAGCCUUUACAUACUUCCUAAAAUAAGUUUAGAUUAUUUCCAAUUAUGAAGCCUGAAUCAGAUAACUGUUGUAGAAUUACAUAUUAAAAAUAACAGCACCUUGUGCAUAACAAUGAUACAUACAUGGCAAACAAUAGAGACCAAUACAUUACUAUGAAAGUUUCUUGUUAUAUGUAAUACCUUGAACUAUACAUUCAUUUCCGUGAAAGAGAGGUGAACUAUCAUUUCUAGCUUGCAAAUAUUGACUGUGUAGAAGUCAAACACGAAGAUGAAUGUUGUAGUACCAAGUGCAUACCUCAGAAAUGAAAGCAGCAACCCAACGCAAGUAUUGAGGAGCCAGGCAAUAAAACCAUACUGGGGAAAAACCAAUGUCCAUGAGAAAAAAACCAUCAAUUAUUGUAAAGUAUUGAAGAGAUACAUGUAGAAAAUUCAUAGACCAACAAUCGACAUUAACAUAAAAAUAGCGCAAAACACUGUAAGUAUGCCAGUCAACGGAAUCAAUCUUAGUUUAGCACUCAAUAACGAGCUAAAGUACAUGGAUAUAGAAAAUUCUAGAGACAAUAUGCAGUAGAUAAAAAGCACUAUAGCAAUAAUCAAGUUCAAGAAAAACCCAUCUAGCUUGAAACUCAAUAUAACUAGUCACCUCUGUUCUUACUUUUAUUUUUUUCCCUUUCCUCUGCCGAGUUCUGGACAACAACUGGCUCACCCCCAACGUCUCGCCGGUGGUUCCUUCUUAGAAUUCCAAGGAAAACCAAGAACUCAAGAUCUAAACUUGGGUCAAGUUCAAGAAAAACUCAGAACUCAAAAUCCAAACCUGGUUCGAGUUUAAGAAACACCCAGAAGUUUAGAACCCAAAAGAGUGGAAGGUAACCAACAAUUUUUAAAAACUCUAGGAUAUCAUAGGACGCGACGAGCGAGCCAUGAUCAAGGGGGCAAGUCAACACGAGGCAGCUGGGAUGCAGCUCACCAACCCAGGAGCUGACUUUUAGCUCAGAGAGAGAGAGAGAGAGAGAGAGAGAGAGUGAGUGAGUGUCACGCCCCGAUCCUUAGGCACCUACACAUUCCUUACUUGUAAAACAAUGGAAUAGAAAAGUAUGGCCAUAUUUUUCAUAUUUAAAUUCACAACCAAAAUUUUAUACAACUACACCUCAAAGUAUUUUACCAUACUAUUCACAAAAGGUAUAGUUUCACACUCAACCAUAUACAAACAGGGUUCACAAAGAGGAUUGGAUCAUAGUCCUCAUCCGGGUCGUACUCGGAUCAUCAUUGGAAUUCUCAGCCAAGAUUAUUCUCAAUUCAGUCUCACGAUUUCCUCUACUUUACAACUCAUUAAAGCAUUGUCAAUGCUAAAUAACCACACUCGGCCAUCUACCAAUUAAUCAUUCAAUUUCAUUCAAUUUCAGUCAAUUAAGGAAUAAUUCCUCAAAUUGCACAAUUAAUUCGAUUAAGCACAACGUAGAGCUCAAAUAAAUAAAUGGAUUGCACCACGACAAUUAGCACGAAAUUUCGGUCGUCGACUAUCCUUACCUAAUUUCCGAAAAAUUAAUAAUUAAAUAAUUAAUUUCGAAAAUUAAUAAAUAAAUACUAAAAAUCCAAUUUAGGCCCAUAAUGCCUAAUUGAAGCCCGAUAAGGGCCGAGAAAAAUCCCGAGAUGCAUUUAAUAAAUAGUAUAGGCAGUUCUCUAGCUGAGUACACUAACCACCUAACUAAUAUGCAAUGCAAUUAACUAAUAAUCGCUAAUCCAUUGUAAUCUAAUCACCUAAUUGCACUUAAUUAAAUCUAAUCAACCUUUAAGCAACAUUAGUCUACUAAGCAAUGAUUAAUGAGAUUAUUCAUUUGAUUAAAAGUGGGGAUCAGGACAUCGUGACGGCGGUCGAAAUCGGGCUUUCAACGACAUCGGCGGGUUUGGACCGGGCCUUAAACUUGGGCCUAACAAAUCUCAGCCCAACUGAGAUUUGUUCUUGCACUAGACUGGGCUCAUUCUUAGGCUUGGGCUUGGCUGCGAUUGGGCCUUCUUCGUGGGCUGGACUUGGGCCGAACUUGCUGAAUUGGGCUCAAUGGAGCUGCUGGAUUUUUGGGCCAAAGACUUGGGCUGUUGGACUUAUUUAAUGGGCUAAGAUGGGCUGUUGAUUCCACUGGGCUUUGAUGGGCUUCAACUAGCGGGCUUAAGAGCCCAACUGAUAGAGACUUCGCUGGGUUGCUGCUGGGAGAGUUGGGCCGACCGAAAUGCAAGCUGGAUUGAAAUUUGCUGGAGAAGGCCAUGCUGGGGACGUCUGGUAGCAGAAAUGUGGGCUGGCGCGGCCCGCGAAGGAAGCGGUAGCUACGUUGCUUCGGUCAACAAACCGAAUGAGGGAGCAGCUGGUGUUCGCUGGCAGGGGAGAAACACAUGUGUUGCAGGGGCGUGAAGGUUGAAGGAGAUGGCUGCUUCGGUGGAGUCUUCAAAUUACUGAAGCUUGUUGUGAUUUGGGCCAAAAUUGUGGGGUCGUGGAGGUGAGCUGGCUUCGUGGAGAUGGGCGGCUUCGUGUGGGGCCACGAGGUCAACAAACCGAUGGAGGGGGAUGGCGUGGUUGACUGGAUGCGUGGCCUGGACGUGUGUGAGUGGAGGAUUGGUUUUGGUGGAAGAUGGUGACCGACCGAUUGGGGUGUUGGCGCUAGGAGUUGCAGCAGAGGAAUCGGUGGAAUUCGUGGACUGGCCAAGUGAAAGAGAGAGAGAGAUAGUGGAGAGGGCUUUGGUGGUGUUGAAGAUGACUCGGACGUGGCGGCAAGCUGAAGCUCGUGAGGCGAGAGAAGGCAGUAAUUUUUUUCAAUGGAUGUAGCUUGGAACAAAACGAAAGAGAAACUGUGAAGAUGGAUAGGAACGGAGGAGGUGGACGUUCGGUGGACUGGAAUUUUCGCUGAUUCUACUCUCCCUUGCUGGUCACACACGGGUUGGAGAAAAAGAGAGAAUGGAGGGUCCCCCUUAGCUUGAUCUUUCCAAAAAAAUAUCUUCACAAACCAUCUUAAGCCAAGUGUUUUUGCUUGGCCUCCAUUAGGUCACACAUACACUUCUUCUAGAAGCCAAAAAGGUCCAAAGGUUGUGGCUUAGGGGGUACACGAAUUUGGGGGAGGGAUGGACUCAAUUGCACAUCAACUCUCUCUUAAUUCGAUAUCAAAUAGCCUCUAAAAAUCAAUUGAUCCACCAUUGAUUACCUUGGCAUUCUUCCUCACGUAUAGCCAUCUUGCUUUUCAAUUUUGCCAUCAAAACAUUCCCCGGCCUUUUCUGCACAAAAUGGUUAUGUACAAACUUUUUUCCAAAAAGUCUCGACUGUCAGAAAAAUCUUCUAAGAUUGAGUCAACACUUCUAUAAUUUAUUGCGACAUGGCAGGAAUUUCAAUUUCUGAAAUCAAACUUGAAUUCUUAGUUAAUUUCAACUUGGCGCGUUUUUAGCGUGAUUUAGGCUACUAGGUAACUUUAAGAUAUUUUAAGUGCAAAUGACCCGUGGUCGAUUUUCUUCGAGUCACUAUGAACCCACUUGACUCAUUGGCGACUCUCGAUUGUCGUGAAAAUCUCGAGUAUCCAAAUACGUACACAUGGUACCAAAACGAUAGAGAAAUCAAAUUAGUGCCGGCCAACGAGAAUUUUUCAAUUUAGUGGUGUCACCCACGAUUAGACACACAUCUCAAUCAACCAACCUAUAUUUGAUCUCAAAUCGAUUUAUAUUUGUGCCGUAAUAAUCUCGAUAGAUGAGCACGGUCGAGAAGCCGAUUCCUGGUUGAAUUCUCAAGUCUAUUUGCCUUAAAAUUCUUAAUGGCUUUCCCUGAUAAUCUAGUUAUCUCAAGAGUGAUUAGUUCUGAAAAUAGCCCUAUAGGCAUGUCAAUGAAAUGGCCGGUUUAUUCAGUAGAAAACGGAGUUGAAAUUCAGGGUUUUCAUAGAGAGAGAGAGAGAGAGAGAGAGAGAGAGAGAGAGAGCCUUGACACAAGCCUGUCGCGACCCGAUCUCGCCGCCCUCGAAAUGUCCAAGGUGGGAAAGGUCAGGUUUAGGGGUACUUGAUCUCAAGAUCGCGAGCUCUCCCAAGCUCGUACCCCGCGUGACAGUAGGUUUAUUUAUGCGAUCUAGUUGUUUAUAACAACCUAAAAAUAUACAAGAGUAGCCACUAGCCUCGUUUUUGGGGGUCGGCUAGAAACCCAAUCGAGGGUCGGGAGUGUUCCCUCAAUUCCUACACAACCAAAUAUUUAGGUUCGGGGACUUGGGUUACACUAAUAUUGCUAUUAGCGCCCUUUCGGUACCUAAACAGUAUGUUGUGUUUUUUCCUAACAUGUCCAUGUGUUUCGUUUUAUAUUUUCAGGAUCAUCAAUUCUAUACUAAAUGAUCAUGCGUGGUGGAUUACUUUCAUUCUAUUCUAUUCCUAAAAAAUGAAAGGAAAACAAACAAUGAAAAUGAAAUUGCAAGACAUGAAGUAAACAAUCAAGAAAAACAGUUAAACCUAAUCAUGCAAUUCUAAAAAUAUAAAAGAGAAAACAAUUGGGAAAGAAAGGAAACCCGCAACUCGUUGGGUUUUAUACAAUGCAUGGAACCCGAGACAUAUGUCGGGAAAACAAAUAGUACAUGACAACGGUCGGAGUGGACAUCGACCUCCACCAUCUUCACGCAAAGGUCCACCUUUGGGGCCCUAAUCUAAACCUACUCUAAGAAAUCUAGAUGACUAGAUGCAUACAAAUGAAAGAAACAAUCAAAAGCAAGACAUUUUUUAUGUUCAUAAAUGGUGACUAAAGUCACGAAGUUCCUAAGUCAAGUUCUAUGCGACAUCCCAAAGGCACUUACAUUAUCCUGCAUCGCGCCUAAGUCAUUUAUCUAACAAUCACAUGCGAGGCAUAUUAAUUGACAUGCACUUUGGCCAUACGAUCUUGACUCUUAAUCAAUCCAAACCAAUGAGUGAACCAACUAAGGAUCACUUAUUCAAACACAUGCACCAUUGAAUUCGCUCAACACAUGUAUUCAAGGGGAAUGAAGCAUUCAAUAUGUAACCCACAUGAUACUUAAAACCGUUUUAUAGACAAUUGACAAAGGACAUCAUUUUAAAAGAUUUGAUGAAAAGGGAGAUAUCAGUUCAUCAAGUCAGGGAAUGUAUCUAGUCAUCAAGGCAAGCUUAGGUGCAUCAUGGGCACAACUGAUCAAGCUUCAAAGACGUUCUAAACAUGUUUCAAACCUCAGAUAGCAUUGAUGUCAAGCCAAAAGCAUGAUUAAGAAAUUUGGAAAUACAACAUGAAAGCUUGGAAAUUGUAUGCAUCGCGAACCAAAUCAUUUAGUAAGUGACACAAUUGGGAUGUAAGAAAACGACAUUUCAUAGACACUGAAGCAUAAGAGAACAUAAACUUUUGAAAGCAAAGGGAAACAAUACAUGGCAGCAAAAUCUUGCGAACAGAUAAAAUCCCACCCAGGUUAUAUGGUAGCAAAGGAAAUUUGCUUCUUUGUACUGCAAAAAGCUUUGCUAUCUAACGUCAGUUAACACAGCAAAUGCAUACAUGAACAACAAACAUCAAAUGCACGAUCGAACAACUCCACAUAUUAGGGCAUAUGAACGGCAAGCAUGCACGGAAUAGACAUAAUCUGUAACAUAACACAUUGGUACGAACACAACAAUUUUCCAGAAUUACUCCCUAACUUUUAAAGAAGGUUUCAUGUGGCUAAUGAUAUCGGAUCAGGGUGUGUUAUAGCUUGUUGGAAAGCUGGUCGAACCAUCUUCAACUCUCAUGAAGGCAUCAAACAUAGAAAACCACAGCAACCAGCUCAUAUCAGGUCAUUUGCACAAAAGGCCAUUCGAAACAAAGAACAUAUCAGAACUGCAAAAUUUCAAACAAGGUUAGGGAUAUUCUAGGCAUACUCGACCUAGGUAAAUGAUCUUCAAUUAUCACGAAAUUUUUAUUUGAUAUAGAUUGGAACCUAAUGAACAACUUUCAUUUAGACAUCAACUUUAGAAUCUAAUCACAAAAAAUCAUGUGAAAAUGGCAAACAACAUAGGUCAUGAAAACAGAACACUUAAUCAUUUAUCAAUUGUAGCUCCGCUUGUAACAAUUGUUGAAUCUAGUAAAUGAUGAUCAAAUCCAAAAGUUCACGGCAUCCAUUAGAAAAUAUCAAGAAAGAAACAAGCCUCGAGCAUAGUACAAAAGGACAGCAAGCCUCGAGCACAGUAAAGACUAUGAACGUGCGUUUAGCUUAGGCAUUUCAUCAAAUGCUAAAUAGGCGCAAGAAAAACAGGGAGCACCGAGACUGAGCUUGAGUAGGGAUUCAAAAACAAUAAACACCCAAGACCUCGCAAUCGCAGCAGUACCAACCAGCAAUGAAAGGGUUGAAGCUUACCUUGAAUGAAUAGGCGAAGGAUCACAAGCCGUCGGCUGUUGCCGUUGACGAUGCUGUUUGAGCCCUAAACGUCAAGCUCCUCGACCGACCGUUCCAGCGAGUUAGAUAGGGUGCGCGAGAGAGCGAUCGAGAGGGAGAAAGCGUUUAAGUCAAAGGAAGUGAACAGGAGAGAGAAACCAUAUGCCAAAAACUCAGUGGAUUGAGAGAGAGAAAAAUAGCUCAUCGUCGAGCAAACGACAGAGCUGAGAGAGAAACAGUUAAACGUCCUAUCGUCACCGUUGUUGCCGUCACCGCUGAUGUCGUCGAUCGGUCUCGGAGCUCAAUCCUUGGAGCUGAACCGGAACCCCAAAUCUAGAGAGAGAAUGAAUGAUCGAGAGAGAGUUCGAUCCGGCGAGCUCCCGCACCUCCGAUCGCGCCAAUAAAGGAAAACCCCAACUAAUCGAGCUCCAACCAAGAGAAAGCACUGAUCUCCGACCGCCGAUGUCACCGCCUUCAGAUCCUUACCCUCGGAACCGAACUGAUAUCUCCAACAACUUGGCGCGAUUCCGAGUCACGCACCACAAGUUCCUCGAUCAACAGUUGUUCCGUCUUCUAGAGUUGAUCGGGAGAGAGAGAGUCUCUGAUCGUGAGGAUGCCGGAUCUGGCGCGCUACUUCUCAAGAGGAGCUCUGCGAGACUUGGAGGCGAUUGUCGAGGGAGGGAGCGGAGCCAUGGCCGGCGUCGGAGGGUUCUUCGUCAGCCUCUGAGAUCGGGAAGAAAUCGAGAGAGAGAGAGGAGGUUGUUACGGCGAAAGAGAGGGAGUGUGCGAGUCCGUUCGGUUGUUUAGUCGAGAGAGCGGGAACUAGCGAGAGAGAGAGCGUCUCUGAGAGAGAGAAUCCGCGCCAGAGAGAGAGUACCCCCCUUUGAACGCCCCCCUCCUUCCUUUUCUAUUAUUUUUUCCUUUUCUCUCCCUUUUUCUUUAUUUCUCUCCUUUUUUUCAUUUCAAUGAAUUUUUUUUCAUUUUUUUUUAUUUUUGCAAAAUAUUUCCGUAUCAGCCGAAAGCAAACUCCGAAAACUCGACACAAGCCGAAAGCACCCGAGAGAGAGAGAGAGAGAGAGAGAGAGACCUUGGAAUCGGGUGCGGACGACGUCGAGGGGGUGCGCGACUACGACGAUGGCGAACCCGGCGAUAGCUCCGGCGGUGGCGUUCUCCCACUAACGGAUCUGGCGAUGGCGCGACGAAGGAAAAGCAAGUCUGCAGGUGAGAGGUAAAGAUAGAAACGAAUUAGGGUUUUGGAUUUUGGCCCGCCUUAAAAACCAGUUCCCGAACCGGUCCGGUCGAUCCGAUUCUCGGGUGAGUAAUCCAUCGAAAUCUAUUCCCAGAUCGAUUCAAAUAGGGUAUGGAAUUUGGGAACCGAUUCCCGGACCGGUUUCAACUGGAACUGGUUCCCAAUCUUGUUUUCCGGGUGGGCUGGACCGGGAACCGGGUAAACCUGAUCCGGUUGCACACCCCUAGUGAGCAUGGUUCGAAGGUGAAGCUUAGAACUUGAUAACCAGACCAGUUGAAAUAUGUAGGUUCCCAAGUUCAAAGAUAUACAUGAUAGGUUUUAAGUUCUAAAAAAUGAAAAGUUUGUUUUGAUGGAUAGAUUUUAGAUUUUUAGUUGGAGAAACUUGGAACUUGGAACUUAAAACUCAGAAUAAGUUUUAAGGCUUUUCUUAGUCCAUGUCUCUGUGUGAUGCUCCAAUAUUUUAUAUUGUUCGAUGAUAAGUGUAUAAUUUGGAAGUACUAGUCUAAAUUUUCAUUUUAUAACUAAGAUUUUUACUUUAUUAAUGUUUAUAUUUUUCGUAUGUCUAAAUAUAAGUUAUGGUUAUUGAACUGUAAUCGUUUAAAUAAUUAUAUAGGUGAAACCUAGAUAUACUCUUAUAUCGAUUUUUGAACUUGUGACAGGAUAUGUUUUAAGUUAUAGGAUCACAGGUUUCAAGGUAUUUAGGGUAGGUUCCAGUUUCCAGAAAAAGAAAAACUUGUUCCAAUGGAUAGGUUCUAGAUUCCAGGUGGAAGAUGGAUAAAACUUAGAACCAUUUACCCUUACUUUAGAUGAACUUCAAAUCUAAGAAAGUUAAUGUUGUGAGGUUUAGGGCUUUUGAAUCAUAUAUUUCACUUGUAAUAGUGUUUAGGACCUCACAAAUUUUGAAGCCCGAGUUGAGGCAAUAGUUCAUUUUAAAGAACGAAUCUUAUAUUUGGAGAAAGUUUGGUUUCUUUCAGACAAAUCCUUGAUAAUGUAAGGUUUGGAUCAUUCAAAUCAUCUAAUUUGCAAAUAAUGGUGUUUAUUUUAAUUCAAAUAGAUUUUCACAAUCAUUGCAACACUAGCUAGGGGGAUGUUGGCCUUAUGCUCAGCAAGAAAGAAAAGUCUUGAUUUUGGUUGAAGAUUUUUCUAUAUGAGGGUGGGGUUACCAUUGUUUUGAGGUCCAUUUCUCAUGACGUGUGAGAUUGUGAUUGUGAUUAUGAUUUUCUAUUGGUUUUGUGGACUAAAUUUGCAUAUCAUAGGGAUCUCUCCCGAGAGAGUUGUAGAAUCUUUUCGGCCUCACGGUUUGCUUAGGUCUUGUUUGGUUAAACUUUUUCAAGGGGCUUUGAGUCCCAGAGUCCAUUAGGGAAAAUAUAAAGUGUUUAGUGAGUGCUUUUGAGAUUCCAGUGGCCAAGUGCUUGUAUUGGGAAGGCCCAAAGCCAAUGCUUUGGGCUUUCAACAUUUUGGGAAUGCAAGUCCCAUGGACACCGGUCAUCUCUUCACUAUUACUAUUCAUCUUCCCCAAUUUGAAUCGAAGAGCUAUAAGAGGCUGACGAUCAUCGCUAAGGGGUUACACGUCCCCUGCAAUUGUUGCCUAGGUCGCGUGACCUAGGGCAUCACGUUGGUCCCAAUGGCGAUUGAGGUCAAGCAACCUAGGUGAGGUUGUUGCUUGGGUUGUGUGUUCCAAGGUGUUGUCGGAGGUUAUGCGACCUAGGGCAUUGCCUAAGGUCAACAACCUAGGCAGCGGGCGAUGUUGAGCAACCUAGGUGAUGGUUGCCUGAGGUCGCAUACCGUCGAGCAUUAAUUACUCUACGAUUCUUUCAUUUCCAUGUAAAGAUCAUUUUCUUCAUGAGUACGUUCAUCUAAGUGACCGUUGCUUGGGUUGCUCGAUCUAGGUGGUGCUUGAGGUCAUGCAACCUCAGGCCGCCUCGCCUAAGGUUGGCAACCUUAGGUGAGGAUGCCUAGUAAUUGAGCUUUGCCAGAUUAGUUUCGAUUUUUCAAAAUGAAUAAAUAAAUAAAUAAAUUUCUUUUGUGAAUGUAAAAUGGCAUUUAAGUCACAGCUCUCUUUUAAUGUACUUUAGAGUUAUAAUUUGCCAAACAAGAUAGCAUUUUGAUGUUAUACUCAAAAUAUUCUUGUUAUUGCUUAGACUUGAAAACAGUUUUAGUCCAAAAAUAUUUGCAUUUUCUCAAAGUCAUUUUCCACCUUAAUAAGUUCACAGUUUUAAAUAAUUGGACUGUCGUGACAGGCUUCCCCUCCUAACUAUUUACCUGACAAUCCCUUUUUUACGCAUGAUUUUGUCUUUUCGGCUUUGCUUUAGAUAUACCAAUUGCAAAUUUGAUGCCGUUUCUAGUACAAACCUAGGGAAAUGGUAUUUGUUAACAAAAUAAUCCAAGGCGUUUUGUGAUUGUUGCGAAUUAAAAUGAAUUUUUAUUUGUCUAAAAAAUAUGUAUUCUUUUAUAAUUGUCGCAUAUUUUAUUCAGUGAGUUUCCAUUUAUUCACGUUACUUGAACUUGAAGAUUCAUGUUUAUGAAGGUGAUGGGAUUAAUUGUUAUGUGAUUAAGCUCUUAAUUAGUCAUCCUAUCGUGGAUCCAAGUUUAUGAAGCCUAAUAGGGGAGAAGUGUUAAAAAGUCUUAAACCUUUUGUAUUUAUGUCAAUUUAGUCUUAAUUUUUUUUUUUGUGUCAAUUUAGUUCUAAAUCUUGUUAUUUUUUGCCAAUUUAGUCAUUUUCAACCAAUUUUGGCCGAAUUUUGUUGACUAGGCGCCGGCUAGCUGACGUAGCUUGAUCAGUGCUAAAUAGAUAACUUUUAAUAAUAUUUUAAUAUUUUAGAAUUUUUCUUUUUCUUUUUUCCUUCUCCUCCUCCUUUCGGUCAACGAGGUCGAGGUCAAUCUCGCUGAUUGAAGGAAGGAGGAGAGAAGAAAAAAAGAAAAAAAAUUCAAAAAUAUUAAAAUAUUAAUAACCGGUUGGUGCCCAGUUAGCUCACCAACCACCAAAAUCUAACUAACCUUAACUUCACCGGAGAAAGGAGGAGGAUAAGGAAAAAAAGAAAAAGAAAAAGAAAAUUUCUAAAAUAUUAAAAUAUUAUUAAAAGUUAUUGGUGAUCAGAUUACUUCAGCCAACCGGCGGUCAAUUAGCAAAAUCUGGCCUAAAAUUGGCCAGAAAAGACUAAAUCGAAACAAAAUAAAAAGAUUUAGAACUAAAUUGGGACAAAAAAAGGAUUUUGACUAAAUUGACACAAAUACAAUAGGUUUAGGACUUUUUUAACACUUCUCCUAGCCUAAUAGCCUUAUGUGUUUGGAGAUACAAAGGCAAUCUCUCUUGAAAUAGUGAAAAGGGUCGAGCUAUCAGACAACAUAUUUUAUGAACUUGAAAUACAUUAGGGCUAUAGGGGGAAAAUUGUUUAAAAAGUUCUUAAUCAACUAUACUUUUGUUAAUUCAAUCCAAAACAUUUUAAUUUUGUUAAUUGAGUUUUAAUUCUAUUCAAAUUGGCCAAUUGAAUCCUAAACUCUUUCAACUUUGUUAUGUCAGUUUCUUCAAUCAAUUUUGAUGGGAUGUUGAUCAUUCUUUUAUUAUGUGGCUGGCAAUGACGUAGAUAAUUUUUCAUUAUAAUUUAAUAUUUUUAUUUUUAUUUUUCUCUUUUCUUCUAAUCAUGGAAGAUUUUUAUGCUCUUGAAGUAUAACUAUUCAAAAUAAUGAACAACUUGGUUCUAAUACCAAUUCUUGUGAUUAACUAUACAAUCUAGAAGGGGUGAAUAAGUUGACUUAUGAAAACUUAACAAAUUUUGUGGAAUGAGAUAAGUAAAGUUUAAAAUAUGUGGAACGUGCUUGAAAUUGACAAUAUCAAGGGCAUUAUGUUUCCAUCAAAUGUAAAAGAGAUAAAUUAAUGUGUACAGAGUUUAUAGUGGUUGGAUUUGCGAUUAAUGCCUACGUAAAUAGGCUUAAAUUCACAAGUAAUUUCUUGAGUAGUUGCAGUGUAGUAGGUAUUACUUCUUCUCGAAGUUGUUACAUCACAUAAUCAAAAUUCAAGCACCACUACAACGCUUGAGCACCCCUCAAAUUAAAUUAAAAUCUUUGACGAGUAGUCUCAAUGGCAAAAUGAACUUCUUGCUCAUAAUAGUUAGAAUAUCAAUGCAUCAAUAUUUUAAGCUUUUUUUGUUUUGUAUUUGUAUCUUUUUCAGAAUGUCUUGAACUUGUCGUGUAGUCUUCAAUCUCCCAAAUAGCCAUUGGAUAAUGUCUAAAUGUGUUUUGUUCAACUUGUUCAAAGGCUUUUCAGUCUCCAAAGUCCUUUGGAGAAAUAUUAGAGUGUUUGGUAAGUCAAAUAAGCCUUUUUAAAUAGUUUUGAUCAAAUGUUCAUCUUGAAAACGUUGAAAGUCCAACUAAGUAGGGAUUGGCCUUUCAAGGUAGAAUUUGCAAAAUAUUGAAACUGAUGUUAAUUUUUUUUAUUUUCAAAUUUUUUUUAUUUUGCCCCUUAUUGCUACUAUUCAUUUUCUUUGCGAGGGCAGCUAACGAUGGUCGACGAGGUUAAAUUUGAUCGAUGAAGGACUGAUAGGAGAUUGAUGAAGGGUCAACGAGGUCAUGCGACCCAUGUAAUGGCCACUUGAGGUCACAUGACCCUCGCUAGGCUCUCAAGGUUGUGCAACCUUGGCUGACAGCUUGAACCCUUUGUUGGAGCCUACAAAGGGUUUGAUUUCUUUUUAUAAAAAAAAAAUACAAUAAUUACAAGCAAAGCCCUUUGCAAUUUUUUAUUUAUUUAACCAAACACUAGUUCAAUCAUAGUUGCUUUACAAAGAAUUUUUAACCAAAAGCCAUUUGCAUUUGCCCAAACCCCAUUAGGCUAAAAAGUCUUUGUAUUUCCCCAAUGAGGCUUCAAAAUAGUGAACCAAACACACAAUAAGAGCAUUGACAUAGCUAUUGAAGAUAAUCAAUACAAUCAUUGAAGAUCCUGUUUGCCAUUCAAUCAAAUCUUCCUAGUAAUGGCAUAUUUUCCACAAAUAGAGUUGGCCAUGCCGAAGAAGAAAUAAAAAUCCAUUUCUCCCAAUGAAUGACAAUUGAUUUGAUCUUCUCAAGCACAUUAGCAAUCAAGAUUCCUAAUUUGCUCACCUCAUACCUCCUAGUAUCCAUGAACUUCUCAUUAUUUUUAAUUUUUCACUCUUCAUCAAUGUGUAUGCAGUCCGUACUGGUAUUCUUGCUUUGCCCCUUGAAUCUCAUUAAUGACGAUAGAAUAUCCUUUAUAUCACUUGAAAUAGAUCGAAUCUAAAUUUUUUGAGUGAUAAUGAAAAGUAAAAGGUUUUGUCAACUUCAAAGUAUGACAUAAUUUUUCUCCGCGUAUGAACUAAAAUUAUUUAGACACUUCAAGCUUUAAAAAUCACACUUUAAUUUCUUGACACCUCUCAUUUGGAUAUUUGAUUUGUGAGAGUAUACUAUUCUUGUUCAUGACGCAAAAUCAGCAAAAUUAUAAUUAUAAUUAUAUUAAACUAUGAAGUCAUAAAUAUAAGGGACAAUUCCAAAUAAAAGUGUAAAGUGCCACCAUAUUUUUAGAUAAAGGCUUUAAGUGAACUUUAUUUUAGAUUAGGGCUUGAAGUGGAUUUUAUUUCCAAUAAGGAUUUGAAAUAGUUAUGUCAGUUUCAAUAAAUGACAUGACCUCAUAAGCUAAUCGAUGGCCUUUGCAUGUAUUUUUUUCUUUCUAAUAUUUGUAUUUUUCUAAGUUUUUUUUUUAUUUUUAUUUUUUGAGUUUUUUGUGGAAAUAAAAAAAUAGAAAAAGGAAAAAAAGUAAAUUAAAAAGUAAAUGAGAGAAAUACCUUCGAUGAGCUAGUGAGGUUAAGUCUUUUGUUGAGAUCAACCUAGUAACUGAGGCUCCUAAUUGAAAUAAGAAUAUCAUUUCAAAUUUUUAUUCGAGAAAAUGAGAGUAGUUCGCAUCCUUAUUUUAAAUUUUUUCCAAUUAUAAUAGUGUAUUUAUAUAAAAUAAAGAAGAAUACCUAGUACUUUUUUUUUAAGCCACGACAUUUUUUUUUCCAUUUCCAAAACUGACCCUAGGGUUUUUUCCUUCCCUCGCUCUUGCGCUCUCUACUAAAUUCCUCUUCCCUCAGGCGCAUUCCAGCUUCCUCCGACGCGACCUGGUCCUCCGCCGCUCCCCCGUCGUCGAUCGCUUCCGCCUCCGCCUCCGCCUCCGCCGCCGCGCUCGGACGAUGGACGGCGCCCAGAAAGGCCCGUCGUCGCUGAUCAAGCAGCUCGCGUCCUGCAAGCAGUCGACCCGCGACCGCUCGCUCCGCGUCCUCCUCAAGACGUGGCUGCCCGCGCAGCCGGGCCUCUCCGAGGAGGCCAUGCGGAAGCUCUGGAAGGGCCUCUUCUACUGCGUCUGGCACGCCGACAAGGCCCCCUACCAGACCCACCUGGCGGACCGCCUCUCCUCCCUCCUCCUCUCCCUCGACUUGCCCCUCUCCGUCCACUACUUCUCCGCCUUCGUCCUCACCAUGCGCCGCGAGUGGGUCGGCAUCGACGCGCUCCGCCUCGACAAGUUCUACGUCCUGAUCCGCAGGUUCUUGAGCUCCUCCUUCGCCCUCAUGAGGAAGUACUCGUGGGAUUCGGGGCUCGUGGGGAGGUUGGUGGGGGUCUUGGAAGAGAGGGCUUUUCUUGCCGACGAUAAGCUCCAGGGCAAUGGCGUUAAUUACCAUAUUGCCACCGUGUAUCUCGAAGAGCUCAGGCCUUUUCUGCCUGCCAAAGCGGAGACCCUGGAGGUUUUGCUCAAUCCCUUCUUGAAUGUGAUGGGCAGGUCGUCGGAUAAAGUGUUGCUCGGUAAGAUCAAGGCUAAUGUGUUUGAUGUGUUGCUCAGGAUGGGGAAGGGUCUGUUGGAUGCGAAGAAGUCGGGGGUUGAGAUUGAUUUGGGUGAUGAUUUAGUUGUUUAUGGGACCAUAGCCUUGAAUAUGAGAUUUGCGAGUAAAUUCUUCGAAUUGGGAUCUUCAGCUGAGUGCAAUCAGGGGAACAGGAAGCUGCUGUUUGGCUUGCACGAGGAGUUCUUGAAGUUGGAGAAGGAUUUGGCUUCUUCGGAGUUCGAGAUUCCCAUUCCUUAUAUUUGUGCCAAUGACGACCAUGAGGAAGUGCCUGACUUGAUUCCCAUUGGUAGCGAGACUAAAAUGGAUGAUGCUGAUUCAGGUUUUCAAGAGAACGUUACGAAUGGAGUUAAGAUUACCAAGAAGCAAAAGAAAGCUAAGAAGGCUCUUGGUGGCAUGGAGGCAGAAGCAAAGAAGAAGAAGAAGAAGAAUAAAAAGAAUAAGAAGGAUGUGAAUCUUGAUAAUAGCACUUUUGAUGUGGAGAAUGCUAAUCCUGGCUAUUUGAUGUCGGAGUUCACGACGGAUGAACUUAACAGUAAUGGAAACAUGAUCUUCGAUGAAUCUAUGAUGUCUAACCUCCAAAUGGAAUUUGAGAGGGUCGCCGCUGCAGAGGGUCUAAGAAUAGAUGUUCCUACUGACUGGGAUGCAGAAAAGGCCGCAGUAAAUGGUGAUAGCUCCAAAAAGAGAAAGAGAGAGAAGACUAGAGAUAGGCAGCGAUCUCUCAAAUGUGAAAUGACUGAGAGAGGAGAUGAUGGAGAUGCACCCUCUGCAAAGAGCGGGGACACGAGUGUUAAGCGAGUCAGAUUUGCGAUGAAGAACAACUUGGUGUGGAAGCCUCACACUCCCUUACCUCCGCAAGAUCUAAGGUUGCCACCUUCUGCUACUCCUAGAGGAAGUGCACUCAAGAAGGGGCUGUCUCCUGGGCCCAUCAUGGAGAUGCCCCCCUUGGGGAAAAAAGCAAGACAGCGAGCGAGAACUGUAAAGAAGGUCCGAAAGACGAUAAAGAGCAUUUCACCUGCUGUCAAACGUCUGAAGAAGUUGAAGGCGCUAUCUCCCUAGUGGGUUUAACUUUGUAAGAUCAAGUUUUAGGAAACACAGAUUCAGUUUUAAUUGUUGAUGUUGGAUUGUUGUCCUUGGACUCUCGGGGAUAUCUACCUGGUUGGUUUAAUUUUGUAUGAUCAGGUUUUAGGGAAACACAGAUUCAGUUUUAAUGCUUGAUGUUUGAAUGUUGGCCUUGGACUUGACUUUCCCAACCAUCUCUUACUUCAUUGCCUUAUUUGUGCUGGAAUUCUUGAAUACAAGAUUGAUAGGGAAAUAUUGUGAAAAAUGGACAAUGAAAUUGAACCAGAAACAAAUUUAAAGAAUGAAAUCAAAUAGCAUUGACAUUGUUGUUAAUGUAGUUGCUCGUUGAUUGCCCAUGCUUAUGAACCUGUAGCUUUUUGGGUGUUGGCCUCAUGGAUGGUUGCUUUCCUUUUGUUGAGGAUUUGUCUUGGGGAUUUUGCACAUCUCUUAAUGUUGUUGAAGCUUUUGUUAGAAAAAAAAUGCCUCGUAGUUGAAGCUCUGCUAUGUCAGGUAUUGUUGUUGGUUUAUAGAUAGUUAUAGGUGCUUUCAUGGAGCCUAGUACCUCAACAACAUGACCAUUGUCUGCAGUGUGCUUAUUAUUACUGUAAUAAUAUGCACUUCCUUCUGGACCGAGUGCAGUCUGUUGGGAACUCUGACAGUAGCUGAACAUGAUAAUGGUUUGACAAGAAAAUUGAAUGCUAUUAUCUUUUUUAUUGUCCUUUCUUGAUAAGUUUGGACUUAUAUCUUACAUCAUCCUGGUUCUGGUCGGUUAUUUCUAGUAACUAUAUAAUUUUGUGCUGAUUUGUCGAUACCAUAUGAUAAGAUGAAGAGUCUACAUGGUGCCUCUCAUUAGAACCAAAUUCUAGGCGCGAGGUUUGUUGAUUGAAAAAUGUCACCACUGUGGAGAGGUGAUGAAUUUUGUUGUAACCAAAGGGUAGAACAUGCUACUAUUCAGCAGAUGAAAGAGCUACGAUUGUGCUUGGAGAUUGUGUGUACGCUCAUCAUGCAGUGCUGAAACGCAUUUGUUUUAGAACCAGUCUUUUUAGUGUUGAAAAACAUUAAAGUUUCAUAUUCUGGUUCUUGAUGCUCUGGGGGAAAUAAAUGGCGUGCAUCAAGAAAUCACAAGUUAAUUGCAUAAGUACUUGGUGAUUUGUGCUUUUUAAAGAUUUGUAUUCAAUUAUGCCAUUCUGUGCUUCCACUCCAACUUUUGAUAUCAGGCUUGGUUUAGACUCCACAUGUCUAUUGCUUCCUAUGAUGUGUUCAGUCUGGCAGUUCAUUUCACUAGAAGUCUAGCUAAUUGAGUUUUGACCAGUCAUUGAAGGAUGAAAAAUGUGGUGAUUUGCCCAAUACUCGAUUUCAGUUUUGAGCAAUAGGAAGUGAGUACUUUUAUGGCUGCUUUAGCAAAAGCAUGAGCAUUACUCAGGAAGACAUUGGUGACAAUGUUUGUGCUUAGAUGCAAAACCGUCUGUGGCUUACAAUUCUGGCAUCUCCUUGUUAUGUUCAUCCCUUCAUCUUGUUGCUCUGUCCAUUGUUUAAGGAGCUUGUUGAACAUGGCGUCUCUUCUCUUCGAGACAUUAUGUAGAAUUUGGAGGGUAACUUUACGAUUUCCUUGUUAGAGGUGGUAUGGUUGUUGAUCUGAUAGUGAUUCCAUAGAUCAGUUCACCUUUAUAUGCAAAUACAGUUAAAGUUGCAGCUCCUGUGAUAAAUGUCGUUGCCACUGUUUCCUCUUUGAUGUUCCGCUAAAAGUGGUGCAGGUUUUGCCUCUCUCUCUCUCGGUGACAUUCUGUUAUUUAUUCUGUUAUUUAUUCUGUUACCUAUUUGUCUCGGUAUGCAUGCAAUGUUUUGUCUGCUUUUUCUUUGACCAGUUUCUCAUGGUCAAUCUCAUCAGAGACAUUCUUGGAGCACUCAUUCUGGCCUCAGAAUCCCCUACAGAUCACCUGACGCAUAGGCCACGUGUCAGUUGGAGGUUAAAAUUUGUUGGUGGCUGUGAAUAUAUCAAUUAAGGCAGCUUUGUGGUCGUGUGUGUGUGUGGAUGACACAAUUCAUGCAAAUGAACUUUUUAUGCUUUUCUUCGGCAAAGCUUUUGCCUUAGUGAUGUCCACUUUUGCGCCCAUAAUCCUCGAUAUCUUUAUUUUGCUUUUCUAAUUACUGUAGUCGGCUUACCCAUGUAGAUAUUUUAUGGUAAGAUGUGUGUGCCUUUGGUUGAAUCUUUUAUGACCAGAGAACCUUUUCAUUGCUAAUAUUAUAUGGCGGACCUUGCUGUUACAGGUAAAUCUCAGUUUGAUUGCCUUUCUGUCUGGGUUCAUCUCUCGUUUGCAAAAGACACUAAUGUAAAUUUUGUAUUGCAGUCUGUUUGUCAAGGUUGUGUCCUGCUUGUUCUCGACUUUUGAGGAAGGAGCCUGCUAAAUCUAGAGGACAGUGAACGAACAAAGCGAAGAAUACUUUGAUCUUCAAUGCAUUGGUCCUUGCCAAGAAAGUGUCCUUACUCCUUUGAGUCAAUAUUUGGGACGAGAUGUGUGAGUAUUCAUUCCCACUUGGGCCCUUGUCUGUUACUUUCUGUCAGUAAGUGGACAGUUUAGACAGUUAUGGAACUAGGAAGAUUUGAAAGCAUCAGCAUAAGAGCAACGGUUAGAGGCCCUUUGGUGGAGACAGAUAUAUUGUGUGCUGUGAGCAUCUAUUUGGGCCCUGCCAGUGAGAUUCGUGGGUGCAAUUUCUCAUAAUUCAUUUCAUUGUGAUAAGAGAUAAUCGUAUUCUAUAAUUCAAUCAGGAUAGGGUUACAGAUUUAUAUGCUUGACCCUACUAAAACAUGCAUUACUAUUCUACCCUUAUUGCUAACAAUACUUUCUAACGUUUAGCCAAAAAAAAAACUUUUAACACCUCACCUCAAUUUGGGAUGUAGAUAUCAAAUAAUCCUAAUUUGGUACAUAAGAAAUUCACUCUAUUCCCCCCAUAGUGAUUUAGUAAAAAUGUCUACGAGUUGAUACUUCAUCUAUGUUGAAGUAUAAUCUCUCUUUUUUGAACUUUUUUUCCGUACAAAAUGACAAUUAAUCUUAAUGUGCCUAGUUCACUCGUGAAAAUAGGAUUAGAUGUAAUAUGAAUAGUUGAUUGAUUAUCACAAUAUAAAAUUGAUGAAUUUUGAUGGUGACAUUUCAAUGUCAAAUAGUAACAUCCUCAAUCAUAGUAAUUUACCCUUCACAUGUGCCAUAUAUCGAUAUUCAACUUCAAUGCUUGAUUGGAAAACUACAUGUUGUUUCUUAUUCUUCCACACAACUAAAUUAUCUCCAAGAAACAUCUAAAUUAUCUCCAAGAAACAUAUAGUAACUUGAAGUAGAUCUCCUAUCCAUAGGACAUCUAACCCAAUCGGCAUCAAAGAAGCUUUUAGUAUUUAGAUAACCAUAAUUCUUAAAUAAUAAUUCUUUGCCUGGUGCUCUCUUCAAAUAUUUGAUGAUUUGCAGCACAAAGUAUCCAAAUGAGUAAUACAGGGAGAACUUUUGAAUUGUGGUUUAUUUCGCUAAUGGCAAAAGAUAUAACAAGUCUUAUAAUGGUAAGAUAGUUUAACUUACCGGUAUCAAAGGCAAAAAAUAUAUCAAGUUUUAUAAUGUUAAGUAUCUUUGAUACUUCACUAUAUCAUGGAGUAAUUAUCCAUGUUCUUCAUCAUGUUUUACGCUGGGGUUUAUAGGGGUAUCGAUUGCUUUUGUUCCAAAAAUCUAACCUCACAAAAAAUGUUAAGUAUAUAUUUCCAUUGCGAUUAGUUGAUGCCGACAUGUGAGUAGGCUACUUUAAUACUAAUAAAAUAUUGAAAAUGUCUUAGAUUUUUAGUAUUUAAUUAUGUAUACAUAAAUUGCUUAAGUUUUCUAAUAUCAUUUGAAUCACUAUUAAUAAUAAUGAUAUCAUCCACACAAUUAAAGGAUACAACCAACUAAAGAGAGCUGAAAAUUGAAUGAUUAAUUUUACAUUAAUUUAAUCCAAAUUUGAGAAUUGCAUCACUAAAUCUACUAAACAAGUAUGAGGAGAUUAUUUAAGUCCAUAUAAAGUCUUGUGUAAAUGACAUACUGCAUUCACCCCCUGAGCAAUGAACCCAAGUGAUUGCUCCAUGCAGACCUAUUCAGCCAAAAGGCUUUUUUCACAUUUAGCUAAUGAAAUAAAUACAUGAACAUAUGGAAUUUUGGCCAUCGGAGAGAAAGUGUCAUCAUAGUCGACACCAUAAGUUCAUGUACACCCUUUUGUUACCAAUCGUGCUUUCAAUCAAUCAAGAGUGCCAUUCCGAUGGACCUUAACUACUAAACCCCAAGGAAGUAAGCUGCCAAGUUAAGCUCUUAAUUAGUGCCUACAUUUCAUCUUUCGUGGUAUGACGCCAUCUCGAAUGAGCAAGAGCUUCAACAAUACUACUAGGCAUAGUAUAGAGGACAACGACAAGACAGAUAAUAUAGGAGAUAAAUGAUCAUAGAUAGAAAAUUAGAAACAAUAUGACGCUUGUGAACACAGGCAUAAAAACCAAAAUAAGGAGCAUAACGAUCAACAGGAUGACCAACACAAGAGUAUACACCUUUUCGAAAAGCAAUUGACAAAUCAAAAUCGAAUAGAGUUUGGUAUUGUAAUUAGUGGGGGAACAUAUGAAUUAGUUGCUAAUAAAGACUAUUGUUCUAGUAUGGAUUGUACUACAUCGAUGAUAGGUGCGAUUAGCAAAAUAAAAUCCUAUGGAUGUAGUUGGAGAAAGCAAAGGAAGUUGAAUUGUUGGUAUGACACAACCAUCACCAUCACGAGACACCAUUGGAACCACCAGAGAAGUAAAAUAUGGAUGGUCUUUAAAGAAUGUCACAUACGUAGACGCGAACAUGCAGCGAUGAGUAGGACCGUAACAUUUGUAUCCAUUCUAAGUCCGAGAGUAUCCCACAAAGACAUUUUUUAGCACGAGUAUCUAGUUCAUCAAGAUAUAGGGUAAUACAAGACAAUGUACAAAUCAAAUACACCCACAAACCUGAAGAGUGAAAAGAGAGGAUAAUUUGGAUAUAAAAUAGAGAAUGAGGUCUCCUCUUGGAAAAUAGAAGUUGGGAGUCUAUCAAUUAAAUAUCACGCUAUAAGAAUAACAUGGCCCCAAAAAAAUUUAGGUAGGUGCAUGUGAAGCAUGAGACAACGGGUAACAUCAACAAGAUUUUGAUUUUUACGUUCGAUGACUGCAUUUUGUUGUGAAGUGUAUGAGCUGGAAGUUUGAUAAAUAAUACCACGAGAAUCCAUAAAUGAUUGGAAACCAGAAGUUGCGGCAAGAUAUUCUCUAGCAUUAUUUGACCAUAAAUAUUUGACAGAUAUAUUAUAUUGAUUCAACACUUCACAACAUAAUAAUUGAGAGUUAUGAAAAAUCUCUGUAUGAUAUUUAUUAAGAAUAACCAAGUCAUUUGGGCAAAAUCAUCCAUGAUGUAACAAAAUAUCUUAAUCCAGAGAAAGUGUAUCAUCUCAAAUGGACUAGACACACAACUUUGAAUGCAUGAAGGACAAGAGACUAUGAUGUUUACCAAACUGACAAGCUUCACAGUGAAAGAUAGAGAACAAGGUCUCCCUCUGGAGAAUAGAAGUUGAGAGUCUAUUAAUUAAAUAACACACGGUAAGAACAACAUAGCCCCAAAAAAAUUUCGGUAGAUGCAUGUGAAGUAUGAGGCAAUGGGCAAUUUGGAUGUAAAGUAGAGAACGAGGUCUCUCCUCAGAGAAUUAAAGUUGGAAGCCUAUUAAUUAAAUAAUUUGGAUGUAAAAUAGAGGACGAGAUCUCCCCUUAGAGAAUAGGAGUUGGAAGCUUAUUAAUUAAAUAACAUGCUGUAAGAAAAGCAUGACCCCAAUUUUUUUUAGGUAAGAUGCACGUGAAGCAUGAGGCAACAAGCAACAUCAAGAAGAUUUCGAUUUUGACGUUCAACGACUCCAUUUUUGUGUGAAGUGUGUGAGUAGAAAGUUUGGUAAAUAAUACCAUGAGGAUCAAGAAACAGCUAGAAUCUAGAACUUGCGGCAAGCUAUUCUCUAGCAUUAUCCGACUGUAAAUAUUUGAUAGAGAUAUUAUAUUGAUUCUGAUAAUGUUAGUAUAAACACAUAGAGAGGGGUGAAUAGGUGUUAAAGAAAUUUUUGUAAGACUUAACAACUUAAUUUGACUUUUAUGAGAACAGUAGACUGAAAAUGUAAAAGAUUAUAAACAGUUAUAUAAGACUGCGAAUUAAUGUAAAGAGUUUAGGGAAAGAGAAUUGAAACACAAUGUUUAUAGUGGUUCGGCUUAGAUCAAGCGUAUGUCGACUCUUCCAUACUGACAGCCCAUUGGCUAGAUUCCACUAAUAACCAAAAGAGAUUUUACAAUCUCACGUCCUUGAUUCCACAGUGUAGAGAUUCUAUUACACUUCCUCAAGGCCUCACAAGUAUUUGAUCUCUCUUUUGAGUACAGUUUAAGCUCAACAAAUUGAAAUAGCAAAUAACUAAGAGUUUUUCAUACUUUUGAAUUUUUCUUUCACACAUACACCCGAAUAACUUAAGCGUCCUCCUUAUAUACUCCUCCAUGCCAUGAUAACCAUUGGCAUCUUCCAAAGGAGUUCUUCUAAUCUACUCGUUGGACAUAAUCAAUUAGGAAGAUCUCGAGUUAUUAAAUGAAUAUGAUGAUAGUCCACCAAUCCUGCUCGCCCAUACAAUCAGGAUUUAGGUUUCCAUAAGUAGAACUUUCCAAGUAUACUUCGCUAAUCAACGGAUCUAAUUAUUCAAAUUGAUUUCAAUAAAAAUAAUUGAUCACGAGAUGCUAUCUCCAACCAUGAGAUAUUCUUCAGCCGUACGAACCAAAUCCUUAAAGAUAUACUUGCAUCUGGAUAAGUCUUUUUCAUCGGAUAAAUCUUUUCUUUGUCAGUCUGGAAACUAUCAGUGAUAAUAGACUUUGAAUCUUCAGACUUUGUCAAUAGAGUUUACAAGUCUUCAGACUAGACUGAUGGAAAUGUUUUGUUAACUUCAAAACAGAUAAUGAAGUUUUCUCCAACAUAUUCAACACUUCAAAAUAUAAUAACUAAAAGCAAUGAAAAAUCUUUGUAUGGUCUUUUAUUAAGAAUAACAAGUCAUUUGGGUAAAAUCAUCCAUGAAAGUAACAAAGUAUCUAAAUUUAGAGAGCAUCUUAGUGAACCACCUUAAAUGGAAUAGACACAUGACUUUGAAUGCAGGAAGAAAAAGAGACUAUGAUGUCUACUAAAUUGACAAGCUUCACAUUGAAAAAAUCUCACCAACUCGGACUCAAGAAAUAGACACCAAAGUACGUUCGAUGUUGGGUGAUCAAUACGACAAUCAUCUGAUAUAUAUCAGCGGAUGUAUGAUUCAUAGCUAUGGCCGAUAGCACCUUUUUGUCAAGAUAGUACAAACUAUUUGAUUUAUGUCACAUACUGAUCAUUUGUCUAGUUCUUAGAUCUUGAAAGACAAUGAGGAGAAGAAAGAUUAUAGACGAAUUCAAUUCUUAAGUUAACGGGCUAAUAUAAUUAAAUUAUAAAGACAUUGUGAUAAGCAAAGGACAAAUGACAAAGAAAGAGAGGGUCUUAAAUGAGCUACUUCGGUACCACUAACCUGAGAUUGUGAGCCAUUUGCUAAUGUGACCGAGGAUGCGUUUGGGAGUGGCAUUUAGAAGCCACUUUGAACCUCCAAAGCUCCUUGGGCCAAUUUGUGGGUGUUUGGUAAAAUUUUUUGAAACCCCAUUUGGGGAAUGCCAGCCUUCACAAGGCUGAAAGCCCAAGGUAGGUGGGGGGAUGCCUUGGGCUUUCAGCAUUCUUGCCAUGCUAAGCUCUAAGCCUAAAAAUUUCUUCCCAAAUUGUCCUCAUUAGUUUUUCGUUUUUCUGAUUUUGCCCCGACUGUUCAUCUUCUUCUAUCUUCUUCUUUGUGAGUGGUUGCUGACGAAGGGCACACGCAGUCGCCGGCAACAGUCGCACCCGCCACGCUGUGGCCUCUGCGCGACCCUCAGGCAAGGGUUGCGCGACCCGCCAUGCCACGAUCUUCACCGCGGCCGCACCACCCUUCGACGAGGGUCGCGUGACCCCGAUCAAGAGGUCGCCGCGGAGGUCGCGACCAAAUGUGGUCGCUGGGCGUGACCUUGCGACCUUCGCGUGACCCAUCUGGUCGCAGAUCUGGUUGCGACCAGAUGUGGUUGUCGGUUGCGACCUUCAGGCGACCUCUGCAGAGGUCACGACCGUGACCCAUUUGGUCACAGAUCUGGUCGCCGGUCGCGACCUUCGCACUGUGACCAGAUGGGUUGCCGACCGCUACCUUCGCGGAGGUUGCGAUGCAGAUUUAGUCGCCAGCCGUGCUUCAGGCGACCUCCGCAGAGGUUGCGACCUUCGCGCGACCCAUCUGGUCGCAAAUCUGGUCGAGACCAGAUGUGGUCGCCGGCCGCGACAUAGAUCUGGUCUCUGGCCGUGACCUUUAGGCAACCUUCGCGCUGCAACUAGAUGGGUCGCCAGUUACAACGCAGAUCUGGUCGCUGGCCGUGACCUUCAGGCGACCUCCGCAGACGUCACGACCUUCGCACAACCCAUCUAGUCGCAGAUCUGGUCGCCCUGACCCUCGUCAGAUGGCCUGCAUCGGACCGCCUACCCUUCGCUAGACCGCUUCCUCCUCACCGGCGACUACUUGUUCUUGGCCGGCCAACUCUUCUUUUUUCCAAACACUAUUUUACUCAAAGGUAUUUCAUAAAGGACUUUUUACUAAGCACAAUUUACAUUUUGGAAAACAAUUUUCACUCAAUGGCCUUUGCAUUUCCCCAAAGACUUUCCCGAAAGUCUUUCCAGACGCACCAUGAGUUUGCAAUAAUGGAGAUGUAGAAUGAAAUGAAGAUAGUAGGUUAGAGUUACUAGUCAUGUGAUUGGUAGCUGCAGAGUCUAUAACCCAAGAGUUAGACACCGCAUGAAACAAGCAUAAUGAACUACCCUUGGAGAUUUGUGCUAAAGUGGCGGUAGGAGCUAAAGAUCAUGUCAUUCAUUGAGAGCCAACUAAUGUAUCAACUCAGCAUGUGUCAAUGUAACUAAAUUGCUUGUAUUCUACAUAGUAGUGGAACUUGGUGGAAUAGAUAAGGGAGGGACAAGAGAAUUCUUAACUUCUACAGAGGCAACAAAGUUUGGUCUAAGCUCUAGGGUGAAGAGUACAGUACUGAACUUCUGUAUGUCCGGCUCUUUAACAAUGAUUGCAAUAGCAUGAGCCACAACCAUUCCUAGAAUUAAGGAUACCAUGAGUGCCAACCCCUCAUCAUGGCCUCCACGGCCUUCACUGUGAACAAAAUUGCAUCCACAAACUCAGUAACCACAAUCGCGUCCUCCACAUCCAUUGGACCAUGGGAAAUCAUAACACUCAUCUCCAAAGUUGGUGCGUAACAAAUAUUUUUUGUGAUUGCAGAAUGAAGUGCUUGAGAGAUGAUUGCAUUUAUUAGUAAGAUGAGAGAUCUGAGAUGUGGUAUGUUGACAAAGAGAUGAACUUAGGCCCCAGUGACUUGAUUUUGUAAUAUCAAUCUCUGAUCCUUUUGGUGUUAAAAUAGCUAGAUCAACCAAUGUAGGAAGAUGAGUAUCUAAUCGCUCCUAACGGGUUGUGAACCAAGCAUAAUGAUCGGAUAAAGAUUGAUCUCCCCAUCAAAUAUCAAAUAACGCUUUCCAUGUGUCACAUACUUGCGUCAUGUUAUUCUGCCCAAAAUGGAGCAAUGCACAUUUCUCUGCCUUAGCAGGGGCACAUUGAAUAAAGUGAGGACUAACCUCAAGGCCCAUACUUUUCCAUAAAAGAGUUCUAUUUAUUGCAUCUCUCACAAUCCAAUCAAUAGCUUUUUUUUUUGCUUCUUAGAUGGUAUUGUAGAUAUAAGAUAGUCAAGUUGCAUGUGAUAGUAAGAUAGACCUCGACGGCUUUAGACUAGGACGGAUAAUUAGUUCCAUCCAACUUUAUAGAGGUUAAAUGAAAGUGAUCAAAAGGGGAUCCAGAGGUUGAUCUAAUAUUUGGCAUUGGUGAAUAAUGAAUGUGAUCGAGCCAAAAAAAAAGAAAAAAGAAAAAGAAAGAAGAUGAAAACUUCACAGCGACCAACAUGUAACUUCAGUAAUUUCUGAAAAAGAUAGGGCUUCAUCCACAGUACUUCACCGAGGCUUCAUAAAAUCUUGGAAUCGAUACACAACCCCAGAACGUAUGAUUCCAUCAAUCUACUCCAAAAUGAAGCACAUCAAUUCUUCUAAAUCCAAUUCAAUAGCAUAUCGUAAUAACCAAUACCAAAAUGCCCCCUAAAUCAACUCCCAUUGAGAAAUAACUAGAAUUAGUCUUCAUUUAAAAAUCAUAACAAAACAUUCUCCCCCUGGUAGAAUUUUGCACCUUUAUAGGAUUUCGAAAAGCACCCACUGUCCUUCCUCCACGAGGAUCCCACGCAUAAAUAUUGCCACGCUUACCGAUCCCAAUGAUGGUCCAAUAUUCAAUGUUUAAUCGGAGACUUAAGGCAUUUGUAGAAGUGAAAGUAAUAGAAGAGAAACCUUUCUGUACAUCGGACCCGCGAGUAGGGAGACGCAGCUGAGUGACGCGGGCCUGAACUCGUUGGAGCCGUGGGUGGGGCGACGCGGCUGGGUGACGCCGGAAUAGAGGCGACAGUGUUGGACAAUGCUGGAAUAGAGACGACAGAUCUGGGUGAUGCCGGAAUAGGGGCGACAGAUCUGGGUGACAUCGCAGUAGUAGAAAUCGGGCUGGGUCGCUGGAAUAGUGGCCUUUCGACUAGAUUUUUAUUUUUUUUAUUUUUUUAUUGACUUACGCCAUGGUGAAGGUAUAAUCUUAUUAUAUUCAAUCAAAAAACAUAUAUAUAUGCUUAACCCUACUAAAUCAUGAAUUACUAAUCGACCCCAUUACUAAAAUACUUUCGAACAUGAUCGAACAGGGUUUCACUUCCACGCGGCUGUCCAAUUUCUAAUCGAUUUUCCCCUGUUUCACAGACAUUGGAUUAGAUUGUCAAAAGGUAACUCAAAUCAUAAAGUUUUUCCCUAUUUCAUGUUUUGUUUUUCAUUCCUAUCAAUCACAUUUGGACCUUGCAAUCCCUAUGGAGUUGACAGUUAUAAAUGCAACAUGCCUUAGGCCCUCGCCACUAGGAUGGAGUGGCUUUGAGAAUUCAAUUCUUCUCAUUUCAGGUCAAGUAAAUUGAAUCGGGUGCAGAUGACUUUCAAUUCUUGAGCCUGUAAUUCUAUUAACUAAUUAAGGCUUAUUUGAUAAUGUUUCUAUUUCUCAAAUUUUCUAUUAUUUUAUUCUCCGAAAUAGAAAAGAAUAUAAAUUUGUUUAGUAACAGCUAAUUUUUUUAUUUCCAAGAACAAAUUAGUGGCCAAUGGAUUGAUUGGAAUAUAAAAAAAAUAUAUAUAUAAAACACAUACUUCUUUGUUCCCAUGAACAUAAAGAGAAAUAAGGCAAUUUUAGAAAAAUAAGCUCAACAUAACCUAAUGCUUGUCUUUACACAGUUGACACAAGAUUUAGUCUGUUGACCCAAUCCAAGUCCCCUUUUUUUGGGAGAAAAAUAAAAAAUAAAAAAUAAAAAAUUCAGAAAAUUUAGGGACAAAUUUAGAAAUUAGAUUUUGAGUAGUUUUACUAGAUUUUAGUGUUAAUUCUAGUUUAGUUUUAAUUUAGCAAAAAAAAAGUGAAAGUCUCUUAAUGAAAAUUGGAUUCAAAAUUAAAUAAGUUUAAGGAUUUUUAAAUGCCGUUUUCUUUUAGAGAUGAUGUUAGGUCGCGAAAAUUUGGUGACUCUAGUCUUCUUCCCUUAAGAUUCUAUUGGAGACAUCAUUUAAGAUCAUUUGCAAUUCUGUUCUAAUAGAAAAUUAGAUAGCUUUGAACAAGUCUUUUGCAUUACCGUUUGUUUUAUGUUCAUAGCAGUUGAAUAAGUUUGUGCUCCAUGAAUUUACAAUGUCAUUUGCUUGGAGUUUGAUAAGUUUGUGCAAAUAAGCGCACUAAAGAUCGCCUCCAUCCUCAGUUGUUCUGUCAUUGCUCAUUUUAUCAAGCAACCUUUGCUCUUCUCCUUGCAGCUAAUAAAGCUUAAAAGAUUUAAGCACCUGUUUAUUGUCAUGCUUAAAGUUCUCCUAUCAACGUUCUUACAUUGUGAGUUAUAGACUGGUGGAACUCUCCACUGCUAUUUCUAGCCAUCCAUUUUUUAUUAUCUAUUACAUUGGAUUUUUUUUAGGGCAUCUUACGAUAUUUUAAUCAAUUAAAUCUUUACAUAAAUUCGAUUUUAUUCAAAUAUGAAUUGUUAAGUCUCUACUAACAUUUUUAUAAUUAAAUGAAAAAAAACCUGGAAAUUUUCUUUUAGGGUUGCACCAAAUACAUUUAUGUUUUUUUUUUUCUAUUCUUAGUAGAGAAAAUUUCUACAGUUAACAAACACGCUCUUCCGCUCAAAAACUUGUCAAGAGAAUAGAAAUAGAAUAAAUUAUUUUUAAACAGAAUUCGUUUCAAGGAAUAGAAAUGAUAUCAAACACACUCUUAGUAGGCGGGUUCUUACGUUUAGAUCUCUUUCAUGAGAAUGAUGUCAUGCACGGUGGACACAAAAACUAAAGGAAAAUGAUUUCACAAGCCGAAUAUUGCAGUCCGAAGAAGAGAAACUACCAACGUGCCCUUUGUUGCUUGAAUUGAAAUUGCUCUUCUAUACAAUACCGUACGUGUCUGGAUGAGUUCAUUAAUCUUGUUCAUGUUAUGGACAAGCUGAGUAAUUAUUACAAGGAAAUAAGCUUGUCUUGUGCUAUUUGGCCCUUUGAGACCCAUUUAUAUAUGUUUGUAGACAUUAACUAAGUUGAUAUGUAAUUUGUAUCAAUGCAGCAUGCUCACACACAUUUAGACAUGUUUGGGAAAAGUGUUAAAAAAGUCAUAAAUCUUUUGAAUGGUGCCAAUUCAAUUCUUUUGGUUAAUUUUGGCUGGAUUUUGUUAACUGAGCACUAGUUGGCUGACGUGCCAUGAUUAGCGCUAAUGUAGACAACUUUUAAUAAUAAUUUAAUAUUUUUUUAAAUUUUUUUAUUUUCCUUUUCCUUUUCUUUUUAUUAUUUUUUUCUUCUUCUCCUCCUUCCUCUAGCCCAUUGUCGGACCUCAGCAACUGACCAGAAGUGACAGCCGUCAAGGUUGACCUUGACCUCGUCAACCUUUGGCAAGCCUCGUCAGCCAUUGGUGAGGCUCAAGCCCUCGCUAGUGGCCACGAAGGCGGCCUCGGGCUAGGCAAUGAGGUUCACCCUUGAUCAAGCCUUGCUGGCCAUGGCCGAGGCUCAACCUCGUCAGAUCCGAUGAGGUCGAGUCUCGCCCAACCUCUGGCGAGGCUGCUUGAGUUCUCGCCAGAGGCUAAUGAGGUUGACCUCGACCUUGCUGGUCAUCGCCUCUAGCUGGUCGCCAAGGUCUAGCGACCGACUAGAGGAAGGAGGAUGAGAAGGAAAAAAGAAAAAGAAAAUAAAAAAAAUUCAAAAAUAUUAAAAUAUUAUUAAAAGUUGUUCACGUCAACGCCGAUCGUGCCACGUUAGUUGGCUGAAGCCUAAUUAGCAAAAUCGGGCCAAAACUAGCCGGAAAGAACUAAAUUGGUACCAAGUGAAAAUGUUUAUGACUAAAUUGGACCAAUAACAAGUUUAUGAUUAAAUUGACGCAAAUGCAAAAGGUUUAGAACUUUUUUGACAGAUUUCCUGACAUGUUUUGGUACAUAUAAUAACAUCUCUACCUUAACAAACCCAAAGUACCAAUGAAUUAGGUCUACCUAACCUAUUAUACAUGGCUGUUCCAUUCUUAAAAAUAGACAAUUUCAUGUCUAGACCGCUUGAUAGCUCACUUGUCAUUGCCAGGUCCAUGAUGUUAGUGAGGUGCUUCAUAGACUUGAGAUUCAUAUAGAUACGAUAAGUUUUCUUGUCAUACUUAAAAAGUUAAUCAACAUAUCAUGUUUAUCACGUUAUUUGUGGUAUAUACUAAAAUUGUGAUGAAGCUUACAAUAUAUACAUAUUCAAGUACUAAAAUUGUGAUAAAGAUUUCUUAAUGCUUGCAGGAAGUUUCCAGUCGCACCUUUUCAUAAAUUUCUUAAUUUUAUUGAACUUACAGAUUUUUUGCACAUGUAGAAGGGAGAACGUGCAAACGUUGAAGAAUUCCAAUGAUAACUUUACAUGAAGCAUGGGGAAAAUUGCGACAUAAUUUAGCAUUUUGACUAUCACCAUCUUGCACUUUUGAUUUAAUCAUUUUCAAGAAAAUUUCAGUUCAGGUUUUAAUUGUGCUCAUAAUUGUCAAGAUGUCAUAAAUAACAGACUUAUACAUGGUUGUGCGGCUUUGGUAUCUUAUUGAGAGGUUGUUUGUAAUUCACGUCGUAAUGCAUCGAUGUUGUUUCUUUUUUUCUCAAUUUGUAUGGACUAAUCCCUAAAAAACUUUCAACUCGAGAUUCAGUCUUGAUUCCAUCUUAAGCUACUUCUUUUUUUCUUUUUUUUCUUUUUUUUUGUCUGAAAAAACCCCAACUUAUUGUCCAAUCCCAAUUUUACCUAAUUCUUUUUUCUUAAAAAACCUCCAAACUAUAAGUCCAGUCUCAAAUUUGCUCUAAUUUUUUUUUUGUCUAAAAAAAAAAUCAGCAACAUCAACUCUAGCUGGGUUGUGGCUAUCUAUUCACUAGGAGUGCUUUCUACAUUUACAAUAGAGGGCUAGCCAUCUCGUUCUUUCCUUUGGAGGGUCUAUUAGGUGCUACAGACUUGGUCUCAUCAAAGAUGGAGCUACUCGCGGCCAACAGAGAUGCAGUUGGGGAUGGAUUCGUCUCUUCGGAAGCUGUUGCCGACUGCUCCUCCUCUGUGUUGGGUCAUCGCUACCUAGUCACUGUUAGUGCGCUCUUUGAAGAUGGAGGCUUGGAUUUUUGUUAUUCCUGUCCUUGCUUUGUCUUGUUUUGCUUGGGGUAGUUCUGUGUUCUGUGUUGUUUGCUGGAUACCCCCCCCCCCCCCCCCUUUGUUUGUUGUGGCCAUUGUUUGGCUAUUUGCUUUUUGCUGGUUGUUUUCCUCUUUCCUCCUUGUCUCGACACUCUUCCACUCGGUUUGACUACUAUGUCACAUUGAGUGUAAGUUUUGGUGCUGGGUUCCCUUGUUGUACAGCUAUAUAGCUUGUUGGUUUAAAGUCAAUAUAUAUUUUACCUUCUACCAAUAAUAAUAAUAAUAAUAAUAAUAAUAAUAAUAAUAAUAAUAAUAAUAAUCAACUCUAGUCCCGAAUUUGCGUUGAACUUUUUUCAUCUAAAAAAAAUCACAAAUUUUCAAUUUAGUCUCGAAUUUGCCCUCAUUAACCAUUCAUUUAAAAAUCAUCAUUAGUUGUUUGAUGUGACAUUUCCAUGUUGGUAACAAAUCUGCAUAAACAAGGUGACGUGGAAAAUAUUUGCAAAACCAAACCCUUCUUUCAUAUGUAAAUUAGAAAAAUUAGGGACAACUAAUGAUGAUUUUGGAUAAAGGGCUAAUAGGGCCAGAUUUGAGACUAAAGUUAAAGUUUGGGGUAGAUUUAAGAAUGAAUUUGAAAUUGGGGGGGGGGGGGUUUAGUCCCAAAAAAGUUAAGGGCAAAUUUGGGGUUUAGACCCAAAAAAGUUAAGGGCAAAUUUGGAUUGGACUUAAAGUUUGAGGAUUUUUUUAGAUAAAAAGAGUUGGAAACAGAAGUGGGAUUCUACAUUUAGGAGAUUAGGGCCAAUUUUUAAUUGUAAGUUCUGCAUUUCUUUUCAUCAAUUAUAUGCUUUUGUAGAGGGUUUGUCCUAAGUCAUAUAAUACUGUCCCAAGCAUGAUGAAUACGUUGUUCUUGCAUCAGUAUGAUAGUAAGUUUCUAGAAGAAAUGUACGAACGAAGGUAAUCGUGGAAGUGUGCAGAAGAUUAUAGCGAAGACCGUUACACAAAUCGACUUAUUAAGUGGGGCGACAAAUUAUAAGUGAAAGUCUAACUAAGUGAACCCAUUAAGUAUCCAAUACAAUUUUAUGGCAUCACCUUGUAAAUCGUUUUUUAUUUUUUAUUUUAUUUUUAUGUCGGAUCAAUUCUAGCAUUCCUCAAAUACAAAUUGGAAGCCCACAAUAAAGUAGAGAAAAAAGUUUUAAUAGUAUCAACAAGCAUAUACACAUUUAGGGAAGGAAUGCUUGCAACCAUAAAUUAAAAAAUAAUUCAUCUAAUAUUUGCAUUUUAGUAUUACAAAGUACGAGUUCAGAUGUGUUCAUAAAUUUUAUGCGCCUUUAUGAAACGCCUUUUACUUUUGUUUUGCACUCAAAUCAAUUGCCACACACGAUUUACGUUUUCUUAACUAAGCAAAUCCAUUCGACCGGAUAGGAUCGUCUUGUUUCUAGACCACCUGAAAUUUCUAAUGCGGGGGGGCUACACAGCCGCACUAAUGUAAUUCACCCUGUCCACAAGAAGAACUUGCAAAUUUGGAUUGGGGUUGACUUCAUCAAUAGGGCUCAUACCUGAAGUACACGUGGUGGGUUAUCUCCGGACAUCUCUCCACUCCACUAGAUCACAUGAACCUUUCUAUAUCAUCGUCUUCUAUGUCGAAGACAUUCUACGCACGCAGACACAUCGAGCCUAUUUUGUUUGGAAGAUAGAGAAGAAAAAGAAAGAGAUCGUGUGAGGAUGAUGUACGAACGGCAACAACCCGCGAGAAUUGCGGGGGCGGAGGAUGAGCUAAAGGCGGCGGAGAGGAGGAAGAGGGCGGUGGAUGAAGAGAGGUUGGAGAUUGUGGACUUGAGCGGAUUGUCACUGGAUUCUCUUCCAAGCCCUUCUCUCGAUUUGGGGAUCAUCUGCAAGUUAGACCUCUCCAACAACAAUCUUCAGGUCAGCCACAACACAAACAUCUCUCUCUCUCUCUCUCUCUCUCUCUCUCUCUCUCUCUCUCUCUCUCUCUCAUGCCCACUACGAAAAAGGAAAAAGAAAAAAAAGGGCAUUACAUACAUGCGUGUAAAAUAUUAAAAGUUAGUAUUUUCAAAUAUUUACCAAUUUAUGUGAAUGUUUUUUAGAUUUGAGAACAUACGUGUUUAAAUUUGAAAUGGGAAUAAUUUGUAGUGAUUAUAUCAUCUUUUAAUUAUUUGAAAUUGCUAUUUUGUUUGUCGUACAAUGUUAAAUCAUUAUUAUUUGUACUUCGAUAGCAUGCUUAGACUCUAAUUGAACUUUUUAUUAGAUCUUUAGAUAAUGGGGCAUACGUUAUAGAGAACUAUCCUAGUAUACAAUGGAUAAUAUUUUUCAUUGGAUUUGGACAACCGUUUGUGGUAGACCUAAGUGAAAGAUUUUCUUUAACAAAAAACCUAAUUUCAAGUGCGUUCAUUUGAUAGAAAACUCAAGAUUUAGAGAACAUUUUUAGAAAAAUAAUAGGUUCUAUUGAUUAAAAAAAUUAGUCAACGAAAAUAUUUUUAUUAUCGACAACAAUUUAUAAAUAAUUAUUUUCGUGAGUGGUGAAAAUGCUUUUUCAUUCAUUCAUUUUUGUAAGAGAAACAAGAGCUCAUUUUUCAGAAGUUAUUAUUCAAAUCUUGAGUUUUUCAAGAAAUAAAUGUAACGGUUAUAAAAAUCUCUUAUCCUUUCAACAAGGGGAGGAUAAAGCAAUUAUCCCUCAAUAAGAUUUUGAACUAUCAAGUGUACUUCGUUCCCAAUUUCGUUUUAUCUUUCUAAGAGAGAUAUUUGAUAUUUCGACACUUUUGGAAACAAUCAUCAUAUUCUCGCUACAAUAACUCGAAUUGAUACUCACUUCUUCUCAUUCGCCUGUAGUGCCAUUUCCAUGCUAUUUCUGAUUUAUUCCAUUCCAUCAUUCAAACGUGCUGUGGUGGCACCAAGUAGAGGAAAGCAACAAAGAAAAAAGAUAAUGCAUCUUUGCAUCCUGGACCGAACCCCAUCACUUAAAUAAUUCCAAUCUCCUAAGAAUUUCCAUGGCCAUGGCCUCCACCGCAAGUGGCGUCCUCGACCCGCCAGGCAAGGCUGAGGCACGUGACCUCCAUUUUGCAGAUCGUCAUCGGCUGCGGCUUCCGGCCCCGCCAUGAGAUCUUCCAAGGCCUCAAUGGCAGCCCCCAGCCUUGGAUCAAGGUUGGCGUCACUGUGACAUGACCUCGACCAAGGUCGUAGAGAGAGAGAGAGAGAGAGAGUAAGAGGGGCACGGGGCGGGCUAGCCGGUACGGUCCUCACGGCAGUCGGCUAUGAGUUGGUGUUUGAGGGGCGGGUCUAGCAUAUUUAGGUGGAUGCAUCCAAAAGGAAUUCUUGGUGGAUGGAUGUAGUAAAGUGACUAUAAGGGCAUCAUGGGUUGGGAAAUAGUAAUUUGGCAAUAAAUGUUUGUUGUGAGAUGGAAUGAGGUGUCUAAGCCAAAAAAAAAAGCAAAAAAAAAGCAAAAAAAAAGUUUCUAAAGAUGUAGAAUGCAAUUUUUUUUGGAUGAAAAUUCAAUUUUUGGCACUCUUCCAAAUAAUAAAGAUUUUGACAUGUUUGUGUUGCCGAAAUUUCGAAAUUUUUUUGACGUUCCGUUCGUUUUGGGAAAAAUGAAUGAUUUAAUUUUCUUUUUCUAAAAAGCGUAAGUGACUUGCAUGAUUCAACUCGACUAUGGCGAUAUUGGAAAAGGCAACUUUUCUCGGUUCUCCUUGGAUGAACGAUAUUUACUUCGAAUUAGUAAGUAGAUUUAUCCACUUAUCGACCGUCAAAAGGGUCAAAAGGGUGACCACCUAAAGUUAUUUAGAAUUUAUUUAAUUCCUCUAACUAAACAUGGUUCGACCCAUGAAAGUUCAUAUUGCACUGUCUUGUGUUAUCUUUCGAAAAAGAUAAAAUUGGAUUUUGCAAGACCUGCUAGAACCUGAGGUUAGUAAACAUGGGAUUGCUCUGCAUUUGAACACGCAGAUGAUACCAGAGCCGCUGGCGGCGAGGCUGGCGAAUGUGGUGGUGUUGGAUGUGCACUCGAAUCAGCUGAAGGCCCUCCCAAGCUCAAUCGGAUGCCUCUCUAAGCUCAAGCUCUUGAACGUCGCCGGAAACCUCCUCGUAUCCCUCCCGGCCACUAUUCUGAAUUGCAGGUCCGUCAUCUCUCACCGACGAUUAUUUCAUGGUCCGCAGGUCACGAGGACCGAUCUCAUCUUAUCCUUUAACUGCGUCGCUUCCAUCAUGAGUCUCACAUGAUUAGCGGUUUAGAUGGACUCGGUCUGCAGGUCUACGGACCGUACGGUGGUUUCCCUCGUGGAGCUCACUCAAUGAGUGUUAAUGUUAGAUAGGGUAGUAAAUUAGACAAAAUAUUUACAUCAACAGAUUAAGGUCAUUAUGCAGAAUAUUUCUAUCACCUAUGCUCUCUAAUCAAUUAUGGCCAUGUCUUAGAUCCUUAGAAGAGCUGAAUGCCAACUUCAACCAGCUGACCAAGCUACCGGACGCGGUUGGCCUUGAGCUCAUCAACCUCAAGAAGCUAUCUGUCAACUCGAACAAGCUCGCGCACCUGCCUCGCUCCACCUCCCGCCUCACCUCUCUCCGCGUCCUCGAUGCCCGCCUCAACUGCCUUCGCGCGCUCCCCGACGACCUCGAGAGCUUGGUUAACCUUCAAACCCUCAACAUCAGCCAAAACUUCCACCACCUCCAAGCUUUGCCUUACUCCAUCGGACUCCUACUCUCCCUCGUGGAGCUCGACAUCAGCUACAACAGGAUAGCGGCCCUGCCCGACUCCAUGGGGUGCCUCAGGAAGCUCCAGAAGCUCUGCGUCGACGGGAACCCUCUAGUCUCGCCCCCGCCCGAGGUCAUGGAGCAAGGCUUGCACGUGGUGAAGGAGUACCUGGGUGAACGGAUGACUGCCGGCUACGAAAGCCCGCCGAAGAAGAAAUCGUGGAUCGGGAAGUUGGUGAGGUACGGCACAUUUAAUGGGAAUAACAACAGGUGGGUUAAUGGAGAAGAUAGGGAAAGGCUCGCCCCGACCGAUUUCCAGUCCAUCAAUGGCCUCGCUACGCCGAGGCACGCGGGAAUGUUCUCGCCGCGGCGCCUCUUCUCUCCUCGGAAUUAUUUCUCCAGGUAAACGAAGGAGCCACGUUGGACGGGCAGGGCAUUGAUUACGUCGUUGCGAAAACGAAUAGGAGAGUUAUUUUUUUCUUGUUAAUUUUGUAUGUAUGUAUGUAUGUAUGUAUGUAUCAUUGAAGAGAGCAACGAAUUUGUAUAGCUCUACACAGAAGAUUGAAAAUUUAAAAGAUUGCAGUAUGAAUACCAGAUGGUUGUUUAGAUUGUUUCUUUUUCCAGUCCAUUUUCAUGAAUGACGCACCUUUUGUAUCCCUAAACAAAUCUCAUGCAGGACCAAAACGUUGACGCAUAAUUUGGUCGUUUAUAUUAGUGAAAAAUAAACGCAUGAUCUACACUAUUAUUUAAAGUAAAGAGGAACUCCUACCUUAAGGGAUCUCAAUCGCAAGAUCGAUAUUGUGUCGCUCCACAGCAGAGCAACGGCGACGAGUUUCGCUGCUUUUGGUUAGUUCCUCCCCUUCUUAUCAAAGGCAUUGAAAACAAAAGUGCGUCGUCGUCGUUGAUGCUCAUAUCAAAAGGAUCAACCUUAUGGUUACAUCGCCAUUGCUGCACUCCUGAUGCUCUUAUCUGCUCAAAGACGACAACAUUGAUGUUUCGUUGCUCCAGGUUGGAGCAAAGCCGACGAAAUAUUUGUUCCGUUGCGUUUGGUAUCGAAAUGGCGACAUAUCUUCCGUCGUCGCUAUUGCUUGGCCCCCCGGCAUGGCAACUAUGUUUUCUUUUGCUGUCGGAUAUCCAUGGUGUCGAAUCUAUUUUCCGCCGCAUCCAAAUUUUCGUCGCCGUAAUCCCAUUUUCCUGUAGUGACAUGUGAGAAAGUAAACCGAGUUGGCAUCUAUGUUUACUGCUUUUCUGCUGAUAUCUUUCGUUCCCAAAUAAAACAUCAUGUGCUUAUCUGGCUUGAAUGUAUAUUCGGCUGAAGAUAAAAACAAGUCGUUCUUUUUAAAUAAGCCUUCGAUUUAGUUUUUCCAAUUGGAUUUCAGUUUCCAAAGCCCAUAGAGGAAAUCCAGCCUCUAAGGCCCCUUGGGCAAAUGCUUAGGAGUUUGGCAAGAAUUUUGAAGUAUCUUUUGGCCAAAUAUUGGCCUUAGGAAUGUUGAAAGUGCAAUGCUACUCUCAUUCAACCUUCCUAAGUAACAUUUGUCAUUGUGGUUAUCGUUUUGUCAAAAAUUGAGUAUCAAUAGAGAUGACAUUAAUCUUUCGUCGCCAUCAUCACAAUUUGUGCGGACGAAUUGUAUGCAUUCAUUGUCAUAGGCUGACACGAUGGAGCAUUUGCAGCCCAAUAUCGGCACAUAUUCCCUUGCCGUUGCUUUUGGGCGACGAGUUUUACAGCCUACGGCGAUGGCGCCGAGUUGCUCCGGCGCCGUAGACUAGAUUCCCUUUUAGGCGGAGCAUCCAAUUUGAGCUUCAUCUCAAAUUCAAAAGAAAUAAUUAUAGGGACAUCAAGAAACAUGACGAACUUCAAAAAUGAAAUUGCUCGACCAACGAAUUUGUGUCUCUUUUUAACUCAACGAACGUUAGUCCAACCCCUCGAUGACAACCACAGGAAAAAGAGAAUUAUAUGGGGAUGUGAAGAGGGCCCCGAAACUGUGGAUGAUUCUCAGCCAAAUUGGAGUUAGUUCAUCAUUUCGGGUCGCUACAGCAUGAAUCUGGCCUUCUCACAAAACGCCCCUGAAAAAAUAAUUAUUCGCAUCAUUUACAAAAAUGAACAAUACAAAAGAAUAUAUUUUUAUCAUCCCCGAAAGUGUGUAAAUAUUUUUAUCAGCCGGUAAAGCCAUUAAGAUGCUUGAUACAUGCUGAUCAAUCAAUUAACUAAGAACCAAUAAGUAGACGUACCUUGACCCUAGGCCUUUCAUAGGCGGGUGCUUUCUUGACUUGAUACUCGGUCUUUUUGGAGAAGAGGCGCGUGUGACGCUUUUCCUUAUAGCGUGACCCCGUGCCUUCCCUCUCUAUUCCAUUAUUCAGAAAUGAAUCGAAAUCUGCUAGCUCGACCUGCCCAAUAUAAAUCGAAAAAAUGAAAUAUAUUAGAUCGGCAAUUAUUUGGCAUCGCCACCUUUUUUAUCAUAGCAUCAGACACAAAGCAUAUUUAUAACAAUAUUUCUUUUGACAUGAAACUCUCAUCUUAGAAGUAACUCCAUCUGAAGUACAAUCUGCGUGGAAACUCUUUAAUAGAUGACCUAAACAUGAAAUUAUUUGAAUAUGUGAAAUUAAGUUUGUAUGGCUUGGCGCAUAGGUAAGAAUAUGAGCCAAUUUCUUUAGGGACCAAGCUAGUCUUAGGUUUCACUCUUUCAUGUUCCAAAAUUCCCAGAGGUACUACUUGAGCAUAGCAUUAAAAAAAAAAAAAAAAAAGAGAGAAGAGAGAGAGAGAUAGAAAGCUAAACACAAUAAACAAGUUUACCAGUUUAUAGGCAAAAACAAAAAAAAGUAAACAAAAUUCCGGGAAAGUUAUAGGCCGUCUAAUGGGGAGGAGCGGCAUGAUCAGGUCCAAACUAAACACGGCAAAAGCCGAAACCGGCUAUCUGCGGGUCCCACUCGAAAGCAAAAGCCAUAGAGGUGAGGCCGAAGGCCAUGACUUCUAAACUAAACUUCGGAUGUGUCAUGCUUGUAUUUAGAAAGAAAAAAUAUAUAUAUUUUCUAUUUUCUCGUCAAAAUUUAGAAUAUGUAUUGAUGAUAAAAUUUAAAUUGAAAAAUUAUAAAAAAAUAAAUGUAGGACUUAUUUUACCAAAUUUGAUAGUUAGAAAAAUGGCAUAAAACUUUAUCUAAAUAUGCAAUAUCAUUUAUGAACUUUUAAUUUAUUCAAUAUGAUUAUUGAACUUUAGGCUGAUAUGAAAUAUUAUUCUUGAAUUUUAAGUUUGUUCAAUGUAAUCCUGAAUUUUUUUUAUACUUGUUCAAUUUAGUCCAUAAAAUAUAUAGAAAUAUUCAAUGUUGUCACUUUAUUAAUUUAAAUUUACAAAAAAUAUUAAAUAUUUUUAUAUAGUUCAUGGACUAUGUUGAGCAUAAAUUAAAAGUUUAGAAAUCACACUGAACAAAUUAAAAAUUUAAGAAUGAAAUCGCAUAUUAGAAUAAAGUUGAAUAAAUUAAAAGUUUAGAUAUCACAUCAUAUAUUAAAUUAAAAUUUAAAAAUUAUUUAUAUUAUUAUCCCAAUCUGGUUCGACGACUUUUUCUCUGGCCACUUUUAAAAAUGUAAAAGCGAUUUGCAAGGUGGACUUGCAUUUUAGACUAGUAUGGGACCAUAGAUUUCACGUGCUACAGUAUGUAAUAUAAAAAGCAAAAAAAGAAAAGCAACAAAUGUCAAUAACUCUAAUUAUUGUCGUACCUAUUAAUUUCAAGCAACUUUAGAAAUCUCACUCCCCCUUUGUCGCGUGCUUUACACGCGCUACAAACUUUAGUAAAAUUUCACUGUUUCAACGAACUAAUCCAGCUAAUUUUCCACGGUUUCCCGGCGGGCGGGAGAGGAGAGAGAAACUCACCGGUACGUCGGGGACGGGCCUCUCGCCGGAAAAAGGCCGGCCGCGGCGGGACCAAGCGUCCAACACGCCGUCGUAGUUCAAUUUUAGCAUCAAACCGCCUGGUUUCGGCCGCCCCCUCGCUGCUGCGUCGGCCGCCGCCGCCGGCGCCGCCGACGACGUUUGGGUUUUGGGUUCUGACGGUGUCUUGGCGGCUUUCUUCUUGUUAUUCUUCUUCUUCUUGUUAUCGACGGAAUUCGAAUCCGAUGCUCUGUUGUUGAGCUUUGGAGAGAUUUCGACGACGUCGACGACGGUGAAGAAAUUCCACCAGCUCGCUUCGUCGACGCGCUUCAGCGGCCUGAUACCCCUCCUCGUCCCGAACCCCAGCCCGACCGGAAUCCCGUAGCUCGCCGCCGCCGCUUCGGCGGCUUCAUCGCUGGCGGCGGCGCUCGCGCUCAGCUUCCCCAGGAUACUGUCGAUUCCUUCCCCGGUCUCUUCAUCGAGGAUCGACUCCGCAUCGAGCUCGUCUUCGUCGAGCUCAUCGUCCAGUUGGGGCGACUUUGAUAUGCUUUGGUUGUUGCCGCAUUGAUUCUCAGGAAACCGUAGAGAGUACCUCGGUUCGAUUCGGGGAUCUGGUUUGGCCGGAAUCGGCUGACGGAGUAAGAAGCUGGCCGUCUCGACGUCGGGAAGAGGUAACAGCAAAUCGGAGGAUUCGUCGGAGAAAUAGUCCUCGAAAUUGGAGAAUUUCCGGGGAUUUUCCAGAUACUUAGUGGAGAAUAUGGUGGGGUAGACGGUCGAGAGCAGAGCAGCCGCCUCGUUGUAAAUCUGAUUAGGCCGUUUUCUUGGGGUGCGUGCUUUUGUGGUGGAGAUCGAGAUUGGAGAAUUGCUCGAUUCCGAAAGGGUCGAAACGGGCGAAGAAGAAGAAGAAGGAGGAGGCGACGACGAUGCUCGAGAAGCCGAUAUCCAACGGGACUUAUGGAUGAUUUCCAGAUCGAACUGAUACGUCCUUCCGCCCCCGCUCAAGCACGAAGACAUGGCGGCAGUAGGCGAGGCGAAGAGCGGACAAUUCAAGGUUAGGACAGAAUAGCCAAACUGCUGCUUGCUCUGAGUUUUAGGGAAAGCAAGAAUUCCAAAUCUGCACGUGAGAACUUUGAAUUGGGUCGGUUGGAAAAGCUGAGGCUGACUUUGAAUUGGUUUGGUCUCUGGCCUUUUUAGUUACUUGGCUUUUUGGCUUUGGCUUUGGCUUUGGCUAUGAGAAGGGCAUGUCAAGUUUGUGGGGGAGGAGAGGCCCCUAAAACCCUAAACCCAGAGAGAAUACGCCAACAAGAAGUAAAGGAUGAAAAAAAUAUAUAUUUUGAUUGACAAGAACAAGGAGGGGAGCCUAGAACCAAACGAAUUAAUGAGAAACAGAACGACAGGGCCACCGCUGCCAAUAAAGGCAAAGGCUUAUACAAAAAUGAAUGAAGGACAUGCAAUUUCACGCUGCAUAAAUUCUAUAAUUGGAGGGCACACCCAGAUGGAACUUGAGGCUCUGAUGAGCCAGUCAGUCAGAAAUUUAGAACAAAAACAAAAAUGCGUGUGCGCGUGCUCGUGCGCGAGAGAGAGUAUAUAAUACAGAAAUGGUCCCCAGGAAGAGCAGAUGAAAGGGAAAAGGAGCCGGUUGAAAGAUCAGUAGGAGCGUUACGGCCCUCCUAAGGUAAAAAUAUGUAAAAGGGUGUUUUCAUUCUGGUCACCAUCAUCAUCCCUACGCCUCCUUUUACUAAUCUGAGGAGAGGAGGAGGAGCACACAGACAAAGAUGCAAGACACACAAACUAGGAGCGAGGAAAAUCAGAGGAUUUGAAUGUUGUUUUUAGAGUCUUUGGAGAUGAGAACAGAGGAAGUGACAAAGGCUUUUGUUUCAUCGGCUCCACUGCGUGGACCAUUUCCUUUUAGUGUUGUCGCCCCCUCUCUCUCUCUAGCCGUUCAAUAAUUUUAUCUUCCUCGUUUACUAGAUUUAAGUCCCAUGCCCUGACUUUGUCGCUGGUGCGGAAGCACUAAUGCAGCUUUUCUUGAGAAUUAAAGACCCAAAAAAUUAUGCUUGUGUUUGUAAAGUAAGAGUAGAACUGUCAAAAUUUAGAACAUUUAAAUUUUUAAAAAUUUGCAUCAAUACUUAAGCAUCGUCCUGCCAAGUAUUAUUUUAUUGAUUUAUUUAUGAAGAUUGAGUGCUGGCUGCUGCUAAUUUGUACUAAAGAAAUCAUCGAAACCUACUGUCGUACCUAGGAGUUCAAGCCACCCAGGAGAAUAUCUCGUUCAACAUUAGUUUAAUCAUUUAAUGGCACUGUUGAGCACAGCCUUGUGAUCGUUGGGUAUUUUUGGUGUACUAAAUUAUAUAGAUUUUAUCCACUUGACUGCUGUAUAUUUUAUCUAAUUGACUACUAUGAUCACUUCGGCCCUAACUAUACGUUACUAUACCAUACCAUCGAAUCAAUCGACUUAGUUGUAGAUGGAUUAAAUAUCUUUUACAAAGUUACAAGUUCAAUACAUCCGAUGAUUCAAUUCACGUUGUGAUCAAACCUUGGAAUUAGGCAUAUUGGAUUGCCUAACCGCUAUAUAACUUGUGUAGAGUGACCUUCUCAUAGAUAGCACCACAGUAGGGCUAGGGGCGAAUUCGUUAAUCUUGGAACUUUAGGUGACAAAUGAUGCGGAGUAGUUAUAAUUUUCUAGCAUGCAUGAAAUACUUAUGCUAAUGCCUAAAGGUGAUCGCUAGUGCUGGUCAACCUUCCUCACCUUUUUUUACUUACUAUUUUUUUUUUUUUUUGUGGACCAUGUUGCAAAAUGAGAAAAAGGUUAGCGAGAUUUCUCUUAAUUUUUCAAACAAUAUCUCUUAUUUAAAUCUCAAUCUCAAUUAAUCUUCACAAGUGCAUGUAAACUGCUUUAUCAAUGUAAAAUGGAAAAAAUAAAUUAUUUAUUGGGUGUAAGCGUGACACUUAAGUUACUGAUUGAAGCACGAAUUUUGUUAGAAUUAUUAAAACAUUCUCCCUAUACCAAAACUUUUAAAAAAUUGUACCAAUUUUCUUUUCUUGUGAGAUAACUCCAUAGGGGCUUAUUACAAAAUUUAAAGUUGUAAAACUCAUAAAUUCGUGAUGUGAAACAUUUUAAUGUGGUAUUCAAGUCACAAAUGCAAGGCCUAUGCAUUGGAAACUCAAAGGGUGUCCCCAACGGUGGAAAGUCAUUAUGUCUUGGACCAAGUAUUCGAUGAUGGGUGCGGGACUUUAUCAUAACGUUUAAUGAGGUUGUUUAGCAAAAUAAUUUAUUUUUAUUUUUUUGAUAACGGAUGGACCUAUCCCCAAGCACGUCGCCAACGUCACAUUAAUAAGCGACUCUUCAAUAUGUUCUGGCAAAGGUAUUUUAUCUGAUGACGUGGCAAAACCUUACUGAGCAUCUUAGAUUCCCAAGGCUGACGUGGCUGCUCUUGAUUGGUUGGCGGGGGCGGUUCCAUCUCCAUCUGCUUGUUGCUUGGUGCCUUUCGGCCGUCAUUUGUGUGGUGGGUGACCAUCAUACGUUGAGCUCAUUAGGUUCAACGAUUUGUGAUUUAGGAAAUCAACCUACGCUGGCUUAUCCGCGGAAUGAUGCUCCUCGAUUUCAAACUUGUGGGCGCAUGACCCAUGAUGAACGCCCUUUCCGGUUCUUCAUCUGUGAUUGUAAACCCUCGAUGAUUACACCAAUUAUUUAGAUUGUCUCUUGUCUUUUGAGGGUUUGCCUCCAUUGUAAAAUAGAUAUUUCCAGAGGGCCAUCACUAGCUUUUCAAACAUUCAUUUACACUUAGGAUGACAUCUUAAUCGUCCUAAAUUGAUUGGACAAUUCACCUCUCAUUAGCAAAGAUCAGAACUUGCAUGGGCGACACGUGUCAUCAUGAAUGAUAAUCUACAUUGCCUAGAAAUAAUACUGCUCCUUCCUAUCGUUUUCUCGGGCAUUGAUAACCAAUGUCAAUCACCCAAAUCAAAAUUGACAUGAUUCAUUCAAUUGCGGGCUAAUUACAAGUUCUAUAAUCGAUAACGACAGAAGGAUACUUGAGAUUGCAACAAAGUGUUGCAUCCAACUGGUCUGAGGACACUUUCUGCAUCAGAGAUAUUUCAAUAAAAUCUUUAAAAAUCAGUGAUCAGAUUCCAGGCUGAAUUGUGGUCCAACUUUGCAUGAACAUGCUAUUUGGACUUUGCGGGCCAUUUUGGGACUUUGUCUUUCGGCUCCGGAGGUGCGUCGGCCAAUUUAAUUCACAUAACAUUAUUGACCCUUAUGCUUAUCCCUGUGAAGCUGAGUUGGACUUGUCACAGCCCUAGGAUUCGGAUAAAACCCUCUAGUAUUAAGACAAGAAUCGAGAAACACGUGACCCGUUAUGUUUGGUACCAGACGGAGCACGAAAUCUGCAAUAUAGGGCUCAACAAUUCGUAUUGACUUCUCGUAUUGGUGUUUGUAGAUUGUGUUAAUUCUUAUUAGUAUAAGACAUCGUAAUUUUAGAUUUUAUAUACCAAAUAAUUGAAUUACAAUGAAAUAGUGCUGUUCAAAUCUACAUAUGGGUGAUGCGUAUCAUGUCGUGUCAAAUUUAGAUUUUCUUUUUAUAAUUUGUGUUUAGCCUCAUAUUGUGUUGUUGCCAUGCAUACACCAGCGAGCCCCGUUCCUUAAAAAAACCACUUUUGCAUUUGAUACUUGCACUUCAUACUAGUUGGGUUAUCAAAAUUUAUGCUAUAACACAUUACCUCUAUACUUUCAAAAAAAUUGUUAGUUUGCCUGCAGUCCUCAUUGCCACUACACUAGUUGAAAUCCAUGAAGCUCUGAAAAGAAUACGAGAUAAGAAUUGUUGAUACCUCAAGUUUUACCUUACUUUUUCCCAAAAUCAAACAAUUGACCUAGAGUUGAACAAGAUUUGACUGAUGAGCUAUAAGGCACAAAACAAAUUUUCAAACUGAAAAAUGAGUCAUUUUCGUUGAAGUGAGACAUCUAAUAUAUACAUAUAGCAUGUUAGAUCUUAAGGGGCUAGAGGACUCCCCUAAAGGAGGGGGGAAUUGCUAGCUUGUUAUAGUUAUAUGAAGUCCUGAAUUAACAAUUGAAUAAGAGGAGCGAUGUUGCUUCAAUUGCAGCUCUAGGGGAAUUCCAGCUCUAUUAAGCCUUCCCUUACAUCGCCUUCCAUUCAUUCUACAUUUGAUUUGGCUUUCUGGAUGUAAAUGAUGAUAUCUAUACAGAUGGAUCUUAUAUAUAUCGUAUAAUGAAGUGCAUUGUUGGAACUAGGUUGGAACGCCAAGCGAUUCUAGAUUAAGGGAUUCGGCAGAUUUGGAUUCCUAUAUAUCCACUCAUGGAGUACUUCAUUAUACGAUAUAUAUAAGAUCCAUCUAUAUAGAUAUCAUCAUUUACAUCCAGAAAGCCGUAUGCUUUGGAAGAAGCUUGUACAGUUGUCGCGACCAAAUUUUUGGGUGUGAAUCACCUAAGGUUUGGCUAAUGGAUUGUUAAGUCUAAACUUAACUCGGACUCUCCCAAGCCCAUACCAAUUUGCGACUUAAGUUCAAGUUCUUAGCAUGCAAUUGAUUUUUUAAUAAGGAGUCGCCACUAAUCUAUUUUUGGUGGGUCGAUUAGAAACUCUUGGGAGUUUCACUUUACUUUUACGAACCAGAGACUAUGGGUACGGGGACUUGGUUAUACUAGAUUCCUUUAAUGCCCUUUCGAUACCAUUAUUUUAUUUUAAAAAAUGUUUGGCAAGCAGCUUGAAUUGAUUUUAAAUCUAUUAAUCUAACAUGUGAGUUUAUCAUGCGCGUGCACAAACCACCAAUUUAACACACAAAUUAACAAUAAAUAAAUUGCAAAAACUUACUCCCAAGUAACGAAAGGGUCUACGAUGUUAAAUUAAAAUCCACAUUAACAACCCUAGAUAUGGUUUCUAAUUAACACAUAAUCAAUUGUUGUUUUCACUUUAUUAAAUGAGAAUCAUGCAAUGCACGCUACUAAUUUAACAUGAAGUGAUAUGGCAUGGCAAUAUGACUAAACUAUAUGACAUGAGUAAGGUAAUGCAAUAAUUAAAUAUGCGAUUUAAAUUAACCAAAAUGACUUAAUCUUAAUGACGAGCAAUUUCUAAUUAAAUGAACCUAGAAACAAUCACUAAAUGACGUGCAUUUCAUGAACCUAAUGCUAUAUGACGUGCACAUAAUUUUUAUUUUCUUAAUAAGCAUGCGAUCUAUCCUAAUAUGCAAUGACGUGCAAAGAAUGCCAUAAUUCGAUGAAUAUUCUAAAACGAACCUAAUCUAACUCAGAUUUUUUGGAUUUUUCCUUUCUUUUAUGGGAGAAAUCAAAAUAAGACAUCAAGAACAGCACGGCAACAAAUCAGGCAAGAUAUCAUCCAUGUCCAUUUUGGAAAUAAAUUGACGAAUUGUAUCUCGCGCUUGAGAUCAGAUUUGCCAAUUUUUAAAUAAAAUCACGAAUCGAAUCUCGAGCGUGAGAUCGGAUUGGUGAUUUUUCCGUGCGAUUGCGAGUCGUAUUUCGAGCGUGAAAUCGGACUAUCAAUCGUAUUCACGUUGUGACGGCUAUUCGAGAUUAUGAUAAGAGUUCAAUCCAGAAUGCUAUAAUUCGAGCAAGGCAAUGAAAUAUAUGAAUCUUGACUAAGAUAAAAUUAUUACCUUGUCCAAACACUUGCUCGCCAAAAUUGGACAGACUCGACACGGUGAAGAGGUGAUGUCAUGACACCACGGGCUGUUAGAUAAGUGGCGCAAGCCAGCGAGGCUUGCGGAUAGCAAUUCGAGUUGAUGCUUCUUAGCACGAUGAGACAAUUCGCUUGAAUGACACGUCCCAAGAUCAGCGGUAGCGGCCACUUUCAAAUGCUCCGAAAGUCUUAGCCAGAGUUCCAACUGACGUCGAGGUCAGCUACAUCACAUCACGGUUUCGCACCGCCAGGUUCGAGCUUGGGCCGCAUCUCACCGUCAUCGCUAGGAACUCUGGAUGGCUUAACAGGCUGCACGGGAGUUGGCUCGUGUUGGGGACAGCAGCUCGGUCUCGGAGGGACGUUGUGGCUGCAGCAGGCUCACCUGGGCUCUGUGGAUGACUCGACACUGCAGGAGCUCCGGGUGGCUUUGCGAUGAGGAUGGCGCUAUCCACGGUUUAGUUUCAGACGUUGGCUUUUCACGAGCACCAGGAAACCAGGCACGUAUUGGGCAGCAGAUAUGGACAGCAGCAGCUUCGAACGGCGCACAAGGGUGUUGCAAUUGUUGAACACCCGGAUUCCUCGACGAUUACCAACGAAUUUUGGUGUUUUUGUUGGGCCAAAUAAUCUCAACUGAGAACUCCGAAGUCGCGAUCGUAUCUUGCCCUUGAACCCACUCAUAUUUCUUUCUCAAGAAUUCACGGGCAGUUCUCCAAAAUUCACCAUGCAAUACGAGACAACUUCCACCGCUUUGACCAAAAGCCAAAAUAAGUCUCGAUGUUUGAAGGUGGGCUCGUCGAUGAUGAGGUGGGAGGCGGCUAGUGGUGGCCCGUGAUUGGCACCACAGUUAGCGGGUUGUCAUGCAAUGCAGGGGUCGACACUUAGGAAAGGCUUCUCAUGUCUUUCUCCAAAAGACGAGGAGAUGACCUGCAACGCAAAAAUUACAAGGAAAGAAAGUCCUCGCUGAAAGCCUAGCAGCAAGACUUCACCAGCCUACGUGAAUGGCCCGCGAAGAAAAAGAAAGUGAUCUUUUUAUUCCUUUUUUUAUUUGUCCUUUAUGUGCCCCUCUUACGUGACCAUAGAGAAAGAAAAGGGAAUUUUUAUUGAGAAUUGAUAACUCCCUUGAUAGUUUGAUGAUCUCCUCGGUCUGGUCUUAGUGCGGCAGCAGCUUCAUCGAUAGGGAAUCCGUGGUGGUGUCACGUGCGGAACGACGAUGGGACUCUGAUUACGAGUUGCUCGGCAAAGCCUGCUGGUCCAGCAAUUCUCGGCCAGGGAAGGAACAACUCACUAUGGGGACUUCUUGAUGGAGGCUUGGUGCCCGCUGGACAAGCAUGGACUGACGGUGAGGAGGAUGCUCAGAUGUUCACCGGGAUAGUCUCACAGCGAACUGGUCUCAGCUCGACAACGGCAGUGAUGUCAUGGCUCACGGCACGGUAGAAAAAACUCAGUGCUGCUUAUUCGAGAACCUGCAAAACAGAAAGAGAUUCGGUGUAGUGAAAGGGAAGAGCUCGGCCAAGAGGGGGCCGUCGCGGUGCAGGUACAGCGUGGAUGUCUAGCAGCAACAAUUAUGGCUAGUGGAUCUCGGAGGCGGUGAUGGAGCGAUCUCGGAAUUGGGACCCCAAGAGCAGAAAGAACUUCGGUUUCUAUUCUCUAUUGGAUCCUCCACUCUAUCUAUUCUCUCAACGUGUGGCCCUAUGUUCAAUGUGUGUGGCCGUGUAUUCUCAAUUGUGUGGCCCCCUUUUUUCCCUCGAACAUUACGCUUUUUAUACUGGCCGAAUAUGAACUUCAAAAAGGGAAAUUUGAAUAUAGGAAAGAAGUCCACAUACUGACUUCCCUCUUUUGUGAGGGUUUAUAUUUCCUCUGUACGCAUUGCGGAUCCAUAUAUCCUCAUUGAAUAUAUAUUUUAAUAAUGCUAAUCCUUCUUGCCCUUUUUGAUGUUUUUGUCCGCACAUUUAUAAUCACAAGAUCAACAAAAACAAUUCUUUUCUUUCCAAAUACCAACUCACAAUUGAUUGAACAUUGCCAAAAGUUCGGGAUCGUAAUAAAAUUUUCUCGGAUUCUGAAUAUUUUAAAGAUGAGCUCGCAAUAUUUUGUCGCACUUGCCCUAUUUGAAGAUAUUGAAAAAUCCCCCAACAUAUCCCGAAAAAGUUUCAAAUCUUUAUUUUUUACGAGAUAAUUUUCGAUCAUAAAAAAAAAAAGAAGGCUUGGGCCAAUUUGCUCCCUCCGUGGGCUUAGUCCAGCCCGUCAAUUUAAAGCUCAGAACCACCAAUUCAAACUCAUCUGCCACCGGUCCAAUAAACAAAUGCAAAAAAUGAAAAUGCACCUAAAUCUAUAUGCUAUGCAAUUAAUUAUUUUUUCAGGGAUAAAAUUAACCUCUAAUUUUUAGUGCAAUAAAUGACUUAUUAGGUUGUCAAAAUUUAGUGUCAACAACAGUUUGGGAAGGGGUUUUGAUUGAUCAAAAAGAAGAAUAUACUUCAACUGACAAGGGGUCUUAUGGUUUUAUCGGUGCUUGAAACAAUUUUGUCUUCUCCAUAUUACUAUAUCUUUAGAGUCAAUAAUUUUAUAUGAGGAACUACUGAACUCAAUUACUUGCUGCCGUUACUCUUCAGUUAUCUGUUGUGGAUAACUAGAGUCAUUCUUUGAUAGAUGAUCACUAUGAGUCAAACUCAAUAGAAUUUGUCUAUGAGCUAAGAGUCAUUACUCUAUUAUGACUGAUUGCUAGCAAUAAUCGAAUCGAAAGGAAUAGAAAGAGGAGAUCCCAUGUAGUUAACUCUAAACAAGUAGUUCUCUUCUUCUUUUCUCUGAAUCCUACCCUCAAGCAUUUCAACUCAACAAAAGAUAUGUUCAACCAGAUGUUGGAUGAAAAAGUUACCACCGGUCAAAUCUUAGUUAAACUUUUCUUAUACCCAAAUAAGGUCCUGGUACCUAAAACGAUACUUAUAGGUUCCCAAGUUGAAGAAAAUCACCAAAACUCUAAGUGAUGGUAACCAAUGGUUUUUUUUAUAACCUUGAACCGUUGGAUCAAUGCUGAAUUCAUAGAUUCGAGCCUCUAACUGCACUUGAGGCCUGAAAAGAUUUUAUGGAUUUGCAACUUGUUGGAGCAUGCGCCCCAAGCUAAGGCAUAGCAUCCGAGCCUCAGGCUUUAGCGAGUUAGGCUGAGGCGCAUACUCCUCGGCCAAAGGAGCAUUCGAAAACUCAAAUGUCUAUUGGCCCUCAUUUCUCAAAAUGUAAUCUCUCCAUACCCUCUUUCAUUUUGAGAGGAGCAUUCAAAAACUCAAGUGUCUAUUGACCCUCAUUUCUCACAAUGUAAUCUCUCCAUACCCUCUUUCAUUUUGAGAGUUCUCUCUUUUGUUUUUGUUUUUUUUUUAUUAAUCUAGGGGGCCCAAACUUCCCAACCUUUCAAGGUGAACUCUCUCUCUCUCUCUCUCUCUCUCUCUCUCUCUCUCUCUCUCUCUCAUCAUAGUGAUUAAGGUAAAUGAUAUAAAUGAUCUUUAAAAUUUGGCUCAAUACGCAACGUGAUCUAUGAAAUUCAAAUUUAUUUGAUGUAGUAAUUCAAUUUUAGCCCAAUGUGCAGUGUCCUUCCUUAACUUUUAAUUUGAGGUUUCUAAACUUUUAGUACAUGUUUAAUUUAGUCUUUAGAUUGUAUGAACACAUCCAGUGUUGUACUUACAAAAAAAAAAAAAAAACAUAUCCGGUGUUGUCCUUGAAAUCGAAUUAAUGAAAAGAUAACAGUGAAUAUAUUCAUACAGUUCAUGGCCUAAGUUGAACAUGUACCAAAAGUUUAGGGAUUGAAUCGAACAAAUUAAAAAUUUAUGAAUUACGAUGAAACAAAUUAAAAGUUUAGGAAUAACAUCGUGCAUUGCGCCAAAAUUUAGGGAUUUGUAUCAUUAAAAUUUCAUGAAACCUAGGCUGUCAAAAUGACGAAGUUUCUCAAGAAUGAUCAUUAUCUUGCCUAGGCCCUUGCAAUACCAAUUUUUCUCUAGAUGCAACGUUAUUAUGGGGGACAAUUUCAAAUAAGACCCAUAAUAGGGUCAUUGUCUCAAAUAGGGAUCCGAAAUAGACUUUGUAUCAAAUAAGGUAUUGAAGUGGCUAAAAUAGUGUCAAAUAAGAGAACAAACUCAUUGGCUGGCUAAAUUUUCACCAAAUGACUUUUUUCGGACAACUAGUAUAGGGGCAAUUUUGUCCCAAAACUGUAAUUGGGUAAAAAGAAGAAGAAAAAAGCCCAAAUUGAACAGGGAUUACGCUACCGAUCAAAAUACAAAAAAAAGAAUCAGGAUUAGGGUUCAUCCUUCAUUUUUUCUCUUCUCCGCUGCUCAAGCAAAUUCACAAUCGCCUACUCCGUGCAAGUUCAUCACCGCUCCACGCCCGAUCUUCGUCGCUUCUCUCCAGAGAGAAUAAUCCCUGCAUUAUGUUCUAUUGGGAAUAACGGAUUCCUUAAAACCGAUCCAACACUCAAUCGAAUCCCUAAAACGAGUGCAAAAGACGAGCCCAUGAGUCACAUGUAUCACCGAUCAAAGAUACAUCACGGAAUCGAGCGUACCUUAUUUGCCACAGAUUAAACACCAAUGUUGAAGUUCGAGGAAGAAUUCUGAUCCCGUUCUACCGAGAAGCAUACUGUUGCUGUAAGGGGGGAGAAAAACGUUGUUUUGGGAGCAUAAUGUGUGACGCUUCUUCGAGGGAGAGAGAGACCGAAACAACGUACUUAAGUUGAAGGGGUACGUUCCCUUUUUCUUUUCUCUCUCACGUCUUUUCUAACAGACGUAACUCUUCAACGUAAAACAUUCCCCCAAAAGAGACAACUCCUCAUUCUUAAACAACAUAGCAUUUCACAUCGCAACCAUUCUUCCAUGGGCCAUUAUCUUGCGGGCCGAGCUUUUAGGCCCAACAUGGGCGGAUGGGCUCACUUAGGCCCAUCAUCACAUAUAAAAAACCAUCAUCUCCCACUUGCAUAUGGUGGGCCAAACAAGAUCCUCUUUACCUCUCUGCAACAUUCAUACUGGUGAAUAAUCCAUGCGACCAGCAUACUUUGAGAGCUCAUUGCCAUACAUCUGUUAGGAAUAUAUAAUAGCUCAUAAUGGACAUCACACUCUGAGUAGAUUUAGUAUACAGUACCUUAGAUUGAUCGAUCACAUUUAUAUCUCUCUCUUGAUCUCUUUUUAAACAAUGAUAUAUUGUAUUCACAAUUAUGAUUAUCCCAAAAAACAAUCAUAAUUGAUCGACCAGUGAAUACAAAACUAGAAUGUGAUUCUUCAAAUUCAAUCUUCCUCUUUCCUUCAAACUCUCAAUUUCAGUUCAGCUUACUUUUCUAGAAAUGUCCAAUUAGAUUGAAUCAAAUCAUGAUCAUUGGCAACAUCCUAAGAUAGCAAAUACUAAAUAGAAAUUUUGAGAAUAAGUAAGAGUCAUGAGGGCACUAAAUUGAAGAACUCCUUUCUUCAAGAGUCUCAUACAGCACAAAAGUUGAGAUCAAACUUUUGCCACUCUUAUUGGUCGUUUCAUGCAUACGUAAUAUGAAAUACAUAUUAUGAUAUUUAACUCAUUUCCCAUGGAGCGUAUGUCUACACCUUUAAUACCGUACAUAUGAUAGUUUAGACAUACCAAAUAUCUAACUUGAGUUCACAUAUCUACUCAUACACAGAAUUUAUUAGAACUCACAUCUAGCACCAUAAAUAGAUAAAGUAAAAUAUGUGGGUUAUUUUACUUUUGGACAUAGUAAAUAUUAUGUCAUCAUAUUAACACUCAGUUAAUGUGGCAUAUGCAUUUUAAGCUUGAGCUCUCACUUAUCACCCAUAUAAUAAGCUUAAAAACCGUUUCAUCUCUAUUUAUCACAUAGUAAAUAGAAACGAUUACCCGUGUGAGUGUGCUAAUCUUUUAUCUGUCCGAUAUACUUUCUCAACUAUAUAUAAUGCACUAAGCAUUAAGAUGCAUAAACAUCAAACAAAGAUUCAUAAGCAUUAAUGGUGAAAAACACAAAUUCAUUAAAUGUGAACACUUCAGGGAAAUUACAAUAUUCAAUACAUCGGCCUCCACGUAAUCCUAGAGAUUUUACAUGACCACAAAACACAUCUUUAGGUAUUGGUUUUAUCACAGGAUCUGCUACCAUUCUAUGCGUAGAUAUGUACCAUAAGUUUACAUCUUUUCGUGCAACAAUAUCCUUGACAAAAUUAUACUUGGUAUCUAUAUGUUUGGUUUUGCCACGAUAUUUUGGAUCUUUGUAUACGCUAUAGUUGCUUGGCUAUCAUAAUUAACCAAUAAUGGACUUGCAGCAUACCCAAUAACACCUAAAUGAUCCAAAAAUUUAUUAAAACAAACACUUUCUUGUACCGCUGCUGAUAAUGCCACGAACUUAGCUUCCAUCGUGGACAAGGUAAGAUAUGGCGUCAUUAUUUAGUAAGAAAGCAAAGCCAGAAGUAGAUUUCCUUUCAUCUAAAUUUCCUCCCCAAUUAGCAUCUGAAUAGCUUUCAAGUCGCAGAUCAUUUCCUUAGUAAUUCAGCUUGUAAUCAACAGUUUCCUUUAGAUAUCUCAGUAUUCUUUUAACGACCUUCCAAUGUGCUUGACCUAGAAUGGAUUGGUAUCUACUCACCAUUCCAAUUACAAAAUAUGUCAGAUCUUGUACACAUCAUGGCGUACAUUAAGCAUCCCACAACACUAGCAUAAGGAACAUAUUUCAUUUGUUCCUUUUCUCAUGGAGUCCUUAGACACAGUUUAUGACUCAAUCCUUCACCUUUUGCAAUAGGAGUAUCUAUGGGUUUAUAAUCUUGUAUACGAAAUCGUUCAAGAACCUUAUUUAUGUAUGUUUAUUGUGAAAGAGAUAAUGAUCUCUUCUAACGAUCUCUUGAAAUCCUAACUCCAAGAAUGUGUGCAGCCUCACCCAUAUAUUUCAUCACAAAGUUGGAAGAUAACCAAUUCUUCACAGUAUUUACAAACUCCAUAUUAUUUCCGACAAUUAGUAUAUCAUCAACAUAUAAUGAUAUGAUCACACAUUGAUCUUUGGAUCUUUUGAUAUAUACACAAUGAUCAUCAUCUAUCAUUAUGAAAUCAUAUGCCAUUAUGGCAUUAUGAAAACGUAUAUACCAUUGUCUCGACAACUGCUUAAGGUUAUAUAUCGAUCUCAAAAGUCGACAUACAUUUCCUUCUUGGUUUUCCAUAAUGAAACCAGCAUGUUGUUCCAUAUAUAUUUCUUCAUUUAAUUCUCUAUUGAGGAAAACAGUCUUUACAUCCAUUUGAUGUAACUUAAGAUCUAUACUAGCCACCAUUGCCAGAAUAAUGCGAAUCGAGAUAAAUCUCACUACAGGAGAAAAUGUUUUUUCAUAAUCAAUUCAUUCCUAUGAAUUAUACCCAUUCGCCACAAGACGAGCCUUAUAACAUUCUAUCAAGCCAUCAGCUUUACGCUUUAUUUGAGAACCCACUUGUUCUUAGGGUGCGUUUGGGAAGACUUUUGGGGAAAGUCCUUGAGAAAAUGCAAAGAUCUUUGAGUCAAAGAUGUUUUUCAAAAUGCAAAAUGUGUUUGGUAAAUUUAUUUGUGAAAGUCAAUUCUGAAGUAUACUUGUGCAAAAUAGUGUUUGGGUAAAUUAAAUUUGUAAAAUGCUUUUAUUAUUAAACAAAAGGAAAGUUGGCUGGUCAAGGCUUCGCCGGUGACCGCCGGCCAAGGUUUCGCCGGUUACCGCCGGCCAGGCUUCGCGCCGGCGAAGGGUAGGCGAUCCGGCGAGGGUCGCGGCGACCCUCGCCGCGCCGUCGCGCAACCCACCGCGCCGCGAAGGUCACCCCGAGGUCGCGGAGGAUCUGGGUCGCGGCGAGGUCCUGGGUCGCCUGGGUCGCCGCGACCUCUGCGACCCAGAUCUGGGUCGCCUGGGUCGCCGCGACCUAGGCGACCCAGGCGACCCCCGUCACGUUCGCCCCCCGGAUCGUCGGCGUCCCCUGCGCGGCGGCUAGGGUUGCCCGCCUCUGUCGAGGCGGUUGCCGGGCCCUCCGCAGCUCGGGCGGCGAUUCGCGGCCUCGCCGGGUGAGNNNNNNNNNNNNNNNNNNNNNNNNNNNNNNNNNNNNNNNNNNNNNNNNNNNNNNNNNNNNNNNNNNNNNNNNNNNNNNNNNNNNNNNNNNNNNNNNNNNNCCCGGAGGUCGCGGCAACCGACCUCGCCGUGACCUAGGCAACCGACGCGACCCAGAUCUGGGUCGCACGCCUGAUCGGCGACGGUCGCUGGGGUGCGGCGACGGUUGCCGGCCUCUCUCCAACCCGUUGCCGACCCAUCGCCACCUCGCCGGCCGAGUCGCCACCUCGCCUGCUGACAUCCGAGAAUUCUCGACGAAGAGGAAGAUUGAACAGUGCGAUGAACAGUAGAGAGGGAAACAAAUGCAAAGCCAAAGCUGAAAGCCCAAGGCACCCCAAGAGCUGCCUUGGGCUUUCAGCCUUCAGAAGGCUGGCUUUGGCUCAAUGGGGCUUCUAAAAUAUUUGCCAAACGCCUGAUAUUUGGCCAAAAGGCCUUUAGGUGUCUAAAGACACUUGGGAAAGCUGUUCCCAAACGCAGCCUUAAUAGCUUUGCAUCUUAUUGAAAGAUUAACUAGUUCCCAAACAUGAUUUGACUUCAUUGACUCCAUCCCCUCUUCUAUUGCAUGUAUCAAUUUUUCUUUACUAUGACAAUUUAGAGCUUCAUUAACAUUCCUUGGCUCAUCUUCAUCUCGUGGAGUAACCAUAAAAGUUUCCCCCUUAAUGUCAAAGUGUCGACAUGGAAUACUUUUGCGACUUGUUUGCCAUAUGGAAGAUUGUACACUUUGCACAUCAUUCCUCAUUAUACUCCCACUCGAAUUGAAUAAUGACGAUAUCGUCUCAUCAUGUUGUUAUAAUUGAGAAUGAGUUGAAUUAAAUCUAUCACUUCUCAUGUUACAUCUUGUGAACUUGGACGAACUUCACUAAAUUUAUUAUCUGGAUUCAAGGUUUCAAAUAGAGAGUAACUCACCUAUUUCACCAUUCUUAUAAAAUUCAUUCUCUAAGAAUGUGACACAUUGUGAUUCGAAUUCAGUUAUACUUCCAUUUUCCUGCUCACCUAUGAACACAUACCCUUUCGAGUGUUCAAAGUAUCUUAUGAAAAUACUCUUCUUUCCUCUGAGACCUAAUUUCUCAAAUUUGUGAGAGGGCUCAUGAGUAUAGGCAGCACAUCCCCAUGGUUUAAGAAAACUUAAAUUCGGUUUUCUACCUAUCCAUAACUCAUAUGGAGUGGAAGUAACUGAUUUGGAAGACACCCGGUUAAUUAUAUAGAUAGCAGUUAAUAACGCAUCACUCCAAAAAGUAAUAGGUAAGCUAGCAUGGGCCAUCAUGCACCUAAUCAUUUCCAGUGGAGUUCUGUUCCUUCUCUUCACAACACCAUUUUGUUGAGGAGUAUAUAGAAUAGACAACUAUAUUUCUCUUCCUUUUUCAUCAUAUAAAUUUAUGAACUUAUUAGAUAAAUAUUCUCGACCUUCUGAUCUUAAUACUUUUAUUUUCUUAUCUAAUUGAUCUUAUAUUAAGUUCAUAAACCUUUUUAAACAACUCAAUGCUUCAGAUUUAUGAGAAAUCAAAUAGACAUAUUCCAAUUGAGUAUAAUCAUCUAUAAAUGUGAUGAAAUAAACAACCCAAUGUCUUCCUCUCACAUUCAUUGGACUAUAGAUGUCAGAAUGGAUUAAAUGCAAAGGUAAUUCAGCUAUUUUCCCUUUUCCAAAUAGUUUCCUUGUUAAUUUUCCUACUAGGUAAUGUUCAUAUAUGAGCAAAUCGACUUUUUCAAUGUUGCCAACAAGCCCUCUUUGGCUAGUCUAUUUAUAUGUUGUUAGCCAAUAUGACCAAAUCUAGCAUAUCACACAUUCACAUCAUUAUCAUAUAAAUUAGGAAACAUGAAAAGGGGCAUUACCAUAGUUUAUAUUUAAUACAAUUAGACCAUCUAGAAAAUAACCACAACCAUAGUAAUUUGUAUCCAAAUAUAAAUCCACACCACUAUUAUGGAAGUUCAUAUUAAAACCAAGUUUAACCAACACUAAAACAAACACUAAAUUUUGACGAAUCUCUAGAGCAUAAAAUACAUCAUGUUGGAAUAAAGUGUGUCCACCACGCGUGUUCAGUUGGCAGGUGCCAAUCCCUUUUACUUCUGCCUUGGAGUUGUUUCACACAUAAAUUAAUUUAGUUCCAGUUGGUACUUGUCGGAAUUCCACGAAGGAUUCUCUAUCCUUCACUAUAUGAUCUGUUGCUCCUGAAUCUACAGUCCACAAAUGAUUGGAUUCAGUUAAGAAUACAGAACUUGACACAUUAACAAAGUUCUUAAGAGUACAAGGGGUGAGUACCUUCUUUGGCUCGCGAUAGUCGCGAGCAUAGUGACCCUUCUGGUCAUAGUUAUAACACUUCACCCUUGAGAUACUCUUCACUCGAGGACAUUUUCCUCUCUUAUAUUGGUCAGCUCUUGGUUUCUUGCAAGAAUGACUUGAUCCAUUGCAUUUCCACAUAUUGAACGAAUCAAUGCGUUUGCGCUUAGAGCUUGAAGCCUCUUCUAAGCUAGAAACAAUACAACAAAUGUUUAUUUCCCGCUCAAAUGCCUUGAGGCGGUCCUCUGCUAGCUCAAGGUGGUGCACAACAUCCUCAAAUUCUUCCAUAAUAUAGUCAAGAGCUUUUAAUGCUUCUUGUUUUUUAAACAAAAAUUGAAUUUUCUUAUUGAAUAUUUCACUAUUAUUGCAGUUCAAUUUGUCUUCUUUGUUCAAAUCAGCAAUUAUAUUCUUAGUUGCUAAAGCCAUCAAUCUGAACAUAUUAGACACAUAUGCACGAAUUAUUAAUGCCUAUCAUUUAUGCAUCCGUUUUGCACAGACCCAUCAUAUUAAUGAAUAAUUUCAAGUAAGGUUUCGGAAUCAAAAGGUCACUAUGUUUCCAAUCAUCAUCUAAAAAAUCCUAACUUAAAACUAUUAUUAAUAUAAUCUUCUAUGUAAAAAAAGUUCAGCAAAGUUACUAAAAUUUUCUUGAACUUCCCACAACAAAUUAUAAAUUAACAUACUAAUUCACAACAAUAAUAUAUCUAGAGGAAAAUAUCAACAUAAAAAGAGAUAUUUACUCCUAAAAACAUCUCAGACUAAUCUAAAAAAUAAAUAGAGAAAGUCUUUUCUAAUCUAUCGGUAAAAUUCUCUAAGAAUUUUGAAGGCACAUUUGCCAACCAUGAAAAAACUUUUGGAGAACUAUCAUGCCACCUCCAAGGUGCAUUUAUUCUGCGCCAUAUGGCACUUAUCCCAAGGGUUGAAGUUUUAGUUAACUCGAUCCUAUAGUAUUCUUUUACAAAAGCUACUAUAAGUUACUUAUAAUCCGGGACCACGUUGACCUCCCAUAGGCAAUCUAACAUUGCUUGCCAUUCAGGUGGAAAAGUGUUCAUUAAGGCCAGCACAUUCUCAAAAUCCGGUAUAGGAUAACCAUUCAAUAUGAUUUCUUGUAUCAUCUGAUUGGCCCUGACCACGUGUGAUACUACAUCACCGUCAUUCCAUCGAUAAUUAGCCAACUCUGUCAUUAGCCCUUUAAUUCUUGCAUUUUCUUCCUCCGUUCUUGGAAAUGCAGGUCUGCGUGCAUAACGCAUAAUAGUUUCCGCAACAAAUGCAAAACAAAAAUGAAUUACUUAGGCUGCACAUGGUAAAAUUUCUGUUUCUCAAUUUCUCUAUUUCUCUGUUUCCCGGAACAUGUUUGGAACAGAAAUCCGUUUGGUAACACAAAUUGAUUUCUCUAUUUCUGAAAUAGAUUUCUGUUUCAGAAAUUGUUUUGGAGGAGAAAUUAGAAGCUAAAAAUUGUAGCUUAUUUAUUUCUGAAGUAGAAAUAGAAAUUGUUUCUUAUCCAUCCACCUCCUUCCUUAAGCAGACUCGACUCUUUCUCUCCUCACUACCGUUGCUUUCCCAUUCCUUCUCCUCACCUCAACCAAAAACCCUAGCGACUCCGAAGCUGUUCAUCCUCGCCGUCGCCGCUCAUCUCGCCGUCGCCAUUGCCGCUCAUCUCGACCAGCCAAUUUGCUCCGAUCGUCCCGUCGGAGCCGCCUCAUCCGUCCGCGUCCCCAGUCACACUCCAGUCGCCAUCGCCCAGUAGCUGUCGUCGUCGCCCAACUCCAGUAGCCGUCGCCGUCACCCAUCUUCGUCACCGCGCCCAUCUCCAUUUGCCGAGCCCAUCUCCAGUCGUUGUCACCGUCGCCCAUCUUCGUCCGCGUCCCCUUCUGCUCUCAAUUUCGUGGAUCCAGUCACCCAUCUCUGUUGCCCAUCUUCGUCCACGUCCCCUUCCGCUCUCGAUUCCGCGGAUCCAGUCGCCGUCGCCCCUUUCUGCUUUCGAUUCCUCACGAGGUUCGAUCGAUCCUUCCUUUUUCGCCUCUUUCUUGGUUGUUCUGUGCUUGUUAUGUGCUUGUGCUCUGCAAACAAACGAUUGGUGUUUGUGCUGCGAGUUUGGGCUGCUCUGUUUCUCGGUGGGGUGGGAAAUGUGAGAGGGAUUGCGAAUGGUUGGUGUUUGUGCUGCGAGUUCUUAGGUAGAUUUCAUCCGGGCUGCUCUAUUUCUCAGUGGGGGUGGGGAAUAGAGAUAAUUUUUACAACGGGAAAAGAGAAAGGAACGAUGGGCACCUUUUUGUCAACGGACUGUUGAUAUCAGAAAUUUGUUUUUGCUUAAUAGGACAAUAUGUGAAACAUAGCAGUCAUGGAUAAUAUCUCAACUAAAAUUAUUUGAUAUAUAUUGUAGAUAUAAUAGAAAGAGAUGUUAUACAUAGCUAAGAUUUAUCAUAAUUUGAGAUGAAUUUUGAAACAACCCCCGAGAAAAACAAAAAUGAUAACAAUAAGAAACUGGUGGGACUCAUGCUUGAUUUGUACCCGGCUGUUAAUGUGACCUAUGGGAGUGAAGUUUCAAAGGAGCUGACCCCUUUGUGGAUCCUGGGGCCACUCCUCGUUGCCCUCUAUGUCAAGUUGUUCCAAGGAUUGUGGGCACUUUAUUUGUUCACUUUCAAGCAGACAGUCAAAGUAGUUAAGAACUUGCCUGUGUACUACCUCACUGCUUAUCAGUAUGUCGCAAAUGGGAAACUAAAAGAAGACGUAUGUUCUCGUGUUUGGCAACUUGUGGUGGAUGUAAAGAACUUGGACUACAAGGAGCUUUCUAGAAGGAAACUCAAAGAAUUGCAAUAGUGGUUGCUGGAGUGGUAUUUGGAUUUUAUUGAGUCAAUAUGGCCAUAUUACUGUAGAACAAUUAGAUUCUUAAAGAGGGCCAAUUUCAUUUGAGUUGCACAACUUGAUUCGAGAAGGCAGGGCUAAGUGUCAAGAUUGUUUAGAUGGUUUUUUGAAUUCAUGAUAUGGUUUGAGAGCCCCAUUUUGCCCUGGAGCUCUCGGUUAGAUCUUGAUCAAGUUGAGUUGACAGCAAGCAGUCAGGGAUAUAUAGAGUUUUUUGGGGGCGGCAUUUUAAUUCAUGUAUGAGAUCCUCAUAAAUCAUUUUAUGUGGUUGCAUCUGUUAUUUGAUUGAGAGAAGCAUAAAUGACUAACUAUUCUGAAUUGCCAAGCAGAGCAUUUGGUUCUAUUUUCGAUCUAUUCUUUUGUUGUUUCAUUGUUUUCUUCACGCAACAUGAUGAUGUUUUGAUGUUUGAAUCUCUGAAUGUAUCUGCACUGAUGCUUUAGAUAUUUUAGGUGGGUUGACCCUGUGCUAAGAUACUAGAAAAUUUAUAUGCAGUGCAGUGGGAAAAUGACUUUUUGAGAACCUUUUGUCCUCAAAGUUUUUUGUUUAUUUCCUACUUGAUUCUGAGAUUUUCUACAAAGCUUUUGAGUUAUGAAGGCAGUAUCUCUCGAAAUUUUGCCAGGAUCAUUCCCAGUAGUGAAUCACUUUGGUGUUGAUCCUGCAUUUGGUUUUAUAUGAGGCAUGAUUUCACCUCCAAGAAAAGGCAUGUUGGUUAUGAAGCUAUGAGGAGUAGUAAUUGGUAGUCUAAUAACUGAUUAUGUACAUGUAUUGGAGAUUUACCUGUGGGAAUAUAAGAACGAUUUGACUGGAAGUUGUUAUGCUCACUUUGUUUUGAAUGUUAAAGUGAAAGGAUUGUAGAAAUUAUGCGCGUGCUUGAGCUCGGAAAAAUGUAUAGCCAGUAAAUAAUUGUGAAUUUUUGUGCAUUAAGAUACCAAUUCUUAUAUUGAUCAGGACUAGAUUUUGAUCCAUUCAGGCUGGAAUUGAAUUGAAGUCCAUGUCACGAUAAUGUACAUCAAAUGCCUCGCUCCACUUGAAUGUUUAUAAGUUGGAUGAUGAGUGCAGAUAAACGGGAACAAGACUGUUAGGUAAGCCAAAGAAAGCUUAAUAUGGAAACUCGUUGCCUUCAGUUAACUUCACUGAUUAAAAAACCAUCUCCACAAGAUUUAUUUAAAUCAAAUUUUAUUGAAACAUCUUAUUCUAACUGUCCUUUAUCCCUCAAAUGUAAGUUCCCUAUUCCCAAAUCUUUUAUAGUUUGCAUAUUAGCAUUUUUUAUACUAAUUACUAGCUUUUAUUUACAUAAAUUGCUAAUGUUUUGAAGUUCCUAACUACUCUAUCGAAUUACCAAUAUAAAUUAAAGUGAUCUACCAACUUUUAUCAAAUUAAAUUACCAUCACAAGUACCAAGAAGAGUGAGGUAAAAGGAUGGGGACAACAUAAUUCAUAGAAAUAGAAUUUUUUUUUUGUUAUCAAACGGAUUUCUAUUUCAGAAAUAGAAAUUUUGAAUCGUUAUCAAACAGGUUUCUUUGCUCAGAAACUUGUCCGGGGAAUAGAAAUUGAGAAAUUGAUUUCUGGCCAGAAAUCAAUUUCUGUUUCAGAAAUUUUAUCAUGACAAUGAACAAAAAGGAAAAUACAAAAUUUUUCAUGGUUCAUGCAACAAAUGCAAAAUAAAAAAAAAUGGAUUACUUAUAAUUCAUAACGAACAAAUUGGAAAAUACAAAAUUUUCCUCUUUCUUUUUUUGGCCGGUCAACCAAGUUAACGAUGGUCAAUGAUGGUCAAUGAUGGUCAACAGUCAACUGUCAAAUGGAUAAACAAUCAACGGGUCGAGUCAACAGGUCAAUCGGGUCAACGAGCCGUCGGGUCAGGUCGGACCGAUUGGGUCGAGUAAGACCGGUCGGACCGGUGAGCCCUGUCGCAACCCGAUCUCGCCACCCCUAAAAAAGUCCAAGAGGGGAAAGGUCGGGUUUAGGGGUACUUGAUCUCAAGAGUCUCCUCCACAAGAUCGUGAGCUCUCCCAAGCUCAUACCCCGCACGACAGCGAAUUUAUUUAUACAAUCUAAGUAUUUAACAACCUAAAAAAUAUACAGGAGUCGCCACUAGCCUCAUUCUGGGGGUCGGCUAGAAACCCAAUCGAGGGUCGGGAGUGUUCCCUCGAUUCCUACGUAACCAGAUAUCUAGGUUCGAGGACUUGGGUUACGCUAAUAUUGCUAUUAGCGCCCUUUCGGUACCUAAACAAUAUGUUGUGUUUUUCCUAACAUGUUAAUGCAUUUCUUUUUAUAUUUUUAGGAUCAUCAAUUCUAUACUAAAUGAUCAUGCGUGGUGGAUUACUUUCAUUCUAUUCUAUUCCUAAGAAAUGAAAGGAAAACAAAUAAUGAAAAUGAAAUUUGCAAGACAUGAAGUAAACAAUCAAGAAAAGCAGUUAAACCUAAUCAUGCAAGUCUAAAAAUAUAAAAGAGAAAAUAAUUGGGAAAGAAAGGAAACCCGCAACUCGUUGAGUUUUAUACAAUGCAUGGAAUCCGAGAUAUAUAUCGGGAAAAAACGAAUAUUACAUAACAACGGUCGGAAUAGACAUCGACUCCACCAUCUUCACGUCUUCUCUAUCUUCAAGGCCCUUAUUUAAACCUAAUCUAAGAAAUUUGGAUGACUAGAUGCAUACAAAUGAAAGAAACAAAUUUCUAAAUCAAAUGAUAUGUAAACGAUGCAAAACUAACAUCAUCUGAAAGAUUAAGAUGAAUCUUAAGACUUCUUAAUAGGGUUCAAGUCCAAUCAAGAUCUAAUUGAUGGUCAAAAAUUGAUAUUUGUGAAAUUGCGCAUGUCAGCCACAAACAAGACAAAAUACAAUGCAUGUUUAAUGGUUCGUAAGACCACCUAGACAAUGCACAAAAAUGUGAAACUUGCACAUGACAUAAGGUUGAAUGCGAAAAAAAAGUUUGGGUAAACAUUUAACCUUAAAUCAGAAUGCAAAGAAAUCGCCCAAGUCAUUAAUAUUGCAAAGUGACUUAGAACUAAGAAUGUCAUGCAUGACAAAUUUUAAUUACAAUUAGCCAAAUGAAUGCAUGAUAUUCACAUCAAAUGAGAUUCAAAUAUGAUAUGCCAUGCAUUGAUGCGAAACUUGUAACACAUGUUUCAAAUGUCAAGAAGACAAUGACGCAUGAUUUGGCCCUUAAAACAAAGAACCAGCAAAAUCAAUACACAAAGAAAUAGCAAAAAUAGCACAUCAAUGACACAACUAAACAAUUUCAUACACCAGAACAUAUGAACGGAAAGCAAAGAAAUAUCGAUACUAAAGAACAACAUAACUCUAGACAUCUUUACAAACAAAAAAAACACAGAGUUUGGAUCGGUAGAACACAAAUAAGCUACUGGGCAAAGUGAUUAGUGUUGGAAAUUGGUUUGAUGGUGGAUAUCUAAUAUCAAUUAUCAAACAAUAGAACUUUGCUAAAAUAGAGAACAAUAGAGCAAGACCAUCCCACAUGUGAUUUACUUUUUUCAUAUCAUUAACCUCAAAAUCUAUGCUCAAAAGAUCGUAGGAAAGUGGCAAACAAUCAGGCCCACCCAAAAACAGAAUAUGCAUUUCUGACCAAGGCAAAUUCCAGAUUUUAGAAUGGAUUAGAAAAAAAAUGUUAAACAUGGCAAAUGAUGGUCGAUUCAGGCAUUCAAUAUGUCAUUUUAAAGCUUGAGAUGCUUAUUACAAUUAUCUAGAAGACAUUAAGUCCUAAUAACAUCAUCUACCAGUUCAUAUCAAGUGAUUUACACAUAAGGUCAUCCGAAACAGAGAGACAAACAUUUGGUAGAUUCUGGACCAGACUUUGGACAGACAAAAAUCAUAUUAAAUGAAGUCCGAUUAUGGCAUUCUAUAGCUCAUUGGAAAGAUAAUCGAACCAUCUUCAACCUAUAUGAAGACUUCGAACACAGACAACCACAGCAACCGGCUCGUAUCAAUGUGAGAAGUAAAGCAAUCAAAAUAAACCUCAUGUAUUUAAAGCGAGUGUCUAUAUAGAUGAGAAAAAUUCAGGACUUCUCUGGACUAAGAUGCUAAAAGCUUAGGUAACAUCAAGAUAUGGCACCAGCAUCAACAUAUAAAAAGAGGUAAAAACAGCAAUCUACCUUUCUUAUAUCUACAAAAGUGGGAGUUAAGCUAGCCACCUUUCUUACAUUUCUGAACAAGGCCAAACAAGAAAAUCAAAUGCAGGGAUACAUCUAUCAGUCCUAUGGAGCCUAAAAAUGACCAUUGAAUGAAGUGAACAAGCAAGAUGACAUGCUUCCUGUUUCAAGACAUUUAAAUUUCUUUAUUGUUAUGGCUAACGAUAUAUCUCUACCCAUCUAAAUUCUAAUAUCCAAUCAUGCCGAAUGUAACAACUAGAAAACAAAAUUUUGAUUCAAUGCAUCAUUAAAUUUGACAGAAAUAUGCUGGAGAUAAUACUUAUAAUCCCAACAAUGUCCCUCCACAGGUCAGCAUCUGAUAUAGGUAAGCUCGUAACUAUUACAAUUACAAAAAUGCUAAGAACAAAGAUUCAUAUUUUCUAUUUAUCUGCAUAUAUCACACAGAGAACUAUAUAUUCCAACCAAAAAAAGAUGCAUCUGUGGAGUUCAUCAUUAUGACCAUCAUGUCAUUACUCGAUAUUAGCAGCGUGCUAUACCAUGGUUGAUGGAAGACUGGUGAUAACAAAAUUCUCCACUCCCGUGUAUCAGAACUGAACAGUCGCCAUUAUUUCAAACAGAGACAUCAAUCCGACUUUCAAACCAUGGAGAAAUGCAAAUUACUCACUUUCUGCCCAUGGAAAGAACAUUCAAGCUGCUCAGAAAAAUAAACCGCAUGACAAAAUUACAGACAAAAUGAGAUCAUUAUCUUCAAGAGAGCUGAUCAGAGUCUACCCUCAACAGAGCCGAACGAAAUCUAAAAGAAGCGAAAUAAACACCUCACCUAACUUCACUAGUCACCGGGAACCACGACCUAUAGAGAGAGCGUUCCUUUUGACGCCGUAGAACAAACUCGUGCUCCACUGGCAAGCGCGACAAUUUCAAUGGUUUUCAGUCUCAUUUUAGGAAGAUGCCGGGUUUGGUCGGUUCAAUGAUUGAGUCGGCGUGAAGAAGCACUUGUUCAAAGGGAGCAAAGGAAAACUUUAGGGGAUGGAGGUACAGAGAUGACUUCUAAAAAAAAAAACUUUAUCAAAAGAAACAAAUAUGUAAUCUGAAUGAGACUUACCGAGAUUUGUGAGGGAAAACCCUCGGAAAUGACUUGAUUCAGAGAGAAAUCAUCGCCGAGCCUUCUUGCGCGUGAAAUCACUAGAAAAGCAGAAUAAGGAAACGAUCUAAAGCCGCUGCCAACGCCGCCGAUUGGUCUCGGAGCUCUACCCUUGGAGCUGAGUCGAGACCCCCAAACUUGGCGCGGAUCCGAAACUUUGCACCUCGAGCUCCGGAAGACGCGGUCUGCGACGAGAAUAUCAGAUCCAGCCGAGAGUGAGAUCACGAUCGAGCGAGCGAGCGUCCAAACCAAAGAACCGAGAGCAAUCGAAAGCCUCCCUUACGAUCCCCGACCUCCGGUCCCUGAUCUCCAAGAGCGAUCCGCCGAAUCAGAGAACCGAGAGAGAAAAUCCCCGAUCGAGCGAGCGAGCAUAUGAUCUCCGAGAAAGAACUAGAUCCGUUGCCGUUGUCAUCGUCCCUAUCGUCGCUGCUGAUCGGAUUCGGAUAUGAGCCCCUCACCCCCCCUGCUCCUACGCCAGCGGUUACUCUAUUUUCUAGGGUUCUGUUUGGGAAGUGCCGAGGAGGAAGUCCCGAUUCAGAGAACGAGAGUUAGCCCCCCCGUGAGCCCGAGAGCUCGUCCGAGAGAGAGAGUUCCCCGAGAGUAGAGAGAGCCUUCCUAGAGUAGCCGAGCGUGAACCCUUUUUUUUUUUUAGAGAGAGAGAGACCUCCAAGCGAGAGCUCAUCAGAGAGAGAAUCCGCUCACGAGAACACCCGAGAGUUUUUCUUUUUUCUUCGAGUGAGCGCGGGAGAGAGCCCUAGAAUUAGGCUGUGCAUGGUAACCUUCCCUAGCCCAAAAAUUUAUAUUCUUCUCUUCCCCGGAACAAAACAAGAAUAGAAACCUGUUUGAUAACGGCAAGUUAGUUUUUUGUUCCCGGGAACAAAAAGUUAGCCCGGGAAUGGUUUUGGAAUAGAAAUGAGAAGUAAAAAAAAGUUGCUUCUUGUUCCCGGGAACAAGUUUAAGAAAUAAGUUAAUUUUUUUUUUCUUUUAUUCUUCUCUUGCUGACCACCAUUGACCGCUGUUGACCGCUGCCCCUCGCCGCCCGCCGCCUGCCGCCGCCGCCGCCGGUCGCCGGAGGCCGACCGACCGUUGCCGCCGCCGGUCGCCGCCGGUCGCCGGAGGCCGACCGACCUUCGUCGCCGCCGGUCGCCGCCGCCGGUCGCCGCCAGCCAACCGUUGCUACCGCCGCCGCCGCCGCCAGUCGUCGCCGGUCGCCGCCGGCGGGGACGUGCAGACGCCGCCGAACGCUGCCGCCACCGCACGUCCCCGCCGGCCGACCGCCGCCCGCCGACAAUUGCCGCCGCACAGCCCAUCAACCGCCACCUCCCGCGACCGCCUGGCCUCCGGCGGUCGACGGCGGCUGAUGGGCUGUGCGGCGGCAAUCGGCGGCGGCAGUCGGCGGUCGGUGGGGACGUGCGGCGGCAGCAGCGUCCGGCGGUAGCGGCGGUCUACCGACAAUAAUAAAAAAUAAAUAAAUAUAAAAAAGAAACUGUUUUUUACCAAACGCAUUUCUAUUCUUUUUCUAUUUCUAGAGUAAAAAUUUUGUGUAGUUACCAAACGGGUUUUUUUACAUAGAAAUUGUUCCCCAGCCAAGAAAUGUUCUCAUGCGCAUUAAUCACCCGAGAGAGAGCCUAAGUGCCAAAAUUUCAGAGAAAGAGAGAGAGCGUAAUGAUCAUGAAUGCCCCCCCCCCCUUUUUUUCUUUUUUUUCUUUUCUCUUUUUUUUUCUUUUAUUGUUUCCUUUACUUUUUUUCUUGUUUUCUUUUCAUUUUCAUUUUUUUUCAUUCAUCAUUUUUUUUAAAAAAAAUUUAAAUCUUUUUGGCUCUUUAUUUUUUAUAUUUUUGCAAAAUUGAUGAUUAAAAUGUCGACAAAAAAAUUUCAGGUGUCAACAAGCCCGAGUCGGGCCGGUCGGAUGAGCCACCCGGCACGUGCCACUCGCGUGCAUGGCUGACGUCACUAUGAUGUCAACUGGCACGUGAACAGCAUGCAUCAGGCUUCUGCGCAUGCGUCGCAUGCGCCUAAGACCGAAACGGCGCGUGCGUUGCACGCACCGACGACCCCAGUCCGUUCCGGCCGGACGUGGCAGCACAUUCAGCCGCCCCUGGUGGCGAUCUACAAUUUGUUUUCUCGUAUCGAUGAAAGCUUUGACCCUACGCUAUCAAAAACGAAUUUCAACUUACAGAAAAUCACAAAACGGGGUGAACAGUAUGCGGGUAUCGGGAUUUUUCAUCCCCGAUCGACUGACGGCGGUGUCUCACGAAAAUACAAUAAAAAACAAAUCACAAACAUGAAAAGGGAUCAAGAAACAUGAACAAUGGCUUUGAUACCAAUGUUAGGAAUAACGGAUUCCCUAAAACCGAUCCAACACUCAAUCGAAUCUCUAAAAUGAGUGUGGAAGACAAGCCCAGGAGUCACAUGUAUCACCGAUAAAAGAUACAUCACGGAAUCGAGCGUACCUUAUUUGCCACUAAUUAAACACCAAUGUUGAAGUUUGAGGAAGAAUCUUGAUCACAUUCUACCGAGGAGCGUACUGUUGCUGUAAGGGGGGAGAAAAACGUUGUUUUGGGAGCGUAGCGUCUUACGCUUCUUGGAGGGAGAGAGAGACUGAAACAACGUACGUAAGUUGAAGGGGUACGUACGUUCCCUUUUUCUUUUCUCUCUUACGUUUUCUCUAACAGACGUAACUCUUCAACGUAAGACAUUCCCCUAAAAGACACAACUCCUCAUUCUUAAACAACAUAGCCUUUCACAUCGCAACCGUUCCUCCAUGGGCCAUUAUCUUACGGGCCGGGCUUUUAGGCCCAACAUGGGCGGACAAGCCCACUUAGGCCCAUCAUCACAUAUAAAAAAACCAUCACGUUCGUUGAUGAAAUUAAUGCCAUGGGCCGGCAGAGAGGAACUAAAAUUGGAGGAAAUGCAAAAAGAGAGUAGACCCGCCAUCAGCUGUUAAAAUAGAUGGAUGGUUUUGAAGAAUAUGUGGGUGUCAUUGUUGUUGUGGCGAGUAAUUGUGAUACAUUCUAGACUCUGCCUUGCUUAGGGCCUAGAAGAUUUGACAAAUAAGAAUGUAUGUCUAUUCUUAGCUGGUGAGUCCCGUAGCAUAUGCUUGUGCAAACUAGUAUUGGUGCAACAGUUAGUCUCAUGGUGCAUGCGCUUACUUAUAGUGUCAAUGCGAGUAAUUGUUGACUUUCCUAAUAUUUGAUGUAGAACAGAAAUUUUGAAAGUGAACGCCAUCAAUACGAAGUUUGAUUUGGUUUAUUCAAUUCUAAACAUUUUGCAUUUUUGUCAAUUUAGUCCAUUCGGCUAAAUUUGGCCAGCUAGCGCUAACGUGGACGCGGAUUGGUGUCGACCUCCUAGCUGAUGCUAACGUGGCAAUAUUUAUAAUAAUAUUUUAUUUUUCAUAUUUUUUAUUAAUUUUUUCUUUUGCUUUUUUUUUUCAUUUUUUCUUUUCUUUCUGUUGCUCUUCUUCUUCCCCCCUCGUCUUGCCGACAACUAGGCGAGGGCCGUGAAGCCCUCGCCCGACCUCACCCUGAUCUAGGGAGGCUUGGGGGCUAUGGGCGAGGUGGCCUCACCUAAAUAUGGGUGAGGCGGCCUCCCUAUGGCCUCGCUGAUUGUGAGUGAAUAUGGCCUUGUUCGUGGCUGUGAGGCCAUGGCCGCCUUCAACCGCAGCCUCUAGGCCUUCAUGAGGCUUGGUCGCCUCAGAUCGAGGUUAAAACGUGGCAUUGAGGCUCAAUCGGGCUUGACAACCAUUGGUAGAGAGAAAGAAAGACUACACCUGGGAUAGAAGGGGAGGACCAUGAGGCACCUCGUGAAGGCUUGAGGUUCGCAAGGGCCUCACUAGCCGUGGGUGAAGGCAGCCAUGGCCUUUCCAGCCUUGGGCAAGACUGCCUUCGUCACAGUCGAUGAGGCCAUGGUGAGGUUGUCCUUGCCCAAAUCUGGGUGAGGUUGCCCUCGCCUAGAUUUGGGUGAGGCCGCCUCUCUUGCAACCCUUACUAGUGGUCGGUGAGGGCUUCGCGACCCUCACCCAGUGGCUAGCAAGACUCGUCGGAGCCUUGCCGUCCACUAAAGGGGUUGGGGGUGGGGUAAAGAAGAAGAGCAAUAGGAAGAAAAGUAAAAAAGGAAAUAAAAAGAAAAAGAAUAAAAGAAUAAAAAUAAACAAAUCCAAAAAAAUAAAAUAUUAUAAAAAAAUAUUGUCAUGUUAGUGUUGGUCGGAUGGUCGGCGCUAGCUAGUGUCUGAAUCAAUCCUAACAAGCCAAAUUUAGUCGAAUGGACUGAAACGACAUAAAUACAAAAUGUUUAGAACCAAAUUGGCUAAAAAAAAUUUAUGACUAAAUUAACACAAUUAUAAUAUGUUUAUGACUUUUUUAUGUAAUUUUUUUCCCUAUGAGAACUUUUGGAUUUAGUGGAGCGGAUCUUCCCAACCUCUUAGAUGAGGCUGCUAUAUUUGACAUAAAUAGAAGAAUACUAAAGGAAUUGUAUUGUAUUGCUUUGAUUUGUGUGCAUGUACGUAAGUCUAUUUAUUGUGCAAGGUAGAAAGAAGGAAUUAGGAAAAUGAAUAUACAAGAUUACAUUUUCCUAUUUUACUGGACCAAUUAUUGAAGGCUCCAAGAUCUUACCAAUUUAGAUUGAUCAUUGUUCGCCAUCAACAUGGACACCUCAAAGGUAAGCAUUCUAUACUUGGUUCUAAGAAAAACAGAGGCCGUGAAUCUUAACUUUAAUGGCCAUGUUCAUUUUGCAUCUUUGUCAAGAAUCACACUAACAAUUUCUUUUUGUGAAUGUUUGAUGCUUGAACAUAAAUACCAACAUACAUCUUACCAUUUAAAAAAAAAAAAACAAAACAUGGCUUCUAACCAGGGUCCUCAUGAGUUUUGGAAUGCAAAUAGGAGCCACCGCCUUUCCUAGGGAUAGCAGAGCUUAUUAGUGGGCAAGGAGCUAAUCGAACCCGAAGUUAGAUGGAUGGUUGGUGAUGUGUGCGUGGGCGAGUGAUUACAAGUUCUUGAGAUUUUUGUGGUUAAGUGUAUGAAAGUGUUGUGUAGGAAUGGUUGUCGAAUGAUGAAAUGCAAAUGCAGGGAUAGAAAUGAUCAUCACCAAGGUAUAAAUGACGCACCACCAACCAAUGAUGAGGAUUAAGAUCAACGAAGUUUACCAUCAAGGCUUAAAGGAUGAACCAUCUGCUAAGGGUAAGGGACUUCAAGAUAGGAGAAACUCACUAUCAAGGCUUAAAGGAAGAACCGCCCGCCAAGGAUAAAUGACUUUUGGAUAGGAGAAGCGCAACAUCAACACAUAAAGGAAAAUCCACCAACCAAGGAUAAAGGGCUUCUUAGCUCACCACUGAAGAGUAAUCCACUCUUCAAGGAUAAGGAGGCCGGAAUGGAAUUUAUCCACUCUCCAAAGAUAUUCCAUCACCCGGAGGAAAUGUCAAGUAUUUUCAUUCAUCAAAUUUAGUCUAGUUAUAAUUGAGAGGUUUCCUCUAUUUAUGGGACGAAUACAACUUAGAAAAUAAAAGAGUAAUAAAUAGACAUGGGAACUAUCCUACCAUUAAAGAUCUCGGAGUUUAAAACUUUGACUAUUAAAACUUACAUAACAAUAAAGACUCCUAGGAAAAUAGAGAUGCAUUUAAUGACUUUGGAACUUGCAUUCUUGAUUCGUCAACCUUGCAAAAUCCGUGCUCCCACCUUGACUAGAAAAUAAAUACCCAAAGACUUCAUCAAAUAAUCAAGGAAGUUGUUCAGAAUAGUCUCCCAUUGAAAUGCUAUUGAUAAACUUCGAGAUCAGCAACUAACAAAGUGUACCAAGAAAUCAGCGACUAAUAUAUCAUAUCGAGAAUUCGGUAACUUAUUAAUCAUCAAUAUCAAUAAUUUCAAUAAGAAUGGUUCAAUACCACUUUAGUUGGAAAUUUUAGUCUCGACUCAUUGAAGCACAUUAUGCUCAAAUUCUAUUUUAGUUUGAAUGAGCAACAAUGGUGCUAAGUGGGCUAAUGGAGCUAAGUUGAUUGCUCGUGCUUCAGUUGGAGACAAAAAAAAAACAAUUAAAGUCAAAGAAGAAAGGUGAUUACCCUCGAGCAGAAUUAGUGGUCCAUCGAACCAUAAUGAUCCUCAAGUUGUUGAUGAACUUAUCGACCAAGAGACUAAAGAGUGGACCAUUCGGAAAUUAACCAAAACAAUUGAUGAGAAAGUGAUUUAUGAGAUUUUAUCAAUUCCACUCAACCAUAACCCUAUAGAAGAUAAGCUAAUAUGGAUAUGGAAUAGAGCUAGCUCCUACACGGUCAAGUGUAGUUACAAUAGUUUAUGCUCAAAGGAAAAGGAACAUAAUGUGAAUUUUGUGUUAUCAUCGUACUGGCCUCCCCGGAAUUUAUGGACCACAAUAUGGCAUAUUCAAUGAGUGUGUGUAAGAACACCCUACCAACCAAGGAAAAUCUUUAUUGGAGGAAAUUGGUACCUAAGCCACUAUGCCCAUUGUGCAAUCAAGCUCCAGAAUCCCUCGAGCAUCUCCUCCUUCUGUGCAAGUGGACAAAACAAAUCUAGUCAAACACCUUGUCUUAAAUUCAACACUUCUCCAAAUAAACUCAAUAGAAUCGAGAAGUGGCUCAAGGAGAACCCGGCAUCCAAAGUUGACCCAUUUUCCCAAGCCCUCUUGGCUUGCAUGCUAUGGCUACUAUGGAAAGCGAUAAAUGCGUUUGUGUUCAAGAAACACAAACCAAGCCCAACCACCCAAUGGAGGAAGUGGUAUGCACACAAUUAUUAUGCACAGGUUGCUAGGAGCUUAAUGUGGACACCUCUUGUUGCAACGACUCAAGGAAGGGUUCCAUCACCGUGGUAUGCCGAGACUACGAAGGACUUCUCGUGAUAGGCUUUGCCAAGAAUGUUCGAGCUCCAUCUACCCUGGUUGCUGAAACCCUAACUUUGAGGGUGGGAUUGUCGGGCUUGAAGGAGACAAACGAAACUGAACUAUGCUCGAAAGUGUUCUGUGCAAAAGAGUGAAGAAUUGAUAAGUACAAGUUGAGUCGAUAACUUAUCUCUUGUGCAGUUCGUAAUGGGCCAAGAGCCCACGGAGUAUUUGGUCUGUGGUGAUAGAUUGCCUAUUUCUAUUGGCCCAAACUCAAGAAGUUUCCUCAGCUUAUUGUUCUAAGAAUGCAAAUCAGGCCGUGGGUUUCGUAGCGAGGGCCCAUCGUCACUAAUUCCCUCAGCCCAAAUUGGCUCUCUAACCCCCUCCCCCCCCCCCUCUCGGGACACCUAAUAAACUUUGGUUGUGUUUUAUGUUGUGAUUUCGAACUUUUAUCUGGUUCUUGUUUGGUCAAUUAAUAUAAGAUGCGAAUGUUUGUCCAAAAAAAAAAAAAUCUAGGGUCCCAUCAAAAUAUGUAAUACCAUAAUCUCUUUUUUAUACUUGAACGAAGUCAAUAAAUUUGUGGAUUUAACCAUGUGGAAUUAUGAGAUCUUGAUUUAACUCACACAAAUGAUAUAAAUAAUGAGAUGUUCUAACAAUUUCAAUUUCACUAAUAGUAAUUUUAAUUUAAAACUAUUGUUAAAUAUUAACUACGUUUAUUGUUUGUUUUUUUUUUUUUGUAAAAGAUAAUAAAUAUAUAGAGGAAAUACCAAAUGUACAAAAGAUUUCGUCACUAGAAACUUAUACGUUAAAUGAAGGAACAUAAGGAGUGGAAGGGUGUCGAAAUGUAAAAGCCGCAAACCGUGGCAAACAGACUACGGUAGCACCAAAAGAGAAGCACGUCAUGAACAAUCGGCUACCAAACACACCUCAAGCGAGGAGGAAGGCACCGACGUAAAGUAAGCAACCUACGGGUCCCUUGUGAAAAUAAUCGGGUCUAAGCCCCAACUUUUGUUUGUUUUGUUUUAGUGUUAAUAAUUUGAAGUAAUUCAUGGUUUAUCUUAUGCACUUUGAACUUUUUAUUGUUGAAUUUCAAUUCACAUGUUCGCCUUCUAUGGUUUGUUGGUUUUGGCAAGUGGGGAUCUUUAUUGAUGUCUAAUCUUAGAUUUCUAUCUGAUUUAUAUCAUGUUCAUUGUUUGGCUGUUUAAUAUCGCAUUGUUGAUGAAUAUGUAAUUUCGAAGAAUAUGUUUAUUCUUUCAAGGAUUUCAAAAAUGAAACGAAAAAGAGAAUUUGUUUGUUCUAGAUUGAACUUGAAACUAGACCGGACUCAUAGGUUAGUACAAUUCUCGAUCCUAGGCUCAACAAAGUCGAUCAUCGAUUUCAAAAAUUGGGACCAACAUUAUACAAGCCAAUCCCUAGGUUAGGUGAUUAGAAAAAACUUAAAUUUUGAGAUUGGAAUUGGCAUUUAAAUGAUAAAAAAAAAAAAUUUAUACCAAAAUGAGUGUUAUAUAUAAUUUUUGACACUUUUGGUGCACUUCCUCCCUUUUGACUUAUGAUCAAGUCUUAAAACUAUCUACCAUUUUAUUUUUCAGCUUUUUGCAUUUUUCUCAUCAAUAUCUUCACUGUUGUAAUUUGUUUUAUGUGUCUUGGUCAUUUGGCCCCCAAUGAUAUACUGUCCGUCCGUAGAGUAAUCUCUUUAUUUGUACUUUCACAUUAAAGAGUUACUGAUUAGCGUGAUCUACUCACAUGGAACACACAAUUCAUAGUGUUUUUUCAAUAUUUAGAUGGCAAAGAGCAAGUUUUUUCUCAACAAUAUACAUAUUUUGAAAAGCGUGAUAUAAAAUUUAAGCUAAGAGUGAUAUGGAUGACAAAGAGCAAGUUCGUGAGUCUUAUUUCAUUUUUUUUUUUUUUUGUGCAAUGCAGUUUGAAAGUCUAAUUAUAACUACACAUGUUUUAAGUAUAUUUGUGUAUGUGAAUGAUAUUUUUAUGAUAAUAAAAUCGAUAGGCAUAUAUAUCAUUUAUAUAAGAAUAUUUGACUUUAAAUUCAAAGAUUACUCUCACAAAAAAAAAAAAAGUUUACAAUUUACCAACUAGUGGAUAGGAAAAUUUAUGAAUUUCCUUUCUUAUCCUAUUAAGCUUAAUUUUCAUAUAUAUAUAUAUAUAUAUUGACAGCAAAAUUAAUGGACCGACCGAACAAACAGGACAUCACCACAUCAAAACCUGAUUUUGGAGAGCCGUUCUUGCCCGAUCCCCCCCCCCCAAAUCAAAGUGCAAGCCCUAAUCUCAUUCCCAUUUUUCAAUCGGGAAUCGUCUUGAAACGACUGAGUUGCGGGCAAAUCAGACGCCCAAACCUCACAAAUCCGGCGAUAUUCCUUCCUCUAUCUUGAUACAGGUUGAAGAGACCGAAGGAUUCAGAGACUUUCGCCUCCGCUUUGCAAUUCUUUAGGUAAGCCUCUCUUUGAAUUGUAACUAGGAUGCGCGGUUUGAGAGAUGCGUUUGCGUUUUUAAUUUGUUGUAAAGUUUGAUUUCCAGGGUGGAUGGGGCUUUGUAUUAGGAAUCCGGAUGAGAAUUGUUCCGAAAUUGCGCCUGAAUUGAUCGUUUCGGUGAAAGCGUUCUCAUUGGCGUCGGUAAUGGCAAAUGGGUAUGACGGCAAGCUAGGUAAUGACGGCGCCGUGUGCUUUCUAAGCAUGUAGCAUCCGUGGUGGCGUAACGGGCGCCGCCAUUACUCUCAAAUGGCGGCUGCUACGUGCCUUCAUUUUUAUUUCCAUGGGUGCUAUCGAUUUUUAAACGUUCAUUGCAAGAUGACAACUGGUUCUCCCAUUUUAAGGCAUUGAAAUAAAUUUUAGAGUUCUGUAUGGAAACCUCUUGUCUGUUUGUCUCUUUAUCCUGGUUCAUUGUUGUCGCAUUAGAGUUUCAUUUGCUAACGGGUUUGUGUAAUAUGCAUCUAUACUUACCAUAAUGACAACUUAUAUGUAUAGCAAUUUAAGUGUAAUAAAUACAAUUGCGAUUCUCAAGUUGGGUUAUUCAUGCUGAAUAGGUAUCCUUUCUCAUGCAAGCAUGCAAGAAGCUUCGUGCUGCAAGUUUUGAUAUGGAGAAUUCCUCAUUCUUAUGUCUUGCUUCUUGUUAAACAACUAUAAAGGCGUUUAGUAUGAUCUUUGGUUUGAGGAUUGAAGAACAACGUACACCAAUUUUCUCAUGGGUUAUUCAAGUGUGAAGUAUUGAGUUGGAUUGCCUUUCUUCAGUGAUUGGGUUGUAUGCUUUAUUCUUAGCCUGUCAUAUGUGCGGCGCAAACGUGGUGCCAGAAACUCAAGAGAUGUGCCCCAAAUGUGAAGAAGAUUCCGGUAGUGGCUGUUGCAAAACCAUUCCAGCUGUGGAAAAUAGAAGGCAUGCUGAUGGUUACUCUUCGAGUAUUUUGAGAGAUAAUUUUUUGUCAAAUCUAAGUACAUUUUCUAGAAAUUCCUUUGAUCAUGUAUACAAGAGAAGAAAGCUACGACAGGAUUCUGACAGCAUUGUCAAUGAACAGAUGGACAUGAAAAGAAGAGGGAAUAUUCCUUCUGCCAAUUGUUCUAUUGGUCCUUCGAUCACAGAAAAGGAGCCUUCAUUAGGUUGCUUGUCCAAACAUGAAAUUGUUGCUGCUGGAGAAUCAGUCCCAUCUCUGGUGGUUGAUAGCCAUACCCAUAUAUCAGAUUCUGAACCUUUCCAUAAAUACAAAGCCCUGGAAGAACGUGGUCCCGAUGGAGCAUCAAUAGGUAGAAUGCGCAAAGUAAUUGAUGUUGGUAGUGCAAAUGACAGUUGUUCAUCAAAAUCGAACACAGAACUUACGUCAACUUCCUUGAGAGCAGGAGUUGACGAGACUUUUGAAUGUUCCUCUUCUAGUGUAACCCGUAUGGAGGGAAGAAGUGAUGUCCCCUUAAGGGAAAAUGAUAUCUGCAUCUCCAUCCUUAGAAGCCAGGGAUUGCUCGAAAGAACUUGUUCAACACCAACUCUUGCCUCUGAAGAUACUAUGUCUCACAGCAGUGACUGUAGUGAUGCUUGCUCAUGCAAAUCUUGUGGCCACAAUGGUACAGCACUGAAAAUGCUAAUAUGUGAUCAUUGUGAUGGAGCAUUUCACUUAUCUUGUUGCUAUCCUCGUAUAAAAAAAGUUCCGGAGAAUGACUGGUUUUGUCCCUCUUGCUUGAGAAAGAAGCACAUUGUUAAAAAGCAGAAAGCUACCAAGAAACCAACAAAAACUAUUAUUGCAACUGCUAAAGGCAAAAGCGCAUCUGCUGUGGACAAUUCAAAUCCAAUAGCAUCAAUGUUAGAAGAUGAUGAGCCAUAUACAACUAGUGUUCGUGUUGGCAAAGGUUUCCAAGCUGAUGUUCCUGAAUGGAGAGGUCCUCAAAAAGAGUAAGUUUCUUUAUUGUCAUUUAAACCCAGUAUUAGAUUUAAAGUAUUUACAAGUAAAGCAGUGUAAGUUUAAGAUUGCAGAUGUAUGAUGGAGAUUGUAUUUUUUAGAACUUUGUCCUCCCUUGGAGGAAUCUUAAGUUAUGAGCUACAGCCUGCCUCGUUCCCACUUGAACUGUACCUAGGAGUACCCUAAAUGCGGGAAACUUUUUUCACAUUGCCUAUGAUUAAAUUAUUCUUUUGUUUCCUAGUCUGAGAGCUUUGCUUGUACUUGUGAGACAUGCAUGUUCCAUCCAUGGAGGCAGUUAUCUCUAUGAUCUGUGUAGCUAGAGUCUAAUCUUACGGUAUUCUCAAUAGGUUUCAAAAUUACUCAGCAGUAGUGAACAUAGUCUAUCUGAUUUUCCUGCUUGGUUGUCAUACAUAACCAAUAUGGAAAGCCAAAUAGUUGGUCCCCUUUUUUACUAGGGGUUGAAGUAUAUUUGCUCAUUCUGAGGAUCCAAAUCGAAGCAUGUGAAACAGAUUAUUUGAACGAAGUGUCUAUAUGGCAUGUUUGAUUUUGACUUGAUUAGACACUACAGUCACAUGUACAGACAUGUUAUCUUCACAGUAAGUUUUGGAGCAACUCAAGUGUCAAGAGCCAUAUAGUGAAAAUGCAUAUUGCGUAAGAGCUGACAUUUAUCAAUUGCAUCCUUUUCCCACAUCUUAAUUACCUUUUAAACUUCCAUAAAUGAAGGGUUGUUCACGGUCACGUUGAAAAAACUGUUUUUUUCCUCGUUGCCUCUCAUUGGAAAUUACAGGCCGUGGUGGCAAAUGUGAUUGGAUUGGCAAUUGAUGUUUUUUAUUUAGGCUACUAACUAAAUGGCUAGCCAGCUAAAAAGGAAAAACAGAUUGGAACCACCUCUUGUCAUGUACAUUUAAACUACUUUGACUGGAGCAACUUUGUUUAAUCACUUCUGCAGUUUUUUGUCUGCCUGACUGCUUGUAAAAGUUCAUGGGUCAGUUAAUAUUUUUCCAUAAAGCAUAUGAAAAUUAUGUGCCCUUGUCGUAAUUCUGGAUACUUUACAGUGGGUCUCAAAUACUGUUCUCUUAGCAAUGAGCAGAUCUGAGCACCAACAUUCACCUGUACGCCACACCUGCACCCUAAUCUAUGACUAGUUAACAUGAUUGUAAUAUGGCAAGCUUAGUUUGAAAAAGCAGAUUGUGUUAAAAGAUAAUACACUGAAGCUACUACCAGUUCCUGAUUGACUUUCAGUCUAACUUGCAGUAGAUAUGUAUUUGUCAUCGCCUGUUGAUGUCCAUGGUUUGGAUAAUUUGCUGUUUGAUGCUGAUGGUAAUGUUGGUGAAGAUAAUGUUACUGUUUUUGUCACCUUAUCAGUAUUUUAAGUUAAGUAGCACGUGUUCUAGACUUCUGUAUGCUUUGCUAGAGAGGAGUCUCUCUAUUUCUCUUCAGUUUGCUUUUUCACGUUUAUAUAGCUGCUAAAAGCAUGGAUAUUUGGAUAUUAUGCAGUGACACCAACAUGGUUGAGGAGCCAGCAGCAAUAGAUCCUUCAGAAUAUGCCCAUCUGCAAGUAAGGCCCCACUUCUCUUUAUUCUUGCUGCAUGGUGUUCUGUUGGCAAUAUGAGUUGAUAAGUUCUUUAUUUCUUCUUGAAGUAUUUGAAAUCAAGCAAGCCUUCGAGGCUCAGCUCCAUUGGCAAUUGGCUUCAAUGUCGGAAGGCAGUUGAUAAUGCAGGUGUUAAUGGAAAUAUAUGUGGAAAAUGGCGCAGGUGAGCCUCAUCUUUCUUCAAGAUUAUGAUGCGAUACUCUUCUGCAAUUUCCCAUACAGGUUCUUAUAUUUCACCUGAAACACCCCAAUGUUCAUCUUAAAAGAAAAGGGAGAAAUAAAGUUGGGUGGCAGAGAGUUUGAAAAGUGUCAAGAUCCUAAGAUUGUGCCAAGGAACCUUGAUGAGGCUUAUUGGGCUCGGAGUCUGACUUGGGCAUUGGUAGGCCAAGCUAGUGUGUCAAUGACAAUAAUCAGUUGUAGGGAAUCUAGAUUGUUAGAAUUAAUCAUCUAUUAUAGCAGUAUUUAACUUUAUUACUUGUUGUAGCUGUGUAGCUGUUGAGUCUUAUUCUGAGGGCUAUAUAUAUAGUGCCCACAUGUUAUUUUCAUACUGAGAGCCGAAGUCAAUCAAGUACCUCUCCUACCACUCUCUCUCUCUCUCUCUCUCUCUCACACACACACACACACACACACAAUUCCUCUUCUCCUUCCAUUCUUUAUCUCUACCCUUCUCUUCUCCUUAAUCUGCAUCGCAAAUUCAUCUCUAUCUCUUGUCGCAUUUGGAUCAUUACAAAUUUGUUUGGAGCUGCUCCAAACCUGUGAUGACCAUGGAAGCCAUUGACCAGUUGAGAGACUUGGAGAAUCGAAUUGAAAAUGUGGGUCUGCAGUUUAUGUCUUUCAUGGGCGAAACAGAGCAGAGGCUGGAGAAGUUCCAUAACAACACCAUGGCGAAGCUUGACCUAAUAUUGGAGUUGUUAAGGGCUCGAAUGGUAGUUGGCCAAGAGGACAAUCAUCUAAUUGAACCCAAGCCUUCAAUGGAAGAAGGAAAAGGAUUGGUACCUGAAUUGAAGGCGGUUCUCAACUGCGAAAGCUCAAUGAUUAUCAAUUUAACUGUACCUGAAGGAGCAGCUGCUGUGAAGCGUGAUUUCCCAAUUAUCAAGGCAAAUAAUUUCGUGGAUGGGGUAAAAGUGAGUGAAGAGCAUCUAAAUGCCCAUUAGAUGUAUGACAAAAUGAAAAGGGGAAUUCCAUUGAGACAGUUGAUAGGGGAGGCCCUGAAAUGGAUAGUGUAACUGGAUGCUCAGAGGGAUUCAUCAAUCUGGAGUUGCUGGAUGCCAUCAAGGCAUGCCACGCUUCAAUAGAUAUGUGGAUUAAAGGACAUGCCAGGCAGCUUCAUGAUUUUAAUGCCUUCUGGUUACUCAAGUUUUACAAACCCAUUUCUAUGCCUCAUUCUUGUGGAGUAAACCAAUCAGUAGCUUUUUCUGACUAUCAAGGAACUCUUCUUGAUUGUGCAUUGGUUUUGAUGGAAUAAUGCUUUUCUGGAAAAAGGCUGAGAAGUGGAUGCGAGCUUGAGGUGCACGCAUGAAUGUCUUCGAGUGGUAUGUGCAUAAAAUGUGGUGGGUUUGGAAAUUGACCUAAGUAGUUUGAAUUCCACAACCUCAAUCUAGGAAUGCUAUGUUAAUUGGGUUUAAAUAAAUGGGAAACUAUGAGGAGAGUCGUGUUAGGGAAAUGGGAAUGUUGAUAUUUGAUCCAGGUGGUAAUAAUCUUGACAAUAUGAUCUGUGAACCUCUCUCGUGCAUGAGUUAGAAAACACCUAUGAGCCAUUUGAUCUGAGGCCUGAGAUCCCAGCAUAAGAGUGCACUUGAGUGACCUAGUGGAGAGAGAGAAUGAUAAGCUCAUUGAUGAGUUCUUUGCUUAUUUUCGGUCGACUAAAGCUCACUCAAUGACCUCGAAUUAUGUAUGAAAAUUGCUAUUAACAGCACCCUGGUCUAACUAUUAAUGGAUACACAAAGCCAACUAGUGAACUUGUCACACACAACGAUGUUGAAUACACAGAAUGUGGCUGUCAGAUUUUCGUAUAAGCUGGUGUAUACAAAGUAGAAGGUGUGCCCAUCUUCUGGAGGAUUCUUCUGGCAUAUAUAAAGACACGGAAUUUGUCAAUGUGGUUGAUUUUUUUGAUACACCUAUGGAAGUUAUAUGGAAAUACGAUGGAGCAAUAUGCGUUUGUGCAUUGUGAGUCUAAGCUAUGGAAAGAAGGAUUGAAUGGUCUUGGAUGGUAUAAGAAAUACUUGAAAGGAGAUACAUGAAGUGUUUUCAAAACAAGGAAGCUCAGGUGGUGCUAUAUCACCUCUUGCUCUUCCUUAAAGACAAGGAAGAUUUUGUCAUGGGGGUAUUGGCCUGAUCCUAAGAGUGGGCUAAGGAACCUUGACGUGGCUCGUUGGGCUUAGAGUCGGGCUUAGGCAUUCAUGGGCCAAGCUAUUGUGUCAAUAACAAGUGUCUGUAGUAGGGAAACUAGUUUGUUAGAAUUAAUCAUCUAUUAUCAUGGUAUUUAGCUUUAUUACUUGUUUAGUUGUUGACUCCAGUUUUGAGGGACAUCUUUAUAUUUUAAUAAAUAGAUUACAUAAUUAAUUAAUAAAUAUAUGAAUAUGUAUGAUCAGUGUCUACACACGAUUUCAUAGUGAGAAAUGAGUUAAGAAUCAAAAUCCGCUCUCCAUAACCAUCUCUGCUCCUUCUAUUCUCUAUCUCUACCCUUCUCAUCUGCUUAAUCUGGUAAUACAAAUUCGUCUCUCAUCUUGUCACAUUUGGAUCAAUACAGAAGCUAUAUUUCUAAUGAAGGGUUGGUUAACUCUAUAACCCUAGUAUAACAACAGCUUAUUGUUUUAAAUAAUGAGUUUUAUCUCUAUACUUUUAGAAUAUCAAUUUUCUCUUGAAGCUACAAAAAUUCUCAGUUUUAGCCUUUGUUUUGUCUUGGUUUCUUUUAAAUAACAAUUGUUGUGCUUGUGAUACCAUUUGACAAAGAUGGAGAUGUACAAGAUAGCAUAAGAUGUUCGCCCAAAAGAAGCCAAAAAGAACCCAAGAAAAGGUCUAUGCUUUCAACAACCUAGAAUAAGAUUACAUUACGAACUGUUCUACAGAAUAGUUGUACUAGGGUUACUGAUCUGAUCUCAUCCCUUGACUGGACAUUAAAUUCAUUUUAGAUUUGCCAUUGAAUUCAUUGGGAGUGGCAUGCCUUGUGUUACCACUUAUUGAAACUAAUAUUAUCACACAGACUACCUAAAUAGAUUACAAAAUUCAUGACUCUGUCAUGGGAAAACCUCCUGCAUCAAUUUGUAUUCCAUUAGCAACUGAGCCCAAUGGUGGUAGUAGCAACUCACUUGAUGUCUGGUGACUGCACUCAUUUGUAGUGAUAUCUAGCUUGUACUUAAAAUCUUACAAAAUGACAUGUUUCACAAUAAUCACUUAGCUGGUGUUUCUACUUACUGCACGAUUUACCUGAGAAUGUUUUUAUUUUGACUAAGUUAAAUAUAAUUUGACGGAUGAGUUAAUUAUAUUGCAGAGCACCUCUUUUUGAAGUCCAAACUGAUAAGUGGGAGUGCUUCUGUUCUGUUUUCUGGGAUCCGAGCCAUUCUGAUUGCGCUGUCCAUCAGGUAACAUUAGUCAUUUUUUAUUCUUUUUUCACACUAGUAUUAUUUCUGUCCUUAAAUCUGCAUCCAGCAUGAGAUAUCUUUGCAAAUGCUUUAGUUAGAAUGCAUUAUGCUGUGAUGCCUGGCUUAUCACUAGAGAUGUGUGUUCUUCCAUGGUUAUCUGCAACAGGCAUUCGGUCCAGAGACUGGGGCAGGUUCUAGGGGCAUUUGCUUUGUUCAAAAUUCAGUAUAAGCUAAAGAUACAUUAAUAAGUAAAUAAAUUAAGUGUUUACUUUCUGUCCAGUCUUUCACUUUAGUAGAAAUCAGCUAUCAGAAUAUUCUGCCAGAAAACAAUGGGAGUGAAUGCCCAAAACAAUUAGGAGAAUACUCCAAGACAAAGCGAGACCUUCCGAGAAAAAAAUUUCUAAGAUAAAAGUGUGAGAUACAUUUUAAAUCUGAAAAUAAGUAGAAGGAGAAAUUGGAAUCAUGCACUAGUUUUAACUGUUGUAAGUAUGGGUUCCAAAAAUGUUUGGACCAUCUUGAGAUUGGAGGCUUCAUUUCAGUUGAAAGCUAAACUCUAGAAUCUACGUUGUUUCUCUUUUUCCCCAAUAAUAGAAGAACAUGCUCAUUUUUCUUGAUGUGGAUACAUGUUUAAUCCCAAGGUCAGUUAAGCAGUUGUACUUUUGAGUCUUCAACUAAUUUAUCAGCUUCUGUAUGCAGUCAUUUAAUGUAGGACAAGUAUGACAUGCAACACUCUCACUCCACAUUUAUGAAGCUCUUAAGCAUUCACUGAGUGACUCUUCCAGAGGAAACUUAGAAUCCACCAAGAACAUAAUUUUAUGUUAGAACAUAAUUUUGGUCCUAAUGGAUGGAAGGAUGGAUCAACAAUUACAACCUUAAGCAUAAUCCAGGAUACUUCUCCACGGUUUUUGUGGUUACUGAAUCCUGUUCUGUAAGCCUUCAUACUUGUCGGGAAUAAUCGUAGAAUGUUUUAACAAAGUUUUAGGGGUGGAUCACUCGAGAUCCCCUUAUUGAACCCAUUAGCCAGGGGAAAGCUUUUCUCUGUCUUACCAUCCUAUUCUCCUCUUUAGAUUGUCACCAUUGGGAAUUUGUUAACUACUAUUUGAAGAACUAACUGUGAGUUUUAUAGAUCAGUCCCUAAUACACGGGUCCUUUUCUCAUGCUUUUACUUCAGGAGCUGGAGACAGAUCAAGUUCUAAAGCAACUGAAGUAUAUUGAGAUGGUAUUAUCAGUUUCUGUCUCUUGGUGUUGGUUUGGUAUUUUUUUUCACAUAUACAUGUGUUAUGUGAUGUAAAAUAAUACCAAUGCAACCAGUUUGGCUGUCCAAACAAUAAAAGUAACUAAACCCUUUCAAUUGGGAUUAGAUGUGCCUUAGUAAUUUUUUUUUUCUUUUCUUUAUGUCUUGGUGUGUGUGCAUUGUGGGGUUGGGGGGAGUGGGGUGCUGUAAAAUGAGAAACAUAUGGAUUUUUUUUUUUUUUUUUGGCUAAACAUUCACAAGCAGACUACAAGAAAGGGUGAUAAGAGGACAAUGUACUGUUGCUUGGUCAAUAAUUGAGAAAGAAGCAACAGCUCAGCUGAUAAAUGAGAAAAUGGUCGUGACUGAUUUAAUGCUUAAACUGGUCCAAUGGAAGAGAGAGAUGGUGAAUAGUGUUAUAUGGAACAUUGUACACAAAAUACGCAUUCAUUGUCUAUUUUUGUCUUUUACUUGUAGCUGAGGCCACAACUUGCAGCUAGCAGACGAAAGCUUGUCCUAUCCAAGAGUGAAGUCUCUCAGGAACCCUUGGGGAAUGCAACCAACAUAUAAGCCCCAAAAGAGUGUCAAUGUACAUGCUUGAUGAUUCUGUGAGGUGUCUGUAAUGCCAGCCUUGGCUAAUAAAUCUCUUUACACAAAAGCUGAUUCCAAUUUUGAGUUUCAUGUUGUUGGUCCCUUCUUCCUAUCCUCAUUCAGCUAUUGAUUUUUUCUUAUUUUUGUUAGCUGUAGAAAGAGCAUACAAUUUGUCUACUCUUAGUGAAAUAGGUUUUAGUUGAUCGUGUUUUUCUAGAAAUUUCUGUAUAAACCAGAGUGACCUGUAGCCUUUACCCAUUGGGGGAUGUAGGAAUGUAUUGUGUAAAUUACAGUGUGCGAUUUAGUAAAGCUUAGCACAAUGGUUCUAGUUCUAGUCAGCGACUGUUUUCCUUAUUUCUGGUGGUCUUUAACUUGAUUUUGCACGGAUGCACCAUCAAGACUGAAUAUUCGGAAGAACUUAGAAGAUGCCGAUUCCAAAUAUCAUGGCAUCUUCCUGAAUAGUCAGGACAGGAGCAUUAGCAGCGGUUCAUUAUUUGUUGUGAACUUUUGUCAACGAUAAGAACUUAAUGAGAUUUUAGCUAAGCUUUCGUUAUUCUUAUUUUGGAUGGAUUUGCAACUACUUCCAAUAGUAGGUGCAGACAUUUUCCAUACGCUGUCGUUACUACGAGUACGAGGAUUAAACGGGAGACACCAAACCAUUAGCCUGGUCUUGUCUCGUCUAUAGCAUUCAGGCAAGCAAUUCUUUGGAAGAAUUAUGUAUGUCGUCCAACAUGGUGCUCCAGGAGUGAAUUUAUCCCAUUUGCGGGCUGUUUAGUUGAUGUAAAGCCUGUGAGGAAUAUUCCUUUUAUUGGGUGAUGUUUCCAUUGGGAAGCACCUAAACUCAAAAUCUGUCUUUGGGUUUUGGCACGCUUGCAUCUCUGACUUUACAGCUUAUUCAUUUGGGGUAGAAAGUACUUUUGGGGGUAACGGAAAAAUAGAGUAUCUUAAGAGCACUAAAUGUUACCCAUCAGUGGUGGUGGUGGCUGGUGGCUGGUGGCUCAGCCGCUUCCGUGUUGGCUGGUGGUGCUGGUGCCAACUUUGCUUGGUAGUUCAAUGGCGGCAGCAUCAUGGUGGUGAAUCCACCAGCCUCUUGAGGUUGACAAUGGUGGUGGCUGCCGUUUUCAGAAUGGUCAGUCAACGGCAGUGUUGGUGUCAUUCUGCUGGAUUUGCAUGGGCGCUUUAUUGGCCGGCGGCGGCGGCUUCUGUUUAUGGGUGGUGAGUCUGGUGACUGGUGGGUGAAUUAUCUACUUGUAAUGUUAAAUUUGUAAGCUACAAAUACCAAAGACGGAAGCAAGAGUUUACUGGAAUUCAUGCAUGUAUUUUCCUUUGCCCAGAGAAUUCUUCUGUAUUGAUAAGUUUUCUUGGAUUCUGCCUGGCAUCAGAGACAAGUGGAUACGGAAGAUCAACGUAAAUAAUAUUGUCUUUGAGGAAUGAGAAAGUGAUGUGUUAGCUUCGGAGCAGAUGGCUUCGUAAAUGACAAACCUGGCAAGAAUCGUGUGAAGUUAGAUAUCUUUUUAUACAUAUUAGAAUUGAUUGGAAAAAGGGGUAAGUUGGCUGGUGUCGAGAUAACUUCAUCUUAACCCUACCACUUUCCUUGAUGAUUAAAUUUGUCGUUAUUAAUCUCUUUAGAAGUUACAUUCUACAUCUUCAGCUUGAAGGUCGCAUGUGUAUUAUUUCGGUCUGCACUUGCUAAAAUAUGUAUCCUGGGUCCUCGAAUUGUAAACUUUUUCGAAUCUUGGAUAAAGAGUACUGAAUAUUUUGAUCUUCUGUUAGGAGAAUUGUACAUGGUGAGGGUCUAUCGCCAACCGUUGUUAACACCUUUGACCUCCUUUAAAUCUUUACAUCUUGUGAAAACGCAUUUCAAUCCAACCUAAUUGAACUAUAAUAUUUUUUCCCUAGUUUUUCACCUAACCUUUAAGAGCACGGAUGAUAAUCAUUCUCUUCCCAAGAACAAUUUUUGGCCCAUAAUAUAUUUUUCUAUUGCGGCCGGCAACGGGUGGCCAACGGCAAGGGUGAGUGAUAAAAAGAAUUUUUAUUUUUAUUUCUAUUUCAGAAAUAGAAAAGUAAAAAAGAUAUACUUAAUAUUUUUAUUUCAAACUUAGUUCUAAGCUAAAAAUUCGCCUUGAAAAUAGAAAAAAUGAAAUUGUGUUACCAAAUGGAUUUUUAUUCUAAACCUAUUCCUAAAAAUAGAAUAAAAAAAACAUAAAAAUAGAAUGAUUAUCGUUCGUGCCCUAAAAUAUUGAAUAAUCCAUAUAUAUCCUGAUAUUAAAACUACGAGUUAGAAAUUGGGCCCAUGACCCAUUUUGUUGCCUCUAAUGGACUGGCUUAUAAUUAGGGGUGAGUAUUGGUCCAAGGUCAACCUUGGAAUGAUCUUGGACCGGCUCAACCUAGCCGGUCCCGGUCUGCUUCCCAGAUGGAUUGGGUCGGUCCUUAGUCCAAGACUUUGCAUUGUGCAAGUUGGUCCUAGUCCUAGGAGUUUAGAAUUGGUCUACCCGAACUAACCCUAUAUUAAUAUAUUAUAUAUUAUAUCUAAUAUACUAUAAAUGAUAUUUUAUUGUCUAUUCGAAAUUCUAGCAUUGCCUCAUCUGUUCUCUUUGUAAUUCAAUUUAUCGUGUAAAUUAGAAAAUAGAAAGAAACCUAAUCCUAAUUCGACCAAAAAAAAAAAAAAAAAGGAACCCUCUUCGCUCGCUUGCUAGUUUUGUUGCUCGCCUCUAUUUCCUCACUUCACAUGUUCGUUUUUGUAGUUUGUUACUUUUAACAAGUCUAAAUUUUUGUUAUUAUCUUAUCUUAUAUUAAUGUUUGACAUGCAUUGGUGUUCAUAAUUUGGUUGCUCAAUAUCGCAUUAUUAAUUAAUAUAUAAUUUGAAUUAGUAUGUUUAUUCUUUUGAGGAAUAUAAAAAAUGAAACAAAAAAAUAAUCGGUUGGUUCUAGGUCGACCCUAAAGACUCAAUAGGGUUGAUCUUCGAUCUUAAAAAUUGAAAAUCAACACUAUGUGGAUUGAUCAUUGGAUUAAGUGUUGAACCGGCAAAAUCUAGAUCAUGCUCACCCCUACUUAUAAUCAUUGGAGAGAACUGCUUAGUUCCACUAGCAACUUGGAGCAAAAUGUCAAGCCCUCAUCGAAUGAACGGACGAACGAAUAUUAAGAUAAUUUCUCUGUUAUAAUUUUGAGGAACAAGCAUAGAGGACCAUCUAUUUGGACACCAAUGAAACGCUCUACAUGUCCCGCAAGCUACGGAAGGAGUUCAAAGUGAUGUAGUAGGGAUCGACAUACUGUAUAAGAGUGAUAUUCUCUUUGGAAAAAAAAGGGUCAAUACCCUGAAAAACAACAAGCUAAUACACAUGUGAUAAAUUUACCAUAAACUAAUUUUUUUUAUUAUGAAAAACCCUAAACUGGUAUAUACGUGACAAAUUUACCUCAAAUGACCAUAAAAAAAAAAAAUCCUAAACCAAUUCACUUGUGAUAAAUUUACCAUAAACUAAUUUAUUCAAUUGCCAAGAACUCAAAACUAGUAUAUUUGUGAUAGAUAUACCUUCCGUUAAGGUAAAUUAAUACAAAAAAAAAAAAAAAAAAAAAAACCCACAAGAUGGUAUAAUUGUGACAAAUAAGGAGUAAAAUCCCUAAUUGGUACAUCAAUCGAUUGUCACGUAUCAUCCAAUUCAGUAAUUUGAUAGUAAAAUUUAACGGAAACUAACAUAAGAUAAAUUUGUCAUAAGUGUAUCAGUUUGGGAUAAAUUUGUCAAAAGUGUACCAAUUUUGGGUUUUUGAUAGUAAAAAUAUUAGUUUUGGGUUAAUUUGUUAUAGAUAUACUAAUUUGGAGUUUUUCAGGAUAUUAAUCCUUACAAAAAAACAACAAAUAAAAGGACAAUUUCAUUGAAGAGGUAGGAUACAAAUGCUGGUGUCAUUGUAUUUUAAGAAUAGGGCCAUGAGUAGGGAUGCAGUGGGUGGAGUCAAAUAGCAUUUUCUACCUAUCUAAACCCUAUAACCAGUCUAAUUAGAUUUUAGACUUGCAUAAUGAGCUUAGAUCCCAUUUAAAUUACUUUAUAGGGUUUGAUGACUUGUUCAUAGAUAUCCCAAAACUCAAAUCCAACUGAUCCUAUUAAAAAAAUGAAUCCUAAGUUUUUGGGAAAAUUACACUAGGAGUGUCAAAAGUUAUGUACAACACUUAUUUUAGUAUCAAAAGAUUUCACCUUCUCAUUUAAAUGUCAAAUCAGAAAAAAAAAAAUCACUUAAGUAUCCUUAAGUGUCAUAAAAUUGAUUACAGGGCUUUUAUGAUUAAAAAAAAUUGACGUGACAAUUUUUUUUAAUGCAAUCCACAUGUACAUCAUAAAUGGUGUCGUUUUUUCAUCCUACGUGACUUAAACAAAAAAACGAAAAUGACAUUACAUAGCCUCUGGCCAAAACGACAUCACUCAAGAUGGAUCAAAAUUGGGGCUUCCCUGUUACUGCAUAUGAACUACUCUCCUUAGUGACUGAUCGUUGCUCACUUGCCAUCACAAUUUCUUCGUCGCUCAUCGACCAUCUCCAUAACUCUCACUCAUUUAGAGAUUUGUCAUCUUUUGAUCCUUGCUCAAUUAGGUGGAAAAUUUAGGGCUCCGAUGGCAAAACUAGGGUGUGAAGAGCAAAAGUAGGGCUCAGCUCGGAGGGAAAAGGAGUUCUUGGUACUAGAGAAAGAAUCCCGAGAUAGUGGUAGGGAUGUCACUUUGUUUAAUCAAUUUGGUGCUAUUGUGGGGACCAAAUUGAAUAAAUCAACUUCGUUUCGUUUCUUUCUACAAAACUACAAUCAUGAAGUGAAUUCUUCAAUCAAUUACUUGUGGGGAUCUCUAUAAGAAGUUGUUGUCCAAUUUUUUUUGUAAUUCCAAAAGUUAAUGAUUGAUUUCUCCUUGCGUAUAGUGUCGUACACAACCUUUGGCACUUCUAAGAUCUUUCUGCCUAAGUUUUUUUAAUCUUUUAAAUUAACAUUAUUCAUUGGGAUUUUGUUAACGAGUGCUUGGAACACUUGUCAUGUGGAAAAAUGACCAAAAAUGUGAUUAAUCUAUUGUAUUUAUAUCAAUUUAGUUAUAAAUAUUUUGAUAAUUUGCCAGUGUAGUCUUUCCGUUCAAUUUUAAUUGAAAAAUGUUAACGUGUUCAUCCAAUCAGUGAUGCCCAUCCUAUGUGGGUACCGACGUUAACGUGGACAAUUUUUUAAAAUGUUUUUGAUUUUUUGAUUUUUUAAUUUCUUUUUGGUUGGUGGCCAGUCUUAGGCGAUAGCCAGAGAGGGCUAGGCAAGGGUUGCUUUCAUUGGCUAAAGGUGAGGGAAGGCCAUGCUUGGGUGAGAGUCACACUCGCUCUAUCUAGGUGAGGCAUGCCCUUGUCCACAACUGACGAGGGCCUAGGUGAGCGCCGCAACCCUCGCCAAUAGUUGGUAAGGACCUGUAGGCCCUCACACAGUGGCUGGCAAGGGUUAGUGGGUCCCCGCCGGUUGUAAUAAAGAAAAAUAAUAAUAAAAUUAAAAAAAUUAAAAAAGUUGCAAAAAUUAUCCAUGUUGGCAUCGAUGGUAUUAGGUACGAUCAUCAGUGUCUACGUUUGUGAUUUUCAACCAAAAUUGGCUUAAUAGACUAUGUUGAUAAUUUGUUAAAAGGUUUAAAUCUAAAUUAACCAACUUACAAAGUUUAAGAUUGAAUUAACACAAUGCAAUAAGUCUAGGACUUUUUAAUAAUUUUCUCCUUAUUAUGUGGUAACUAACUAGAGGAUAUUUGAAUUUUCAAAAGUAAGGAUUGAAGAUUUAUUUAUUCGAAGUAUUUAAAGUAUAUACAUUUGAGCGAAUUCAUGUCACAUCGUAUGUCUGCUUAAGGAAGAAAGGGAUGACACGGCCAUCCAUCAAAAGAAAGACGAAGCUUAAGAAAAGCCCUUCACGAAAAAAAGCCAGCUAUCUCCAAAAAUACGGAAUCCACACAAAAGUAUAUCUUCAAUCCAGCUAUAUCCAAAAUACGGAACUAUAGCAAAAACUUAUACAACUUGGCUAAAAGCUAAUACCAAAGUAUUAUAGCCUAAAAAAUCCCCACAUCGAAGUGCUUCUCUAAGCGUCGCCAGAGCAUCGCGGGGUAAAAAGCCUAAAAUGUUAUAAAAAAAAAAAGAGUGAAUGGGCUUUAGUUUAGUGAGUGAUACUCAUGUUAGUACAAGAUGGAACACUAACUAUUUUGAUAUCACAAAGAACUUCAAACUGAUAUAUUUAUGAUAAAUUUAUAAAAAAAAUUAAUUUUUUUACCACUAAAAACCACAAAUUGGUACGCUUGUGACUAAUUUAUCCUCUACUAGUUUUCGUUAAAUUUUAUGGUCAAAUUGCUGAGUUGAAGACGCACGACAGUUAACAGGUGUAUCAAUCGGUUUGUGGUUUUAUCUUUCGUUUAUUACAGCAGGUAAAUGAAUUUGGGGUUUUUUUUAAUAUAAAUCCAAUUUAACGAAAAUUAACGAAAGGUAAAUUUGUCACUAAUGCACUAAUAUAAGAUUUUUGAUGAUAAAAAAAUUAGUUUGGGAUCAAUUUAUCACGAGUAUACCAAUGAUUAAAAAAAAUACUAACUUUUAGUAAAUUUCUCACAUAUUUAGGGUUUUUCAUUGUACUAACCCUUUUAUAAAUAGACACUUUUGUUGAAAACAAUUAUGGAUAAGUGCAUUGGAACAAAAGUGUAUUUAAGUCUUAAAAAUUAGUCGAAAGUAUAAUCGUGUCUUAACUUUCAAAAAAGUGCAAUCAAGUCAUAAAAUUUGCAAAUUGAUUUGGUCAAGUCCUUUGGUUGAAUACACUUUUUGAAAGUUUUAGGUUUUGAUUGUACUUUUGCGACAAAAUUUUAAGACUUGAUUGUUUUUUUGAAAGUUUUAAAACUCCAUUGCACUUUUGUGAUAAGUUUUAAGAUUACUAGUGCACUUAGCCAAAACAUUUAAUAAAACUUGUAAAGUAAAGCAAAACAUUUGUAGUGGUAAAUUAAAAUAUAUGCUCUUAACAUAACAUAACUUGAAAAACCAAAAACGUCAAUGGCUGGCUCUAUUGACUAAUCUCUUAUCUAAUGUCAUGCACUACAGUGACGUUUAUCCUCGUGGCAAAGCUCACAACCAAACUUUCCCCCAGGUUAUAGGUCUUCAUCUUUUAUUAGCCAGUAGAUCAGCCUACACAUGACAUCCUAAAAACUAGUAAGCACAACAAACACUAACUUGCCCAACUGACAGUUCAAAACGUAUUAACAAGGGCAUGAAGUCCAAACAAUACCACUUUUAAUCAAGUAUUUGAACAAUCACAACUUACUUGGUAAACAGGUUCGUAAAUCAAAUGAUAAUACUUGGACGAAGCAUUUCACAGUUAUAAGCCAUUCAGAAAAAGUUAAUUCUCAAACAAUGUUCACGCAACUUAAAUAGAUAAGGCAAACUAAAUCACAAUGCAACUCAUAGUAAUGAGAAGGUAGUCCAUAUCGUACUCGAGUUUCAUAAAACAAAUUCUCCAAAGUACCUUCACGCUAUGAUGUCCCAAUGUUCGUUUAAAACCAUAGAAUGGAAAAUACAGGGUUUUGUUGCUUGUUGGAAGAGUCAUAAGCCGCAUAUUCUUAGGCCUUCGCAAUGACGAAAUGAAAUCUCUAAUCUGAAAAGUACCUCGUUAUGCAGCCGAUGUACUUUCAGAAAUUGUACACGUUUCUGGGUGUAAUGACUAUUUUAAUUCUGAAUUAGGUUGUUAAGAUGCUGGUUGUGAUUAAAUUGCAGAAAACUACAUGAAAAGUAUCAUUCAAAAUAUCUAAUUUUCAAAACUUGACUCCACACAAAAAAUUGCAUUCACAAAUUUAAUUCAAACUUCUAGGUCAUUCAAUCAUUUGUUAUUCAACGUUUGUUUCUAUGUCACACGUCAUGCAAAGCAUAGUUUCAAAGUACACACACGUGAACUUUCCACUUGAUUUCAGCCAAGACUCAAUGUCCAGACUCUUGUAAAGAAAAUGCACGAUAGAUGCAAAUUAGGGCCCAAUCGGAAAGUUUUGGUACUGAAAGGGUGUUGUGGGAUGCUAAUCUAUCAACCUAGGUAGUUUACUUUCCCUCGACCUCAGCCUCUGGUUAGCGCACUUAGAUUAGUCACCAUGCACAUGUCCCCUAGGUAGUUUACUUUCCCUAAAACUUUUUAGGCAUUCUAAGUGUCCAAUCAACCUAGGUUAAGUAAAUCGAUCGGCAGUGACUCUUCUCAUCUUUUCAAUUUAUGAAUUUGGUGACUCUACUCAAACCAAGAAUUUGGAAAGAUCUCAAGAACUGGGGCGCUACAAACUAGUGAUCCCCGGUUUGCAAGAUUAAAGGUGUCACACUCUCCUUGGUGGAGGUUUGAGGCAAUGCGGCUGAACUCCCUUUGCAAUCCAUGGAAUUUGCAAGCUUAGUUCUGGCAAUAUUUUCUGCUACUCCGCCCAUUUAUCUAAUAACCUUGCUUUUGCUCGCCGCUGGCAUGAAAUGUUGUAUGUGUUCCGUGACUGGCCUUUUUUUUGUUGUUGUUGUCGAGUUAAGGUUUUCAUGUUUGAAUAUGAGGAAAGAUAAGUUUCAUGGCCUUCAGCGGAGCAUCCUUUUCCUUAAGGAGUCAUACUAAAUGAAAGCAAGCUUUUGGGAAAUUGCCAUCAUAUUAAGGAGCAUUGUACUCCCUGCUACGCUACAUAUGCAUAGCGACUUAGCGGCAAAAACUGAAGAGAAGCGCUUUUGAACGCUUGAAUAGCCAUAGGUCGUGUUUCCCCAUGUUAAUCGGGCUCUCCCGGUUACAAAGACGGAUAUAUCCAGGAGUAACUUAUAACGGGGAGGCUAGCCACCUUGCCACCGAACGUUCGCACUACUGCUAACGGGGAGCUUAUUGGCACCAGGUGCAUGGCUUGCUUGCAGAAGAUUUGUUGGGCUGGGUUGUUAUUGCUUGGAGCAAUCACUUGGGGAGAUAGUGCAGAGUUGUUCAGGGCUUGAGAACUCACUAAAGUGGGAAGGAGCCGAUGCAUCCUAGUCGGCCUCGCUUGAACUAACUGCCUUAGAAGCCGACUCAGAGGGCGGCUGCCAUCGGGUUCAUGUUUCCAUGUGUAUACUCUAUUUGGUUGUCAAAUUGUUAUCGACGUGAACUUGAGGGCUUUCCUGCAUGUUGUCGCUCUUCCUCUUCUUUGGUGACAUCAGCUUUGUGCGUCCUCCCUUCACAGUAGACUCGCCAAUAUGCUGAGGAUGUUUUCUCAAGUAGAUUUUCUUAUUUUAGAUCGAGGAAACCACUAGACCCACAUCUAGUUGGGCUUUGAGAUUUUGAAUCCACUUUAACCUGUUUUUAGGGUGCAUUUGGUUGGACUUUUGGGGAAAACCUUUGAAAAAAUGCAAAUGACUUUAAGUUAAAGAGAUUUUCCAAAAUGCAAUUGUGUCUGUUAAAUUGUAGUUUGAAAGUCCAUUGUGAUGUAUUUUUGAAUAAAAUGGUGUUUUGAAAGAUUAUAUUUACAAAGGACUUUUGUAAUUAAAAAAAUUUUUAAAAAAUUGUCAAAAGAAAAAUAAAAAGAGUUGGCUAGCGAGGUAAGCAGCCUCAGGCAACCCUCAGAGAUGAGCAGCAAGGGCCGCCUAGGGUCAACCUCCAGCGAGGGCCGCCUGGGGUCGAGUGACCUCUGGCAGCCCUUCGCGGAGGUCACCCGACCCAAAUCUGUGUCUGCCAGAGGUCGUGUGACCUCAGGCAACCCAGAUUUGGUUUGCGCAACCUCAUGGCGACCAGAUCUGUCACGGAGGUUGCGCAACCUCCAACGACAGAUCUGGUCGUCGCAUGACCUCCGCGACAAAUCUGGCCGCCGUUAGGUCGCGCGACCUUCGGCGACCCAUAUCUUGGUUGCGCAUGAGGUCGCGAGACCCAGAGCUAGGUUGUGGUGACGCGACUCGCGGGUGGAUGCCGCAACUUGCCAAGGUCUCGCGAUUGGCCAGUGACGGUUGCCGCGACCUUGUCGGCCUCUCUUGAGCUCGUCGCUAACCAGCCACACCCCACUGGAGAGGGAGAUGAACAGUAGACAUUGGGCUUUCAGCAUUUGCAAGGCAAACUUUGCCUCAAGGUGGGUUUCAAAAAUGAAACCAAACACCCAAUAUUUGGCCUAAAGAUCCCUGGAAACCCAAAGUCCCUUCCCAAAGCCAAUUCCAAACGCAGCCUUACGAUUUUCAAACAAUAUAUAUUUGACCUGACUCGUUAAACUUGAGUUAAACCGGCUCUGUAAGAUACUGACGUGAAUAUCAUCAAUAUUUAUAUUUAAUGAAGUUUCCGUGUAAGUUAUGUCUACGACUUGUAAACCCCCAAAUCAAUAACAUUUCUCCAACCACAAAUGAUGGAGUUGGAAGUAAGAAUGCGAAAGAGAAAGUUGAGAGAUAUUAGUAUAUUUUGAUAUAUUAAAAAGAGUACAUUGAAAGCCUAUUUAUAAGCUUAGAUAGAUAAAUCACUAAUAAUAUAUACGUAAUCAAAAUAGACAUAGAAAAUGACAGAAAAUAUCUUAAAUAUCUUUAAAAAAAAUUAAUAGUGCUAACUUCCCUAAUAUCUCUAACAAAUGAAAAAUUAGGUUAGUUACAUCACCAUGACUUGACUUGUAUUUGUCAGUGGUAUGUAUGAAUAUGCAUAAAGCGUGUUGUGACUUUGCUUCAAUCAUCUGAAAGGAAAAAACUUUCUACUCUGCUUCAAUCGUGCUGGUUUACCAAACAACAAAACCAUGUCUUGGUACAAUGGGAUGAAACCAUAACCGCUCAUGCACUUAAGCUUCAGAGAACCUGCUUGGCCAAGAGAGGACAAGCCAAAAUGGUUGGUCUCUUCAGUACCCACGUCAAGAAACAUAACCCCACCGCACAUCGCUCUCUUUUCUUCGGCGCCCGAUCCAUGCGCAGAAACCUGCCUCUUAACUGGGAAACCACUAAGCCUCGCUAUCAGGUUCACGCACUGAACAUCGAAUCUUGACGAGAUCUUCAGAUUUAGCAGCUGGCUGUACUCAUUCAAAGGUGGAGAUUCAUCCUACUUGUAAAUCCGGACGUCCAUCACGAAAGAUUAGAUAAUAGGAGGCCUAGAGCACGAAUGUCAACCAUUUUAGCCGGAAAGUGAUUUUUGUGAAAUUUUCUAUUUUUAUUAUUGGAUGAAUUUCUGAGGAAGAAUAUGCAUUUAAUAAUAAUAAAAAUUUUGUAUUAUUAUAAUAAGGACACAAAAUUUCUCCAUGCCGGGCGGUGGCCGCGAUCAGCGACAAUAGAUGGCAAUGUUGACCGGUGACCAGUGGUGGGGACGUCGACCGGCGACAAGUGGUGGUGGACGCUUCUCGUCAAAUUUUAAGCUUGGGACGUCAAUGAUGGGCUUGAUUCAAGCCCAACCCGUCAUGUUCGGAUGCUUCCACUGGGAGUCUUUUCUUCUCUCUUCCUAAAUGCAUGGCCACAUGCACAAAACAAGGGUUACCCAUCUGAAGAUAAGAUAACAAGAGAAAGUGCUCGACAUGGAGAAUUUUUGGCCAGGGUCGGCGCGAGUUGUUACUGCUAAAAAAGUGGCCACUUCACUUCGCUUUCUUUCACUAGUCCUUGCAACUUUAGUAGGUGGUUUGAUUGGGCACUAAGGAGACAAAUUUUCAUCAGUCCACCGGCCACCUGCCUUGUCUCAAUUUACUAAUAUAUCACUGUAUGACUUCACCAUAGCCAAUCUGAUGAAGCUAAGGUUGCGUUGGAUAGGACAAAUUAUUUGGCAAGAUAGGAUAGAUUUACAAUGGCUAAUAUCGAUAGGAUAGAUUUACAAUGCUAAUAUCUCUCUCUCUCUCUCUCUCUCUCUCUGUUGACAUUUAGUAGAUACCAAGCACCGGAUAGAACUAGAGUUGUUCAAUUGCGUUAAUAUCUCACCAGUCAAGUAUUGCCCAAUUACUUUUCGCAAUUAAUCAAUGAAGUAAGUAUUGCAUAAACUAUGACGUCUAGAUUAAUUCGAUCACAAUUCAAUAAUUUGCUAGAAAACAUUAUUUGGCUUUUACUAAAAAGUAUAACUUAUCAUAUAACUCUUGUGUUAUGAUUGGUGCUAUUUACCACAUCAUUUAUAGACUAGUUUACAUGGUAUAUUUCUCAUCGAUGUUUCAAACCGCUGUAUAGCAAUAAGUCUGGUACGCACUACAUAGUCUUUCUUGGAGUUAAGGGACCCAGAUGGUCGCAAACAUCCAUGCAACGCGUAAUUCAAAAGUGCGAUCAUUGGAAUGAUUUGCCGAAUCUCAAAAGGAGGUAGAAAGGGAAGACAGGAGAUCAUCACUAUUCACUAAGGUUGAUUUGGCCUCUGUUCAGCCACAAAAGUCUCACUCGCUUUUUGUCACAUUCGAUUGCUAUUUUGUCCCCUUUUAGCAAAAAUGGGUGAGUGCGCGAGUCCUUUUCCCGCCCCUACCCACGAAUGGUGUCCCCCCAUGGUGCUAGGAUUAAUGUCUUGACCGAUCCAAAAGAUAACCUAAAUUAAUAAUGGUUCGUUGAAUUUAAAGUUACUGGACCUAAUCACCUUUUACUUAAGAUGGGUAAUACGACUCUUGGUUUGCCACCGCUGAUUGAGCAUUAAGAAAUUCUAAUUAUGGUACUGGAAAUCAUAUGUCCAAAUCCUACAAAGGUGAUCGGGCUUCUAUGAUCAUAUAGAGGAACUGGCACCAGGCGCAACUAAACCAAAGAUCACAUUCCUCAUCCCCAUCCUGCGAGGUGGAGCUUUGCCCCGCCACCAUGCCCUUGCCCCAUGCAAGGUGGGGGAAAACAUCCUCACGAGGCACCCUACCGAGCAUUGUGCCGGGUGUGGGAAAAUAGCUCAUUAGUUUUCUCUUAAUUAUAUAUUAAAAAUAUAUGACAAGUUAAACUUACACGACAAUUAUAUUAUGUGCUACUUUUAGUUAUUAGUUAACUUUAAUUUAUUUGUAUCCUAUAACUAAUAACUAAAAGUAUCACAAUCAAAUGAGCAUGGCUUUAAUGUAUAAGUCAGACGACCCAAGUCCAACGAUGUGCCCUCUUCCAUGGUGGCAACUUUUACUUAUCAACGAAGGAAAAAAAAAACUCUGAUGUUUGACGAGAUUGAAUAAUUCACGGAAGGAAAAAAGAAAUAGCACACCUGAUCAUAAUGUUUGACAGGAUCCCGACAGUUGACUAAUUACUGGCCCAAUUUCCCUUAUUUUAUUUUAUAUUGCAUCAUGGGUCAGUAAUGACACAAUGUAGUCGCCCAAUCAUCAUUAUGUGUACACUAAGAAUCUAAUCCUACUUGACACCGUAUGAAUAUAUACACAUCACUUUUGAUUGGCUGGUUACUUCAUGUAUCAUUAUCGCAUGAUGUAUUCAUCACACAAAUUAGCUUUACGUUGCGGAGGCGACAUUUGACUAGUUUCCUUUCCCCAGCAAAAAUGAAGCUGGUAUUUACUUCUUCAGCCAAAAAAGAGAGUGCAUAUUAAUUAUUCCACACGAUGAAGCUCAAGAAUGGAGAAUCAAAGAAUAAGCCAACUACGGGAAAACAUGAGUACAAUGGAGAUUAUUGGAGUCAUCCUACAUUGGCUUUGAAAACAAGCCAAUGUUUGAGAGAAAAUUUUACUCUUUGAGCUAUUUUUUGAGAUAAGAGGGACUCAAGACCACCUAAUACUAAUAACAAAACUCAAGUUACCAACAAGUUUAGACCCAACAGUCACAGAAUAGAUCGGGUUAUUCCUUCUCCAACCUAAGGCUUGAUGUAUAAGAGAGGCCCACAACAAUGUGGAGGGAUCACCGUCUCUACUAUCAAUUGGCAAUACUUAAACUUCUAGCUUGGUAGAGUUUUCGUCAUCACAUCAAAACCAUUGUGGUCCUUAUGGAUUUUCUCAAGUCAAUAACUUCUCAUUUAGAAUAUCCGUUUCUAAUGAUAUCUAAAAUCAAUGUGUUUCGAUUUAGAAUCAAACAAUGAGUUUCUUACCAAGAUGAAUUGCACUUUGAUUGUCACAAAAAUAAAACAUACAUUUUUUGCUUGAACCCAAAUUCUUGUAAUAACUUAUUCAGCCAUAACUCUUUACUAGCUUUGAUUGCCACGAUAUAUUCAACUUCAGUUGUAGAAAGUACAACAUAGUUUUGAUACCUUGACUUCUAUGACACAACCCCAUAGGCAAAAAAAAAAAAAAAUCUAGAAGUAAAUUUACGAGAAUCGGUAUAUCUCUGGUCAAGUUGGAAUCUAUGUAUCCAACUAACUCAAGUUUCUCGAUUCCAAAAUUGAGUUCCAAAUUGGAAAUUCCUCAAAUAUAUCUUAUGAUCCACUUUUUUGCAUUUUAAUGCUCUCUACUUGGAUUUGACAAAUAGUGACUAACAACACCAACUACAUGCGCCAAGUCUAGUCGUUUACUUACCAUUACAUAUAUCAAGCUUACCACGGCUAAGGAAUAUGGAGCACUUUCCAUGUUUUUUAUUAUUAUUAUUAUUAGUCGUAAAUAUUUACUUCAUACUCAAGUUAAAGUGAGUAGUUAGAGGAGUGCUAAUCAUUUUACUUGUCCAUAUAAAAUUUAUGAAGAAUCUUCUAUUGGAGAAAACUCCUUGGAUGUUUUGAAGUUGACAAAAUUUAUCCAAAGUCUAUUCUAAAGAUAUUUAGACUUCUAUGUCAAAGUCUGAAAAUGACUAGAUUUUGUGUCAAAGUCUACCCACACUAACAAAUUCCAGACUGAAUGCUAUUGAAAAAUGAAGAUUUAUUCAGAUGUGAGAUUUUGUUUAUUUCUUCAAGAGUUCAAUUCAUAUGGCUUCUGGAUGGCUUUCUAGAUGGAUAUAUCACCUACGAGAUUGAUUAUCUUUAUUGAAAAUGAUUGAUUAUCUUUAUUGAAAUUAAUUUAGAUAAAUCAAAUUUUUUCGGAUUACAAGUAAAUAUGGAAAGAAUCUAUUUAUGGAAACCAAAAUCCCGAUUGUAUGGGCAAACAUAAUUGAUGGGCUUUCAUCACAAUCUUCAAACGACUUAAAAUCUCUUUGAUUGAUUCUAUCCAACGGGUAGAUUAAAGUGCCAACAGUCGAGAAGGCAUGAAGGAGUAUUUAAGGUAGACUCUCCAAUUGUUUGAGAGCGUGCAUGAAAGAGAAAUUUCAAAGUCUGAAACUUUCCAUUUUCCUUGUUAAUUGAAAUACUGAGCUCAAAGUUGUAUACAAAAGAGAGAAACUCAUAGUGAGACUUUGUGAGAGACUAGUAAAGACUCUUCACUGUGAGUCAAGAUGGCAAAGCUGUAAAAUCUCUUUUGAUUCUUGGUGGAAUCCAACCAGUAAGCUAUCAGUGUAGAGAGUGGACGUAGGCUUAAUCUAAGCCGAACCACUAUAAUUUCUGUGUUCUUAUUCUCUUCCUUGAACUCUUUAUUUUGUUUGUAUUUUUAUUUAACUGCUAAAGUCUGAAUUAGCUCAAAGUCUGCUGUUCUUUAGACUCUGUUUUAAAAGCAAAAUAUUUCUACUGUUUCUUUUGAAAAAUUGUCUUCACACCUAUUUUGGCUCCAAGAUUGGUCGAAGGUCAGAGUAAUACCAAACCUCCUUACUUCAAUGGGAAGAAGUACAAUGUGUGGAAAAACAAGAUGAAUGCAUUUCUAAGAUCGAAAGAUCCCCUGGAGUGAGAUGUAGUAGAAAAAUGGAUCAAUCCCAAAGCUACAUCAACCUCAGAAAGAGGAAAAGAAAUUGUAGAAGCUGGCAAAAUAAUAUAAGUAGAAUUAACCAAGAGACAAAUUCUUGAUGCUAAAACUAUCUACUCCUUAUACUGUACUUUAUUUCUUAUUGAAUAUAACUGAAUUUCUUCUUGUGAAACAGCAAAAGAAGUUUAGGACAUAUUACAUGUUACCUAUGAAGGAACUGAUUGAGUAAAGGAAAUGAAAAUCAAUAUUCUACUUGGACAGUAUGAAGCCUUCAAGAUGAAGCCUGGAGAAUCCAUUACUGAUAUGUUCAGUCGUUUCAUAGAGAUCGUAAACGGCUUGGCUUAUUAAGGACAACCAAUCUCAAGACCAAUGAAAGUCAAUAAACUGCUGCGUGGACUUUCUAAAGAGUGGAAUCAUGUGAAGACUUCAACUAGAGAAACUCAUAAGAUCAUGCCUCUUUCAGUAGAUGAACUAGUAGGCACACUUCAAUCAUAUGAAGUGGAGUAGAUCAAUGAAGAAGAAGAUCCAAGAGGUAAGAAGUCAAUUGCUUUAAAAUCCAAUGAUGAUUCUAAUGAUACAAAUUCAGAUGACGAUAUGGAUGAUGAGAAGCUAGCGCUUAUGAUAAAAAAUUCAGAAAGUUAAAUAGAAAGGGAAGAAGAUUCAACAGGAAGAAACAUAGCAUGGAAAAUUUCCAAAAGAGACCAAUUGAGGAUAAUGAAACCAUCAAAGAUGUAAUAUGCUUUGAGUGCAAGAAAAAAUAGAUAUAUUAGACCUAACUGUCCUUUGUUGAAGAAAAAGAAAGAAAGAAUUGAGAAGUACAAGAAGGCUCUCAAAGCUGAAACCUAGAGUGACACUAAGUGCGAGGAAAGUGAAUAAGAAUGCGCCAACAUUUGUUUGAUGGCUCAUUCUGACUCAAACUCAAAAUCAUAAACAGACUCUGAUUCAGACUCAGACAAAGAACUUAAGGUUAGUAAUUUAAAAAUUCAUGUUAAAGUCUCAAAGUACAUAGAAAAAAUUUGUCUUAGUCUCAAAACCUCUCUUAAAAAGAUCUCCGAGCUAAAAAGGGAAAAUUCUAAACUCAAGCAACAGGAAAUUUAUUCGAAAGAAAAUUUUGAAAGUCUGGAUAAAAUUUUUAUUAAUUUGAAAGAAAAUUCUGAUUCUUUUGUUAAGCAAAAUGCUAUUCUAAAAAAUUGGAGAAAAUUCUUUCAGUACAAAGGCCCUAUUUUAACAAGUUUGGUUUAGGUAUGACUUCAUAAAUAAUUCCAUUGAUUGAUUUUCCCAAAGUAAAAAAGGCAUUUUACAAAAAUCAUUUUCAAAGAGUUUUUGUAAAACCUGUUGGCCAAAGUGCACUCAAAUGUUCAAAGUGUAAUAGCUCAUAACAUUUUGAGAAAAAAUAUCCAAAAGUUUGGAGACCUGUUAAGAAGGACUGGGCAAAGACUGUUUUUAAUGUUAACUCUCCUGGACCCAAGAAAAUCUGUAUACUAAAGAAAACUUGAGUUCUUUUUAUGAUUGCAGGUUACUAUCAAGAGAAAAAUAAAAUGGUAUUUGGAUAGUGGCUACGGGACUCAAGCUGCUUUAUAAAGCUUGUUAGAUUGAAUGAAGGAAAAGUUUCAUUUGGGGAAAACAACAAGGGAAGAAUUGUAAGUUAUGGAAUUGUGAAGAUUGGAAGCCUGACUAUUAAUAAUGUUUCUUUGGUGGAAGGUUUGAACUACAAUCUACUCAACAUAAGCCAACUUCGUGACACUGGAUUCUAAAUCAACUUCCAAGAAGGUAUUUGUUUUGGAACGAGUCAAGACUUCUCCCAAUCUUUCACUGAGCGAAGGCAUGGGAAUAUUUAUCUUCUGGAUAUAAACCCAAAAAGUUCUUGGUGCCUUAUAUCUAUUCAAGACGAAGCAAGUCUCUAGCAUCGAAAGUUUGGUCAUGUUAACAUGAAGCAAAUUGCCAAUAUUUUUUCUAAGAAACUUGUUCGUGGUCUUCCCAACCUACCUUAUCAAAAGUCAGAACUAUGUACUCCAUGUGUUCUGGGAAAACAGGUUAAAAAUACCUUUAAACCUGUAGAUCAAGUUUCUACCAAUCGAGCUUUGCAACUUUUGCAUAUGGACCUUUUUGGACCAACCAGAACUCAGAGUAUUGGUGGAAAAAAAUAUUGCCUAGUAAUCAUGAAUGAUUACUCUUGCUUCACUUGGGUUUACUUUCUGACAAGUAAGUUUGAAGCUUUUUCUUAUUUCUCAAAGUUUGCAAAGAAGGUUCAGAAUGAAAAAUGUUAUAUUAUUCCAAUCAUAUGAACUGACCAUGGAGGUGAGUUUGAGAAUCAAGGCUUUACGAAGUUCUGUGAUGAAUCUGGUUUUCAGCAUGUCUUCUUUUCUCCAUGUACUCCAGAACAAAAUGAGGUUGUGAAAAGAAAGAACAGAUCCUUACAAAAGAUAGUCAAAAUCCUCUUAAUUGAGAGCAACAUAUCCUCCUAAUUUUGGGCAGAAGCAAUUUCUAUAGCUUGCUACAUCAUCAACAGAGUGUUCUUAAGGCCUAUCUUGGAGAAAACUUCAUAUGAAGUGUAUAAAGGAAAGAAUCCAAAUAUUUCUUACUUCUAUGUCUUUGGCUAUAAAUGUUUUAUUCUGAAAAAUCCUAUUGAUCGAUCUGGAAAGUUCGAGGAGAAAUCAGACGAAGAAAUUUUCCUUGAUUAUUCGAUCACAAGCAAAGCUUAAAAGGUCUUUAACAAGAAAACUCAGUCUGUAGAAGAAUCCAUGAACAUCAAAUUUGAGGAGACUCAACCAGAUCAGACUCAACUUGAAGAGUCUAAACCUGUUUCAGACUUUACAAAGUCUAUUUCCUUCGAAGAGGUUCAAACUUCUGAAGAAUAGCAACAAAUAGAUCGAGAAGUUUCAACUGAAGCAGAGGAUCUUCAGACUUUCAAAUCAAGCAACAACUGGAAGCACAAGUCAAGUCAUCCCAAAGAACUCAUCAUUGGCAACAUUGAUGAAGGAAUUCGAACAGAUCCAAAAGGCGAGAAGAGUCGAGUGCUCUAACACUUGUUUCUGAGAUAGAACCAAAAAGUGUAGAUGAAGCCUUGUCUGAUGAAAGCUGGAUCGAAGCCAUGCAAGAAGAGCUCAAACAGUUCAAUAUCAACGAUGUUUGGAAAUUGAUUCCAAAACCUAAAGGUAAAUCUAUAAUCGGGACAAAAUGGGGUCUUCAGGAACAAGAUGAACGAAAAAGGAAAAGUCGUCAGGAACAAAGCAAGACUCCUGGCCAAAGGAUAUACUCAAGAAGAAGGGAUAGACUAUGAUGAGACCUAUGUACCAGUAGCGAAGUUAGAAGCAAUUAAAUUAUUACUUGCUUUUGCUUGCUAUAAAAAUUUCAGGUUAUUCUAGAUGGACGUCAAAAGUGCCUUCCUUAAUGGAUUCAUUCAAGAAGAAGUCUAUGUGGAAUAACCACUAGGAUUUAAAGAUCCAAGAAAGCCAGACUCAGUCUAUAGACUGAAAAAGGCCUUGUAUAGACUGAAGCAAGCACCUCAAGUAUGGUAUGAAAGGUUGAGUAAGUUUCUAAUUCAAAAUAGUUUUAAAAAAAGGGAAAGUAGAUAUUAUUUUGUUCAUUAAGAGAGAAGGAAAAGAUUUUUUACUGGUAGAUUUAUGUAUAUGAUAUUAUCUUUGGUUCUCCUAAUAAAAAUCUAUGCAAUAAAUUUUCAAAGUCUAUGUAGGAUGAAUUCGAGAUGAGCAUGAUAGGUGAGUUAACUUUCUUUCUGGGAUUGCAAGUUAAACAGUCGAAGAAAGGUAUAUUCAUUCACUGGGAGAUAUGCCAAAUAUCUGAUCAAGAAAUUUGGAUUAGAGAAUUGCAAAAACACAGAGACACCUAUGUCAAGUUCCUCGAAGCUGGACAAGGAUGAAAGAGGGAAGAAAACAUAACAUAAGCUUUACAAAAUCAUGAUCGGUUCUCUUCUUUACCUUACUGCAUCUAGACCUAACAUUUUGUUUAGUAUUUGCAUCUAUGCUAGAUUUCGAUAUGAUCCCAGAGAAUCUCAUUUAAGUGCUGCAAAACACAUCAUUAAAUAUAUGGCAACUUCUCAAAAGUUAGGUCUGUGGUAUCCAAAAGAAUGAGACUUGACUCUUCUUGGAUAUUUAGAUGCUGAUUUAGCUAGAUGUAAAGUGGAUAAAAAGAGCACUUCUGGAACCUAUCAACUGCUGAGAAAUAUGCUGGUAUCUUGGUUCUCAAGAAAGCAGAGUACUGUAACUCUAUCAACAGCAGAAGCUGAAUAUGUGACUUUUUGGAGCUGUUGUUCUCAAAUUCUAUGGAUAAGACAACAGCUAAUAGACUUUGGAAUUGAAGAAUCAUGUACCGAAAUCAAAUGUGACAAUAUCAAUGCAAUAAACCUCACCAAGAAUCCAAUUCUUUAUUCAAGGGUGAAGCACAUAGAAAUUCGACAUCACUUUAUAAGAGAUCAUGUCCAAAAUGGGGAGAUUAUGAUUCAGUUCAUUGAUUCGAAGAAUUAGCUGGCAGACAUCUUCACAAAGCCUCUGAAGAAAAAUCUAUUUGAGUUUAUUCGCACCAAGCUGAAUAUUAUUUAUCCUCUGGAGUAAAGUCUGGAGCUGUCCAGACUUAGAAUUUCCAGACUCUACCUUAGUAUGAAAAUAUCUUGAAUCCGGGUAUUUUAAUUUUAGUAUGAAAAUUGUGAAAGUAUAUGACUUUAUUCGAAUCGUUGCUUACCUAUUUUAUUUUUAGAAGUUAUCUUUUUUGAAUUUUUGGCAGUUUUUAAUUUCAGUUUAUUUCAAAAAUGCAGUUUUCUUUUUCCUUUAUUACGUUUUGAUUAUCCCUUUUCUUCAUGACCUUUCAUCUUCUUUAUAUACCUUUUUGUAUUUGAGUAGUUCUUUUUUAAACCCUAAAGAACAGACUCUCGACUCUCUUGUCUCUACUCUCUUGACCCUACUCUCAAGUGUGUUCAGCAAGUUUUCAUCUUUUCCACUCAAACAAGUCUGAGAAAUCCUCCUAGCCUGCAAGGAUGUCGUUCCAAAGGAAAUCAUCCCGAAUUGCGAGCAAAGGGCCACGAAAUGUGCCUGAAGGGCAGACGCAUUUCGAUCUUACAGAAGAAGACUCUCCUCAGACUUCUCCACAGCGCAACCCGAAGGACACUUCACAGAAUCCUCCUCAUGAAUCGUUGGAAGAGGAAGUUGAACAAGAUGAUGUUCCUCUUCGUACCAUGACUCCCCAGGUUCUGUUCAAAUUUUAUGGUUGUUUGAAAACGGGUGGUUUGCCGAUGUCCUUGAUUAUUGAUUAUCUAAGAGAGCACAAUUAUAAGAAUGAAACGUUGUUUCUGAGAACAAUAGAGCGUUUAGGAAUAGCAAAGAAAUGAGUAGCAUAAGAGGCUUUUCGUAACUUUCCUAUCGAUCCUCGUUUUAGUACUUUCAAUCAACCUCAAAGCAAAGACAAUGAUGAAAGGAUGUCUUCGAAUUUUCAGCCAAUGAUGGGUAUUGCUGCUGAAAUGCUUAGUGUAGGAAUGAAGCUUUUUUGUUCCAAGGAUCAUAAAAAGGUUUAUUUCCAAAUGCUGAAAAGAGGGGUGAUGAACCCUCAGUCGGUUGACUUUGACUGUUUAGAUUUGAUCAACGUGAAUUUGAGGGAAAAACCUUCAACUUGAAAACUUUUGCUUCGAGACAACUAUUGCUUAUCUGGAGUUGAUUGCCUUUUUCUAUUCAAACCUUUCUUUUCUUAACCAGAAUUGCUUCAAAUUCAUUGUAAGUGACAAAGAAUAUCUGGUGGAUGUUAACACUUUGGCUGACGUUAUUGGGGGUGGAAAUGAGUGGUUUCCAACCAAUAAAUAUCUCGAUUGGUCAUGCAAUAAGAUUCCUUGUUAGGGACAGACUCCCUGAAGGAAGCAUCACUUAUUCCAAAAUGAUAGCCUCUAAUGUCUUUCUGCACAAAAUUGUCAUAAACUACAUCAAACUAAAGGCUGCUUCAGAAACUAAUGUUUCCCGAUUUGAAGCACAGCUUAUGUUUGCUAUCUCCAAUGGCAUGAAGUUUUCACUCCCUCAUACUGUUCUAAUGCAUAUGUAUAGGACUGUUAUGAAAGAUAAGGGACAAUUGCCUUACUCUACACUGGUUACAAAGCUCUUCAAACAUUUUCAAAUCGAGUUUUCAGUCUCUCUCUACUCUAGAACUGUUGCUCAUAUGGUUAUAGGACUAAAAAUGGUUUCAAAGAUGAGGCUAAAAGAUCUGAACACGGCUUUAGAGCGCUUGAAGAAGGCAUCUCCUAGCAAAACCAAGGAAGAAUCUGUUUCAAGGAAGAGAAAAGGCAAGGAAAUUGUGAAAGAACCUAUCAAGAAGAGAAGAUCCCUCAUCCUGUAGGAUGAAGAUGAUGACGAUGAUCUUACCAUUUCUGCCUUGGCCUUGAAAAAUCUUCAAAGAUUUGUUGGUUUUGAGCAAUCCAAAGGGAUAGGAGAAGGACAGAGAGUAGAUACAAAGCAAAGAGAAGAAGGAAGAGAAGACAGAGAAGAAGUAGAGCCAAAAGAAGAAGAAGCAGGAAGAGAAGCUGCGGAAGAAGAGGGUCAGGAUGACUCCUAUGAGACAACAAUUGACGUAUCCUUAUCUGAGGAUUCUUAAGCAACAAGGAUUGUCCAAGUAGGAGAAAGAACAGAAAAAGAACAUCACUUUCAUGCUGGAAUUGAGAAAGAACAAGAAGAAAUUUUCUUUUCUCCACAUGUAGGCAAGGAAACAGGGGGAGUUUGUGAGAAAAUAGGUACUUCUUCUCCUUUUUUUUGCAAGUGAUGGUGUCAGUCAAUCUCCUGUUGAUCCAGAAGAAGUCCAUGCUUCUCAUUUUCCUGAAGCUGAUAUUGUAGAAUCUACUUCAAGCCUUGGAAGUAGAGGAGGUGAUGUUCCAUCUUCUCUCAACACUCCACGAACGAAACGUGUUGAAGCUAAUGCACAAAUAGAACCUAAUGCAGACUUUCAAAGGCUUCAAUCUGCUUUGUAUGGAGUGUGAGAUUUAGAAGCUUCAAUCUGCUUUGUAAUCUACUUCAGAUUCUCUCAAUGAGAAGGUACAGUCUUUAAACUUUCAAGUUCAAGGUUUACAACAGCACGUUUCACAGACUGCCAAGAUCGAAGAUGUUGAGAAGUUGAAGGAUACAGUGAAAAAAGCUGGAGGAGACAGUUUAGUCAAUGGGGGAUUUCCAGCUCGUUCGAAUUCCCAAACAAAAUUGAUUUCAUCCUAUCUCUUUUUAAUCUUGAUUUUCUCCACUUUUUGCUGCUGACAAAAAGGGGGAGAAUGUGCAAAUUUACUUUUGAUCAUUUGUUUUUGACUUUGUUUGACUGGUAACUCUUAUAAUCUACAACAACUUUUGUGAUGAUCAUGGAUGUGGAUGGAUGUAGAUGUUUUAAUCUUGGUGUUUGAUUAUUUUUCAAGAUUAACAUGCUUUAUGUGGUUGCAGUAUCGAUGCCAUCCAUAGAUCAUUAUCUAUUCUCUUUGGAUAUCAUAUACUGCUAAAGUGUUGUUUUGCAAGUUAUAAGUUCUUAAAUCUGUAGGGAAGUUUUGUCACCAUAAAAAAUGGGGAGAUUGUUGGAGAAAGCUCAUUGGAUGUUUUGAAGUUGACAAAACUUAUCAAAAGUCUAUUCUAAAGAUUUUUAGACUUUUAUGUCAAAAUUUGAAGAUGACCAGAUUUUGUGUCAAAGUCUGAAGACUCCCAGACUUUCUGUGAAAGUCUACUUGUACUAACAAAUUCCAGACUGAAUGCUACUGAAGAAUAAAGAUUUAUCCAGAUGUGAGAUUUUGUUUAUUUCUUUAGGAGUUCAAUUCGUAUGGCUUAUGGAUGGCUUUCUGGAUGGAUAUAUCACCUAUGAGAUUGAUUAUCUUUAUUGAAAUCAAUUUAGAUAAAUCAAAUAUUUUCAGAUUACAAGUAAAUAUGGAAAGAAUCUACUUAUGGAAACCAAAAUCUUGAUUGUAUGGGCGAACAUGAUUAACGGGCAUUCAUCACAAUCUUCAAACGACUCAAGAUCUCCUUGAUUGAUUCUGUUUAAUGGAUAGAUUGGAAGAAUUCAUUUGGAAAGUGCCAACGGUCGAGAAGGCAUGAAGGAGUAUUUAAUGUGGACUUUCCAGUUGUUCGAGUGCGUGCGUGAAAUAGAAAUUUCAAAGUCUGAAACUUUCCAUUUUCCUUGUUAAUCGAAAUACUGAGCUCAAAGUUGUAUACAGAAGAGAGGAACUCAUAGUGAGACUUCGUGAGAGACCAAUAGAGACUCUUCACUGUGAAGUCGAGAUCGCAAAGCUAUAAUAUCCCUUUUUUAUUCUUAGUAGAAUCCAGCUAGUAGGCUAUUAGCGUGGAGAGUAGAUGUAGAUUUGAUCUAAGCCAAACUACUAUAAUUUAAGUAUUCUUAUUCUUUUCCCCGAACUCUUUAUUUUGUUUGCCUUUCUAUUAAACUGCUAAAGUCUGAACUAGCUCAAAGUCUACUUUUCUUCAGACUCUAUUUUAGAAGCAAAAUAUUUCUACUGUUUCUUUUGAAAAAUUAUCUUCAUACCUAUUCUCCCCGCUCUAGGUAUUCAUACUAGCACUUACAUCUUCUCCAUGUACUUCUCUUGUGAUAAUAACAACUUCUUAGCAAUUCUGUCUCAGGUAAUUCUAAUACAAAGAAUCUGCUUUGCCAGGCCUAAGUUUUUCAUGGUAAAAGACUUACUUAACUAUUUCAUUGACAACUUAAUUCAUGAAGUAUUAUUUCCAACAAGCCACAUAUCAUUAACAUAAAGCAAUAUAAUUAUAAAGUCAUCAUCAGAGAAUAUUUGGACAAACACAUAGUUAUUCGAGGAAGUAUGCUUAUGGCCCUGCUUUGUUAUAAAUAACAUAUAUAUAUAUAUAUAUAUAUAUAUAUAUAUAUAUUGUAUUAGGCCCUAGAGACUCUUCUUGGGUUAGCACACAUAGUCCUCAUUUCCUUUCACUUUGAAACCCUCUAGUUUGUCUAUGUAUAUCUCUUCAUUCAAUUUAUUAUGUAGAAAGGCUAUUUUAACGUAUGUGUGCUCAAUUUUCAAGUCUAAGCUAACUGCCAAGCUUAGCACCACACUCAUAGAAGACAUUUCCACAACCGGAGAAAAUAUAUCAUCAAAGUUAAUACCUGUUCUCUGGCCAAAUCCCUUAAUGAGUAAUCUAACUUUGUAUUAUAACUGUAAAGUAUGUUUAUCUUGUUUCAAUCUAUUUACUCACUUAUUCUUCAAAACUUCUUUGCCUUUAGGCAAUUUCACUGGCUCAAAAGUACGAUUCUCAUAAAGCCAUUGCAUUUUAUCCUACAUGGCAUCAAACUAUUUGCUUUUGCACUCAUCUUCUGUUACUUCUACAAAUCACUCUAAUUUACCUGCAUUAGUCAAUAACACAUACUCAUCUGCAAAAGAUCUAGUGGACGAUUGUUGGUCUAUGAUGGAUCUUCGGACUGGAGCAUUGCAUCUAAUGGAGUUUUGCAAGAGACCAAGGAUAAAUCUUAUAAAAAAAAUGCACAUUUGGUUUAACCCAUAAAAAACCUGAUGUAGAGAGAUUCAAGUGAAAAUCCAACCGAUCAAAUUCGGCAAAAGUGUUACGAGCAUGUUGACAAAAUUUUAGCUCAACUGAAUCGCGAAUUUAUCUUUGACUUCAACUUAAUGAAUUGUCAUUUUCUUAGAUUUCAUGCUUUUUCUUUCUCUCUUACUACUAUGUCUCAACGAACUAUAAAAUAGUAAGAAACAUUAUUUCUCCAUGUAAAUUAUCAGAUGGGUCAAGCCUUUGAGCUUGUAAUUUAUUGGACUUUCUCUACAUGGGAAUGGACCUAACCUAACAAGUGAAAAAAAUCAAAUGCCAAAAAAAUAAUUUGUGGAGAACCAAAUUGUGGUGCCAAGCCCAAUCAGCUAAAAGAUCAAAAACAAAAUAAUAUCGUCAAACAUCCCAAGAUAACGAAUAAAAACCAUGGUAUUGAAUCGUAAUUAAAGAGAUGAGGAACUAAAUCUCAAUUGCAAUCCUGUGACAACAUCAAUCCAUCACCAUUUAUCAAACCAGAGCUAUUAAAUUGGAACCUAUGAUUCGAUCACCGUUCACUAAAAUACUCAACUAGCCAUCCGACACAAGAAGAAAGAUCCAUCUAAUUUUGCUUGCCAAUAUAGUAUUAUCAGCAUGCCAAUUUGUCGAAAUUUAUAAAGUUGAUUUGUUGAGCUAAUUGAGCGAGCCCAUUGGACUAGCCAUUGAAAUGCUUAAUUUUUAUGUUUAUACUAUCCGAAUGAAAGCCAUAUUAUAUGGGGAUAAACUUGUUCAUUACGGUCCUUACACAAUCAAUCUUAAACAUAUACUAUGAAUGACAACUUAGUCAUAAACUUUAUAAUUUUGUCAAUGUAGUUUAGGACCUUCACGGGAAAUUUCAAAUCCACAUUAGUAUUCCUCUCAAUUGUUGCAUGAAAUGGCUGACGCUGCGGUAUAAAAACCAUCCACCAUAUUAGUAUACUACAUAAGAUGGCCAACAAUCGACACAUUAGCGGUUUCUAAUGGCAAUUUACAUGAAUGAUUAUAUUAAAAUUCUACAUAAAUAUUUAGAAAUUAAAUCAACAAAAUCAGAAAAGAUAGAAGUGAAUUGGCAUCUAUAUAUAUUAAAAGACUGAAGUGGUAAUUUUCCUUCCAUUCAUUGUUCCAAUUUGAGCAUUGGAGUGCCCAAUAAUUUCGGGGGAUCUCUAUCGGUAUUGUAGAACAUUCGAAUUCCUGUGGGGUCACAGGUUCUUCCAAUCAGAAUGAUCUCCUCCGACGCGUCACGGGCUUUUUAUCUAUUUAUUUAUUUAGGGACACGUUUUCUUUUUCCUUUUUUUUUCAUUUUCUUUUUUCUGUUUUUAUAUGAUAAGCAUAUACGUGUGAGGGGAAUCUAUCCUGGACUUCAUUUUCGGACAGUCAAUUAGCGUUUUCCUCGAGUCACAUGCGGUGUUCGAGCGCGGCGACAAGCAUGGUGGGGGCCAGCACUCACAUGUGGUCUCCGAAAGCAGCCGUCGCAAUACACGACAAGCGAGUUAGGAUACUGAACAUGGGGUUCAGACCCCCCAAAAAUAAAACAAAACAUGGGAUUUUUCUUUUUUCUUUUUUCUUUUAAUUUCCUAAUAAUAAAAUAAGGAGAAAAAAAAGGUUUUCUGUUUUGGAUGUAUGAGAAGGAGAGUGAUGGGACUGUAGAAUUGAUGUGAGGGGAUUUCCUUUUUCUAUAUCCAAUACUCAUAUUUCAUUUUUUUAUUAUUUUAACAAUAUUGAAUUAUUAUUCGAUGCAUCCAAUUUUAGCUUUUUCGUUUUAAUUUUUCGUCUCAGUUUUUUCUAAUUUCCUUUUUUUUUUUAAAUUAAUUUGAAUUUUUAAUGCAUAAGUAAGUCUUGACAUAUGAAAACAUGAUUCAACAUAGAUCCAAUCUAUUUUCUGUAAUGUUGUUAGCAAUUUUUAUUAUCACUAUGAAUUUAAUUUCUUUAAAUUCAUAAAUGGAAGUGAAAGUUAACAAAACAAGUAGUCAUAAAGAUUAUUGUAGUAAACUAAAAUUCCACGAGGAGCAAUGGUGUUUAUAGUGUGGGAGGCAAGUUGACUAUAAGAUCAUCCCAAUUAUGCCACAUUAAAUUAGAAUGAAAGAAUGAAUUCUUGCCAUAAAUUUGUUCAUCCAAUAAAGAAUACUAACCAAAAUGAUAUCAUAUUCUUUUUUGCUUUGUUCUUUUAAUUUAUUGUUUUCUAUGCGCAGUUCAUUUUAUAAUUUACAAGCAUAAUUGAGCGAAUAGAAAUGGUCAUUGAGUGUCUCUUUUAUUCAAAAAUACAUAUAUGUUCUAAUGUGGGACCCCUCAUAAAUGACUUGGUUCGUUAUCUUGAUAUAUUAAUCCACUUCGAAUAAGUAUUUAAACAAAAUGAUUUUAUUUUAUAAAGAGUGCUACAGAUUUUGAAAAACUACAAAACGAUUAAGCAAGCUACAAUAUCAAAUUUUUAGUAUAAUGAAAAGAUUGAUGGUAUUGUGAUUAUUAAAUCCUUUGGGUUCCGCAGCAACUCACGGGUUAAUGUUCUAGUACACACUAUAAUAAAAGAUUAGUGUCGGAGUUAGUUUAAUUAUAAUAAACAAGCCUGUCUUGAAUAGAUUUGAUCAUGGUUCGCGAAUUUCCCCACUUCUUUCAUACGUCGAAUAAGGCACUGAGUUAAAUUUUACAGUAAGCGAUUUAAGCAUGAAAUUAUCCACAUUAAAUAAUGUAAAAUAAACUGUUAUAAUGUUGUCUAUAUACUUCGCACUCGCACAAGUUUGUUUUUGACUAUUUUUUUCCUCUCAUGAAAAUUUUAUAACCUUCCGAAAGAAAAAUCGAUAUACAUGGCUACAUAGAAUUUUGAUAUGAAUGAUAUUUUCUAUAAUUUGGUAAGGAAAUCAAUGCCAAUGAAUUAUUAAUAUUAGAAUAAUGUUGAAAAGUGAAAGCAAACCGAUGUGCCUCUUCUAUCCUUAGCUUCAAGGAGUGGGGGAUAAGAAGGCUGGACCUAAUCAAGUCCUUGAAAGGUUUUUUCCUAGUUCAAUUUGGAUCUAGAGACUUUAUGGAUGUUAAGCAAUGAGAGGGUAUUCCUUCAUUCUAGGGAAGACAAAUAUAUAGAGGGAAACAUUGAGGUGUUGGGAUUGCUAGCACCGAUACGUUAAAAUAAGGAACGCAAUCUUAUUAACCCAUCUGGACUAUUAAGCAAGCGAGGCGGCCCUAACACGAGAACAAAUGUUCCUUAUUGAUUGGUGAAGUUAUGAUAAAAUCAGACAUCAAGGAUCCAAGUAGUGCCUUGUAACCAAGGGUUUAUAGCAUUUUGAUAUCAAUUAAAUUUUCUAUAAUUUGGUGAGGAAAUCAAUAAGUCAAUGAAUUAUUAUUAAUAUGAUAAUAACGUUGGAAAGUGAAGGCAGACUGAUGUGCCUUUUCUAUCCUCAGCUUCAAUGUAUGGGGGGAUAAGGUCUUUUUCGGGUCAAUUUCGGCGGAGCCAUCUGGACCUUCAUAAUUGGAUUCGGCUUCGAUACCUGCGUACACGACAUAAAUGUAUGUCCGAGCUUGACAUUUUUUGUUUCUACUGCUCCUUCAAGCGACACUUUUUUCUUAUCGGUUGAUCAAAUUCAAAUGUGGAUCCCAUUAGGAAUAGAAGAUCGACAUGAUUUUAUCUUGACGAGUGUCGAUUCAAUUAUCGAAAGCUUUUUAUAUGCGUGAUACUUACAAUGAUUACUUGCUUUCACAAUCACUUUGUUUUGGACAGCAAAGUAAUUUACAUUAUGCUUAUUCCACACAAUGUUUACGACACGGUGUAACCAAUGAGCCACCACCAACUAAGACAGGAUCUAUAGCGUAAGGGCAACAGUGAUUAAUCAACAGUGUCACAUGGUGUAACCAUUAUAUAUGAUUUUUUUAUUUUAAUUUUACCUUUUCAUUUGGCCCUUAUGCUACAUAAGCCAUACCUAGGAGCGAACUUUUCAUUCGUGUAAAAUUGGAGUAUGUAAUACCCUUUUGUUAAAAAUGCCAACAAAACGCUAGCAUAGACUAUUACGUUAGUGUCAUGUCCAUAUUGACUAGACAAAUAAGCGAUGACAUGGAUUUUUUGUUAUGUCGAAUGGAGCAAAGUAAAAGAAAAUCCCGUGAGAGAGAGACAGAGAGUUGUAGGGGCAAUGGUGGUGACAGUAACGACGGCGGUGACAAAGGUGAGAUCGGCAGGGCUAGUGAGGGUUUGCCAACCUUUGAUGACCGCACGCAUCCGUUGCUGCCUUCAAUCUGCGGUUGUGUGACCCUGGUGUUUCGAUUGAAGUUGCCCGACCUCAAGCCACCACCAGUCGGAGUCGGGAUCGUGCGACCCCAGUCCAUCUAGGUUCGCGAGAUCCAUGGCUUGCUGUCGCAAGGGUCGAGCAACCCCACGACCCAUCGUUUGGACCUCGCCACGCUGUGGCCGCCGCCAUAGCGGUCACGAGUGGCAUGAGGCCCGCGAGUCCACUUCUUCUUUUUUUUUCAUCUUUUUAAAAUUUUUCUUUUCUCUAUAUUUUAAUAAAUUUAUUUAUUUAUUGUUGUUUUCUUUAUUUUAAAUAUAAGGAUUUAGUUGUUUUAAUAUUUUAUUUUUUUCCCACUAAAAGACACGUCGACCGUGAAAAUAACCACCGGUUUAUGGGCGUGUCAGCAAUUCCUUUCACGGAAAUGACCAACUUGAACAAUAAGAAGGAAAAAAGAUUCAACGACCGCAUUGGCAAAAAACAGCAUAGUAACUUCAUUCAAUAAAUUGAGAAAUCUUAGAGACUUGUUGUAUCAUUAUCCCUAAAAAGUUUAAAAUCAUUCACUCUUAUGAAAGAGAAAAAUGACUUAUGAAUAUUGUGGUCGACCUAGAGUGUAUUUCAUUUUCUGAUAUAAUCCUCAUCUGCGCUCAAAGUAAUGCUCUAUCUACUAUAGAAUAAACAUGUGGACUUUCUAGACAUUUUUAAUCUUACUUAAUGAAAUAUUUAGAACUAUCUUUCAUAAUUUGAAUAACAGGAAUUCAUGAAAUACCGCUGUUGUCUAAAAAGUGCAUUUGAUAAGGAAGAAUUUCAUCAAUUGUAAACCUAGUUCUUUCAAGUUAAAAUGACUUAAACAAAAUAGAUAGGUUUACAAGGUCCAAGCAAGUCCACCUUGAAUCGCUUGAUUGUGCAAAUCAUUUGAGAGUGAUAUAACAUUGAAUAAAAUAACUAAAUUAGAGCCUAACAGGAAAUGUUGCCUAUUUUCAUGUGUCUUUUACAUCCAAGCUCUAUUCGUUUUGUGUAAACCAAAUUUCAAGAAAACGUUUUAUAAAUUUUUCGGCGUUCAUUUUACAGAAAAUGAACUGAUUAAGGAAAACGUUUGCCAUCAACGGAAAAUAGUCUUCUAAACUAUGGGAAAAUAUUUUUCACUUUUCAAGAUGAGGAAAACAUUUUCCUCACUCACUUUCUCUUAUCUCACACUCAUGUUAACCUUUCCAUCCUUCUUUAUUUUCUUUUUCUAUUUAAAAAAAAAUCAAUUUUUUUAAGUAUUUUUCUUUUUCUUUCCUUUUUACUUCUGUCUUGGCCGAUUGCCACCAUGACAACAACCGGCAAUUGGCCACGAGUGAGCAUCAAGCUUGCGGGCCUCAAGUGAUCUUGUUGCUCACUAGAUUGUUGAGCUUGAGCUUGUCGGAUGUGAGCCUUGACCUCAUUGGCAUUGGGAAAGCUUGAGCUCACCUUCGGCUAGCCAAAGAAGAAGAAGAUGAAAAUAAAGAAAAAGAAAAAUAAAAAUAAAUUAAAAAUCGAUUUUUUAAAAAUAAAAAUAAUUUUAAAAAACCUUACAAAAAAAUUAAAAAUCAAAUAAAAUAAUAAAAUAAUAAAAUAAUAAAAUAAUUAUUGAAAAAGAAUCCUUAGAAGAAAAGAUUUUCCUUACCAAAUAGUGAAAAAUAUUUUCCUCUUCAUUUUUAGGUUUCAGCUAUAUAUUAAAAAAUAAUUACAUUUUCCUACAAAAUGGCUUUAUGGAAAAUGUUUUCCAAAAACAUCUCAUAUUCAACUAAACAAAUAGAGCAUAACUCAUCAUUUAAGCUAAAACUCGAUUCUAUUUGUUUUUAUUAAUUAUCAAAGAUUAUUUAAAUAUUGAGACAAGUUGUUAAUAAUAAACCACUGAAGGUAUGUUUGUUUCAAUGAAAAAGUUUUUUUUUUUUUUUGCAAAUUAGUUUUCAAAACUUUGACGUGUUUGAUUCGCUCAAAAUGACUAGUCAACAUAAAAAAAUAUUUAGGGUUAAAAGAUAUCCACAUUUAGAAUUAAAAACGAAUUUCCAUUUCUAAAUAAAGGGAAUCAUUUUCCCAAGUAUAACAAGUCUCUUAAACGCUCACUUCUUCACCUUCUUCCACAUUCAUUAUUCCAUAGGAGAUCCAAAUAACCGAAAAAAGUUUUCAGUCACACUUUUUUAGCAUACCACCAAACAAAUUAAAAGUAAUCAUUUUCCUUGAAAAGGAUUUUUUAUGGAAAAUAUUUUCUUUAUCAUGAAGUUUACAGUGAAUGAAAAUCAUUUUUCAGAAAAAUGUUUAUUUUUCAUUUGUUUGAUAAUUUAGGAAAAGUGAUUUUUUUUUUUUGCCAUAAUGAGAAUUUGUUUCCCCAAUAUAAACUUAUUGUUUUUAGUCCAUAGAAAACGUUUUUUGUAAAUCAUUAAGUUUUCCGUUAUUCAAAUACCAUAAAGUUGAAAAAUGUUUUUUUGAAAACAGUAUUCAUUCAAACAAAUAGACUCUUAAGUUUUAACCUCGAUGAAUCUUCAACUUUAAAGAUUGGAAUAAUUUUCCUAUUUUAGGGUUUUUGAGCUCAAAACAUUAAUAGCCAAUCUUAAGAUUCGUUUGCUAUGUCCAAGCAUGCAACUUUUUAAACAACUCCGAGGAUACUUUCUCAAGUUUCAUGCAAACCACUCCGUAGUCCCCUUCACUAAACUUUAUAUUCCUAUGAUGAGCAUGAGCAACAAAAUGGUAAAGACUAUUAUCGGUUGCACACUUCUGAUAAAUCUCAAGAUGAAGUUUAGGAAUGCAUGAUGCAAAACACCCAAUAGAUUCGAAGGGCUUGCAAAAGACGGAAUGGAAUCAUGACGUGAGCUUUUUGCAUUAUAUAAUGCUUUUAUUGGUGCUUCAAUAAAUCUCAAUUAUCCAUUUAUUUGAAUGAGAUUUCAAUAAGUGAGAUUUGCAAAGAUAUUGACAAGACAGGAGCACAGUAAAAGGAUAGAGGAUACCCCACCUUGGCAUUGACAUAUGUAUUGGGAUUGCAUGCUAGAAUAAUUCUUAAAAUUGACAUGUCUUUAAGACAAGGUGAAAAUGUUCCAAAUGGGAAUCCCUUAGGUUUUGUCCUGGUUGGUAAAUGGGCUUCUUGGAGGCGCCUAUUGAGGACUACUCGAUUUAGUCUCUUUGAUCUAGUGUAUGUAGGGUUAAGUGAAGUAGUUGGAGGUGUUCCACAUGUCUAAAGUGUAUAAAUAAUUGUAAGAUGAUGUAACUUACCAUUCUCACUCCAUAACUGCUCCCCAACCUACAAAGAAAGACCCUAGAUCCCAAAUUACAAUUCUCCCUUGGAUUUCUCAAAUUAAAAGAGACAUUUAUGCCAUUGGAAAUAGAAUACCCUUUCACUGCGCAUUAACAACCGAGAGUGAAUUUUGUGGACAAAAUCGUGUUGUUGGGUAAACACAAGGUCAAUGGUGAUUGAAUUGAGGAACAACGAAAAUGUGUAUUUCAUCCAUUUCACAUUACUAUUCAUGCAACGUAUGUGGGUUGAACUUAUCAUAUGCUUCCAACUAGCUAUAAAUCAAGAUAUCAUCCAACUGGACAAACCAUAAAUAUCUCAACGAAAGGAUGUAAAAUCUAAGUCGUGAAUAGAGUUCCUCUCGAAUCUUGAUAAAGCUAAUGUCCUAUUUUCACUUGAUUCUUGAUGAUUUUGUGGACCUAUUUACUUGCAUGAGCAUGAUGAGCAUGCACAACUGUAACUCGAAUAGACAACAAGCUUUCAUGAUUAAAGCUCAAUAUCUUUAUAAUGUUUUCCAAGAACUGUAUCCCCUAAAAAGAAAUGAAGAAAUAUUAGUUAAAACUUUUAGUUAACCUUUUAACGACAAAAUAGACAGGGGGGUGGAGGAUAUGGACCGCAAUCGCUUCUUUAUAAAAGGGCAAUUUCAAUUUUACCACGAUGAGGAGCCAUUUUGGAAAAAGGUGGAGUGCUGAAAUCUCGCGACCUAAUCAUUGCACAAUAAAAAGAGCAUAAAUUGGUAGAACAAUGAGACUUCCCACGUAGCUUCCCUUGAAAUUGAAUGGGAUAAAAAAAAAAAAAAACGAAACGAUUUUUUUAGUACGCUGCCGACUUGUACCCGAAAAGUCCAUUGGAAGUCAUUAACAAAUUAAAUUAAGUGCUACGGUCCAUUCCUAGAUUUUCAUGGAAAUGGUUAAGUCCUAAAUUUUUUUCUUUGAGCAAAACUAUUCAAUUGAUGUAGUAAAUUCUACAUUUUUACACAAAGGUGCAAUCAAGUGUUUAAUGGAUUUUCAAAGUACAAAUUAAAGUUAGCACAUAGGCAUGUCUAGAUUGCCACGUAGAAAUCUCGCAAGUAAUUGCCUCAUGUAUGUGGAAUUUAGAGAAACAAUUGCAACUCUAAUUCCAAACUUUAUGUAGGAAUGCAAAUGUGCCACACACCUUUAUGCAGUUUAUUGAAAAGUGCAAUUAAAUUAUAAAUCUUUCAAAUGAUUCAAUGAAAUUUUAUCCAUUUGCUAAAAAGUGUGAUGGGAUCCUAAGUGCAAUGUAAGGAUGAUGCAUAUUCAAUUUUUAAGUGAUACAUAAACAAUAUUAAGGCCAUUCAUCGAAAUGAAUUGAAUGUAUGUUUCAUAAAACGUUUAAAAAAUUAAUUGAACCAAUUGAAAUCUUUGUUGAUUUGAUUGCAUUUUGCGCAUGAGGAUUAAAAUUUCUAGGGCACUUUGUCCCGAGAUUUAGGACCUUCACUAAAAUUUCAGGGGCUACUUAACCUCUGAAUUUGAUAAAAACGAUUUUAUAUGUAAAUUAUUUUAUUUUAUUUUAUUUUAUUUUACACAUGUCUUUUAUUAGAUAAACUUCGGAAAAGUACCAUAAAAUGAAAGGUUAAUACAACAAAAAAUCUCAAACUAAUACACUCGUAUUAUAUUUACUCAAAAUAAAUUUUCAUAUUACAGAAAAUCUCACAUUGGUAUACCUAUACCACGUUUAUCACAAACUAUUUUUUAUGCUAAAAAAAUAAUCUUAAAUUGGUACCUUCGUGUCACAUUUACUUUGGAUAAAUUUUCAUGUCAGCAAAAAUUCUAAAUUGUUAACUUGCGCCGCAUUUACCCACAAACUAAUUUUUAUGCGAUAAAAAAAUCUUGAAUUUGAACACUUGGUAUCACAUUUAUCCCAAGCGAUUACAAAAAAAUCCAGAUCACCAAAAAUAUGGAUUUGCCAAUCUAAAACUUUGAUGAAUUAUCCCAAACUAAUUUUUGUGCUAAAAAGAUCUUAAAUUGCAAUGCUUUGUGUCAAAUUUAUCCUAGGCAAUUACUAAAAAGUACCACCAGAAUUAGGGAUUUCCCAAUCUAAGACUUUGUGACUUAUCCUAAACUAAUUUUUGUGUUACAAAAAAAUCUUUAACUUGAAGACCUGGGAUCACACUUACCCAAAACUAUUACAAAAAAAUUCCACGCAAAAUUAGGGAUUUCCCAAUCUUAAAUACUUUGGUGACUUGGGGAAUUUUAUUAUGUGAAAAUCACUUUGAGCUAAAUAUGGCAUGCACAUGUUAAUGUGGAAAUUUAUCACAAAAUAAUUUGAUGUAACCCACCCAUGGGCAGCGCAGCGCAGUUGAUUGAGAUCUCUCUUUCGGUGAAUGAAGUCAAUGGUUCGAAACCUUGCGUUGUUAGCGAUUAAAGCAGGGCUUCGACGGUGGAGUGCUGGGCCAGUUUCCCUCGAUGUAUAAUCGUUGUUGAGCCUCUACGGCGGAGGCCCGUGAGACCCUAGAUUAGUAGGCUCCGGCGGGUCCUCAAUCACAAAAUAAUAAUAAUAAUAAUAAUAAUAAUAAUAAUAAUAAUAAUAAUUUGAUGUAAAUAUGAUACAAGCACACUAACUUGAAAAUUUUCGUGACAUAAAAAAAAUUAGUUUGAAGUAGAUCUGUUCUUAGUAUACUAGUUUUUUUUUUUUUUUGGGUGGUAUGAACCUCUGAAAUUAAAUGUAGGCCCGUCCGUGAUCCGCUCCAAGUCCAAAAGAAGCUCCCCUCAAGCAAUAUGCUCACUUCCAUUCUCUCGUCUCAAUUUGGGUUCCCUCCCUCGACAGCACCCCGCGGGAACUUUACCGUUGCGCAUAUCUUUUAUUUUAAUUUCGCUUUAAUCGAAGAACCAUCAAUUUAUCAUUUCAGCAAGCAAAGCGAAAGACGCGUUUUUUUUUUUUCUUUUUUCUUUUUCCUUAUUUUAUUCAUACCGUACGCGAUUUCCGCCAUCAUUCUUCUUUUCUCUUUUUUUCCUUGCUGGGGAAAAGAAAAAUCCCGAGAGAUUUGAAAAAAAUGGUUCACAUGGUGGACUCCCUCUUCCGGAAAGAGAGAGAGAGAGAGAAAAAGCGGGGGCGGAGGAGGAGAGAGAAAAUCAAUGGCGUCCUUUUCCGAUCCGCAGUACGACAACGAAAACCCUAACCACCCUCCUCGGCGCUGCCUCUUCCCUCCCCCCCUCCCUUUCACCAGUUCACUCCCACUCGCACUCAAGCUCGCAGAUGCUCUCCUCUCGCUUUCACAACUCUCUCCUCCUCUAGGCUCUAACCACCGCCACCAGCUCGGUGGAGGAAGGUAAUGCCGGGGUCGCCAUCGCUCGAUCCGCUCGCCGCGCAGCCGUGCUGAACCUCCGGCCGACUGGUGUCGCCGUGAAUGAGCAGCGAUCGGGAGUCGGUUCGGAGCGUUGGAUCAAUGUGAGUCGAGUGCUCGUGGCGUCUGAUCGUGUCCCGCGCGAACGCGAAUGCGAAUGCGCGGUUUCGUCGCGUCGCGUCGUUCUUUGCUUGGAUCGUUCCUGCAAGCGCCUGCUGCUUUUGCUUUUGCUUUAUUUCUGCUUGAUUUUGCUGCGUUCGGCUUCUCCGUUUUCCUUCUUAUUUUGGUCCGUGGUGCGGAAAACAGUGCGAUUCAGUGAUGGCGGAAGCACUUUUGUUAGUGCUUUCGUACUCGGAAUCGAAGUUCGGUUGUGACCGCGUCGCGAUCGGCGCGGAGCAGUAGUCUCUGUGUUUCGUCGAGUUCUUGACAUUUGAUCUCUUUUCUAAGUGAGAUUUUCUCAUCGUCCAGUUAUAGAAGCUGUACGUUCCUCCUCUCUCUCUCUCUUUUUAAGUUGCUGUUAGCAUCUACACUGUUAAGAAAUGUCGGCUUCUGGAAUGAGUUUCGAUUCGACUUGAGUGGUCUCCUGGUUCGCCCUCUUGGUGCUGAGAAUAUUUGAUCGGAUUGUUUUUGCUUUCGCAUUUUUUAUUCGAGUUCCUUUCUGCGUCACUUGUGCUAGAUUUGUGCUAGAUUUACCUCGUUUUUCACAUGUGCUGAAGCUCCUUCUGUCGAGAUUCUUUGCCCUGGGUGUGAUUCCUCUUUCUGGUUGAUUCUUGCUUCUCCAAGAAUUAGCAGAACCUCUUAAACUCGAAGGAACCGGUGGUGGCUUCUUGGCACAGACUGUUUUUGUUGUUGGCUGUGUUUCUCAUGCUGUCAUUUGAUCACUUGAUAUCUUUGCUGCAUUUAUUAAUUUGCUACUCUUUAAAGCAGAUUUCAAGGUGCUGAAGUUGGCAAUAAGCAAUAACUACGAUAAUGGGAGCUUUGGAGUUUGCAUGUAGGACUAUCUUGUUGUCUGCUCUACUAAUUAUUGCAAAGGCAGAAGUUUAUAUUGUGACUAUUGAAGGAGAGCCUGUCAUAAGUUACAAAGGUGGUGUCAAUGGUUUUGAAGCAACUGCGGUUGAGUCUGAUGAGAAGAUUGAUCCUACAAGGUACUCUUUAUUAUGCCAGCACUUGCCAUUCGACAUAUUCUUGGCACUUAUGGUGUUUCUUGGAAUGUGCAUUCCACAUUUGACGACAAUAUCCUCUCUAAUUCGUGUUCUUAACUUAAAGAUCAUCAUUGUCAUAGCAUGGAUUAGAAGCUCAUGAUGUGCAUAGUUAACUAAUUUUUCCCCUGAAUUUGGUCGAUAUAGAUGUCAUUGAGUAUUAGGCAAAUAACUUGUCAACUUUGUCCCCGUCAUUGUGGUUGACUCUAGAUAGAAAUCAGCAUUUAACAAAUGCAAACUCACUAGAAGGCAGAGAAACCGAAUAUUUAUCUUGAAACUCUAACUUGAAUAUAUUUCUUGACCCUGUUUACAUCUCACGUGCAUCUAUCAGAUUGUGAACCAGUAUGGAGAGAGGAUGGGAGGAAAUAAAACUUUAUGAGUAGUUUGUUGUUAUGUCAUUUAUGGUCUUUUGAAGAGGUGUGUAACCUUGCUUAGGAUUGUUACGAAGGUUUCUUGUACAGUCUCAGUCAUUUUCUUGGCAUUGCAUUUCUCCAUCAAGCAUAGUUGAAAUGGUGCUUUAUGGAAUUAGCAGCGACUUUAGAAACAAUCUUUUCAGGUGUAAAUUGUUACAUUGUGAUGAACCAAUAUAUUAAAUCCAUAAUCAUUAAGUUGUUACUGUAUGGUCGGCAAAUAUUUUGUAACGCAUAGCCAUUAGGUCAUGCACUGACACAGAUAUUGUCAAUCAAACAAAAGAGGAGAAAGAUAAACUCAAUUACUAUUUGGUUAUCCUUGCAAGAAGUACCUCAAUUCAUUCCUUCAUCAGCGAAAUAUCAUUCACCCUCCUACUACAUGCCUAGUCCCCUGCUCAGAUGAACAUGUUGGUUGCUAUUGCUGUAUUGUCUUUUAUUACUCCUUGGCUCAUUGAAUUGGGUUGUCAUCCAGUGAAUUGGUAACGUCUUAUGCUGAACACCUUGAGAAGAAACAUGAUAUGCUUCUUGGGAUGCUGUUUGAUCGAGGAACCUACCAGAAACUAUACAGCUAUCGCCAUCUGAUAAAUGGUUUUGCUGUUCACAUUUCUCCUGAACAGGUGAAACCAAGUAUCCAAUCUCCCUCAUUUUUCUCUGCAUCUGACUUUUAGGAUGGUAGUCCCUUUCUUUUGUGUAUCAUGGACUUAUGCCCUUCCAAUAUAUUAGUAGGCGGAAAUCCUACGACGUGCCCCUGGUGUGAAAUCUGUGGAGAGAGAUUGGAAGGUGAAGAGACUUACAACUCACACUCCACAGUUUCUGGGACUUCCUACUGGAGUAUGGCCCACAGGAGGAGGGCAUGCCAAGGCGGGAGAGGACAUUGUGAUUGGCUUUGUGGACUCGGGCAUUUAUCCUCACCAUCCCAGCUUCUCUUCACACACAGAACCUUAUGGUCCACUACCAAAGUACAGAGGGAAGUGUGAAGUUGAUCCUGACACUAAGAGGGCUUUUUGCAAUGGGAAGAUUAUAGGAGCUCAACAUUUUGCCAAGGCGGCCAUAGCAGCUGGGUCAUUUAAUCCUUCCGUUGAUUUUGCUUCUCCCUUGGAUGGCGAUGGACAUGGAAGGUUAGGUCUUGUAACAUUUGCAGAUUGAGUUUUAGCAAGCUCUAAUUCUGUAUAAUCUAGAUCUUUUGCCUUCUCAUCUUAGCAACCUGUGAUAAGCAGAUUUUAUUUUUUGAGAUGUGGGAGAUAAAACUAGGCUUUUGUAUGUUAUAUAUCCUGUGCAUCUGUACUUUCUUAAUUUUUCUUUGAUGCAUUAAAGUUCAUAUUUUUGACAUGCUUGAUGAGCUGUUCCUUUCUCUACUAUGUGUAUAUUCCAAGAUGAGGUUGAAAGAUUCUGUCCCACUGCUGCAGACAAACAAAUGCUACAAAGGUCUUAUCAGUUGCAGUACUAGCCCUUAAAAAUAAUGAGAGUUUAUGAGUUGACUGGUAGAUUUUCACAGUGACGAGAACAACAUGCUGAGUAGAUUGAUUUGAUGAUAGUUGUAUGAUCCAUACUGAUCUGAAGAGGGCACUGUAUGGUGAAACCUAGGCACUGUAAUUAAUGAGGUGAUUUAUAGAAUCGCUUCUCCUUCUCAAUGUUAUGUUUGGGUUAGUAAUUUGAUUUAGUAGUUAUUGAAAAAUGAAAAGCCUGCCGUGUGAUUUUAAAAUAGGAAGGAAAAUGUUAUCCUUCGCAGAACAAGCUCGGCCUUGUUAAUCAGUACCUAAAUACUCAAUAAAAACAGCUCCAAAUGCCCCUCCCAAGUUAGUAGUUAUUAAGAAGAAAACAGUUGCAAAAAACUCAUGCUGUUCAUGAUAUCUUUGAUGAGUUUCGCAAUAUAAUCUGCUGACAAUCUCCUUUAAAAAUCAUGAAUAAGUCAAAACACUCUGUAAACCUUGCAUGAUAAAAGAUGGCUAAUGGAGUGACUGUGCAACCAAGCUGCAAUCUCAUCAACCAUGUUGUUUUGACACUUGGAAAUGAGAGUUGUUUGUAUUGGUUCCUGCUGCUUAAUUUAAUUAUGGAAAAUUUGGCUUUGGCAAUGUUGGUGAUGUCUAAAUCACUAGUUAUUUAAUUUGUCAUUUCUUUUGGAUGCAUCUGAAUCAGUUGGGCUUCAUCUAUAAGAUAUUAAGAUGAAGGGAGUUGCCCUUUCUUUUUUGUGACUUUUGUCUCCUUGUAGUGUGCUAAUACUGACAGGCAAUGAAUUAUCCUAUAGUUCAACAUCAGAGCAGUUCUAUUUCCUUCAUCUAAAAUUGAAUACUUUUGCUGCUUUAUACACUAGUUGCUUAGUAGACAUCCAUGUUAUUUUAUGUGAUGAAUGCCGCCAUAAGUGGGGCUAAAGGAUUUAUGUGUCUUUUGAUGGAAUAUAUUCCUUUGUCCAAGCUCUUUUUUGUUAAGUAAAAUGACAAUAGUUAUUCUAUCUCCAUUCACUCCCUCUUUUUUUUUUUUCUCUCAUGAAUUUUUAUUUCUCUGGCUUUUUCAAUCAUUUGAAUACCAGUCACACAGCUGCCAUUGCUGCCGGUAACAAUGGAAUACCCGUGAGAGUGCGUGGACAUGAAUUUGGGAAAGCAAGUGGGAUGGCUCCUCGAGCUAGGUAGGCUUCAUCAACUUCAGCAAUCUUAAUCAGCUCUUCUGACAGUAAUUAAUCUCUGAAGUCUGUUGUGUACAGGAUUGCUGUUUACAAGGCACUUUACCGACUUUUUGGAGGUUUCGUGGCUGAUGUGGUUGCAGCAAUUGAUCAGGUAUCAAAAUAUAUGACCCACUCAGAAGUGCUACGAAUUCUUAUAGUUUUGGUUGCAUUUCUUGACUCUCCCACCAUGUAGAUAUAGGACUCUUAUAAUUUAAAUCUCUACAAUUUGAUGCCAACUAGAGUCAGACAUCUUUUUUUUUACCUCAUUUCUGGUUUAAACACACUCUCUCAGGCACACACACAGACUUUGGUUCAGACUUAAAGAUUUUGGAAUUUACCUUGCAAAAAAUAAUGUACUUAAAAGUUUUGAUUUCUAAACUUACUUUCUACCACAGAAGAUGAGAUAUGCUUUUGUGUUGACCACAAGGAUGCCAUCUUUUGCGUUCUGAAAACAUCCAGAGAAUCUCGGUGCAUACUGGGAUGGGUGAUUCUCCACAUAGUGUUGCAUAUAUCUACAAAGCUCAUCUAUCCCUUCAAUUCUGUCAUGCUUGUCAACAAAUUUUGAUAGUAAUCUGAAGGAAGGUUAUACUCAACUGACAACUUCUCCUACAGGCUGUUUAUGAUGGUGUGGAUAUACUCAGUCUGUCAGUCGGACCAAAUAGCCCGCCAACAAGCACUAGAACUACAUUUUUGAACCCUUUUGAUGCCACACUUCUGUCAGCUGUCAAAGCAGGUGUCUUCGUCGCUCAGGCAGCAGGAAAUGGAGGGCCUUUUUCUAAAACUUUGGUAUCCUAUAGCCCAUGGAUAACAUCUGUUGCAGCUGCAAUUGAUGACCGAAGAUACAAGAACCAUCUCACGUUGGGAAAUGGGAAAAUGUUGCCAGGCAUUGGAUUAUCACGUGAGUUUUUUAAGCUCGACUAUUUAACUUUAUUACAUUUCUCAUUGGUAGAUCAUAGUAGUUUGACAGUGAGAUCAUUUUAUUGGUGCUUAGCAAUAGUAAUGUGCCAUUUUGAUCUUUUCUGAUUUCGACGGUAUUUCAAUGGAAUGAAUUUUCUUUUCCUUUCUUCUUUUUGUCGUUUUGGAGAUUUGUAUGUUAUCUGUAAUGAAUUUGCAUUACAAAGAUGUGACAACCAGCAAACCAGGCCGUUGGAUGAAAAAUGUAUACUUGCUUGUUAAAGUGUUUCUGGACAACACUAUGCUCCUGGAAGAAUGUGAGUGAGCAUCUAUGAAGAACUAUUAUUUAUUCUAUAAGCCCGUUGGAACCUUUUUAAGAUGCCCUGUUCAUCUGCGGUUGUGCUUCCUGUAGGGUUGUACAGUGUUUAUUCUGCUUGAACUUCAGUGGUUGCUUCACUUUGUGCCCUUCAUUUGACAAUUUUCUGAGGCUCCCUGGGGAUUUAUGUGCUGUUUCCAACCGAACAUGAGUCUGCUAGUGGUUUUGGUAGGAAUUAUAAUAUUAAUUGCACUGGUUGAUGUAGGUGAUUGUAUUUAACACUUAUUGAAUGAUAGAGGAUGUUGAGUGUGCAGAACUUCUUUUCUUUUUCAAGGAGUUUUUUUCCCCAUUUUAUUGACAUUUAAUUUCGUUUCAUGAGAGCAGCCUCUACACAGCCGAAUCGGACAUUCACCAUGGUUGCAGCAAAUGAUGUACUGCUGGAUUCUUCCGUCAUGAAGUACAGCCCCUCUGACUGCCAGAGACCAGAAGUUUUGAACAAAAACUUAGUCCAGGGAAACAUUCUUCUCUGUGGCUAUUCCUUCAACUUUGUGACAGGGACAGCAUCAAUCAAGAAAGUUUCAGAAACGGCCAAGAGCCUUGGUGCAAUUGGCUUUGUUCUUGCUGUUGAGAAUGUUUCUCCAGGAACCAAGUUUGAUCCGGUCCCUGUUGGUGUCCCAGGGAUUCUCAUCACUGAUGUCAGCAGAUCAAUGGUAAUAACUGUUUCUCGUCCAUCCUGUUUUUGACUUAUAUUGCUGUAGUAGUUGUUUCUAUGCUAACCCUUGUCAUCUUUGUUAGGGCUUGCUUAUCCACAUCUUCGCUUUUGUCAGAUUUUUUCUGCAUCACUUUGCUAAUGCAUAUUGCUGUUACUUAGGACCUUAUAGAUUAUUACAACGUCUCUACCACUAGAGACUGGACCGGACGAGUGAAGAGCUUUAAAGCUGUAGGCAGCAUAGGGGAUGGCUUGAUGCCUAUACUCCACAAAUCUGCACCACAGGUGGCACUAUUUUCUGCUAGAGGACCCAACAUAAAAGAUUUCGGCUUCCAAGAUGCGGAUCUUCUUAAACCAGAUAUUUUAGCCCCUGGUUCUCUCAUUUGGGCUGCAUGGUCACCUAAUGGGACAGACGAGCCUAAUUACGUUGGUAAUGACAAACAAGUCUCAUUAGUUUUUUUAUUAGCUUUCAGAACCAUGGAAUUGUGCAUUACUCUUUUUGUCAGUUUAAUGUCCAAAACAAGAAUGGUAAUAGUUAUCUGCUUUUCUUUUACCUGGUCUUCAGAGCCACCUUCUAAUAUAGCUCUGAGAAUCAAACCAAACUCUGAUGAUUUUGUGGAAGAUAGUUCACUAGUUGCUAGUUAGAAAUCAAAUCAUGUGCUGUCAUAUAUAUAUAUAUAUAUAUAUAUAUAUAUAUAUUGUUGUGCAAUAGCUCUGUUUAUCAUAGGGAAAAAAAUUGAAUACUCAUAGUUAACGCUUGCUUUGAGCAGGUGAAGGCUUUGCCAUGAUCUCAGGAACAAGUAUGGCUGCUCCGCACAUAGCAGGAAUCGCUGCCCUUGUAAAGCAGAAGCAUCCUCACUGGAGCCCAGCUUCCAUAAAAUCUGCUCUGAUGACAACAUCAGCAAAGCUGGACAGAGCAGGAAGACCUCUUCAGGCACAACAAUACUCUGAGACUGAAGCCAUGAAGCUGGUGACUGCAACGCCUUUUGAUUAUGGGAGUGGUCAUGUUAAUCCUAGAGCUGCUUUAGACCCAGGACUUGUCUUCGAUGCAGGUUUUCCACUCUUACCUUAUUCUAUCCUUGUUCAUAACUAUUACGAAUGGUUUUCAUAAAAAAUGGUUUAAGUGCUUCCAGGUUGCUUUUGCUUUGAUUAGGACACAUUUGCUUCUAAUGUGGAAUGUCUAUAGUCUAAAAAUCUUUUUUUUUUUUGGGAUACAUACCAUAAGUCAUAAAUUGUCUGGUCUCUCAGCAAGCAGAUGGCUCUCCUCCAAAUGGUUGAAUUGGAGCUUAUCUGAGUUGCAUAAGUGUGAAAUAUUUAGAAAUUCUCUAUAACUUCAUAUCAUUCGCCAAGCGAGUCCUUACACAUUUUAUCUGUCAACAGAAAUUUUUGUUCAUCUUGUGUCGGUAAAAGCAGCCUUUGUCCAAAAUCUAUUGGAGUUUCUGAGCAAUGUGGCAUCCUUUGCGAUAUGAAACUUAAAAUUUUAACAUGUGGCACUUUUAAAUUUACCCUUUACAUUUAGAAAACGUUAGGAAAAGUGACAAUUGAGCGAAGUAAAAUAAACCUGACAGAGUAUGGAGAAGGGUCUACAGUCCAUUUAGACAUAAGACUGUAACAAGUUAUAUUGAAGAGUUCAGGAGGUCUAUAACUUCAUAUCAUUCGCCAAGCGAGUGCUUAUACUUUUUAUCUGUCAACAGAAAUUUUUGUACGUCUUAUGUCGGUAAAAGCAGCCUUUGUCCAAAAUCUAUUGGAGUUUCUGAGUAAUGUGGCAUCCUUUGCGAUAUGAAACUUAAAAUUUUAACAUGUACUUUGACGGCACUUUUAAAUUUACCCUUUACAUUUAGAAAACGUUAGGAAAGUGACAAUUGAGCGAAGUAAAAUAAACCUGACAGAGUAUGGAGAAGGGUCUACAGUCCAUUUAGACAUAAGACUGUAACAAGUUCUACUGAAGAGUUCAGGAGGUCUAUAACUUCAUAUCAUUCGCCAAGCGAGUCCUUAUACUUUUUCUCUGUCAACAGAAAUUUUUGUACGUCUUGUGUCAGUAAAAGCAGCCUUUGUCCAAAAUCUAUUGGAGUUUCUGAGUAAUGUGGCAUCCUUUGCGAUAUGAAACUUAAAAUUUUAACAUGUACUUUGACGGCAAUUUUAAAUUUACCCUUUACAUUUAGAAAACGUUAGGAAAGUGACAAUUGAGCGAAGUAAAAUAAACCUGACAAGAGUAUGGAGAAGGGUCUACAGUCCAUUUAGACAUAAGACUGUAACAAGUUCUACUGAAGAGUUCAGGAGUCUAGAAACAAAUGACUCGAAGUACAUGGUGUGUAUGUAUGGAUAGUUCACCGUUGUAAUUGUUCACACUAAUUGGUGGGUGAUUUCCGUGCUUCUCAUUACAAGAUCUCUGAUUUCUAGUACUUGAUCCUUGGCAGGCUACAAUGAUUAUUUGGGAUUCUUGUGCACAACUCCUGGUAUCGAUGUUCAUGAGAUCAAGAACUACACGAACUCGCCAUGUAACUUUUCCAUGGGCCACCCGUCAAAUCUCAACUCCCCUUCCAUCACUAUUGCCCACCUAGUUCGAACUCAAACCAUCACUCGCACGGUCACGAACGUUGCUCAGGAAGAGACGUACGUCAUUACAACCAGAAUGGAUCCGUCUAUCGCUCUUGCAGCCAGCCCUCCAGCAAUGACGAUAAGACCAGGUGCGUCACGGAAAUUUACAGUUACUCUCACUGUCAGGUC